RNAcentral lists this long non-coding RNA (250503 nucleotides) under Vitis vinifera (wine grape). RNAcentral's name for it is "long non-coding RNA (VVIN_LNC007137)". The record is from RNAcentral. Lineage: Eukaryota; Viridiplantae; Streptophyta; Magnoliopsida; Vitales; Vitaceae.
AGUUUGCAAUGUAUAGUCAACUAUAAUAGGCUAAGAUUGUGCGGUGAGAAUCAAAUUCUUGCUCCAAUUAAGGUCAUCAAGAAGUCCUUGUAGCCCCCUGAUGUUUUGCGUACCACUGCAUCAUCAAGACUUACCUUGUUCAUGUUGAAAUACUCUUCUUUGAUCUUCAUCAUGUCAAUUUCCACUCGAGCCAAAAUGGCUCUUGCUAAUGAAUGAACAUCUGUCCGAUGACCACUGAGGGAAGCUCUUAUAACCUGGUGAUGGUUCAAACAAAGGAAAAAGAAAUUUCACGAGAAGCUUAAAGUUUAAUAUUAUCUCUGACAAGUACGAAGAAAAUCUUUUGAUGGAAGCAGUUUAAGAAAAAUGACUUUCAUUCAGAAGAUGAAGUUCUGUACCAACCAGAACCUUUUUAUAAGUUUCAAAAUCAUGUUCCUGUUUAAUAACUGUUGAGUUGAAUUGAUUUUUUCUUUGUAAUAUGUUGAAGCUAUCCUUGUAAAACAUAGGCUAAGGCUAAAUGAGCCGUCUUUCAAUAGUGAAAUAGAAUUGCUCGCUCUCUGCCCGUGGACGUAGAUCACUUUGAUCGAACCACGUAAAUCUUAUGUUUGUUCUUGUGUGAUUGUUUUCUUCCAUUAUUCCGCGAUUCUAUUGCUUGCUUGCUUGACAAGUGGUAUCAGAGCCCACAAACACCUGGGUUCAGAUCUGCAGAAGGAAAAUGUCUUCACAGAAAUUCGAAGUUGAGAAGUUCAAUGGGUCGAAUGAUUUCACCUUGUGGAAGCUGAAGAUGAAGGCGCUUCUGGUUCAGCAGAAGUGUGCACAAGCAAUAGAAGGGGAAGAAACAUUACCUGUAGGAUUGACAGCAGUAGAGAAGGAGGAAGUUGUGUCUAGGGCACAUAGUGCGAUUCUGUUGAGUCUAGCAGAUGAAGUUCUGAGGGAAGUAGCUGAUGAAACUACUGCAGUUGGCUUGUGGAGGAAGUUUGAAAGCAAGUACCAGAAAAAGUCACUGACCAACAGGCUUUAUCAGAAAAGGCAAUUGCAUACUUUGAAGAUGUCAGAAGGUAUGCAGGUAAGAGAUCACCUUAACAACUUUAACAGAAUUAUUUUAGACUUGAAUGGAGUUGGUGUUAAAGUUGAGGAAGAGGAUCAAGCCAUGAUUUUGUUAUGUUCUUUGCCUAGCUCUUAUGAAAAUUUUGUAGAUACUAUGAUGUAUGGUAGGAAUAGUAUCUCGAUAAAUGAUGUUAAGGAUGCUCUACAGUCUAAAGAAUUGCAGAAAUUAGUUUCUGGUUCUGAGGAAGGCAGUGUGGAGACUGGGUUAACUGUGAGUAGGGGCAGGAGCAUGGAACGAAAUGGUGGAGGACGUAGUAAGUCGCGUUCUAAAUCGAAGGCUGCAAUGAGAUGCUUUCACUAUAAAGAGAAAGGGCACUUUAGAAAGAACUGUCCACAAAGGCAGAAGGGAAUUGGUUAGGGGUCGAAUGGAAAUGCGCAGGUUGUAGUAGCUCAGAAAGAUUCUGAAAAACAGGAUAGUUCUGACGAGGGAGAAGGAGGAGAUGUUUUAACUGUUAGUACAUCUAGCUCUGCAGAAUCAUGGAUCUUGGAUACUGGUGCUUCGUAUCACAUGGCUUAUUCACGAGAUCUGUUCACUACUUUUAAAGAGUGGAACGGAAGUGUAAAGUUGGGAGAUGAUGGGGAGCUGGGUGUCAAAGGCAGUGGUUCUGUGCAGAUUAAAAUGUAUGACGGAUUGGUUAGGACAUUGAAUGCUUGGUAUGUUCCUGGACUACGAAAGAAUUUGAUCUCUGUGGGUACACUGGAUAAAAAUGGGUACACAUUCUCUGGGAGUGGUGGAGUUCUUAGGGUAUCAAAAGGAGCUCUUGUGGUGAUGAAAGGCAGAUUACAGCAUGGGAUUUACACAUUGAUGGGAAGUUCAGUGUUGGGAACGACGACUGUGUUAAGCUCCAUGGCUAUUGAUUCUGUAGAGAAGAAAGAUAAUUGUACUGAGUUGUGGCAUCGAAGAUUGGGACACAUGAGUGAGAAAGGGCUCUCUAUCUUGAGUAAGCAAGGGCUGAUAAGUGGUGCUGAGACCGGGAAGCUGAAAUUCUGUGAAACUUGUGUUAUGGGUAAACAGCGUAGGGUGAAGUUCAGUAUGGGUAGUCACACUACUAAUGGAGUUCUUGAGUAUAUUCACUCUGAUUUAUGGGGUCCUUCUCCGGUGGAGUCUCAUAGUGGAUGCAGGUACUAUGUUACUUUUAUUGAUGACUUCUCUAGAAAGGUGUGGGUGUACUUUCUGAAAGCAAAGGAUGAAGUGUUUGGGAAGUUCAAGGAGUGGAAGACUAUGGUGGAGAAACGGACUGGAAAAGUAGUCAAGACAAACAGAUAAUGGGUUGGAAUUUUGUAACAAGGAUUUCAAUGAGUUUUGUAGAAAAGAAGGUAUAGUGAGGCACCGCACUGUACGACAUACGCCACAGCAAAAUGGAGUUGCAGAACAGAUGAACCAAACACUUGUACAACGUGCUAGAUGCAUGAGGAUAGAUGCUGGGUUGUCGAAAAAGUUAUGGGCUGAAGCAGUUAACACUGCUGCUUAUCUGGUAAAUAGAUCGCCAUUGACUGCAAUUGAUUUUAAGACUCCUCAAGAGGUAUGGUUCGGUAAACCCUCUAAUUAUUCUGGCUUGAAAAUAUUUGGUUGUCCUGCAUAUGCUCAUGUUAGUGAUGGCAAGCUGGAGCCUAGGGCAAUGAAAUGCAUAUUUCUAGUGUAUGCGACUGGGGUGAAAGGUUAUCGUCUGUGGUGUACUAAAGAUAGAACCCCAAAAUUUAUUAUUAGCAGAGAUAUGACCUUUGAUGAAUCUGCUAUGUUUGGCCAGAGGAAGGAGUUUGGUGAUCUUGCAGGUACUAGUAAAACUAAUCUGGGUGCUAACCAGAAGGUGGAGUUUGAGGUCGAUGCUCCAAUGGAAAAUGGUGUAGAUGACACAUCUGAAGAACAGCCCGUGAUCGACCAGAAUGAUUCACAGAGUAUAGCAGCACAUAGACCAAGAAGGGAAAUCCGGAGACCUAUGAGGUAUGUGGAUUGUGUUAGUGCUAACAUCACUAAUCCUGUUGCUUUUGCUUUAGCAGUGGCUGAAGAGAUAGGAAGGGAGGAACCAAGGUCGUAUAAGGAGGCGAUGGAAAGUAAAGACUCGAAAAAGUGGCUAAGUUCCAUGGAUGACGAGAUGGCAUCAUUGAGAAAGAAUCAAACUUGGGAGCUUGUGCCUUUGCCUGAAGGAGUGAAACCUGUUGAUUGUAAAUGGCUUUUCAAAAUAAAGGAUGGGAUUUCAGAGGAUGAACCACCUAAGUACAAAUCAAGGCUUGUGGCGAAGGGUUUUUCACAAAAGGAGGGGAUUGACUACAAUGAAGUGUUCUCACCUGUUGUGAAGCAUAAAUCUAUUCGGGUCCUCUUAGCGAUGGUAAGCGUUUUUAACUUGGAGCUUGAUCAACUUGAUGUUAAAACUGAUUUUCUGCAUGGAAAUCUAUUAGAGGAAAUUUAUAUGAAACAACCUGAGGGAUUUGUUGUUUCUGAAAAGUUUGAUCAUGUGUGUUUUUUGAAGAAGUCCUUGUAUGGGUUGAAGCAAUCUCCUAGGCAAUGGUACAAGAGGUUUGAUGCAUUUAUGGUCUCUCAUGAGUUUAUGCGAAAUCAGUAUGAUAGCUGUGUUUACUUUAAAACAUUGCCUGAUGGUUCAUUUAUUUAUUUGUUGCUAUAUGUGGAUGACAUGUUGAUUGCAGCUAAGAAUCGAGCUGAAAUUAACAAACUGAAACAGUUGUUGAGUAGUGAGUUUGAGAUGAAAGAUUUGGGUGCAGCUAAGAAAAUCUUGGGGAUGGAGAUUUGGAGAGACAGAGAUGCAGGCUUGUUGUAUGUCUCACAGCAAAAAUACAUUGAGAAGUUAAUGCAGGCUUUCCAUAUGGAUCACUCUAAACCGGUGAGUACUCCAUUAGCUCAACAUUUUAAAUUUGAUCAUAGUACAUUGCCUAACACUGAUGAGGAGGUGGAGUACAUGAAGAGUGUGCCUUACUCUAGUGUGGUUGGUAGUUUAAUGUAUGCUAUGGUGUGCACUAGACCAGAUCUUGCUUUUGCUGUUAGUGUUGUAAGCAGAUUCAUGAGUAACCCUGGUAAAGCUCACUGGGAAGCCGUCAAGUGGAUUAUGCGAUAUUUGAAGGGUUCAAGUAGUGUAUGCUUGGUGUAUGGGAAUGGUGAUGUAUCUAGUGGAUUGGUUGGGUUUACUGAUUCUAAUCAUAGAGGAGAUCUCAUGAAGAGAAGAUCAUUGACCUGUUAUAUUUUCACUCUGUUUGGGUGUGCUAUUAGCUGGAGAGCUUCUUUGCAGCCAACAGUUGCUUUGUCUACAACUGAAGCGGAAUACAUGUCCUUGACAGAAGGGGUGAAAGAAGGUAUGUGGUUAAAUGGUUUUCUUGGCAGCUUGGGUUUGAAUUUGUCUAAGCCGGUUAUCUAUUGUGAUAGUCAAAGUGCUUUGUGUUUGGCAAAGAAUCCUGUUUAUCAUGAGAGGACAAAACAUAUUGAUGUUAGGUUGAACUUUAUUCGUGAUGUGAUUGAAGAAAAGUUAUUCUCCAUUGAGAAGGUUGCCACGGAAGUUAAUCCUGCAGAUAUGUUGACUAAGCCAAUUACUACUGAAAAGUUCAAGCAUAGCUUGGACUUGGUGAAUGUUUGCAAAGUUUGAGCUUGAGGCCCUUCGGGGCGUAGCAGAUGAGUAGUUCUAUAUUCUGAAUUGAAAGAAGAAAGAAAACUCAAUUCAAGGUGGAGAAUUGUGGAGUUGAAUUGAUUUUUUCUUUGUAAUAUGUUGAAGCUAUCCUUGUAAAACAUGGGCUAAGGCUAAAUGGGCCGGGUCUUAUUGUUAAAUGGGUUUUAGGGUUAGGGUUGGUAUAUGAUAACUAGAACUCUUGUAAACUCUAUAAAUAGGUGGCUUGGGAAAACGUAAAAGUGAGAUGGGAAGGUGCAUGAGCCGUCUUUCAAUAGUAAAGAGAAUUGCUCGCUCUCUGCCCGUGGACAUAGAUCACUUUGAUCGAACCACGUAAAUCUUGUGUUUGUUCUUGUGUGUGAUUGUUUUCUUCCAUUAUUCCACGAUUCUAUUGCUUGCUUGCUUUACAAAAUAUUUAUUUAUUUAUUAUUAUUAUAAAAUAGAUAUAUUAAAAAUAAAAAUGAUUAAUAUAUGUAAUUGAAACAAUUUACUUCUUUGUAAGGUAUGUAAAGUAAAUCCUUAUUUUAUCUUAUUAUUAAAAUAAUAAUUUUGUUUUUUUUUUUAAUAUCCAGCCUAAAGACUGAAAUGUUAAAAAAUAAAAUCAACACCCCUAUUCAAGUAUUAUUUUCAAAAAUAUUAUAAAAUUAUUUUAUUAUUAAAAAUAUAAAUUUUUAGAUUUCUAUCCCCGAGUUCGUAAUGUGUGGAUGACUCACGCCUGAGUAGAUUAAUUAUUACAUCCAGCAAACUAUUAAUUAUUGCAAAUUAACACAACUGUAUUUUUAAAAAUACAAGUUGGAUGACUCACCCAACUUGUAUUUCCUUUAUCUUUUGGGUAAUCGACUAACAGGGACUAUCCCAUAUUCCAUAGACACCUUACUUUUCUUUUAAGUCAUGGAUUUUUCAAGUAAAAAUUUGAUUGGAAGCAUUCCUUCUACCAUAAAUAAUCGCUCUAGCCUAAUUGUUCUAGACCUUGGAAAUAACAAUUUGCCUAGAAUGAUACCAAAGUUAUUAGGUCAGUUACAAUUGUUGGAAUCACUACACCUGAACCACAACAAGCUUUCAGGAGAGCUCCCCUCAUCUCUGCAAAAUUUAACAAGUUUGGAUGUCCUUGAUCUCAGUUACAAUAGAUUUUCAGGUCAGGUUCCUGCUUGGAUUGGAGCUGCUUUUGUAAAUCUUGUAAUACUCAACUUGAAGUCGAAUAUAUUUUUUGAAAGACUUCCUUCCCAACUUUCAAAUUUAAGCUCCAUGCAUGUCUUAGACCUUGCAAAAAACAAUUUGAUGGGUGAAAUUCCAAUCACUUUGAUUGAGCUUAAAGCUAUGGCUCAGGAGCAAUUGAAUAUAUAUAUCUGUUAAAUAUGAAUGUCAACUCCUUGUAUGACGAAAGAUUAGUUGUGAUUACCAAAGGCCAAAGUCUAGAAUAUACAAGGACUCUUUCUCUUGUUGUUAGCAUAGAUUUAUCCGGUGAUAAUUUAAGUGGAGAGUUUCCCCAAAGAAUAACAAAAUUAAAUGGUUUGGUGGUUUUGAACUUGUCCAGGAAUCAGAUCACUGGCCAAAUUCCUGAAAGCAUUUCAUUAUUGCGUUAAUUGUCCUCUCUUGAUCUAUCAAGUAAUGAGCUUUUCAGAACCAUUCCUUCAAGCAUGUCCUCAUUAACAUUCUUGGGUCAUUUGAAUUUGUCAAAUAAUAAUUUUUCUAGUAAGAUCCCUUUUAUAGGGCAAAUGACAACUUUCACUGAGUCAACCUUUGUUGGGAAGCUUAAUCUUUGAGGAGUUCUACUGCUCACAAAAUGCCAAGAUGAAGAUCCAAAUAAAAAGCAAAGUGUUAUUGAAGACAAAAAUGGUAGUGACUAUAUUGAUCAAUGGUUUUACUUUAACGUUGGCUUGGGAUUUGUGAUGGACAUUUUAGUUCCAUAUCUUGUCUUAGCAACAAAGAAAUCUUGGUGUGAGACCCAUUUUGAUUUUGUGGAUAAAAUUGUCAAAUGGUUUGAGAAAAUAAAGGUUAUGCUUAAUGAAUAAAAAACACCCAAAGGGGGAGGAGGGGGAGGGUGAAUUGGGUUUUUAAAAAACUUUUCCAACACAACAAGUUCAAACAAAAUAUAAACAAAAAUAAAGAGAUAGAGUUAGAGAAUUCAAACUCGGGUUUUAUAGUGGUUUGAUCAGCACUUCCUUACCUAUGUCUACUCUCCUCAAUCUCCUAACCAAGUGAAGGUUCCACUAACUUGAAGUUUCAACCAAGCUUCCAAUCUUCUUACACUUGGAUUCCGACUCCAAUGGGCUCUUAUCUCUUCAAGAUUCAAACCUGUUGAAGGCUUUAACACUUGGUUUUUACAAGAAUGAAUCCUCAACCUAGCUCAAAGAGAGCUCAAAUACAAAACAAAGUUAGGAUGAUUCACAAGGGUCCACUAAAUGAUAUGCAAGUGAUGAUUUAAUGCACUAAGAAAGAAAUGAGAGCUUUCAGGCCAAGAAUAGGUAGGUAGACAAUUAAUUGCAAGUGUUCUCUAUCUCAUAAAUGAAAUGGAGCUCUUAAUUUAUAGGUUUUAAGCUUGGGAGACAAAAACAACAAAAUGCAGCCUCGACCAGUCGAGUUAGGGGUCGACCAGUUCAUUAGCCAUUUGAGCAUUUAAUGCUUUGGCAGGUUACCGUUGCCUCGACCGGACCUCGAUCGGGAAUGGGUGAACCUCAACCGGGAAGAGGAAGCUACUGGAUGAGAGAGAGUGUUUUUGACACUCCUCGAUCGGACCUCGAUCGGACAAGGGCAACCGGUCGACCAGUUCCCCAACCGAUUGAGUUGAUUGGCUAGAGCCUUGACCGGUUUAGCCUUUUGAUCCCGAAAACCUAUCUUUUUCAAUUCCUUUCUUUUUUAACACUUAGGCAAAGUCUUUAGGUGAAUUAAUAUAUCAAUUUUAAAACAUUUUUCCUAAGGUACAUUUAAUAAAAAUCAGGUUUUAACGAAAUCGAAAUUUUAAAGGAUAAAUCGAGUUUUCAAAAAUGCAUGAAACGAUAUGAAAAACCUAAGUGCACCCAUGCAUUCAUCUUACAUUCGUUUCCUAUGAUCAAAAUACUUCCAAAAGUCUUGAUCUUGUAUCCAUUUGACCCUUUGAUGAAUUUUCGAAUUUUCAAAUUUAUACCUGAGAUUCUUUACCAUUCAAACCAAUUGGUCACUUAACCAUGGUUUGUUAUUAUUAAAACCCGAUUAAGAAAACCCUUGAGCUAAUAUGGUUGUUAAGAGGAAGAGCAACCUAUACCAUAAAUCACCCGUGAAUGAGGUAAAUUUUGUUUGUGGAUCUUUGUUUGUUUUAUAUAUCAGUAUAAGCUUUGGAAGCCAAUUUUAUCACAUUGCAAUAGAUGAAAAGUCUUGGCUUUUAAUUUAUUCAUAGGUAAUUAUUUAAUAUAUUAGUUUUGGGCAUGGAUUUUAUACUCUUUUCUAAUUUCUAAUUUGAGUAGGAUAUGAUGGUCAUAUUACAAUAUCAUGUCAAAUAUUUCUUUUUCAUGUCCUAAAAUUAGUAUUCUAUAAAAAAUUUGAUUAGUUCAACUUAAGAUAUUAGUAUUCUUUUCAUAUUUAGCCCUUGCGUUUGGUUGCCGUGAAGGUGUAGGAAAAUGAAAGAAAAAUCAAUUUGAAUUUUGAAUUUUUGUAAAGUGAUAUUGAAGCUGCCUAGCCCUAGCACUGGUACUAGUAUAAAAAUUCAAUUUUGUCGCCACUGUUACUGUUGAUUUGCUCAGAAUUUUCUAGCAGUGUCGAUGGAUUAAAUUUUUUUACAAUUUCUACUUUCUCUCUCUAUCAGCAUGUAAGCGUCCAAUAUUAUCUGUAUAUUUGACUGAAAUUUAUAGAAAUGGACGGUGUUGAUGAUUGGAAGAAGAAUCUGGAAGAGGAAAAGCUUCGAUUUUAAGGUUCCCUCUCUAUAAUCGCAUAUGCAAUUCAUUUUUGGGUUUGAUUGCGUCAAUCGUCAACACUUUUAUCUUUAUUUAUUUAUUUAUUUUUUAGUUUUUUCAAAAACCGUUUUGCAGAGAAAACCGAGAGGAAAUGGAUAGGGGGAGAAAUUUUCAUGAUUAUGUGUCGUAUUUUCUUGUGGUUUUUUGAAAAUGAAAAUUCCCUCUCAACUAAUGUCAAGUGCUUAUAAUAGGUUUAAUUCCGUGGGAGAAAUUAAUGAUGAACGAUUUGGCAUUCAGGAUUUUGAUUACUAUUAUUAUUAUUGUUGUUGUUUUAUUUUUUGUUUUUCUUAUAUUUUCUUGGUAUCCAAACAAGGUAUUAAGGUUUCAGAAUUUCAUUUCACAUAAAUUGGUUGAUGAUUGUUUUAUGUUAGGUGUAUGGUGUGGGUAUUAUGGUAGUUUAAUUAUUUGUUACAGGCAUUUGUGUGAAUGAAUGCACUGAAUGAUCAUCUAUGAAUUAGUUGUUAUGCUAUUGUGUUGCAACUUAUAUGAUUUUAAUCUGGAUAUAUAUGCAGGCCAUGUAAAAGUAAAAAAUUCAAUGGCAUAGAUUUUAAUCAUUUUUGAAUUUCUGGAAAGAAAGGUAGAAAAUUUGAUGUCUUAGCAGGUUCACAGUCAAUAGUUCAAAUAGUGCACCUAUCUUAUAUUUUCCAGCAGCUAAUGUUUAGUUCAUCUUAUUUUCACUUUGCGUGAUUAAUAGAAUUUAAUAUUCUUUAAAUGAAAUUUUAUUCAGGAAAUGUAAUUUUUGUCGAAACUAGCACAAUGGUUAGUGAGAGUGUGGUAUCUGAAAUAGCACAAAGUAGGCAAGAGGAGCAGAACAAUGAAACCUAGAAGGAGAGUGGGGCUUCAAAGCCCUAGCCGGAGAAGGAUUCAAAGUCUAGACAUAAUGAUCUCAUGCUCAAGUCUGUUGAUCCAAACAACCAAGGAUCUGUUUUCAGGCCCUGUUUCUGUGAUGUAUUUCUGAUUAUCUUAGAUUUCACCCGUAUAAGAGAAUGGAAAGCUAAAAAGUAGACAUGUGUAGAUUUUACUUAUGUGUUCCUUUUAAACAAAUGAGUAGCAAGGAAACCAAGGGUGGGCGGAGAGUCAUUGCUCGCAGAAUGGUGAAGGGUCAUUCAAGAAUAACCAUGUAGCAUCUUUGCCUCCAUCCAAGUUCUCUUAUGCAAUCAAAAUCUAAAAGCUUGUCGGCAUCGUUAGCCUAAGCAAAUAUGAACUUUUAUGUGGUGGUUUGGUCAACACUAACUAGGAACUCUUUUAGGUCUCCCUGAUUUGUGCUCUCAUCACAGAUUCUGCUCCUUUCAUGUGUAAAACAAUUUGUUAUUCAUAAUGAUGCGCAAGUGUUAAUUUUGAAUUGCUUUAUUGAAUUAAAUAACAUUUUUUAUUUUAUAAUUAGUUUGAGCUAAUCUGUUUUGAGAGCAAUGAGAGUAGAAUGCAGUUCUGGAUUUGAUGGUCCUGAUCUGCUGAGCAUUUAAGAAAAUAAGAAAGUAUUGGAAUGAUUGAUGCUUGAACAUGGCAUUUAUGCCUUUCAUUUUCCAAAUGGUUUCAGGCAACAGUUCUCCUUGUGAUUCCUGGACUUGGUAAAUUGGGUUAGGUUAAUGUCCAUUGGAACUAAACCAACCUAUACCCAACCAAAGCCACCCAAAAUUUUAGCCUAGCACUCGUGGAAUUAAAACUAGGAAUUUUCGGCAGUAGGCACCUAAGCUCCCUAAACUUUUGUGAAAAAUACCAUCAAGGCAUUCGACUUGUUUUUCUUCUUGGCUAUGAUUGCUCGUUCAACUAAUAUCACUUUUGAAACCAUCCUAGAAGUUUUUUCUUUUGAUCACCAAUGUUUAUCCUUCAUUUCAAAUGGAAAAUUUGUGUAAAAUCAAACUCUCAUUUUGCAGUGGAUAUAAUAUGGCACCUGAAUAUGCAAUGCCGGGGUAUUUAACCAAUAAAGCAGAUGUUUACAGUUUUGGAAUUGUUGCCUUGGAAAUUGCCAGUGGAAGAAGCAACAUUACUUAUAGGAUCUUCAAGGAUGAAUGGCUUCAUCGUCUAAACUACAAGCUGUAAAACCUGUUGAGAACCCAGAGUGAGUAUAAAUUUCCCAGCUUGAUCAAAGUGGAAGUGAAUAGGAUCAGAAUCAUGAACCCUUAACCAUGGCUCUUGAUUUAUAUAUAUAAAUAUAUAGUCAUCACAUCAUGGCAACUACAUUUUCCUAUCUUGGGCCGAAGUUAUAUUCUAAUUCAUGGCAUCCUUUGGACCAUUUUCCUUGUUCAUGACUUUAUAUGGAUAAAAUAGUCUCUCUUGAACAAAAAUUUGCUCAGACAAAUCAAAAUUGCCCCAGUACUACUAAUACUAACAUGUAUUGCUUCCUCUUCAACCUUAAACGAAGAAGCAGGUAGUAUAUGCUCUCUUCCUGAAUGACUUCAAUUAUACAAAUUGUGUGGUAUUACCAUAUUAGUAAUAAGACGUCAUCAAGGACUUGCCUGGACCACUCUGAGCAAACCCCUGUAUUAGCAUGCCUCUUUCUAGGUAGCAGGCUAGCUAAGCACAUCCCAUUCAUCACAUACCAAAUAUUUAACUCAUUCAAUGAGGUUGUGACAUUUCCAUGGCUUCAUUCAGCACAUGUUGAAACAAAUCAUAGUCUUAUUGCUUGAGUCCAUAUCGCUUGAUUUAAACACAAGCAAUUCUCUUUUAGGUUAUGUUUGGUUCCCGGAAAGUACAAAGGAAAGAAAAAAAAUGCUAAGGAAAAUGAUUUUCUCAUAUUUGGUUAUUCUAUAAAAUAUUCCAAAGAAAAUUAAAUAUAAUUAAAAUUAGUUAAGAAACUUAUUCAUUUUAAAAUUAUUUAAUCUUUAUAUUGAUGAGUUAAAAUAAAUAAAAUGAGUUUGAAAUAGCAAAUGAAAAAAAUUUAUGAUCUUUAAUUCUAUUUUUUAUUUUCCUUCACUUUUUCUUUCCUUUUACUUUUCCUUUCUAUUUUCUUUUAUUUGCAUUUUCCCUCAAAUUUUCCGAGAACCAAACAUAGCUUACUGUAUUUUCUUUGUUUCUUGAUUUCUAGGCACUCAUUAAAAGGGAAGGGGGAUUUGAUGGAUCUAGUCUACCCCAAAUUGGGCUUAGACUUCAACAAGGAAGAGAUCAUGGCGAUGAUGAUCAACAUAGCUCUCUUGUGCACAAACGUCUCUCCAACAUCCACGCUAGCUAUGUCAUCAGUUGUGAACAUGCUUGAUGGCAGAACUGCUAUUCAGGACAUUGUUUCUGAGUGCUCCUUGUGACGAUUUAAAGAUCAAGAAGAUGAAGAAGCAUUGUGACAUCUAAGAAAAGAGCACGGGUUUAGCAGUAGUGUGACAUCUUAUUCGUACUAACCUUAGGGUGCUAAAGGAUGUAAUAUUUAUAUUAAAUUAUUAAAUUAUUAAUAUUCUUUGUGUGAAUUUAUGGGCCUUAAUUGUUUUUAGCUAAAUUCAUCUUUUGUUUUUUUGCUUUUAUAUAUAUAUAUAUAUUGAUCCUAAUUCAUGUCAAGGUGGUGAUUCAUAUAAUUUAUAAUUUUAGUUUUUAGCAUUGAGGCACAACAAUGGUAAUAUGAUCAUUGAUGCUCUUUAGAUAGCAAUUUAGUACUAUUAGAAAAUAAAAUAAAAUUAAUUUUUUAAUUGAAAAUAAACUUUUGCCACAAUUAUUUUUUAUUUUUUUUAAUGGUGGAAUUUAAUCAUUAACCAUAAAUAUUUUUCAUAGUGACCUUUUACCAUGAAUUUUGUGUUCAUGGAAAAUUUUGAUUUUUGCCAUGAAUUGAUUUUGUGGAAAAAGGUGAGUGUUGCUACGUGUUUUAUUUUUUUGGUGAAAUAUAACAUAUUGCCACAAAUUUUAUUUUGUGGAAAAUUUUUGCCUUUUUGGCUAUAAAAUUAAUUUUUUAUUGUAAAAAAUAAUUACUCACAGACUUGUACCAACAACCUUGCCACAAAAAUUUUAGUGGACAAUUUUUUUUUGCCAUGAAAUGCUACUUUUUAAGUACAAAUUAGUACAUGGAAAAAGCCCACAUUUGUGGUAGUUUAAUGAGAAGAAAAAAUGACUAAAAUUAUUUUAAUGAGCAAAGAAGACUUCAAUCAAGGUAUAACUUUGUGAGUAAACAAAAUGUUGUAACAUAGUCUACACUUCAUAUAGAUAAACUAGUUCAUAUAAGUAUUUUCUCUUUAUUAUAGUAAUAUUUUUCUAUUUUUCUUUUAUUUUUAUAUGAACAAAUGUGAUUAUGUGGAGUAAAAUCUAUUUUCCCUAUAUAAUGAUUGUUAGGAAGUGUCUCGAAUUCCUAAUUAGUAUAAAUUCUUUUUUUGUAAAGAAUAUUAUAUAUAAUAUUUCUAGGUUGAUAUAUAGUGUAAUAUUAGACUUCCUUAUAGAAUAAGGAAGGUUUUUGAAAUAUCUCAAUAAAUAUUCUAGGUCUUGGGGAAAAAGUUAUGAGAUGGAGAUGGGCUUGUAAAGAUUAUACGAGGUGAAUAAAGAUGUGAGGAAGAACGGGAGGUACUCGGUGGAGUGAGAGGGCUCAUGGUAGGGUAGGGAUACGAAGAAUGGGGAAACAUGGGAUGUUUCAAGAACCUAAUAGUUGUAUCUGGUUAUAUCCUUUGUAAUGUUUUGGUUCUAUCUUUUGUAAUAUUCUUUAUUGUAUGGUGGAAUGAUUCUCUCUCAUGUGUGGAUGUAGGCGUGGUUGAUCGAACUACAUUAAAACCUCGUGUACCGUUUGUGUUGAUUAUUUUAUUUUUGUGUUCUUGAUUAACGAUGUUUGCAUCAAAGCUUCCGCCAUCAUAAUAAACUGGUAUUAGAGCUUUGAGUUUAAGAUUUCUGGAAAAGUAAAAGAUCACAGAGCACACAAGAUGAAAACAAAAGGAAUUUUCAGUUAAAGGUGGAGUCGAUUGCUCUCUCAUGGUGAUAUGAUACAAAAGCUUGUCUCAUGGAGAGUUUGAAGAUCGACUUCAUGGAAUUUGGUCCAAGGUGGAAAUUGUUAGGAAGUGUCACAAAUUCCUAAUCAGUAUAAAUUCUUUUUUUGUAAAGAAUAUUAUAUAGAAUAUUUCUAGGUUGAUAUAUAUUGUAAUAUUGAACUUCUUUAUAAAAUAAGGAAGGUUGUUGGAAAUAUGUCUAUAAAUAUUCUAGGUCAUGAGGGGAAAAAGUUAUGAGAUGGAGAUGAGCUCAUAAAAAUUAUACGAGUUAGAUAGAGAUGUGAGGAAGAACAGAAGGUACCCGGUGGAGCGAGAAGGCUUAUGGUAGGGUUAUGGUUUUGUCCUUUGUAAUGUUCUCUAUUGUAUAGUGGAAUGAUUCUCUCUCAUCCGUGGAUGUAGGCAUGGUUGACCGACCCACGUUAAAACCUCGUGUACCAUUUGUGUUGAUUAUUUUAUCUUUGUGUUCUUCAUUAACGAUGUUUGCAUCAAAGCUUCCACCGUUGUAACAAUGGUGUUAUUUAACAAUUUUCUUUUAAUUUAAAUUAGUGUAUUAUUAAUAUGAUGGAUUUGUAUUAUGAUAUAAAAAUAAUGUUUUGAUGACUAAGUAGAAACUUGUUUUAUCCAAUAUUAUAAAAAGAAAAAUCAUCUUAAUCAGAAAAUUAAAUAACCAAGUCAAGGUAUUUUUUUUUUCAUUUUUGUUUUAAAUUUUGGGGAAUGUUUUACUUGAACAUGGUUUAGCUUUUUGACUUGUUAACAUAGUUAAUACUAUAUAGAGGAUAAAGUUCCUUUAGUAUUGGUCAUGAUCAAACAAAAUAAAGACUGGUAUGAUUUCAAGUUUAAGGUCUUUUAGAUUUCGUAUAAAUUCAUCCUUAGAAAUUUUACUUAAACAUCAUGAGACUUUUUGACUUGACAAAACUUAACAACAUGGUCUACACUUUAUAUAAAAUAAAUAUUCUUUAUCAUGGGCUUAUUAUCAAUAUGACCUUGUGACAUGACAAAACUUUUACCAAGUGGUCUACACUUUAUAUAAUAUAAAUAUUCUUUAUCAUGGGCUUAUUAUCAAUAUGACCUUGUGACAUGACAAAACUUUUACAAAGUGGUCUACACUUCAUACAAAAUAAAUAUUCUUUAUUGUGGAUCAUGAUCAAGAAAAAUAUGGACUAUUAUGAUUUUAUUUUUAAAUGGUUAUUUAUUCUCCAUUUUUAUGUAAUUUAAAAUUUGUAUAAUAAUAAAAAUUUGGAAGAAACUAAUCUUUUACAACAUAAGGCGAUAUGAUUAUGUGCAUGUUUUUGAUUACUUGGACAUCAAAAAUUAAGUUUGUGGAUUGGAUCAAGUUAUUUUCUAAUACUAUUUUCCUUUAAAGUUAAAAAUGAUUUCUUAAGUUUUCAAACAUAUAUAUAUAUAUAUAUAUAUAUAAUAUAAUUUAUUAUGCAUGUAUAAGAGAACAAAUGGGAUGCAAUUAAAUAAUCGUAAUGAUGCUACUUUGGCACAUGUAGAUUUGAAUUAACUUUCUUUAUUUUGAUGUUUGCUUUUACGAAUUAAUCAAGAUUAGAUGUAGUAAUUGAAUUAUGUGUCCUUCAAUUUAUAAUAUUUUUUUUUAUAAUUAUAUAUAAUAAAUCUUUAAUUUUAUAAUAUUAUUAUUCAAGUUAGUCUUAUCUCAUUUAUAAUAAUUUGAGAACAUUAAACUUAUCUACUAUUAUUACUUAAGUAGGCAACAUUUUCCAUAGAUUCAAAUAUUUGAAAAGAUAUCACUACUUCAAUAAGGUUAUAAAGUUUUUUUAUAUUAUGAAUAAUGGGAUGGUUGUUAACUUAGUUGCUUUAUGAUGUUAUAUGUUUUGGACCUAAUAAUGGUUACAUUCAAUAACAGAUUAUAACUUUUUCCAUGGGUCAUUCACAAUGAGAGAAGACAUAGAUCAAUAUUACAUAAAUUUUUUGACUUCUAUAGAAAUUUAUUGUCCUUAUUAAUUUUUUGAUAAGACAUUUUACACUUUUUAGAAAAAUAAACUAGUUUUUUCUAAAUGAAAAAAAAAAUAGUAAAUGUUUUUAUCAUUUUCUAAGUGGCCAAUAAAUUUCCAUGACUUAUUUAACUAAGUGAAGUAAAAAAAAAAAAAUUGUCAACCUUCUUUUAACUAUUCUGCAUAAAUAGAUUUUUAUUGAAAUUCCUUGAUAGCUUCUACUUAUUAGACUUUAGCAUCUUAUGACUAAAAUAAAAGUUUUGAAAUUUUUAAGUUUUGAGUAUUAGCCGAGAAGAUUUUCUAUUUUUUUAUAUUUUACUUUAGCUAUUCUUCAUUUAUUAUUAUGUAAAAACUCUCUAAUAAUUAUAAAAAGCUUGGCAAAAUAAGAUCCAAGUAGAAUAUAUUCUUAUAUUUCCACCAUUUUAUCUAUUUGCAAGAAAAACAAUCAUAUGGGAUUGAGACUUUUCUAAAUAGCAAAACUAAUAAUGUUCUUUUCUCUUUUUAUAAUACUCCUUUUAUUUUUCAAGAAAAUCAAUGAGUUAAUAUAUAAGCAAAUUUUUAUUCUUCAAAUUAAGCAUAUACUUGUUAUUUAAAAAAAAAAAAAAGGAACUAUGAGCCAAAUAAGGUCUAUCAAAGUUUCUUUAAAUUUCAUCUAAUAUUUUAUUUAAAACAUAUACAACUUAUUUAUUUUAAUAUUUAGGCAAAGAAUAUUUUUAUUUAAUAUGUAAAAGAACUUAAAUUCAAAAAAUAACUUUCUCAAAGGUUUCUUUUUUCUUGGUGUAAACAUAUCAUAUUCCAAGCUUGGAGCUAAAAGAGUAUUUAGAAUGCCUUUUAACUUUGUAGUGGUUUAAUUAUAAGUAUAUAUAUUAUAUAAAACUCUUUUAAUGGUCACCAAAUACCUAUGGACAUUAAAAAAAGUUAGAUCAAAGAAAAUUAUACUUACAAUCCACGAUUAUGCUUGAUGUAAAGUAGUUCAUUGUUUUUAAGUCUCAUACGAAAUAGUUUGUGCAAUAAAAUAGUUUUUUAAGGGACAAAAAGUAAUUGAUGUUGUUUUUUCGAUAAUUCUCCUUAUUUAUUUUUUGUAAGAUAAAAUUAAUAGCCUAAUCAUUAUAGAACUUUCUUUUAUACCAUAAUGAGUUGUAUAAUUUUCAAUACUAUUUUGGUAUGUUGAAUGUCCUAAGCCAAGGUCUCCCAAAGUUUUAAAACAAAUGUAGUUUUCUAACAUGGAAAUGAAUUUUGAUUAUAUAUAUAUAUGGAUACCCCACUCAUGCCUUUUUCUUUUCUCCUAAUCAAGGUCUUCUAAAGUUUAAAACAAAUGUACUUUUUAAAUUGUAAAUCAAUUUAGAUUGCUUUUCUUCUUAAAUCUAUUGGCACGAAGUCAAGAUCUUUGAAAAUUUAAUUAUAUUCCACAUCUUAAUACUACAUUGCCACUAUUUUCCCCUUGAAGUCUAGGUCUUCCAAAGUUUAAAACUAUAUACCUCAUUGCCAUUUUUUUUCGUCUAAGUCUAGGUCUUCCAAAGUUUAAAACUAUAUGCCCCAUUGCCAUUUUUUUCCACUUCAGGUCAAGUCUUCCAAAAUUUAAGACUAUAUAUAUAAAGUUAAAUUAUAUUUCAAGCUUUAAUACCCCACUCACACAUUUUUUUGUCCUCCUAGUCAAGGUCUUCUAAAGUUUAAAACAAAUGUAUUUUUUAACUAGUAAAUCAAUUUAGAUUACUUUUCUUCUUAAAUCUAUUGGCACGAAGUCAAGGUCUUUGAAAAUUUAAUUAUAUUCCACAUCUUAAUACUACAUUGCCACUUUUUUUCCCUUCAAGUCUAGGUCUUCCAAAGUUUAAAACUAUAUACAUCAUUGCCAUUUUUUUCAACCAAGUCUAGGUCUUCCAAAGUUUAAAACUAUAUGCCCUAUUGCCUUUUUUUUCCUCUUUAGGUCCAGGUCUUCCAAAAUUUAAGACUAUAUAUAUAAAGUUAAAUUAUAUUUCAAGCUUUAAUACCCCUUUCACACAUUUUUUGUCCUCCUAGUCAAGGUCUUCUAAAGUUCAAAACAAAUGUAUUUUUUAACUAGUAAAUCAAUUUAGAUUACUUUUCUUCUUAAAUCUAUUAGCACGAAGUCAAGGUCUUGAAAAAUUUAAUUAUAUUCCACAUCUGAAUACUACAUUGCCACUUUUUUUCCCUCCAAGUCUAGGUCUUCCAAAGUUUAAAACUAUAUACCUCAUUGCCAUUUUUUUUCGUCUAAGUCUAGGUCUUCCAAAGUUUAAAACUAUAUGCCCCAUUGCCAUUUUUUUCCACUUCAAGUCUAGGUCUUCCAAAAUUUAAGACUAUAUAUAUAAAGUUAAAUUAUAUUUCAAGCUUUAAUACCCCACUCACACAUUUUUUGUCCUCCUAGUCAAGGUCUUCUAAAGUUUAAAACAAAUGUAUUUUGUAACUAGUAAAUCAAUUUAGAUUACUUUUCUUCUUAAAUCUAUUGGCACAGAGUCAAGGUCUUUGAAAAUUUAAUUAUAUUCCACAUUUGAAUACUACAUUGCCACUUUUUUUUCCCUCCAAGUCUAGGUCUUCCAAAGUUUAAAACUAUAUGCCCCAUUGCCAUUUUUUUCCACUUCAGGUCUAGGUCUUCUAAAAUUUAAGACUAUAUAUAUAAAGUUAAUUAUAUUUCAAACCUGAAUACAUCACUCACACCUUUUUUUUCCCCUCCUAGUCAAGGUCUUUUAAAGUCUAAAACAAAUGUAUUUUUUAACUUGUAAAUCAAUUUCGAUUAUUUUUCUUCUUAAACCUAUUAGCAUAUAGUCAAGGUCUUCGAAAAUUUAAUUAUAUUCCACAUCUGAAUACCCCAUUGCCACAUUUUUUUUUCUCCAUUUCCACUUCUAUUGACAUUUCAUUGAUUGGAAGUCAAUGGGUCGAGGUACUAAACCAGCUUCCAAUUUUAACUAAGUUGCAUCUAACUCAUUGUCUACUCCAUAGCUCAAUUCUAGUAACUAUCCUAUAUGAAUAAAGUUUCACUGAAAUUUCGUAUCAGUAUCUAUUUACAAGAUUUCAGCAUCUCGUGAUUGGAAUAAUAGUUUUUGAAAAAUUUAAGUUUUGAGUAUUAGAUGAGAAGAUUUUCAAUUCUUGCUAUUCUUCAUUUAAUAUAAUGUAAAACUCGUUAAUGAUUAUAAAAUGUUUGGCAAAACAAGAUUCAAAAGUGGAAUCUAUCCUUAAACCUUAAAUAAUUUUUUUUUUAAAGACUAUUUUUAUAAACUGAAAAACUAAUAAUAAUCUUUUCUCUUCAAUAGCACUCCUUUUACAUUGUACGAUAAAACUAAUGAGCUAAUCUAUAAGCACAUUUUUAAUCAAGCAUAUAAUUGUUAAUAUACAUUUUUCUAUUUUAAUAUUAUGAAAAAAUAAUGUUAUUUCGUAUGCAAAAGAACUUUAAUUAAAAAAAUCAUUUUCUUAAGGUUUUGCUAUAAACAUAUCACAUUGUAAACACAACCCUUGGAGUUAGAGGAGUAUUUAAGUUUAAAAUAUUACUUGAUUUAGAAUCUAUUUGUUUAUUAAGAAAAUUUGAAAAAUAUAGCUAUAUGCAAAGGAGAAAUAAGGGAAUCAAAAUUCAUUUUAGGCCAACUUUGGUCAAUUAUUUUCUAGUACAACUCAUUUUGAACCGGUUUUCAUCUAUUAUUUUUUGGUACUCACUGGUCAAUUUUAAAGUUUCAAAUUAUUUAUAAAAAAUAUUAUACUCACUAACAAAUUGAACACAAGUCUUACUUCAUUUGAAGUCCAUUUAUCUAUUGUGCAAAUUUGUAAAAUUAUAGUUAUAUGCAUAGAAGAAACAAGAGUUAUUUUAAACUAAAGUCCAUGAAUUUCUUGUGGUGAUUAAGUUGCUUUUUGAGUCCCAAAUUCUUUCCUGAAAGUAAUAAACUUUUAAAAAAAAAUCCAAACCAAGUAAGUAUUGCUUGAUUUGAAGUCUAUUUAUCUAGUAAAAAAAGAAAAGAAAAUUAUAGUCUUACACAAAAAAUAAACAAUAGAGUCAUUAUAUACCAAUUUUGUCUAUAAAUUUAUGUUAUUAACUGAGUACGUGAGUUUGAAAUUAUUUUUAAAAAUUAUUAGAUUCAAUAAAGGAUUGGAGCAUUAGGUCUAGCUAGAUUUACAUUUUAUUUUCCUAGUUAAAAAAUUCAUAAAAAUAUAGUCGUGUAAUGAAGAAACUAGAAAAGUUAUUCAUAAUAAAUUUUGGUUCAUGAAUUUUUUUAAUAUUAAUUGGAUUAGCUUUGAGUUUGAUGACUGUUUAGUAUUAAUUGGAUUGAUUUUGAGUUUCAAAUUAUUUUUAAAAAUGAAUAAAUCCUAUAUAUUAAUAUUACUUGAGUUGGAAUCUAUUUGCUUAAAAAAAAAAAUUAGAUAAGUUAAAGGAAAUAAAAAAUUAUGUGUAAUUAAGAGAAAUAUCAUAUUUGAUGAUUUUUUUGGUAUUGAUUGGUGAAGAGAAAAUGAAAAAAGAAAGAGAAAAUGAAAAAUUAUUUUUUUAUUUCUUUUAUGUUUUCUUUUGCUUUUAAAAACAAGUGAAAAAUAAUUUUUAUUUGUUUUUCGGAAAUUGUUCUCUAUUUAACUUUCAUUUUAAAAAUUGUUUUCAAACAAAAGGCCAAAUAAUGCUAUAAAUUUUUAAAUUACACCACCAAACAAUCUUAUAGAUUUAAUAGUAUUUUUGUAUGCUAAAUGACCUAAGCUCUUUAUUUAUUCUUGAUAACUUGAUUUACAUUUUUUGUUUCUUCCAAUUAAGAUUUUUUUUGCGUCUAGAAUGAGUAUAGUUUUUUUAAUUCUUAAAUGAAUUUUCAUGUUUAUCUUAAUCUUAUUGACCUUGACUUAGUGCCAAGUUAUGGCUUUUCUAUCCACACUUUUUUUUUUCUUUUUUUUUUCGUUUUUGUCCAAGUCAAGUUCUUCAAUCAAGACACUUGGUUUCUAUGGUGACACAAGGACUGAGGUCAUUUUCCACUCAAUUAGAAUUUAAUAUGAUACAACUCAUAUAAUACUAAAAAAGAAAAAAAGUGAGGCUAUCAUUGUCAUUACUUUAAACCACCUUCUAUAAAAGCAAGGGAAACGAGAAAGAAGUUUCAAGUAAGGUUCAACUCCACUAAUAUUGAUAAAUUAUUUUCAAUAUGCUUUUCUAUAUAAUCCUCUUAACUCUCUUACAGGUGAUUUCGGUUUUCGACAAUCAAAGUAAGGUUGAUCUAUGAGAUGAUCAUAACUGUUUUUCUUAGUAUAUAUUUACAUAUGCUAUUAGUAGAUCUUUUUAGACUGGUGAUGUUUGUUAAAUGUGUUGUUUAAAUAAGUUUUUCAUGUUGAUGCAAUUGUCUUUUAAGUUUUGUCAAUUUUUUCAUUUUUAUGUUGGAAAUAAAAUUUUAAUUCAAUUCAAGAAAAUGCUGACCACAUAUUGGAAUUCAAUUUUUACAGGUGCUCUCUACUAGAGAACUGAAUAUUUACAUGGAGAGAAUUUCAAUUCUUGGUUUCAGUUUAUCCAUUCUCUAUUUCAUAACAACAGAACUUGCAUGUAGUGGUCAUACUCAUAUUGGCAACAAUGUUCAAUCUGUACAAAAGGCGCUUAUUGACUUCAAAAGCAGUCUCAAAGAUCCCAACAAUCGGCUUUCAUCAUGGAAAGGAAGCAAUUAUUGCUCUUGGAAAGGAAUUAGUUGCGAAAAUGGCACAGGAUUUGUCAUUUCAAUUGAUCUUCAUAACCCUUAUCCUCGUGAGAAUGUAUAUGAGAACUGGAGCUCUAUGACCUUAAGUGGAGAAAUUAGUCAUUUGUUGAUAAAACUCAAGUCUUUGAAAUAUCUAGAUUUGAGUUUCAACUCAUUCAAAGCCAUGUCAGUUCCUCAAUUCUUUGGGUCUCUGAAUAAUUUAAUAUAUCUAAACUUAUCGAGUGCUGGGUUUAGUGGAUCAAUUCCUUCAAAUUUAAGGAAUCUUUCUGGCUUGCAAUAUCUCGGUCUUUCUUCUGAGUAUCUUGAUGAUAUUGAUUUUGAAUAUUGUAAUGAUUUAUUUGUUGAAAAUAUUGAAUGGAUGACUGGCCUUGUUUCCUUGAAGUAUCUUGGUAUGAAUUAUGUUAACCUUUCAUUGGUAGGAAGUCGGUGGGUUGAGGUGGCAAACAAGCUUCCAAGUUUAACUGAGUUGCAUCUAGGUGGUUGUAGCCUCUUUGGCUCAUUUCCAUCUCCAAGCUUUGCUAAUUUUACUUCACUUGUUGUUAUAGAUAUCAACAACAACCAAUUUGAUUCCAAGUUUCCUGAAUGGCUUUUAAAUGUUAGCAACCUUGUAUCCAUUGAUAUAAGUCAGAAUCUAUUACAUGGGAGAAUUCCACUUGGUCUUGGUGGGCUACCCAAUUUUCAUUACUUAGAUCUAUCUGGGAAUUUGAAUCUCAGGGGCAAUAUCUCUCAACUGUUGAGGAAGAGUUGGAAAAAGAUAGAAGUUCUAAAUUUGGCUCAUAAUGAAUUUUAUGGUAAGCUUCUUUGUGUUAUUAGAAAAAUUGACAUUUCUUUGUUGAUAUGUUAAUGUAUAGUUAAGUAUAGUUCACAAUUGUGUAUAUAAGUGUUGAAUAUGUAUCAAUAUACAAAUAUCAAAUAAUCACUAUAUUUGAUUCACUUGUUAGAAAAAAAAUUCUUCUUAUUUAAAAAAUAUAUUAUUUUGAAUUUUAAAUUUCUUAGAAGGAAAUUUAGUUUCUUUUUUUUAUCUACGAAAAAGUAUCUAGUUUAACAAUUUAUGCUUAUGAAGUAUCAAUGUUAUUUAACAAUUUUUUUGUGUAAAGGUAAGUGAUUAUAUAAAGUGUUUGUCUACAUAACUAUUAAAAAAAAAUUGUAUCUUAUAGGAAUAUGAUUUUUUUUUUUAAUCCUUAACUUCCGUUUUUACUUUAAAUUAGUUGAUGAAUGAUUUAUUAUUUAUUAUUGUCAAUAAUUAUACAUUUGUUAUAUUAAUUAUUUUUUGAAUGUUUUCGUUUCAUUUUGAUAUAACUCUCAUUUUUUCUUUAGUUUUGCUCCUGAGGAUAUAAUAAUUUGAGCAUGUACUAAAUGGAAUAUUUAUAAGAUGGUUGAAUUGAUAUAUGAUGUGCUUUGUCACUUAUGUUUUAAUAUUUUACUAAAUUUUGUUAUUAAAUGUUUUCCAUUUUUUACUCUCAUGGUAUACCUUCUUUUAAACUAUUCUAUUAAAAUUUUAUUCUAAAUUGUUAUGUUUAUUUAAAGUACUUCAUGUUCCUAUAAAAUUUAAAUAAUUAUAAUUUACUAUUCACUUAUAUUUGAAAAGCUUGUAACUAAUAAAUUAAAAAAAUCACAUUGUAUUAAAAUUUAAAAAUUUGUUUUCUUUGUAUCUCCAAAAAGAAUUAAAUUCCUAUUUUGACAAUUUAUGUUUGUUAAGAAUCUUUAUCAUCAAACACCCUUCAAUCAUCUCCUACAUAUUUUCAAUUUCUAUUUUCUCUCACUAAUUCAUCUAUUAUAUCAAAAUAUUAUACUAGGUUGAACUCCUACUUUUCUCUAGCUUUGUUCUGUAAUGGUACGUUCUACUUUCAAAAUAUUAUAUCUUUGUAGAUAGGAAUAAUUUUCUAUUCAAAUUUUCUAGGAGUUUGUAAAUAAAUAGAAUAACCACUUGGAAUUAAAAUAAUUGUUUAGAAAAACAUUUUUUUUUUUGCAUUGCUAAAAUACAAAUUAUAUUUUUGGUAACUUGGAUUUAUUAAAAAAAAAUAUAAUUACUUUCUCAAUCUUUUGGUUUAUAUUUUCAUUUUCUAUAUUUUCUCAUUGAACUAUCACUUUGUUCAAAUUAUUUUAGUUUAUUGUUAAAGAAACAAUUAAUGUCAAUGAUUAAUCCUACUAGUCUUAUAACAGUGAAAUCAAUUACUUUAUUUCAUGGUUAUCAUAAAAGAAAAAAAAAGUACCUAAAAAAAAAUCCAAUAUUUUUUAUUACUUUUUCUUUAAAGUAAUUGUUCAUGAAUUAAUUUGUUUUGUUAUUUACUAUUUUUAUUAUUUGUUUGUUACAUAAUUUUAAUUAGUAUAUAUUUUUAUUUUUGGUCAUUGCAGGUUCAAUUCCAAGCUCCAUUGGAAAUUUUUGCAACUUAAAAUAUCUGGAUUUGAGUUUUAAUCUCUUGAAUGGAAGUUUACCUAAGAUUAUCAAAGGACUUGAAACCUGCAAUUCUAAAAGUCCUUUGCCUAAUUUGACGGAAUUAUCCUUGUAUGACAAUCAAUUGAUGGGAAAAUUGCCGAAUUGGUUGGGUGAGCUUAAAAAUCUCAAGGCACUCGAUUUAUCCAAUAACAAAUUUGAAGGUCCCAUCCCUGCUUCUUUAGGGACAUUGCAACACUUGGAGUUUCUGUCUCUUCUAGAGAAUGAGUUGAAUGGAAGUCUCCUAGAUAAUAUUGGACGACUUUCUCAACUGCAAUACUUGGAUGUUUCUUUCAAUCAUUUGAGUGGAAGUCUCCCGGAUAGUAUUGGACAACUUUCUCAACUGCAAGACUUGGAUGUUUCUUCCAAUCAUUUGAGUGGAAGUCUCCCAGAUAGUAUUGGACAACUUUCUCAACUGCAAGACUUGGAUGUUUCUUCCAAUCAUUUGAGUGGAAGUCUCCCAAAUAGUAUUGGACAACUUUCUCAACUACAAGACUUGGAUGUUUCUUCCAAUCAUUUGAGUGGAAGUCUCUCUGAACAACAUUUUUUGAAGCUGAGUAAGUUGGAGUAUUUACAGAUGGGUUCCAAUUCUUUCUAUUUGAAUGUUAGUCCCAAUUGGGUUCCCCCUUUCCAGGUGAAUGAACUUGAUAUGGGUUCAUGCCACUUGGGUCCUUCAUUUCCGACUUGGCUUCAAUCUCAAAAGAACCUCGAGUAUCUUGAUUUCUCAAAUGACAGCAUUUCAAGUCCCAUUCCAAACUGGUUUUGGAAUAUUUCUUUUAAUCUGCAACAGUUGAAUCUUUCUCACAAUCAAUUACAAGGUCAACUACCAAAUUCAUUAAAAUUUUCUAUUGGCGGUGGUGCUUACAUCGAUUUCAGUUCCAACCUCUUUGAAGGACCUAUUCCUUUUUCAAUCAAAGGGGUCCCUUUUCUAGAUCUCUCCCAUAAUAAAUUUUUUGGCUUUUUUUCACCGAGCAGAGGUGAAUCCAUGUUAGGCUUGCGUGCCCUUCUGCUUUCAGAUAAUCAAAUAACAGGAUUCAUCCCUCUAAACAUAGGAAAAUCCAUGCCAAACUUGUCUUAUCUUUCUCUUUCAAGUAAUCAAAUAACAGGGGCCAUCCCAUCAAACAUAGGCGAAUCCUUACCCAACUUGGUUUUCCUUUCUCUCUCGGGUAAUUGAAUAACAGGGACCAUCCCAGAUUCCAUAGGACGCAUCACCAAUCUUAAAGUCAUUGAUUUUUCAAGGAAUAAUUUGACUGGAAGCAUUCCUUCUACCAUAAAUAAUUGCUCUAGGCUUUUUGUUCUAGACCUUGGAAACAACAAUUUGUUUGGGAUGCUACCAAAGUCGUUGGGUCAGUUACAAUUGCUUCAAUCACUGCACUUGAACCACAACAAGCUUUCAGGAGAGUUCCCCUCAUCUUGGCAAAAUUUAACAGGUUUGGAUGUCCUUGAUCUCAGUUACAACAGAUNNNNNNNNNNNNNNNNNNNNNNNNNNNNNNNNNNNNNNNNNNNNNNNNNNNNNNNNNNNNNNNNNNNNNNNNNNNNNNNNNNNNNNNNNNNNNNNNNNNNAGUGGCUGAAGAGAUAGGAAGGGAGGAACCAAGGUCGUAUAAGGAGGCGAUGGAAAGUAAAGACUCGAAAAAGUGGCUAAGUUCCAUGGAUGACGAGAUGGCAUCAUUGAGAAAGAAUCAAACUUGGGAGCUUGUGCCUUUGCCUGAAGGAGUGAAACCUGUUGAUUGUAAAUGGCUUUUCAAAAUAAAGGAUGGGAUUUCAGAGGAUGAACCACCUAAGUACAAAUCAAGGCUUGUGGCGAAGGGUUUUUCACAAAAGGAGGGGAUUGACUACAAUGAAGUGUUCUCACCUAUUGUGAAGCAUAAAUCUAUUCGGGUCCUCUUAGCGAUGGUAAGCAUUUUUAACUUGGAGCUUGAUCAACUUGAUGUUAAAACUGCUUUUCUGCAUGGAAAUCUAGAAGAGGAAAUUUAUAUGAAACAACCUGAGGGAUUUGUUGAUUCUGAAAAGCCUGAUCAUGUGUGUUUUUUGAAGAAGUCCUUGUAUGGGUUGAAGCAAUCUCCUAGGCAAUGGUACAAGAGGUUUGAUGCAUUUAUGGUUUCUCAUGAGUUUAUGCGAAAUCAGUAUGAUAGCUGUGUUUACUUUAAAACAUUGCCUGAUGGUUCAUUUAUUUAUCUAUUGCUAUAUGUGGAUGACAUGUUGAUUGCAGCUAAGAAUCGAGCUGAAAUUAACAAACUGAAACAGUUGUUGAGUAGUGAGUUUGAGAUGAAAGAUUUGGGUGCAGCUAAGAAAAUAUUGGGGAUGGAGAUUUGGAGAGACAAAGAUGCAGGCUUGUUGUAUGUCUCACAGCAAAAAUACAUUGAGAAGUUAAUGCAGGCUUUCCAUAUGGAUCACUCUAAACCGGUGAGUACUCCAUUAGCUCAACAUUUUAAAUUUGAUCAUAGUACAUUGCCUAGCACUGAUGAGGAGGUGGAGUACAUGAAGAGUGUGCCUUACUCUAGUGUGGUUGGUAGUUUAAUGUAUGCUAUGGUGUGCACUAGACCAGAUCUUGCUUUUGCUGUUAGUGUUGUAAGUAGAUUCAUGAGUAACCCUGGUAAAGCUCACUGGGAAGCCGUCAAGUGGAUUAUGCGAUAUUUGAAGGGUUCAAGUAGUGUAUGCUUGGUGUAUGGGAAUGGUGAUGUAUCUAGUGGAUUGGUUGGGUUUACUGAUUCUGAUCAUGGAGGAGAUCUCAUGAAGAGAAGAUCAUUGACCUGUUAUAUUUUCACUCUGUUUGGGUGUGCUAUUAGUUGGAGAGCUUCUUUGCAGCCAAUAGUUGCUUUGUCUACAACUGAAGCGGAAUACAUGUCCUUGACAGAAGGGGUGAAAGAAGGUAUGUGGUUAAAUGGUUUUCUUGGCAGCUUGGGUUUGAAUUUGUCUAAGCCGGUUAUCUAUUGUGAUAGUCAAAGUGCUUUGUGUUUGGCAAAGAAUCCUGUUUAUCAUGAGAGGACAAAACAUAUUGAUGUUAGGUUGAACUUUAUUCGUGAUGUGAUCGAAGAAAAGUUAUUCUCCAUUGAGAAGGUUGCCACGGAAGUUAAUCCUGCAGAUAUGUUGACUAAGCCAAUUACUAUUGAAAAGUUCAAGCAUAGCUUGGACUGGUGAAUGUUUGCAAAGUUUGAGCUUGAGGCCCUUCGGGGCGUAGCAGAUGAGUAGCUCUAUAUUCUGAAUUGAAAGAAGAAAGAAAACUCAAUUCAAGGUGGAGAAUUGUUGAGUUGAAUUGAUUUUUUCUUUGUAAUAUGUUGAAGCUAUCCUUGUAAAACAUGGGCUAAGGCUAAAUGGGCCGAGUCUUAUUGUUAAAUGGGUUUUAGGGUUAGGGUUGGUAUAUGAUAACUAGAACUCUUGUAAACUCUAUAAAUAGGUGGCUUGGGAAAACGUAAAAAGGGACCGGAAGGUGCAUGAGCCGUCUUUCAAUAGUGAAAUAGAAUUGCUCGCUCUCUGCCCGUGGACGUAGAUCACUUUGAUCGAACCACGUAAAUCUUGUGUGAUUGUUUUCUUCCAUUAUUCCGCGAUUCUAUUGCUUGCUUGCUUGACAAUAACUUUAAGCAAGUUUACUGCCAAUCUUCCUUAAGAUUACUCCAAAAAGCAUCCUAUCACUCUGUUUGGAAGGUGACAAAAUUUUUUAAUCAUCAUGACACACAAUUUGAGACCAUAAGAAACACUAAGCAUAAUACCAAGUCAGGGUAAGCUUAAAAAAUUUUAUUUUCUUUAUUUAUAUAUUUCCACCACCUCGGCAAAGUGUUUCUCGGGAGCAUCAAUGCAUAAAAUUACCACCCGCAAUAGAGAUCCCAAAUCAUCACUCCCUGAGCUCAUAAUAGCCUGUCAAGAAGGUAUAUAUGUGUCAACUUUCAGUAAAAGAAAAUGACUAGAACAGAUCUGUUAACUAACCAUAUAUAAAAACUGAACCUAGUAGAUAGGAACUUGGUAGUUUUGUUUAUAAUGCUUAAAAGUUGCUCUGAGCUGGAAGAAAUUCCUGGUGCUGAGUAUCCACAUAACUUCAUCACGAUCCGAUUGCUUCUUUUCAAUGGCUUCAUGUAGCUUAGCAGCCUCAGAUUUUGCAACAUUCAAAUCCACCAAUUCUCUAUCAUACCUGUAGGAGCUCACCAAGCCCAGUAGAAGUUGUGCAUGACCCACAUUGCAAGUCAUUCAUAGAAAUGCAAAUGGUGUGCAUAAAGCAUAAGUUUAAACCCUAAAACUGCAACAUAUUUUCUUAAUUAUUAAUAGGACAAAAUAAAGAAAUGACCAUGAUAUCACAAAUCCAUAUAUAUUUUGACUUGUAUAUCUAAGAGAGUGUACCACCUUUUGGAGAGACGAUGAAACUUUGGAUGUGAUGGCUUCUUCAAGGGAACAAUCAAAUAAAGAGUAGUAGGCCUGCCUGACUGCCAUUAGAUGGUUAGGAGAUGAUGCGCAUGCUAUCUCGACAAUGACUUGCAGUUGAGUGAUGCCCGCCUUCCCCCUCUUCAAGGUCUUCUCUACCAACUUGGCAUCCCUUUCAGGCGGUUCUUCCAUCCAAUAGGACAUUGCUUUCUAUUAUGAAACAUUUAAUACCUAUUAUGGUCCCAUAUGCAUGGGGUUUCACAUGGGGAAGACUAGCUUCUGCGAAUUAAAUAUUUUAGGCUCAUAAUCAUCAUUAGAUGAUGCCAAUGUAGAUAUGCAUGAAGGGGACAAUCUUUUACCAGAAAUACUCUCCUAUACUCAACUAGGGAUUGAACCCUAAUCUGCCUUUAAAGAAAAAUAAUGAAGGCAUAGACAGAUGCAAAAUGGUAUGGGAUUUAAGGUCAGGCUGUAUAGAACACCAUUCCUUCCUUCAAUUUUUGACAAGAAUAAAGGACUGCCACUUUCAGAGAGAGAGAGAGAGAACUCAAUUUCUGCGAAGCUAACUAGCCCAAUGCCCUUUAUAUCUAUUGAUUACUACCCAAAAAGUGCUAUUUUACACCUUUAAUGCAUUAUGUUUUAAGCACUUUUGUGUAGUAGUUCUCCAUCUUUAGUCCAAUUGGCAUGUUAAGGACCUAGCAAUAUCUUCUAAUCAUAUUUGUGGCUAGUUUUAAUGUUUUGACAGCUUUUUGGAUCAUUAAGACAAGUCAAGCAAAGGAGAGAAGCAAAGAGAAGCAAAGUGAAAAAAAUCAAGAUGUAGCAGCUGCAGUCUUCUUUCACACUUUUGGAGCACUUCCCGAAGUCCAUUUUUUACAUACUAUAUACCAUUUCAAAGAUCUGGAAGUCAAGAAUCCAACGCUUCAAACCGUGUACGAUUUGGAGCUGAAAUGAGGAAGAUAUGGCCUUCGGAAGCCAACUGCUCCAGGUUAUGCGAAAAUUUCGCAUUCCACAAGAGGUUAUGCGAAAUUCGCAUAACAUUCGCAUAUGGUUCGCAUAACCCAUGCGUGUUGCGAAUUUUACUCUGCCCUUUGCCGACUCCACUUUAGAUAUUUUCCUUUGUAUUUUGUGAUGUAAUUUCCUUUAUUAUCCUUGUAACUAACCAAUCAUAAGCUUUGGCUUUUGUAAAGACUUUAUAAGGGGUGGAAAUCACCUCUUGGAAUAUAUGGAAUACGUAUUACGUUUUUACACUGAGAAUUUUACAGAGCUCUCUCGUUCUCUUUGCUCUUUACUAUUUUCUUUUUCUUGGAAGCCAAACAACCUCUAAGGAUGUUUGCCCGGAGGAUGAGAGGCUAAACUUUCGGUUUCUUGGAGUAAAGGAAGCUAGGUGAAAAGUCCAGAUGAAAAGGUGGAAAGCUUCCAUGCAUUAAAUUCAGGUAGUUGGAAUUCAUAAAUGGCUUCUAAAUCCAAAGUUUUGCUUUAAACCCCUUAGAAUCACUUUGAAUGAUCAAUACAUGGUAAGCUUCAGGUCUUUAUGGAUGCUUAUUGUUAGAUUCAUAUUAGUCCAUUAGUUAUCAUGUACGAGUCAUUGGAAAGUGAUUCAAGGUGAAGACCCAUAGUAUCUUAAGCCAUUAAUGGACCUUGACUACCAUUUCUAUUGAUCUUUUAUGGAUUAAAUCUUCAUUGUCAAACCUAUACCGGUUCGGAAAAUAACUAUAGGUUAAAUCCCCAAUGCGAGGAGAAAAAUCCGGAAUUUUCCACUUUCUAUUCUAAACUUGAUCCUAGCAACCCUUAGCUCCGGGAGACUUUCUUUCUUCCAUUUUUAAUUAGUUUAUGUUAGUUUAGUUUCAAACACUUUCAAAACAAAUUUUAUUUUCUUUUAAACUUUAAGUUUUUGAUUAAGGAAAUCAUUAAAUACAAUUUCUAAUUUUGAAUAUAUCACUGGUAGAAUGAAAACCCAUCCCGGAGUUCGACCCUAGAGCCACUAUACUAUAGUAGCUUUGCUACAUUAGCAUGAGGUCAUAGGUUUUAUAAAUGUUUUUGAUUAAAUGACCCAUUUGGAGUUACACGCGAAUCAUCUAUGAUAAUAUAUGUCAACUGUCAUCAACAAAUUAGCAUGUGCUUCACAAUAUGAUACAUAAAACAUCAAAAUCUUCAUCUUAAACAGCCUUGUUUAGGAAUAUUUAGAAGAUAUAUAUAUUUAGCUGUAAAUAUCUCUUUAUUAUCUAGUUGUUAGGAAAAUAUCCGUUUCCUUAUUUCUAGGAGUUAGUUUCAAUUGUACCAAAAAUAGUGGGACUAAUUAGCUUAUAAAGGCCCGAUUGUACUCUUAUUAUUAUGUAUGAAUGAAAUAUAUAUUUCAUUAAACAACUUGUAGUGUUUUAGCUUGUAUUUCUCUUAUUGUUAAUUUUCAUGGUAUGAGAGCUUUUGAAGCUAANNNNNNNNNNNNNNNNNNNNNNNNNNNNNNNNNNNNNNNNNNNNNNNNNNNNNNNNNNNNNNNNNNNNNNNNNNNNNNNNNNNNNNNNNNNNNNNNNNNNAGCAAAGUGAAAAAAAUCAAGAUGUAGCAGCUGCAGUCUUCUUUCACACUUUUGGAGCACUUCCCGAAGUCCAUUUUUUACAUACUAUAUACCAUUUCAAAGAUCUGGAAGUCAAGAAUCCAACGCUUCAAACCGUGUACGAUUUGGAGCUGAAAUGAGGAAGAUAUGGCCUUCGGAAGCCAACUGCUCCAGGUUAUGCGAAAAUUUCGCAUUCCACAAGAGGUUAUGCGAAAUUCGCAUAACAUUCGCAUAUGGUUCGCAUAACCCAUGCGUGUUGCGAAUUUUACUCUGCCCUUUGCCGACUCCACUUUAGAUAUUUUCCUUUGUAUUUUGUGAUGUAAUUUCCUUUAUUAUCCUUGUAACUAACCAAUCAUAAGCUUUGGCUUUUGUAAAGACUUUAUAAGGGGUGGAAAUCACCUCUUGGAAUAUAUGGAAUACGUAUUACGUUUUUACACUGAGAAUUUUACAGAGCUCUCUCGUUCUCUUUGCUCUUUACUAUUUUCUUUUUCUUGGAAGCCAAACAACCUCUAAGGAUGUUUGCCCGGAGGAUGAGAGGCUAAACUUUCGGUUUCUUGGAGUAAAGGAAGCUAGGUGAAAAGUCCAGAUGAAAAGGUGGAAAGCUUCCAUGCAUUAAAUUCAGGUAGUUGGAAUUCAUAAAUGGCUUCUAAAUCCAAAGUUUUGCUUUAAACCCCUUAGAAUCACUUUGAAUGAUCAAUACAUGGUAAGCUUCAGGUCUUUAUGGAUGCUUAUUGUUAGAUUCAUAUUAGUCCAUUAGUUAUCAUGUACGAGUCAUUGGAAAGUGAUUCAAGGUGAAGACCCAUAGUAUCUUAAGCCAUUAAUGGACCUUGACUACCAUUUCUAUUGAUCUUUUAUGGAUUAAAUCUUCAUUGUCAAACCUAUACCGGUUCGGAAAAUAACUAUAGGUUAAAUCCCCAAUGCGAGGAGAAAAAUCCGGAAUUUUCCACUUUCUAUUCUAAACUUGAUCCUAGCAACCCUUAGCUCCGGGAGACUUUCUUUCUUCCAUUUUUAAUUAGUUUAUGUUAGUUUAGUUUCAAACACUUUCAAAACAAAUUUUAUUUUCUUUUAAACUUUAAGUUUUUGAUUAAGGAAAUCAUUAAAUACAAUUUCUAAUUUUGAAUAUAUCACUGGUAGAAUGAAAACCCAUCCCGGAGUUCGACCCUAGAGCCACUAUACUAUAGUAGCUUUGCUACAUUAGCAUGAGGUCAUAGGUUUUAUAAAUGUUUUUGAUUAAAUGACCCAUUUGGAGUUACACGCGAAUCAUCUAUGAUAAUAUAUGUCAACUGUCAUCAACAAAUUAGCAUGUGCUUCACAAUAUGAUACAUAAAACAUCAAAAUCUUCAUCUUAAACAGCCUUGUUUAGGAAUAUUUAGAAGAUAUAUAUAUUUAGCUGUAAAUAUCUCUUUAUUAUCUAGUUGUUAGGAAAAUAUCCGUUUCCUUAUUUCUAGGAGUUAGUUUCAAUUGUACCAAAAAUAGUGGGACUAAUUAGCUUAUAAAGGCCCGAUUGUACUCUUAUUAUUAUGUAUGAAUGAAAUAUAUAUUUCAUUAAACAACUUGUAGUGUUUUAGCUUGUAUUUCUCUUAUUGUUAAUUUUCAUGGUAUGAGAGCUUUUGAAGCUAACAAUUAGUUAAGGAAAACAAUCGAUGACAGGAGCAAGCAAUGAUGAUGACUCUUAGCCAACCUCUAAAAUUAUUCCCACUACCUUUCUGACAAUCUGACCUUGCAAAUCAUGACACAUAAAUUGAACAUAAAUUUUUUUCUUUAAUGGUUGUGAUCCGUUCAAAUAGUAAUUUGUUGUAAAGGAAAGAUUGGCUACCUUGAUGGUACCAUGUCCCAGCCAAAGAGUGACGAUCCCUUAUUCUCCAAUUGGGAUGCUCAAAACUCAAUGGUUAUAGCUUGGUUAAUACACUCAAUGGAAGACAAGAUUGGAGACACAUACCUAUUUUAUCCGACCACCAAAGGAAUCUAGGAUGCUAUAAAUUUGGCUUACUUAGACCCUGAAUAUUCGUCUCAAAUGCUUGAGCUACGAAACAAAGCCUGUGACCUACAAUAGGGUGAGAUAGACGUGACUUAAUAUUUCAAUUCCUUGACCAAAUUGUGACAGGAAUUAGAUUUCUUCAACAAUUGCUAGUGGCGUGACCCUAAAAAUGUGGUGAUGUAUUGGAAGAUGAAAAAGAAAGACUGAGUCUACAAUUUCCUUGGUAGUCUUAACAAGAAUCUAGAUGGACUGAAGUGAGACUUGCUGGAAUGAAACCAUUUCCGUCCAUUGAAGAAGCCUUUGCAACAGUUCAACAUGAAGAAACUCGCAAAUGUGUUAUACUAGGAAAUUCAUCAGCUCAUAUCAUGGAAAAUUCUACUCUUGUUGUUUGUCGAUCAAACACCCAAAAGAAUGGAUAGUUGUGGUGUGAUCAUUGUCAAAAACCACAUCAUACUAGAGAUAAUUGCUGAGAAAUCCAUGGUAAACAAGUUGAUUAGGUACCAAGGAGUGCAAGAGGACGAUGUGACACAAAAGGUCUCCAUAUAAGUCAAGAGCUAGAAACGUCAAAAGACACAUGCACUUGAUGUCACUCUCACCAAAGAACAAAUGGAGUAUCUCAACAAAAUAAUAUAUGGAAAUCAGAUAUCUAGUACCUUACUAAUGGUGUAAAAAGGUUUUCCCCUAACUACUUUCAGUGGUUUGACUAGGAAAAGUGAACUAUGAAUCAUAAACUCUGGGGCUACAAAUCACAUGAUGGGUUGUGAGAAAUUAUUCUCAUCUUAUACUCCAUGCUCCAGGAAUCAGAGAGUCAAAUUUGCAAAUGGAUCCUAUAUGACUAGCUGGAAUUGGCAACAUUGAGAUAAGUCCUAUGAUCUCACUUAAGGAAGUUCUUCAUGUGUCAAUUUUGUCUUCCAAUUUAAUUUCUAUUUGUAAAAUUACUAAAGAGUUGAAUUGUUUGAUAAAAUUUUCUCCUACCGAUUGUGUUGUUUUUGACGACCGAAUCUUGGGAAGGACGGUUGGCAAUGCUAAGGAGUUUAACGGAUUAUACCACUUUGAGAAGAAUUUUUUGGUGAAUGGUCAAGCUCAUAAUGCGGUGUGCAAUCUCUCUUUCUCUCCUGUGAUCAAAUAAUGUUUUUCCAUCGUGGCCUAGGACAUCCAAAUUUCUUGUAUUUAAUACAUCUUUUUCCCUUAUUGUUUAAAAAUAAUGACUCAUUUCAAUUCGAAGUUUGCCAAUUAGCAAAAUACAAGCAUGGUUCCUAUUUUUCUCAUUUAUAUCGUGCUUCAAAACCUUUUGCAUUGAUUCAUAACAAUAUUUGGGGCCCCCCUCGUGUCUGAGAGUCUUACUAACAAAUGUUGGCUUAUUACAUUUAUUGAUGACCAUACUCGAUUGUGUUGGGUUUAUCUUUUGAAAGAUAAAUUUGAAACAAAAAAAAUAAAAAAUAAAAAGUCUUUAAAAACUUCCAUAGUUUGGUAAAAACUCAAUACAACAAAGACAUCAAGGUUUUUCAUACUGAUAAUAAUACAAAAUACUUAAAUUCUAUACUGAAUGAGUUUCUUAUCAAACAUGACAUAAUUCAUUAAAGUUCUUACAUCAACACUUCACAACAAAAUGGGAUUUCAGAAAGAAAAAAUUGUCAUUUGUUAGAAGUUGCUAGGUCGUUAUUGUUUCAAUGUGAUGUUCCAAAAUAUCUUUAGGGGGAUGUCAUUCUUAUUGCAUGUUAUUUAAUAAAUUGCAUGUUGAGUUGUGUUUUAAAUUACAAAACUCCAUUAAACUAUCUUCAAGAGUUCUAUCCAAAGUCUUGCAUGUUCUCAAGUCUUGAUCUCAAAAUUUUUGGGUGUUUAGAGUUUGUCCACAAUCAUGAUCCAUCCUGUUCAAAAUUGGAUCCUAAGAAUACUAGUGUAUUUCCUUAGAUAUUCAACCACUCAAAGAGGAUAUAGGUGUUAUUCCGGUGAGAAACGAAAAUAUUUCAUAUCUCUAAAUGUAACAUUUUUUUUAAGACACUCAUUUUUUUUAGAAAAAAUUCAGGGGGAGAAUUCAAGUGGAAAAUUUUUUAACAAAAAGAAUUUUUUGGAAGGAAAUUUGGAGAGAACUAGAUCAUGUAUGCCUCACCUAAUUUCGAACUUUGUGGCAUAUGAACCCUUAUCUUCCUUAGUUUAGUCACUUUGCACUAAUCUUUUAGAUGAAGCUAUUCGAAAGAAUGUGGAAGAGGCAUUGAAGAAUCCAACUUGGAAACAGGCUAUCAUGGAGGAAAUGGAAGCCCUAGAAUAAAUAGAACAUGGGACAUAGUUCAAAAUCCUAAAGAGAAAAUACCAGUGGAAUCUAAAUGGGUAUUCACCAUCAAAUACAAAGUUGAUAGAUUAAUUGAACGAUACAAAGUAAGGCUUGUAGCGAAGGGGUAUACUCAGAUCUAUGGGAUUGAUUAUUAUAAAAUAUUUGCUCCUGUUAUCAAAUUAAACAUUGUUAGAGUUCUUUUCUCACUUACAACAAAUCUAGACUGGACUCCCCAAUAGAUGAAUGUGAAAAACACAUUCCUUAAUGGCAAAUUAGAGGAAGAAGUUUAUAUAAACCUUUCGGUUAGAUUUGACAAGGAAAGCAAAGUUGGAAAAGUUUGCAAACUCAGAAAGUCACUCUAUGGCUUGAAACAAUCUCCUCAUGCAUGGUUCAAUCGGUUUUCAAAGUCUCUACAUUAUCAAGGAUACACUCAAGCUAACUUAGACCAUAUGUUAUUUUAUAAGCAUAAAAAUGAGAAGGUAACUAUUCUCACAGUUUAUGUGGAUGAUAUCAUCUUAACUAGUAAUGACAAGGGAGAAAGAGAACAAUUAAAGAAAAAACUAGCUUUGGAGUUUAAGAUGAAGGAUCUAGGAAGCUUACAUUAUUUUCUCGAAAUGGAAGUUGCAAGGAGCCAUGAGGGGAUCUCAAUAUCUCAAAGGAAGUAUGUUUUAGAUCUCUUAAAGAAAACAAGUAUGAUUGGUUGCAAACCGACUAAUACACCACUGGAUCCAAGUACCAAGUUGAGUACCAAAUCAGCUCAAGGACCUGUGAAUAAAGGAACAUACCAUAGAUUGGUGGGAAAACUCAUUUAUUUAUCUCAUACUAGGUCGGAUAUUGCCUUUACAAUAAGUUAUGUUAGCCAGUUCAUGCAUGCACCAUUAGGUGAGCAUAUGGAAGCAAUUCACAAAAUCUUGAGAUAUAUAAAAGGAACUUUUGGAAGAAGCAUUAAUUGAAGUCUAUACUAAUGCAGACUAGGUAGGUUUAAUGGAUGAUUGGAGGUCUACUUUAGGUUAUUACUCAUUGACUUGGGGAAACCUUGUAACAUGGAGAAGUAAGAAGCAAAUUAUGGUUGCUAGGAGUAGUACCAAAGUAGAACUAAGAGCAAUCGCACAUGCAAUAUGUAAAAUUUUGUGGCUAGAAAUGAUACUUAAAGAGUUAAAAGUUAUGGUCAAGGAGUCAAUGGAAGUUUACUGUGACAAUAAAGCAACCAUAAAUAUUUCACAUAGUCCAGUUCAUCAUGAUAGAACUCAGCAUGUUGAAGUUGAUCGUCGCCUCUUCAAGGAAAAGAUUGAUAAAGGAGUUGUUUGCAUAACUUAUAUUCCUACAACCAAGUAGGUUGCUGAUGUGUUGACAAAAGGCCUAAGUAGGCCACUAUUUGAAAAGUUGAUAGAUAAGCUGGGGAUGUACAAUUUCUACAAUCCAGCUUAAAGAGUGUAGGAAUAUUUAGAAAAUUUAUAUAUUCAGUUGUAAAUAUCUCUUUAUUUUUUGGUUGUUAGGAAAAUAUUUGUAUCCUUAAUUCUAAUAGUUAGAUUCAGUAGUAUCCAAAAGCCUAUAAAGGCCAGAUUGUACUCUUAUUAUUAUGUAUGAAUGAAAUAUAUAUUUCAUUAAAGAACUUGCAGUGUUUUGAUUGUAUUUCUCCUAUUAUUAGUUUUCAUUAAUCAAUGUAUCCUUAAUUCUAUUUUUUAUAUAUGAGAAUGAUCAUCAUGUAUCUGGAGUCUACCUAGAUGUGUCCCCAUUUAAUUGAUUACCUAUGCUUGAUAUCGUUUUUCAUGCUAUGGAGCCAUCUAAUUUCACCUAACUUAAUUCCUAACAGCUAGCGAUGGUUGAAGGUUAAAAAUUUUUUGUUCAUAAAAUUAAAACAGAGAAGUAUAUGAAAACAAAGUACCCCAAGUACACCAGAGAGUGUAGAUUGAAGACAAUGAAUGAUGGAUUCUUUAAAAAGCUGUUGAUAAGUCUCUUUGAUCUUCUUCCUUUGAACUGCUUUUCUGUGUCCCAAUAUCCAUAUUAUCACUUCCUGGUCCACUCCCCACCCUACGUACAAACAAGCAUAUAAAUAAAUAAUAAUCAUAAUAAUAAAGUAGUUUGCUAUAUAUAUAUAUCAUUCUGAACUAUAUACCUUCUAACACUGUUGAUGAAAAAUGAAAAAACCUAAGGAAGAAGAUGAAGAGAAAUGAAAGAAAGAAGAAAAAGAAGAGGGAUAGAAACCUUGUAAAGCUACUCUAAGUCUCUCACUGUCUUGGGUUGGAGAAGGGACUACAUCAGGCAGUCUAAGUGUGGCCAUUUUUCAUAUUUUUCUUUACCAAAAUGAGAACCACUCUUUAUAGAGAAAAGCUUGUGUUAUUCAUUUACUUAUUUGUUCUCCUUUUUGAAAAAGAUCCAUUGUGUCAACCCCUUCUUUCCUCUCCCUUUCUCUCCCUUCUUUAUUCUUAUUCUUUUUCUAUUUCUUUUUUGUUUUUUCUUUUUCACUUCUGAUGGGAAACCAACAAGUAAUCUUCAUCGCAAUGUAAACAACUCAUCAAAUGAAAUCCUUAAAAGAGGAUUCCCCAUAUGAGAUUCAUAUCUUACGAUUACCUUUUAUUUUACAAGAGCAUUAUAUGAUUUGUAGGAGAUGCCAUUGCUGACAUCAUGGAAACAAUUUGAAGGUUUGCAUAUCCAAAACGAAAGGAUGGGAGAAAAAUGUAUAAAAAAAUAUAAAAAUUACAAAUAUGAUGAUAAUUUAAGAAAAAUAUUAUUUGAAAUUAAUACUUGUUGGACGACAAUAUAAAUGGAGGAAAAAUGUAUUCCAUCUAUUUUUUCGUCAUUUUUUAUGUGCUAAGUCAAAUAAAUUAAUUUGCCCAUUAACAUACAAAUGCCCAAAAUUUCUAAUGUCAAAAGUUACAAUUUAUAAAUUUUUCUAUUCAAUAGAAAAUAAAAUAAUUACUUUACAAAGAAAGUAAUGUCAAAAGUUGGCAUUCAUCAAACAAGUUGAAUGAGCCUUCACAAAGAAAGAAGGGCCCAUUUGAGAGACUUUUGAAGGUCGGUGUAUCAAAGCAAUUUCUUACUUUAUUAAUUUCAUUUCAUGCUUAAUAAAUUCACUAUGUGAUUGAUGUGGUGAUAAUUAUAAAGCAUAUAAAAUCUAGAAGGAAUUAGUCUUACAUUUGACGUGCAGGUUAAGGAAGAAUCGGUCAAAUCCGAUCAGAUCAAGCUUGGUUGGAAAAUCUCUACUGCAAUAUGAGGUUGGUGAGACUUGAAUUGACUUCCAAAUGGACCAACUUUCACUUUAUAGCUUUAUUGUAUAUGUUUUCACUUAAUAUAAUGACUAGGCCUAACCCCAUUUGGGAUUUGUGAAAUCCAAUUGAAGUUGAAAGAGAAUUGGACAAAUCAACAUAGUAUACACAUGUGACAGAGCAUGAUAAAAGUAUAUUGCUUCCCUUUAAAAGGGAGAAAAAUAUCGUUUGGGGACUGAAAAAAAAAAAAAAAAAGAAUGCAUAGCUUUGAAAUAGUUGCAACUUAAGUUUCCAAAUCAAAUUGCUUUUGAAGAUGCAUGAGAAGUGAAUUUAUUAUGCAGAUAAUGAUGUGGAAAGGGGAAAUUGUUUAUAGUUUCAAUUAUAUUAGUUUUAUAAAAUUAUAAAAGAAAAAAAAAAUCUUUUCUUUUCUUAUAGAUUUUUGGAAAAAAAAAUCCAACCUAGGGAGACCAAUAUUUUGCACAAUUCUAGAGAGUAAUUCUAUGCAAAAUAGAGUAGUAGAAACAAAUGUAAUGUCUGAAUCAAGAGCAUUUUUAUGCAAAUAUAAUUAAGUUCGGAGAUAAGUUAUUCAAAUGAUGGCUCUUAGAACAAGUCAUAGGGUAUGAUGUUGAAAGCAAAAAAAGAUUUGGUCUACUAUCGCCAAAUGCUAAAUGAUUUUCAAAUAAAGUGGUCAAAACUUGAUUUGACAAGUGGUAUCACAAUUAAAGGUCAUGUGAGCAUCAUGGUGAGGGAGGAAUUAUUGAGGUGCAAUAAUACCACUCUUAAGCUCAAAAAUGGGUCAACUAAAUCAUGAUUCUUAAAAUAGACGUGUAUAGUGUGAUGGAAUCAUAGAAAUCUUUCAAGCAACCUAGGGGUUUGAGGUAGGUUGAUGUUACAUUUUAGUUCUUAUUCUAAGUUGUUUGUUUCAAGGAUAUUUUUACAUGAUUUAAGUCUUCCAAGUAAAUAGAUCCAAGAUAGAUUAACAUUUUCGAAGGGUAAACUUUUUGGAAAAGUAAAAGGUGAUGGGAUUUAUGGGAGUGCAAUAAUGUAUGGGAAGAUUGUUUCCACCUUUCCUUUGGCUUAGAAAAUCUUUAAGGGUCCCAAAGAAUGUUAUGUAAAUCAAAACGGGUAUCAUAAAUCUAGGUGCAUGAAGCUAUUAUUUAAUUUACACACUUUCAAAUUUAUGAUUUUUAAAAAUAAAGUAAAAUAAAACUCGUUGCCGUUUGAAAGGUAUUAUAGCUACUUUUACAUGCACUUUAUUCCUUUUUCUUUUUAUCAUUACUAAAGCUAUAUGUAGGAGGUAUAGAGUUACUUAGUUCCCAAGCAAACGAGUUAAUAAUGGAAUAAAUAUAGACAUUAGGAUUAAUGCUCUUUCUUCUAACCCAAGAAAAGAAAGCUUAGGUCUUCUAACUUUGAAAAAGUGAAUAUGAACGCUCGGAAGGACCAUGGAACCCUCAUUAGGAUUAAUUAGGUCUUUCUACAAUUGCUCCAUAGUGCUUUAAUGAUAAUUUUUUUAAAAAAAUAGUUUAGUUAUGAAUACUAACCAAUGUUUACCCUAUAAUUCCACUAGCAAGCAAUAUGUCCUAGGAAAUAUAAUUGGACAAUCAUUUUCAAAGAAAAUACUAAGAACUAAGGGGAGAAGAAAAAAAUAAGAAAGGAUUGUAGUCGUAAUUGAAUUAUAAAAACUCUAAAAUAAAUUUUACAAAUAAAUAAGUAAUUUAAUUAAAGUAAUACAACACCUAAAGAUACUUUUCAUUAUUUAAAAGAAAAAAAACAAUUUUCAUGUGGUAAGACUUUAUCUAUAUGGUACCAAAAUCAAAUCAACAAUUUAUCAUUAACAUGGUCUUGUAUUGGAGAAUAAAUUCAAUACGAACUAUAUUCCACAACCUAAAAUAAAUUUCUAACAACUUCAUGAAAAUAUCAACAAAUUGAAUUGAUUGGUUGAAGGAAAAUAAAAUAUGGGAAUUAAACUACGUUAAAUCUUUUUGUAUACAAAAUGAAAAUAAAAAUUUUAUGAUUUUGGAUUAAUGUCAUUGAAGCAAGAUUAGACAGUCCAAGGUGCCUUUGCUUGGAAUACCUUUGAUUCUAAUUAAGGAGUCUUAUGAUAGUACAGGGUGAGAAGACCCCUUGGUUUGGAUGAAAUUUUAUUUUAGUAUUUGGCUAAAAUUAAUUUUCAAUUUCUAAAAAAUCAAUAUUGUUACAUUCUAUACAACAUACAUUUCUUAAAAUUUGGUGUAAUCUUUGGUUUUUGUGAACUUAAUAUGUAUGUCGAGGGCAAGUGUGGACAGUCCCACUUGAAGUUAAUUAAGAAUCAAAACCAUAGUAUUGACCAUGGAUUUUUUUUUUUUUAUAAAGGUUAAAGCCACUUGUUAUAAUACAAGGUGAUAACAUUGAUUUUUUUUAAAUAUUUUAAAAGAAAUUAAGGACUUUGGUUCACCAAAAUUCAAUAAAAUUUGUUGUCACAUUCUAUUACAUACACAUACCAAUAAUCAAGAUAUCCAACACAACGUUAAAAGAUUAAAUUGUAAAGUUGCUCCGUAUAACUACAUUAUAUUUUUGGCCAUGAUUCAUUUAACUAUAAAUAAAAUCUUUCUAUCAUAUAAAUAGAUAUAGGGUUCAAGAUCAUAAAAUGAAAAUGAAUUUCACUUAUUGAAAGAUUAAGAAUAUAGACCUCUAGAUGUUAUAUUUUGAUUUCUUUUAUAAAAAACAAAAGCAUUUAAUUAUUAAUUAGAUAAAGAACCAUGAAAAUGUCUUCCCCAUUGUAAUAAUCUUGUAACACUUUAUUAAAAGCAAGAAAUAUAUUACAACCAUCAAUUCCUCCUAGAAGUAGAAUAUUCUCAAAAAAGAGAUCAAAUAUUUUGUUUACCUCUCUAUCAAUGAUUAGGCCACUUGAUUAACUAAGUAAAGAAUCCGAUAAAAGAAGCAUCACAUCUCUAAGGUAAUAUCAAAGACUUAGGAAGACCUCUCAUAUAACUUUAAUAGAACUCUUUUUUCUUCUUUAUUAAAGAUAUUACCAUCCUCGAAUCUUCAUCUACUAGAAUAUUAGAGAGAUCCUCAACUUUUGCUAUUGUUUAGCCUUCCAAUAAGGCUAAAGUCUCUUACUCAAUGGCUAGUUCCUCUCCAACAUAUUUCAAGAGGGUUAGUACUAGUGUUCCAACAUGAUUCAUGGUAUGCACAUAGGAGUUCGCUCAAAUAUCACACAAGUUGUCGACCAAGAGGAUGAAGAAAAAUAGAAUAAAUUCCACAAUGACUUAAAGGUGCUUAGUCUAUCAUAAAAACUUUUCUAAUUAUAUUUCUUUUUAGUCCAUAAUAAGAUAGUACUACCAAUGCACCAAAUAACUUUAUACAUCUAGGAAAGCUUCCAAAGAAUUGAUCAAAAGUAGUUAGCAUCUCCACCACACUUCUAGUUGGAACUCAAUCAAUCCCUAUAAGUUUCAACAUUCAAUGCCAUAAUGUCAAUACCGCAUCAAGCAAUGUAGACAUAGAUGAUCCAUUAAUUCCCUUCUCUUCUUAUGCGUAACACAUCACUCUGAGUUGUGGUUCUUGUAAAGUCUCCUCUUCUAUUGCAAUUCUUUUGUAUUAACCUUCUAUUUACCACCUGCCAUGUGAAGGGCUUGACUUUUGAAUGAGUUUGAGAUUUUUAGACAAUUUGUAAGGGCAAAGAGAUCAUUCAAGUUGAUGAGACCAAAAGAGCUUUAAUUAAAAAAGAAUGAAUUGAAGUGGAGGAUAUCAAGAAUCGAACCCUCUCAUAAGGAAAAGUGAAUGACAAAUAUGGAUUGACUAAAAUCAACAUCAAAAGACUAAAUUAAUUAUUCUAUUUCAUGGUCCAAAAGGCUUCGAAGGUUGGAAAUGGCUGCUUAAUUAGUUUGAUUAGCUGAUUAAGACCAUAUAUAUACUUGGGUUUACGGUCAAACUUUUAAGAUAAACGUUCAGAAGGUUCUUAUAAUUCAACUUUUGUGGUACAAUGGGGAAUUAGGGAAAUAUAUCCCGAAUAAAGCCAGUUUUCCGUGAUUUAGAACAACAGCAGACACUUGGUCAAGAGAAUCAAAUUUUUGCUCCAAUUAAGGCCAUCAAGAAGCUUUUGUAAACCCCUGAUGCAUCACGUCUAACUACAUCAUCGAGACUGGUGUUGUUCAUUUUGAAGUACUCUCCUUUGAUCUUCGUCAUAUCAAUUUCAGCCUGAGUCACAAUUGCUCUUGUCAAUGAAUCUUCAUCUUUAGUCCAGUACCCAACAGUGGAGGCUCUAAUGACCUGAUGAUGGAUCAUGCAAUAGAGAAAGAUAAUGCUCAUGAGAAGCUUACAUAUUAAGCUUUAAUAAAAGAAAUACGAACUUUCAUGGAAGAAGAAAGUCUUCCAUUGGAAUAGUUUCAGACCUUCUUGAACAUCCAAUGGCAUGCAUUAAAGCAACUUCAACAAACAUUUAGAAGUUUCUUAUGUGCACACCUGAAUUAAACUCACAAAUGGCAAAACCACAUUAAUCUUGCUGUGUUUGGUUUGCUGAGACAAAAAAGGGAAGAGAAGAGAAAUUGUUUUAGCCUAACAAUAGUUUGGAACAAGACUAACAACUUGGAUUUCUAAGGUCCAAAGUUUUUCUUCUCUUCCCUUAACUAUUAUUCCAUCACCUCAGCAAAAUGUUUCUCUGGGGAAACAAUGCACAAAAUUACUCCUCGCAAUAUAGAGCCCAAAUCACCAUUUCCACUGCUAUUAAUGGCCUGUCAAAAAUUUAUAAAAGUUAAUUUUUAGUAUUAAAAAAAAAAAAAGAAAAGAAAGGAAUUAAUCUACCUAUUGAUUGUCUAGAAGUCAAACCUGAUCAAUAGCAACUUCGUAGCUUUGCUUGUAGCACACAAAAGUUGCUUUAAGUUGAAAGAAAUUCCUUGUUGUCAGUAUCCACACAACAUCAUCAUGAUCUAAUUGGUUCUUUUCAAUGGCUUCAUGUAGCUUAGCUACCUCAGAUUUUGCAAGAUUAAAGUCCACCAAUUCUCUAUCAUGCCUAUAUGAGCUCACUAGACCCACUAGAAGUUAUGCAUCACCCACAAUACAAGUCAAUCUAGGGAGUGAAAACGUAUAAUGCUAGAAGAUUAUAACAAUGGUAUAUAUAAAUUAUACCAACCCAUUUCCUCCCAUAUAAAUAGUAUCUGCUUUGUACUUAAUGAAUACACAUGGUUUUAAAACGUGUCUACACUAAGAGGAGUCUACUAUAUAUAUAAUGUCUAAAAAAUUUUCCUAUGUUGGAUGUGUGGUAUUAUAAUCACCCUACCACCUUGGCAGACACAAUGUCCUUGUUAUGUCAUUUGUACGAGUUUGUGAAGCCAAAUAAAUGGACAUCCCUUGUAGAAUCAGACAAACAAAGUCACACACCAGGAUUAAGAGUCACCUUUGAUAUUAGUCCGUAACAUGCUCCCAUAUACAUAUUGUUUGCUCUGGGUUUAAUAAGUUAUUGGAGCUUUAAAACACAUUUAUACCAUUAAGAGAAUUUCAAUUUAUAUAUAUAGCAUUGGGAACUUUUUCAUAUGUGGGAAAUCACAUAAAUAGCACACAUAAUGGUCCUUGUAUCAUGUGCAUACCUCCUAUGUAUUAGGAUUAAGCUUAUUUUGACAUGCUUUUCUGUUGAUGAAAAGUCAUGAAUUUGAAAUGGUAAGCCCAAUAUUAAUGAUAAGUAAUCAUGGUGAAAUGAUACUGUCAAAGCUGUAACUUAAAUUAGUUUGAUAUAAUAUUAUUGACUCAAAUUAAUUAAUAGUCUAACAUGAUAUAUCACCUUUUGGAGAGAAGUUGAGAUGUUGGAUGUGAUGUCUUCUUCCAGAGAGCAUUCGUAUAAAGAGUAGUAAGCCUGCCUCACUGCCAUUAGAUGGUCCGGGGAUGAUGCACAUGCUAUCUCUACCAAUACCUGCAACUGAUUUAUUUUCUUCCUCUUCCUUUUCAAGGCAUUGUUUGCCAAUAUCGCAUCCCUUUCGGGGGCUUCAUUCAUCCACAAGAUCAUUGCUGUCUGUUAUCAAACAUUUAUUAUAUAGUUUUGAAUAACUCAUUCAUCAAUUUGUACAUGACUAAGAACUAUGUAAAAAUUUGAACCAUUUAUAGGUCCAUAAUUAUUGAUAAGUUGUAUCAAUCUAGAGAUCCAAGGGACAAUAAGAUUUGUCAGAGGGAAAGAAAACUAAUCUAUUUUUAAGAGCAUUUCAUUUUAUUAGAAUGAUAGUCAUAAAUCUACCAUAUUAUCUGACCAGCUCCAUUCAAAUUAUUUAUUAGACAUGUAAUUAGAACCAUUAAUUGCCAUUCAUAUAGCUCAUGUAUAUAACCAAAAUCAAUCAUCCUCCAUAAAAUUGGGGCUAAGGUAUGAACACAAAGUACCUUGAGCACACCAGAAAGUUUAGAUUGAAGACGAUGGAUGAUGGACUCUUUAUAAAGCUGUUGAUAAGUGUCUUUGAUCUGCUUCCUUUGGAUUCCAUUCCUGUGUCCCAAUAUCCAUACUAUCACUUUUUCAUCCACUCCUCUCCCUACCCAUAUCCACAGAACCAAGAAAAAAGUAACCAAGAGGAUUUGAACUUCAUACAAUCAUUACAUUAUGUUGGUCUAUAUGCAUAAAAAAACUGAACAGAUAAAUGAAGGCAGAAGAAAAGAAAAAGAAGAAAGACCUUGUAAAGCUAGACUUAAGUCUCUCACUAUCUUGGGCUGGAGAAGGAAUUGAAUCAAGUAGUCUAAGUGAAGCCAUUCUCAUGUUUUUGCUUUGGGAAAGCUAGAAACAGACUCAACUUUAUAUAGAAAAGAUGCUAUUGGGUCACCUUUAGGAAAGAAGCAUUUGUGUCAACACCUUUUCCCUCGUCUUUUUUCAUGGGAAAUACUGGAAGCUCAAAUAUUAAUCUAUAAUGCAAUGCUACUCUCUACCAAUUCUUUCAAGUGGAUCUUUAAGGAGUAUAUGGUAUAUAAACUCUUUGUUUUAUAAAGAGAAAUUUUACACUAUCAGAGGAGCAAUUCAGUAGUUUCACUUGGAUCUUAAAAACUGUGAGAAGAAAGAAAUAUGUUAGGUGUUACUACUUACUGGAAUGGUUAUUUCUUUAAGCUUAUUUGCUUUUUUCAUUGCAUUAGAACCUCAUUAGUCUAUUUCCAACAUCAACUGAUUAAUGUUGGUUGGACCUGUUAUGUGGAGCUACCUUUACCUCCUAUUAGCUUAGGCUUUAGGGAGUGUAUAUGGUCUCGCAUCAUUUGGUUUCAAAGCGAGAUUGGGAAUCAGCAAUUGAAACAUAAAUAUGGGCAUUAACAAUUUACUAAGGAUUUUUGACAUAGGACAAACAAAAGUCCAAUGCCCCACAUUGGCUGGCUGCUAACAUUGAUUGAGCCUUAUUUGCGGAGGUACUCUACCUUUCAUUAGCUUAGAGGUUCCGUAUCAUAUUCACUUGGAUAUAUAAAACACUUCAAUUACAAAUAUAAAAAAUUUUAUAAUGUUAAUAAUCAAACACCUUUUAGUGUUGAUGUGAGAUUCUCUAGAAAAGUAGUAAUGGUUAAACUAUAACAAAAUUUUGCGGAAUAAGAUAUGAGAAUAGGCACUUUAACGAUGUUGUAAUUAAUUUUUUAUGAAAAACCUAUACAUAUAAUUAAGAAAGGGCUUCUAGAGGAUUCUUUCCAAGUAUAUUAGACUCAUUUCACAAGCUAUUUCAAGAUCUAGUAUUUAUAACCAUCAAAUAACUUUUUAUAUCACCAACUUUAUAAAAAAGAAAAGGUGAAUGGAUAUCAUAAAGGUGCAAUGAGGACAAGAUAAUUCCAUUUUCCUUUUCCCUUCAUUGGGUUGGAAGGGAAUAUUUAAUUUAGCUUGAAAAAAAAAAAAAAAAAAAAAAAACUCUUUAAGGACCCAUAAAAGAACAUCUAAAGCAAUGUUUAUGGUUAAUUUUACAAGUCUUUGUUCUGACAAACUGGGUGCAUAAACUUUUUGUUCCUUCUUUUUCAAUUUUAUAAUUUUGUAACUUUAUUCUUUUUCUAGACCCACUUAGAAGUCAUAUUUGAAUAAAUUCCAAACGUCACACUUCUUUAGUGAACAAGCAUCAUUGUUAUAUAUAUUACUUCUUUUGAGAUUUUAGUACUAGAAAAAAAAAUAUAUCUAAAUGAAAAUUUGAGUUGAAAGAAGUAAUUUUUUUCCUUUAAAUUAGAUCAAUCAAGAAGAUAAUUAAAUCUAAUUGAAAAGUAACUAGAUUACAUUGAGAAGUAAUUUUGUUCACGCACUUCCCACAAGAUCAUUAUAAAUCUUAUUGAUUAAGAUUAAUUUUCAUUUGAUGAAAUGACUUAAAGUAAAAGUGUUCCUUCCGUAUGCAGUAGUACAAUCCAUAUUUCUUUUCUAAAUCGUUUCUCAAUUAUUAGUAUCGGUAUUGAUUUAAUGCUACAUUCACAAGUAUAGAUUGUCCGUCAAUCAUUGUCAUGAGAUAAAAUAUUCUCUUAUAAAAUAUUAGUGGGCUACUUUCGUAUAUGGUAAGUUUCUUUGUUCCAUAUAUAGGAGUGAUAUACGUUUUUCCAUUGUUGAGUAAGACCCAUUGUUUGAAAUAUCAGUAAACAUGGAUAUAUCGGUAUUUGGAUUUUACGGAUAUAUCAGAAAUAUCGGUGGAUAUUUUUACAUAAAUAUUGGUGAGACGAAAAUUAUUCAAAAUUGAUGGGAAUGCUUGGAAAACUUCAAAGAAUGACAAAAUAAGCAAGAAUACACAUGUUAAAAUUAUUUUGUAAGUAUAAUUGAAAUAAAUAUGGUAAAAAAAAUAUCGGUAAUAUAUAUCGAUAGAUUCAAUACUUGGAUUUUAAGAAUAUAAAAUAUGAAUUUUGGAAUUGCACACUUAGCAUGCUAGAAUUGAGUUAAGAAGUAUUUGAUUUUAUUAAAUGAAAACAAUCUAUACAUAAACAUAAUACAUAUAACAUUAUAAUAGUCCUUAAUACCAAAAUGAAGAUUGAUGUGGUUUUAUCAUAUUGUUAAAUGAAGGGAGUCCAUCCUAUUAAAAACAAUAUUCAUACUAGGACAUGGAGUUUCGAUAGUAUUGAUUGUAAGUACAAACAUGUCAUGCAUAAAUUUCUUGAGUUCUACCCACAACUUGUCCAUGGAUGGGAAAUCCAAGGUUUUCCCAUGUGCUCAUUUGAAACUCUUGUUGUUGCAUCUCAUAUGGAAGGUAGUACAACAUUUGUGUAGAAGAAGGAUAGUUAUAUCUUUCAUACUCUCCAUCAAUGGAACUUGAAAGAUUUGGAGGAAGCUGACCACAACUCAUUGCAUAAAGGGAAUAAAUGUUGGCUUCAUUUGAUGAGUCAUUGAAUUGAGUCUCUAUACUCAUUGACUCAAAAUUGGCCAACAAUGAGUCCUCGUUGUAUGGUGUCAUCCUUUGUCGUCUUCCUCUAUAUGGCUUUCCAAUGGCUCUAACACUUAGACCAACUCUUCUAGAGUCGUGGUCUUCAUCUUGAGUACAGUGUGAAAUCAUCUUCAUAAGUAAAUGUCAAUGGUUGUCCACUUUGCUGCUAUUGUCUAACAUCCUUUCCAUCAUUUCCAAGGUCACUACUAUCACUGGUCUCCUCUCCUCUUAAACCAUCAUAACCGGAAGCAGAAGUACUAGCAGCACUAGGUUUGCUACUAUGUUCAACACUCAUAGAGUCAAACGAAGGUCGAGAAGUGACUAUCAGUUGAGAAGUUCCUUGUAGAAAUGAAUCUCUCAUGUCUUGGUGGAAACUAUCAGUAUGAACUUUAUCGGAUAAUAGUCGCUCAAAAUCAACACUUGUUUCUCGGACAUGUGUGGCAAUUCGUGGGUCAGAAUUUCCAUCUUCAUCAUCUAAAUGAAGAAGUCUAACCCAUUGAAACAAUUGGUUAUCUUCUUAUUCACCAGCCUUAGUUGUAAUGUCAAGUAAAUUGAGGUAAUCUUUCUCCACAACUUUGUCAUUUUCUACUUCCAUAUCACGGAUCUUUAGUUUCAUGUUAUAAUAACAUAAAACUAAUUGUUGGAGCCUCGGGUAAGCAAGCCGAUUUCUUUGCUUUGUAUGAAUUAAGGCAAACGUGCUCCAAUUUCUCUCACAAGUUGAAAAUGACACAAUUUGCAAUAAAACCUUGAUGGCCAACCUUCUUAAUGUAGGAGUGUGGUUUCCAUACAUGAACCACCAUUCUACAACCAAAUAAAUGAUAUCAAUACUUAUAUUAGAAAGUUGCAAUAAUAUGCUAAUGUAAUGUAUUAUUAAUUCACAAAUAAUACUCAUCGGGAACCAUUUUUGACCUUGAAAUAAUCGUUGCUUGAUCACUGAAUCCUCUAUUUGCAUCUCGGAAUAGUAUAAGCUACAUAUUAAAUAAUUGAAAGUCAAAAAUUGAGUAAAUGAAAUUCAAUUAUUUAAUUUAUAUUAUAACUAUAAUCAUUUACCUCAUUUCCAAAUUGACUAAGAUCUUCUGCUACAGGAUCUAAUUUCGCAAAGACUUCAUGAACAACUUGAAGUAGACCAGGAUUAAUACCAACUCCACGUUUAUAUUGAAACCUUGGAUUAAGAAAGAAUGGUACAAUAGUAAAGUAGAAAUGUAGAAUUAGAAUGUUAUGAAAGAAACAUAUUAAAUACCAAUAACUUUUGAAGAUGGAUAAUACUUAGUUACUUGCUACAUGAAAAUGAUGUUUAAUAGUUCUAUCCCAACAAUUUAUGAUUAUUUCUAACAUCCAUUAUUUAGCAUUAAAUCAAUGAAGUUCUCUUUCAUAACUCAAAUCAAUUUGUACACAAAUGGCAUUGUAGGAAUAACUUCUAAAUCGACAAUGCGAAGAACCAUGUAUAGUGCCUCAUAGAUUGACACUAGCUUUCCCACUCUCUCCUAGUACGCAUGGUCAAACAUAAGUUUUUCAACCUCUUUACCGAUUAAUGUACGACUUAACUUGUGUUGUGCCCGUUCAUCACUGAUAAACACUUCCUUCGAACUCACUUUCUUUUUCAAAAAACUGUCGAAGGCAAUAUAAUUGGUUGCAAAUCUUGUUGCUCCAAGGCCAACUAUGUCUCCACCACACACCUUCUACAUAUGUGCAACCAACCAACUAUGGUUAUAGAUGAAGUUGGUUAUCUUUCAAGCCUUUGUAAUCAUAUCUGCAAUACUCGGCCUUUUACCGAUGUCUUCGAACAUUAAGUCGAUGCAAUAUGCUGCACACAUAGUCCAAUAAAGAUUGUAUUUCUUCAUUAAUAGCUUUCCCCCCCUUCAUGAAUGCUGACGCAUUAUCCGUAACUAUUUAUACCAUAUUUUGUUUGCCAACUUCCUUGAUCACAUCCUUCAAUAAACCAUAUAUGUAUUUGUUAUCCUUUAUAUAAUUUGAUGCAUCAACAAAUUUGAAGAAGAUUGUGCUACCUUUUGAAUAUACCAUGAAAUUAAUUAGGCUUAAUUUCACGAGCUCAGUCCAUCUGUCACACAUAAUUGUGCAUCCAUAAGUCUUCCACUUUUCUCUUUGAAUAUUGACAUAAGCUUCCAUGUCUUUGUACUCCAUAUCCAAGUACUUGUAUUUGAUUUCAUAAGAAGAGGUGGUUCUAUACCCAUACCUAUCAUCCAUAUAUAAUUAAAGCAUAUAAGAACAUUUGUGGCAAUCAUACUUUAUAAAUAAUAAUGAUAUUGUUAAAAUGAAUACAAUUUUUAAAAUUAUAGUAAUUACCUGCUUAUUGUGGACCAACAAUCAUGUUCUUGAAAUGGUGAGAGUCUACUUCAUUGGGCACAACAAUCUCAUAUAUGAAGAACUUACUGAUCAAACUUCCCAUGGUUUCCUUGAUGGCACCACCUUUGAAAAGAUUUUUCACAUUUUUCUGUCUUGCUGCUAAAGAUUUGUACAAUGAUAGUGCACUAGGCAGUGAUGGAUCCGAAUAUUGAACACUUUGCGAUAUUCGCAUAUGCCUUGUUGGAUUAGUUGGAUGUGAAGACUCACCUAUUAUGAUUAUUAAAAUUAAACAUAUAUGUUAAUUUAAUAUUAUUGAUAAAGUUGAUAAGAAACAGUAAUGAUUCAAAUUAAUAUUAUACUUGUUUUUCUUUUGCCUCUUACAAAAUGUUUUUCUUGUUGGCGAUUCCAUUCGGUAGCUUUUGAUGCUCGAACCGUCGCUCUAUAAGCAUGUCGCUCAUCAAGGUGCAUGUUAGUUGAAUACAUAUACACAUCAUCAUCAUCUCCAUCAUCAUCAUGAUCAUCAAGGUUCUAGUCAUCCUCCUCAUCAGUUAUAUGUUUAUGUCUUCCUCCCAUUGUGUCUCGCAAUUAAGCUCGAAUCUCUUCUAUAUCUACUGGUUUCUUCUCUUUUGCCUUUUUUUUUUCCUCUAGAAGUCGUCUUAUUUCUUGUUUCACUUCUGGAGGCACGUUAGGACAUUUUUUUUGUAUUUGAAUGAGGGUCUAUAUGUGAUAGGUAAAAUUUAAAGCGAGUAAUCUCACCACUUUUUAUUGUCAACCCAUAAUAAUUGUAUACUAUUCCAUUUUUGUUCUCUUCCAUAAUUGUACAAUAUUUCCAACAAGGAUCUUGACCUAUGAUACCACUUCCACUAGCCAUUUUCUAAACAUGUAUUUUAAAUUCCUAUAUGAAACUAAUAUCAAAUUUAAAAUUAUUAAAGAUAAAACAUCUAAGAAAUUUAAUAUUAAUAUUAUUCAUGAAAUUGAUAAGAAUCACUACAAAUAAAAAUUGAAAUUAAAAGUGAAUUAUGCAUAUAUAAAAUAGAUAAACAAUACAAUUAAAUUUUUAUAUGAAUUAAAUUUAAAUUAAAUUACAUUAAAUUGAAUUAAAUAAAUUUUCCACAUUCAUGAAAUUGAUAAGAAUCAUUACUAAUAAAAAUUGAAAUUAAAAUUGAAUUAUGCAUGAAAUAGAUAAACAUUUCAAUUAGAUUUCCAUAUGAAUUUAAUUUAAUUUUAAAAUUAUUAAAAAAUGAAACUAAAUAUGCAUAGAUGUCAAAUCAAUUUCCAUUCCAUAUGAAAUUUAAUGUUAAUAUGAUAAAUUUUUAAAUUAGAUAAUAUUAAUUAAACUAUACAUAAAAAAUAAAAUUGAAUUAUGCAUAAUAAAAAUAAAUUUUAUGAAAGGUAAAACAUACCUUAAUUAGCAUUGACUUGGAGUUAAUCCCCUUCACCACCAAAUUUUCAAAAUUUAAAAAUUUUGGUAGAGAUCAAAAAAAUAAAAAUUUGGAGCAAUAGAAUAAAAUCAAAUUUUUAUGUAUGAAAUGGAAUGGUUUGUGAGUAUUUAUAGGAUUUUUUUUUGGUCAAACUAGCCGUUGGAUGGUUAGAUCACAAACCUAACCAUUGGACACCUUUACAAAAGCAUGGGUGAAAUCUGGGCCAUUGGAUCAUCAAAAAUUCAAAUAUGAUCGUUAAAUGAAUUUUCAAUUUAAAAAAUAAAAAAAAACGCUUGAAAAAAUCUCAGAUUUUUUCCAUUUCUUCCCGUUGCUCAUUGAGUUGCUCCAUGGUCGAUUUAAUCUUCGAUUUAUUGGUUCCAAACCGAUAUAUCACUGAUAUUUCAAUGAUAUUUCUAACAUUUUCUCGAAAUUCCUCCCGUUCGAUAAUCAGUUCUCAAAAUCGUUUUGGGGUCAUCCAAUAUCCGAUAUAUCGAUGAAAUAUCGCCAAUAAAAUUUGAAAUUUCAAUCCUUGGUAAGACCUAAAUUAGAUAACCUCUAAGAAUAUAAAAUUCUUUGAAUAAGAAUAAUUUCCUUCAAGGAGUUUGAUGCUUAUAAUUUACGUUUAUAAUGUAAAUUAUAGUCUUUAACACCUCUUAAGUACGGUCAAAUAAAUGUCCUUGUAGUAAUGUUUGAACACAUGAUCUCUGAUCAAAUGAGAUUGUGAUAUCAUAUUGGACAAUCAUAUUUUCUAAAAGUUUAACUUUAUAGAAUUUGAGCCGAUAAUAUCAUGAUUUCCAACUAUAUUGAUUUUAGGAAAAACCAUUUCUUGAUUUAUGCAAGCAAAUGCUUUGUUUAGUGUGAACUUUCAUAAUAUAUAUAUAUCAACAUUGUUCUUCGAAAAUCAUGAUAUCGACUUCAAUUUCAAUUUUAAUUGAAGUAAAAUACAUAAAAUUAUAACACCAAAUUAAUAUCUAACCGUAUCCAUCUAAAAAUGCUCUAUCUUCCAAGCCAACAAAGAAAGCUUAACUUUCUAACUUAAAAGGUAGAAUUUUUAGAACCGUGGAGACACCCUUUAAUGUGUUGUUUCCCAAAAUCAACCCUUGUCUUAGUCCUGAAAAUGAACCAACAAUAGCUAAGCAUCUUACUUUCAUGUGUUAAGGGAAUCUUCAAUUAAUAGCUCCAUUAGUUCUUUAUCAAUAGUGAAGCAAGUGACUUGAGUUUCAAGGUUCAACUUUAUUUCCCAUGUUCCCUAACAAAUCAAAUAGUGUGAUGACUCCUUUUUUAUUUGUCCUAGCAUGUCCCUAGUUUGUUCUUAAUUUUUAAAUUCAACAUCUAGCUUAUAUAAUAACAUUAAAUUUAAAAAAAAAUUAUUUUUUAACAACUAUAUGCAAGAGGUACCACAUUUAGAUUAUUGAAUGAUAUUAGACACACUAAUUUAGAGAGAAAAAUCACUCCACCAUCAAUGGAAAGAGAGGGUACAUGAAAAACUUUAUUGCCUCCUCCAUUCACCCUUUGUUGAGGCACAUUGUGCUCCUAUAAUUAUUAAUUGUCUUCAUGAAAUUAGUCAUUCCAAUUUAGAAAUUGAUCAUUUCACCCCUAAAUUAGUCACUCAUCUUCUAUUAUCCCUAAUUUCACUCUCAAGGAUAGAAUUAUAAAUCAUUUGUUAAAUUAGCCUGUACUAUGGUCCCAUUGCUUUGUAUCUUUGGUCUUUAUUACCUUUCAUUUUGGACCCACUUCUUUAUGCAUUUGGACCAAUACAAUUGAACCAUUAUUCCUAUAGCUUUGUACUAAAGUUCUAUUGCUUUUGUAUCAUGCUCGUAUUUGUUUGUACCAAGGACCUAUAUAUUUAUACAAUUAAAUAAAUUGGUUAUUCUCAAGUCCAAUUUCAUUGUGCUAUAGUAUAUAUUAAAGCAAUAACCCUCUUAUAUAAUUGAUCAUCAUGGUAAAGAUAUCACCAAUAUCUCAUGGCAAGAAUUGGAUAGGGUACAAAAUGCAAUCUAUUUAAUUCAAAAUAUUUUAUUUACACCUAAACUCUAUGCCAUAAUUUUUUUUAAAAAAAAAGGAAAAUUAACAUCGUAUUAAUUAAAAACAAUACUUUUGGAGCUCCCUUUUUCAAUAGUUGUUUUUACUUUCCUUGUAUUUUGCUUAACGAAUUUCUUCUCUAGUAUCCACAAAUAUAUUCGAGAUAGCUUCAAACACCCACAAGCAUAUAGAGAGAAAUAGAAGCAAAAUGUCUUCUCUUAAUAAUUAAAAAAAAUUAAGGGUUGAUAAUUUUAAGAGUUGGUAUUAUGAUUGAUUUUUUUCCCCAGUUAUGAGUGGAUGUAAUUAUGAUGAAAUAUCAAUAUUAGGUUGUCAUUGUAGUAAAAUGACAAUCUUGUAUUUCGUAAUCUUAAUUAUUGAUGUUAUGUGCAUGAUUGGUCAAAUAUGCAUGCAUCAUAUUUAAUGUCUAUAUCUCUUCAUAUUCUUAAUUGACCUUUAUGUUAUUUAUAUUUGGGUAUAUAUAUUUAUUUAUUUUUAACAUUUUUAAUAUACUCCUUAAAGUUUUUAAACUUAAAUAUUUUCUAAAAAUCAAUGAUCAUAUAUUGAGGAGGGGCAUUUUAGCAACCUUGAUUUUUUCAUCAUAAAAAAAUGGAGAUUGUUAAACCAAGAUUUGGUUAAUCUCCAUUUUGAUGAUAAGAAAAUAAAGCUUGAAACUAAUAUUUUAUCUUAAAUGUGUUUAGGCAAGAAGAUUUAUAAAGUGGUAAUCAUAAAGAUAAAAUAAGUCAAAAGAAAUUCAAAAAGAAAAUGAAGACCUCAAAUAAGAAAUCACUGAAAACCCAUUCCUUAGGAUCUCUUUGUAAGGUUGUUGAUACAUUUGGAUUAUACGUUGUAUUUUUAUUGAUGCACCUACAAUCAUCCAAGAGUUAAAUUGCCUUAAAAUAUUUUAUAUUUGGAGGAUUUCAUGUUUUUAAUCAAAACCUUAAGUCAAAUUCUUUAUAAACUUGCUUUAAAGGUUUUAAGUUGUUUUACCCAAGUUUUUAGAGGUUCCAAACCUCAAAAUCGGAUUAUUUGAGCAUUUCACAAUGCGACAUGUUAAGGUCUAGGAAAUUGGUUGAGCCAAGUGGACUUUAUUAAUUGAGGGGCAUUUUGUACACCCUUGAUUUCUAGUAGCAAGUGUUUAACAAGUUGAGACCAAUUAAAAACUAGUCGAGUUUCGAUCAAGACUCAAUUGAAGCCUUGAACCCCUGAUUAAUACUCAAAAAGUACUCUUUUAUAGCUUGAAACUAACUGUUUUAAACACUUUUGAGUAGUAGUUAAUACCUUUUGGCUCAAUUGGCACAUUAAGGAACCUAGCAAAGGUUACUAAUCAGUUUUUGGCAAGUUUUGGUGUUUUUGGUAGCUCAAAGCUAUGACAAUGCAAGUUAAAGCUAAAAUACAUGAAGAAUCCAAGCUUUGGAGCAUUUCAUAGCCCUUUGCCAAGCCAAUUAGAGAUGCAAGGAAGAAAACCAAAGGAAGAAAUUCAACAACCAGCAGUUUCGCAUGGUUGUGCGAAAUUUCACACACCAUGCGAAACCACUUGAAGCAGCCAAAGGAUUUCGCGCACCAUGCCAAAUUUUGCAUGGUAUGUGAAAUCUUCCUGUGCACUGACUCCGUUAGAUUUUUAUCUUAAGAUAUUUUGUGUAAUUUCCUAGUUUCUCCUUGUAACCAACCUAGAUAUUUUCUUUUAUAUCUUUUUAUAUAUCUUUUAGGUAGCAUAUAUAUAAGGAGAAAGAGAGGAGAUGAAGAUGUAUGUUUUUUUAUUGAACACUUGUAAACCCCCGUAGUAAGAAAUAUACAAAGCUUGUGUUCUACCUUUCCUUCUCAUUUUGUUUUCAUUUUUCUUUCUAGCCAAACAACCUCUGAGGAUGAUUUCUCAAGGGAUGAGUGGCUAGGUUUUACGUUUCUUGGAGUGAUGGAAGCUAGGUGAAGGACCCAAAUGCAAAGGUGGAAGUUGUCCUUGCUUUAAAUGAAAGUAGUUGUUAAGCAUUAAUGGUUUUUAUUUCAAGGUUUAGUUUUAAAUCCCUUAAAAUCACCUUGAAUGGCCAAUACUUGGUAAGCUUUUCGGAUUCUAUGGAUGCUUAUUGCUAGAUCUAUAGAUGUCUAUUAGUUAGCAUUUACGAGUCAUUGGAAGGUGGUUCAAGGUUAAAAUCACCUUGAAUGGCCAAUACUUGGUAAGCUUUUCGGAUUCUAUGGAUGCUUAUUGCUAGAUCCAUAGAUGUCUAUUAGUUAUCAUUUACAAGCCAUUGGAAGGUGGUUCAAGGGUCUUUAGUGUUUGAAGCCAUUAAUGGGAAGCAAUUACCAUUUUUUAUGAACCCUUUGGAUCAAAUCUUAAUUGCUAAAUACAAAACCGGUUCGGGAGAUAACCAUCCUUUAUGUUAUUGUCCCCAACGCGAGGAGAAAAUCCGGAAUCUCCCCCUUUGCCUAAGGAACCGAUCCUAGUGACCUAAAGCUCCAAGAGACCUUUUCUUUGUAGUUAACUUCACUUAUUAUUUUUGCUUAACUUAAAAUCAAUCUUUGCAACCACAAUUCCAUUUUCUUUACAAGCUAAUUUUCAUAAGAAAAAGCACCAUUUUAUUUCCUUCAGUUAAGUCAACUGUACGAUGAAAACUCAUCCCCGUGGACGAUCCUAGAGCCACUAUACUAUGUUAGCUAUGCUACUCUAGUGUGAGGUGAUUUAGGUUUUAUAAAUUUUGUUGAUAACACCUGUCUAAGCCAGAAUCAAAUGGCAUGACUGCAAUGGGGACAAAUCAACACCAAUGGUCAAUUGCUUACACAAUUAAUGCACAAAGGAUAGUGAACUAGUCAAGUUGAUGCUCAACCAAUCAAACCCCAAACUAUGCCUAUGGCUAGUUUGGGCUUCCCUCUCUUAUAAAAAGGUUUCAUUCUUCAUUGUUUAAGAGAGUUUAACAUUCCAAAAUCUUUCUUGGUUAUAUUUAAGCCUUGGGGGAGUGUUUUUUUAAUGCACCUUAUUUCAAAGUUUGUAUAUCCAUUUAGUGCACCUUAUUUCAAAACUUGCAUAUCCAUUUAAAUGCACCUCAAUCUUAGUUAUUCUUCAUAUUAUUUGAGCUUAGCUUAAAUUUGUACUAUGAUCUUGUGAGAUUAUAUUUCCUAUCAAUUUGUAACCUUUGCAAAGAAAGCUUAAGUGUGGGGAAUCACUUAACAGAAAAAUUUAAGUAUAAGGUAUCACUUAGUGUUUGCCAAAUAUGGGACAUCACUUAAGGAAUUCAAAAGUGAGGCAUCUCUUGAAGAAAUUUGUAGUGUCCAUUAGAGUUGAAAAAUCCAAUUAUAUAUCUUGAAUACUUGUAUUGGAAGUCUUAGAUUAGUGGAACUCUCACUCAAUUAGGAGCUUAAGGAGAGUGGACAUAAGUUAGGUUGUGUUAAACUACCAUAAAAUCCAACGUCUACAAUUUCUCUUCCUUACUCUCUCUAUUUUAUAUGCAAUUAAUUUUCAUUAUAUUUGUUAUACAUUUGCAUAUAAUUGUCACUUGCCUUACAUAGCUUAAAUUUGCUAAAAGUGACCUUCACCCAUUCACCUUUCCCCUCUCUCUACAAUGAUUACUUGAGGUUGAGCUAGCUAAAAUCCUAACAAUUAGGUAUGCAUUUAGUAUAUGCAAUCCAAUUUAAAAAUGGUUAUAAUAAAUUGAAAAAAAAAAUGAAAAGCAUAGAAUCCACUUUUUUGUAAAUAGCCCUACUAUUUACCCAUUUUCCCGUGCAUUAUCAAUCCUAUAUCUUAUUCCCUUUCAUUUCCCUAGUCAUUACUCUUCCGUUGGUUUCCUAUUGUAACCAAACUUCUACAAUGCUUAUUCUUACCCAAUGCAUCCUCUCCCAUUCUUACCCUCAUUCUUUUACUAGAUUCCAAGAACCAAAGAAGACAAAUUAUGAUGACUCCAAUAUCUUUUAAUUGAAGUAACUUAGUAAGUGGGUGUUUGGUAAAAACUUAAUACUUAUUACUUAAUAAUGACUUAAAUUGACUUUAAGUUAAAUUAUUCAUAAAUUAUUAAUUUAAAACUUAUCACUUAUUUUUUACAUUAAGUAUUAAGGUUGUUUGAUAAAGUUAAUUUAAAGUUGAUUCUAAAUCACCAAAUUGAAAUAUUUACCCUUAUUAAUUUUAAUUAAUAUUUAUAUUUUUACUAAUUUUAAAUAAUAAAUUUAUUUGUUAAACAUUCAUAUUUAAAAUAUUGUACAUAUAUAAAUUAACUAUAAAAAUAUUUACUAUAAAAAAUGAGUUAUAAAUAUAGAGCCAUAAUUGUAAAAUAUACUCUUAGUAAAUAUGGACAAAUGUUAUAAAAGAGAUUUAAGAUUAAAAAUAAAUUCAUUAUUUUGAAUUAAUACUUAAAAUUAUUUUUUACUUUAAAUUUUGAUAUUAAGUUAUUUUACCAAAUAUAUUUAAUGACUUAAAUUAAGUCAUUAAAUCAUUAAUUCACCAAAUUGAUUUACCAAACAUCCUCUAAAAAGGAAAUUAAUAACAAAAGUUUAACUCAACUUAAAUCUUAAAACAAUGUCUAACUAGGAAAAUUUCAAUAGAGUUUCCCUCUAUUUUCUCUCAAAAUGGCCCCCACACCCUCUCUGCUCACAACGCUUAUGCAAAGAAGAUUCCUACAAGUGCCCACCUCUAGGUUUUGGCAUGUCUAGAUCUCCUCCGUUCCCCUCAUUUAGCAAUUCUCUAAUAGCUUUCAUCAUAAGUAGCAACAGAGAGAAAGUUCUUGACCCAAUCAUAAUUAAUUUAAUUCCUAUAUUAAUUUAAUUUGCUUUUAUAGGAUUUGAAGUUGAUGAGAAAUGGAUGACAAUGAUAUAUGGAAAAUGGGAUUCAAAGUAUUUAUACUUCUUUAGUGAGAGAACUGCACAACUCUUCUAAAAAAAAUGACAUUCAUAUUAGGAUGUGACAAGAUGUCAAUGCGAUCUUGUGGUAGAUUUGAGUUUUGUCAUGGUUAGAAUGCUUUAGUGUAAUGGACCACGCAUACUUGGGAAAGGGAUGCUCAUUUGACAUGUUGAGAAGCUAUGACCAUGCAUGGGUCGACAAUCAUACGGCUUGCUCAUCGGGAUCACAUGCACAAAGUCUGGAAAAGCUUGUCAAUCUCUUUUUGACAUAUCAAUUGAGAAUGUUGACUUCCAAAUUUAAGACAUCAAAUGGAAGAGAGAUAGUGCCACUUAGAAGACAUUCAAAGUAUAUGAGCAUAAUUUUUGCAUGGAAAAUAAUGAUAUGUUUGAUUUUUUUUUUUUCCCCAAAUCAAAUUGUACUUGGAGAAUUUCAAAGUAAAUGGGUGAGACUAAUUCUUAUGAAAUUUGGCUAUUAACAUGAUUAUAACCCGUUAAACUGAUUAAUAUAAUUUUAAUUCAUUAAACUUAUUAAUAUGAUUGUAUUUUAAUUAACCUUUUUAAAAUUUUAAUUUUAUAAGAAUAUUAAUUUAAAAUAUUUUUUUUAGUUGUUCUUAACUUUUAAGUUUAAUUUUUAAACUUUUCAUUAAUUUAUUUAUUUAUUUUAAGUUAUAAUACAUUUAUAAAAUAAAAAUAAAUUAAAAUUUUAAUUAUAUACUGGUUAUAAUUUUAUUUAUUUAUUAAAUUAUAAAAUAUUUUUAAUCUUUAAUAAAAUUAUACUUUAGUUCUUUAAGUUUUCUUAACUAUAUGAUAUUAUUCAUAAUUAAAAGGUAUUUUAAAUUUUUAGAAUUUUAAAAUAUUUAAAAUUAAUAAAUUGGGUUAAACAAAUCAUAAAUGUCUUUUCUCAUAAACAAAUCAUAAACAUCACUAAUUGAAUGAGUUAUAUGAGUUGAUACGAUUACAACAAAAACGUGAUUAUGUGUGACCCGAACCCACUAAUAUUUUAUGUCUUUUCUCACUCAUGUUAGGUUGUGUCAAAAUUGCCACAUGUAUUAGUACACUGAGUAACCCUAAAUGUAAUUGCCUAAAGCCUAGAUGCUCUUACAUGGUCUUUAGUCAAAGACUGGGUCGUCCCAACUCUGGGCUUAUUCCAAGAUGAGAAGUGCAUCAAGCAUGUUGAGCUUGCCUAAGAGCUACCUUAGUGAGCCAAAACCAAGAUGGCCCAUAGAUCUCAAGACUAGGCUGACCAUAUAGUAUGACCAUGUAAUUACACGGGCUGGGCAGUAUCCCUUCACUGUCCAAGCCCGCUCUCUUUUGGGCCUCAAGGCUUAGUAGGCUAGCACCAAUUUAUUGGAUUGUUUCGAAGUGUUAAAAGAGAAAUUAUAUUUGCAUCUACCAAACUUUCUAUAUAUCCAUUAGAAUUAUGAUUUUUCAAGGAUAAACUUUCUAUAUAUCCAUUAGAAUUAUAGGUUUUUAAAAGAUAAAAGUACUUAUAUGUGAAAAGAUUGAAAUUCUUUUAUAAAUUAAUUCAUAUUCUCGACCCACUUCUUCUCUCAUUUCUUUUUUCUUAAUCUUUUCAUAAUUCUAAUAAUUUUUUUUCUAAAAAUUAUAAUUUUAGAAUAAUAAAAAAAAACAAAUAAUCAUCUCCGAUAAUAUUAGAAAUGAAGAUAUACGAUUUUUACCAUUUUUUUUUAAAUAAAUUUAAGAGCUUAAAAAAUGAGGGGAUCAUAAAACGGGUUUCGAAUUUUAGGGAUGGAUGCUUUUUGAUAUUAGGCAUUAUAUCUUCACAUAGCUCUUAAGGUGUCUAACAAUACUAUACAUCCAAAUAUGUCUUAAAUUUUUAUGUAAAAAAUAAUUAAAAGCUCAUUUGGUAAUGCUUCUUAAAAGUGUUUAUAAUCUUAAAAACAUGUAAAGUGUUUUUAAGGUAAUAAAAUAGGUAUUUGACAAUAUUUAAAAAUUAAAACCACUUUUAAAAAUUUAGAAAAAUACUUGAAGCAAUUUUUAGAGAAGCGCUUAGGAAGUGAUUUUAAAAAAAUCACUUUAAAAGCUUACAAAUAUUCUUGAAAUCCCCCCAAGUAUUUUUCCAAUACCCUCCAUUUCCCUUUCACUUUUCUCUUCCUCCUUUCCUCUCCAUCCGAGUGAAGACUCCAUAAUCGGAGGCUUUCAUCAUUAUCAUUCAACAUCAUUGAACUCUGCUCCAAAGUGAAGACUCCGCAGUCGGAGGCUUUCAUCAUUAUCAUUCAACAUCAUUGAACUCUGCUCCAAAGUACUCUCCGUUCUAAAUGGGCAAGUUUUAUAAAGUAAAUCAUGUGUACAUCGCAAAAUAUAUAUAUUGGAAAUUAAUGCUUUUAGGCAUUCCUAUCUCACAAAAGGAAAGAAACUCGCAUAUGCUUAUAAUGGACAUUAUGUGGGCACUUGAAAAUCUAUAGAUUACACGCAUAUAUCACAAGCAUCAUAAAAGGUAUAAUUUUAACUAUAUUUUAUAACCCAACUCUCCACUCCACAUAGGAAUACAAUGGGGCAAGAAUUAACAUUUGACUCUUUUAAUUUUAAACAAAUACAAUUUAAGAAAACUUUUGAAUCUUAAGUAUCUACCACCCAUCAUUUUGUAAUAAAAAAAUAUAAAAUCAAAUAGUUUGUUUCAUUUUUUAAUUAAAAAAAAUUGUUAUAUUAUGAUUGAUGUUUAUUGAUUAAUCCAUUUAAAAAAAUAUAUUUUCCAAAGUUUUCUUGUAAUUAUAAAAAAAUGAUUAUUUUUAGUCUUUUUAACAAUAUAAAUGUUUAUACAUUCUUUUACAAUGAAAAGUUUUGGAUUUAUCAUAAUAUUUACUUUUUGUAAUUAAAUUAUAUGUCCUUUUUUUUGUAAUUUAUUAAUAUUAAAAUAUUUUUAUACUUAUGCAACAUAUUGUCAAAAACAUUAUUAAAAUCAUUUUUCCAGAAUCUCAUAAGGUAGUUUUUCAUAGAAAUAUUAUAGAAGAAAACAUUUUCAAUAAAAACACUUUGCCUAAAAGUACUAUCAAACAGGUUCAAGAGUUUAUUUGAUAGCGUUUUUACUCAAAAAAAUUUUACUGAAAAUGUUUUUUUUUAUAAAAGUGUUUUUAAGAUAAUUUAUCAAAUGUUUCUUUAAAAAACACUAUCAAUGAUUUUUUAAUACCAUAAAUGAAAUUUAAAAGUGUUUCUUAAAUUUUAUCAAAAAUUUUAUGUUUCUUCAAAAAUACUUUUUAGAUUGAAAGUGUUUUCAAAAACACUAUCAAAUGGAGUCUAAGAAUGCGUGUGAGAGUGAUUUUAGAAAACGUUUUUAGUAUUUUUAAUAUUGAAAUGACAAAAAAAUUCAAGGGUUAAGAAAAAUUAAAAAAAAAUUUUAAAAUCACAACCAAACGGGCUUUAAAUGCUAAUUAACUUUUUUUUGUGUGUGUGUGUGUGUAGGAUGCUUUAUAUACAUUCAUCAUAAUUUGACCCCCAUAGAAGAGGCACAUGAACAUUAAGCACCGUGAUGAGUGCCUAAGUUUCCAUGAAUCUUUUCACGACAAAAUUCUAAAGCAGCUUUGACCAACACUGUACCAGUACUAGUAUUCAAUUCCCAUGCCGGCCCACAAGAGAUAUAGGAGCUCAGCCCAAGCCCAAGCCCAAGCCCAACUAUAAAUUCAUUAUUAUUAGAUCAAAACAUAUUCAAAUUGUUCAAAAUCAUUAUUCCAUGAACUAAAAUCACCCAAACCUAGGUCAAAGUCUUGAUCAGAAAAUCAAGUCUUAAAAGCAAAAUUCAAACAGUAUAGUCGGAAUCUCAUAAUCAGUGAAAGGACUCCAUGAUAUUGACAUGCAGUCCUUUGAGGACAGAUGCCUUUCCUCUUCCCACAAGUCAUUCCAUUUUUUGUGUACAUUUUAUUCUACUACAUCCAUCCCCUUGGAUGGAUCGCUUACUAAAUCAUCAUCUCAUAUUCAUGUAUGAAUGAGAAGCCUUUCAUCUUAUUGCGUGACUCGGGAAAAGAAAAACAACCAAAAUGGAUCCUCCAAAUGACUUUGAUGCUCUCACCAAGGCUUUCUCAAGUUUGCCCCUUAUAUUUUUCUCAUCAUUCUUUUUUCAUUUAAUCUUGUUUAUUUUAGUUGGACACUAAGAAUGUGUUUAGCAAUGAUUUUAAGAAAUGUUUUUCGUUGUUUUAGUAUUUGAAUGAUAAAAAAUUUUAAACGUUAGAAAUGUUAUAAACAUUUUUUAGAAUUACAACCAAACGAACUUUAAGAAUGUAUCUGAUAGUGAUUUUAGGAAGUGUUUCUAACAUUUUUAAUACUCAAAAGAUAGAAAUUUUCAAAUGUUAGAAAUAUUAAAAAAACUUCUUAAAAUCACAAUCUAUCACACUCUAAAUUAUGGUAUAAUAGUCUUAAAUUGUGAGAUUCAACUUUUUUAGGCUUUUGUUAUUUUCUAUUUGCUUUAUUUUAUACAGGCUUACCAGGAAUUAUAUGUAGUCCAUCUAUUUGAAGCAACCUUAAUUUGUAAUUUUUAGGAUUUGGAGUUGAUGAGGAUUCCAUGGUAUCGAUCCUAGGAAAGUGGCAUUCGGAGCACUUGGAAUCCUUUAGAAAGAGAACUCCUAAAUUCUUCUUGGAGGAUGAACGUCUUUUUGAGAGGUGGGAUGAUCACCAUAUUGCAUGCUUAACGAAAGAAUUUCUGCGGUUUAAGGUACUCAUGUUCUUCCUCUUGUAAUAGAAAUGUUAGCUGAAAGUCAUAAUUAUGGAUAUCACAUGGAAAAUGGUUGAAAAAUGUUCUCUUUUUAACCUAGUUUUAAUGUAUUUUGGUACUAGAUAUAGCCUACAAAUACUUUUCUGUAUAAAAAAUUGCAAUAUAUAAUAUGGGAAAAUUCUAAUAUAUAUAUAUAUAUAUAUAUAUAUAUAUAUAUAUAUAUAUAUGAUAUAGCACCCUUACUUCAAAUAAUGAAAAAUAAAAUAAAAUAAAAUUUUCUUUUCAUAAACUUGUUAUUGUUUGCUAACACUUACCCUUUCAUAUCAUCGUUUCAUGCCCAAUUUAUACUCAUGGAUCAAUCGGAUUGACUUAUUUUUAGAUCGACUUAUUUUUUAAGUGCUUUUAAUUGACACAAUGACACAUUUUAGUACAAUAUCCAAAUAUACUUUUUGUGGAACCUAUUCAAAAGGCACCACCAAUAAAUGGUGUUGCAUAUGUAAUUCAAGUCUCAUUAUUUUGUACUAUUCCAAGCUCAUUCAUUUGUAUCACAUUUCGAGGUCUCCUUACUCUGUAUAUUGGUUCUAUCCCAUUAUACCUUGGUCUCAUUUGUUUAUACCUUAAUUUUGUUCCCUUAUGUCUUAAUUUAAUUUGUUUUUAUACCAUGAUUCUUUCUUUAUAUUUGUACUUUUAUUCAAUGAUCCAAAUUUCAUCGUAUAUUUCUAGAAACCGAAAUUCGAAGUUUUAGAGGCAUUAAUUUAGUAUCUUAGUAUUUUCCUAAGAGUAUUGUAUUAUAUUUUGCCAAGGCACAUAUAUUAGGAUGUGAUAAUAUGUUAGUUAUGAAUGGUUGAAUUUUUUGCAAUCUUAUGACUCUUUUGAAUUUUUUUAUGGUCAGGAUAUUGUGGUGCAAUGGAUCAUGCAUCCUUGGGAAAGGGAUGUUCGUUUGGUGCAUGAGGCUAUUACUAAGGGUCCUAAAGCAUAUUGUGGUGUAAUUAAAAUAAAUUUUAAAUAAAGAAAAAAAAGGAAGGUACCAUAGUUGUUUGAAGGAAUAACAAUGAUAACUAAACCCCUUAGUAGAUAUAUAAUAAUAAAAUUGAAAUUGUAAUAUGAUAUUCCAUAUUAGUUAGAAGAGAAGUUUUAGGUGUUUUUUUAUAUAGUAGACUUUUCUUAAUUAUGUCAUCUGAUUUAAAAACCAUGGUGAGUAAGAGCCAAGAUUUUUACCAAGAGAGCUCUAGUUACUUAGUCUAAAUCUUUGGGGAAGGAGUAUAACAUACCUACCAAAUUAUAAAUAUAUAUAUAAAAAAAUGAAAUGUAGCAAAGGAAAACAAUUUAAUAUUUUCAUAUUUUAUUUCUUUUUUCUUUUUAUAAAAAAGUGAACAAAUUAAGUAGGAAAAACAAUGAAAAAUCACAUGAAGGGUUUCUUUGAUUUACUUUUCUUAUCAUCUUAAAUUACCAAUUUAGUAUGAUUCUCAUUAAUCUGCUUAGGAUCUUGACACUCUAAUGAGUUUGAAGGAGACACUUCAGUGCCUAUGCAAUCCCUAAGCAUAUUCCAGUAUGGUAAGAUUAAUUCAUCACAAACAACAUCUUAGAAAUGAUCUUAUAUUUGUUUGUAGAAUCACGUAUUGGAUUGAUUGUUUUAAUUCUUUUAGGUCUUAAAUAAUGCAUUCAAAGAUGAUGUAGACGAGAAUACCAAAGAAGCCCUAACUCAAGUAAUAAUGACACAGAGCAAUGAAGGAAAUCAUAGAAGAAUUUGAUAAGCAAUAUAAAGUUCCUUUAACCCAGAAGAUUGAAGAUGUAGCUCUUGGAAACUAUAAGGAUUUCUUGGUGAGCUUGAUUAGAAGAGUGGCCUAAUAAGAAUACAACUUGCAUUUCUUUAGUCAAUAUUUUAACAAUCUUUUCCAUUCUUGUAAACAUGUACAAAUACGUUUGAUGAUAUUAGUGAUAAAAUUAAAUUAAGCUUGUAUUUGUUAGGAAGUUUGUUAAGAGUUUGUUAUGCCAACUCAGAUUGUAAGUAAUUAACUAAACCCUCUUGUAAUAGCUAUAUAUAUCAUAAUCAAUAAUAGACUUAAGUGAGUGUUGUCAUUCUCACCAAAUCCUUUCUCUCUCUAAGUUGGUAUCAGAGCAAGUUUGCAUUUGAGAAUUCUUUUCUCUCUCUCUUCUUUCUCUUUCUAAAUUCUUCCAUUUUUUUUUUUGAAAUUUUUCUCUAGAAACAUAUCUUAGACCUCUUCUACUUCCUUUGGUGCUCCUAAUUUGCCUAUGGCCUCUUUUGUUCCAAGUUUCAAUGUUUUUCUCUUUGGUUGGAUCACAAUAAGUGCUACUAAUGGCGAGCUCAAGUGCUUUCAACUAUACGAGCUUAAAGAUUUGAAGGCUUUUGUUUGGAUUUGUUCUAAUUCUGCCUCAAUUUGUCAAAGUUCCUUGUAACAGUCAUAGUUCUCCACCAACUGGGGUUUAGAAUCUUGAUUUCCUAAUUUGAAUGAGACACGAUCAGUUUCUUCUAAGCUAGAUUAUUUUACCGAUGAGCUAAUCAAUGCUCAAUCAUGUCAAUCAUUGUGCUACUAGUAUUGAAGUUUGGUCCACACGUGAAUAACAUUUUUGGUCUCAAUUGAAGGCCAAAGUGAUGUAGCUUUGUAUGAUGCUAUAGACAUUGAAGAAAUGAGCUCUUAGUGUAGAGGAGUAUAUUCUUAAGAUGUGAGGUUUGACUAACAAUCUUAACUCUAUUGGUCAGGUCAUUAUUGAUAAAAAUAUGAUUCUUUAUAUUCUUAUUGGAUUUUAUCCUAAAUAUGAGUCAAUCAUUGUUAAUCUUACUUCAAGAAAUGAUGUUUUCACUCUUCAAGAGGUUCAACUUGUCAUAUAGACUCAUGAAAUGAUGAUUCAACAUCAAUUGGUCUUUUUGCCAACUGAUUUGCAAAAUUCUCCCUCUAUUAAUGUUGCUUAUCGCAGAUCCUUUUUUGUUGUAUUGAGUAAUGCCAAUCAUGGUGGUAACUCUCAUUUUCGUGGUCAUGAUGACCUUGACAAUGGUGGUUCUAGUCAUGGCAACAGGCCAAUUUGUCAACUCUAUGGCAAGAUUGGUCAUGUGGUUGCUAAAUGCUACAAAAGGUUUGAUAUUAGCUUUUCAAGUGUUGAUUUGACUAGUUAUUAGGCAAAUGUUGCUUUCACCUCUAACUUUGGAGAUCACGAGUAGUAUGUUGAUAGUAGCGCGACAAACCACAUCACUGUCGAUAUGAAUAAUCUGACUAUCAAGGUAGAUUACAUGGGUAAUGAGAAGCUUAUGGUUGGUAAUGGUUCUAAACUUGCUAUUUCUCAUUUUGGAAAUUCCUUUUUACCUUGCAAAAAUUCUUCUAAACCUCUUCUCCUUAAUAACAUCUUACAUGUUCCACACAUAACCAAAAAUCUUUUUAGUAUUUCUCAAUUUACAAAAUAUAAUAAUGUUUUAAUUGAAUUAUGCCAUGACUGUUGUAUAAGCAAGGACAAAGCUUCAAAGAAAAUUAUGGUGGAACGAGCUCUUAGGAAUGGUCUCUAUCAACUUGAUCUCACACAAUCACAAUCUUCAUAGUCCAAGUCAUCUUCUAAGUUCAAGGCCUUGCUUUCUCUACUAAAAGAGCCUAGUGUUUCUCAAUCUAGUUGUCAAAGUGUGUCAGUCAAUUCUUCAAUAAAAAAAGUCUUUGUUCCUAUAUUGUGCUUCAUCUUCUACCACUACAAAAUUGAUUUGGAUUCAAUCUCUAUUUCAUGAGCUGGGUCUUUCUCUUGAAAAACCCUAAUGUAGUGGUGUGAUAACAUUGGUGUUAUUGUGUUACUUCAAAUCCUAUUUUUCAUGCCAAAACUAAACAUAUCAAGAUUGAUAUUCAAUUUGUGCUUGAGAAAGUGCUCAAUAAUGAAGUGGAUGUUUGUUAUAUUCCAUAUAAAGAGCAAACAACUAAUGUCUUUUCUAAGUCUUUGUCUAUUUCUCGUUUUCUUUUUCUGUGUAACAUGCUUUCACUUAGUACCAUCGUUUAGCUUGUGAGGGGUAUAUUAGUGAUAUAGUUCAAUUAAGCUUAUUACCUAUUAGGAAGUUUGUUAUGCCAGCUUAGACUAUAAGUAACUAACUAAUCCUUCUUGUAAUAGCUAUAUAUAUCAAAAUCAAUAACAAACUUAAGUCAUUGUUGUCAUUUUCACCAAAUCCUUUCUCUCUAAGUGAUGAGCAUCAAUCUCUUCCAUACAAACCAGAUGGUAAAAUAAGAAUGAAAUGCUCAUCAUUUCGAUUACAACUUGGUAAUGUAAAACCAAGAAUUAGCAAAUAAUUUUAAGUGCCACUACCAUGUCAUACCUUCUUGCAUGCUUAUUUUUGAGACCUAAAUCAAUCAAAUUCAGAUAGUCCCUCAUUGUCUCACGCACACAGUUCACCAACAAUUCUGUCAUGCUCGUUCAAGUCUCCUUCAAUCACCUUAAGUGGAAUCAAUCUGGAAACAAGUAACAGAAAGAAGGUAGCAGAUCACACUCAAAAAUGACAAUGCACAAAGAUGAUUCUGUUACCCAAUUGAUGGAUGUUUGACAGAAUUUGUGGAGUGGUUCUAGCAUUAAAAGAAGAUAGGGAGAUGUGCAGAAUGUUGAGACUCAAAUGGGCAUACACAGCAACCUGCACUAUGUUUUGUGACCAACAUGCAAAAGUUUGUACCAUUUAAUAUUUCAAAGGGAACAUAAGGAAAGUAUGUACUGAUCCGAACUCAGUCCAUGUUAAGCUUCAUUAUUUUCGAAAGUUCAGUAAAGAAGUGCAAACACAUGUCCAAUUCUGAUGCUCUUUUCAGUAAAUAUGAAGGAAAAAAAUCGCAAACAAAUAAGUAUGCCUUAUAAAUUAUUAGAAAGAAGUGUGAAAAGUGCCUCCUUUGCCAAACUUAAGGGAACCUUGUUCAAGAAGUUCAAGGAGAUGUUGUUUAAACCUGGGCCCAACUUAGAAAUGAUGCAAAGUUCCCCAAUUUCUUUGAGGUGUUGUUUAAAGCUCUGUUUUAGGAAUAUUGAGAGCUAUUUUUUUUUUAAUCUCCACAUGGUUUUCUAAUUUAAAAGGGAUAUUAAACAAUUAGAUAAAAAGAAUGAAAAGAAAAAUCAAAGAAUUAAAUUAAAAUGAUAGAAACAAAAAAAUUGGACGUUUCAUUUCCACUCAAACUUCAUCUCACAUCGCAUUUUUCAGUCGAAAAAAUAAUUGAAUAAAAGAACAAUGAAACAAAGAAAUCUCUUGAAAACUAGAUGUUCAAAGGUACUCCCGGAGAAAAAGCUAGAUGAUCAAAGGUACUCCCGGAGAAAAAGCAGAUCAAACAACUAGGAAAGCAACAGCAACCAUGGCUGCCAUCAGCAGCUGAUACCCAGACACCGAGAUCCCAGAAGCAGAACUGGGUGCUGGUGCUGCGGGGGUGGACGGGGCUGGCGCUGCGGGGGUGGAAGGAGCUGAUGCUGCGGGGGUGGAGGGGGCUGAUGCUGCGGGGGUGGAGGGGGCUGAUGCAGGAGACACCCACGCUUCCAGCACAGUGAUGGCAAGCUUCUGUCCAUAGUUGGCACAAUGGUCGUUCACACCACAAAUAUACCACUUCCUUCCAGGGGUGGCCAGUGUAAUCACGUCAUUUCCAGUGGUAAGAGCCUCAUUUGCUGGUGGUAUAGUGCAGUUCGUGAAGGCAGUAGCGUUAACUUUGAAGACAUUGUGCCUUCCCGCCGUGUAUUUGAAAACUGCAUGUAUGAGAAUUGACGACAAUAUUUUUAGCAGCUUGAAUUAAAAGAAGUUAUAAAGGGAAAAUAAAGUGAUAGUUUGAGCUACAUUACCUAGUUUAUCGCCAACAUGAAAGACUUUGUCCUUGGCCCAGGCUUCAUAGGCGAAAUUAAUGGUCCAACCUUGAUCAUCUCCAACAGUAAACUCAGUUGCCAUGGCCAAAGCAGGAAGAAGAAUUGCGAGGAUUGCAAGGGCAGCUAAAUGUUUAGAAGCCAUUAGAGCUGAUUGAAGUUGAUUAGCGAUAAAGUUUCUUUAUACCAGCUUCAAUGUGUUUCUCCGACUUGCACUGAUGUCCAUUUAAGGGUCUAAAGGGUCUAUUUAUAGCAACUUUUUUAGCUCGAACUUUCAUCGAAAGCCUCAACAACCAUGAGAAACAGGCUGGGUCCGCAGGCCACAGCGUGUUGCCAGGUCAAACUCUGGUUAGAACGAAGUUAUGCCAUGGCUAAUGUUGGAGAAUAGUUACAAAACAAAGAAUUUUCUUCUUUAAGCGAUUUCCUUUGUCCAAACAUACUAUCAAAUAAAGAACGAUAAUUUUUUUGAACUGGAGUCAUGAUUUUGGCAUAAAUGAUUAAACAAUGGCUAAUUGUUAACUUUAGAAGUAUAAAUGGAACUCCCUUAAGAGGGUGACUCUUGUUGGCUUGGAGACUAGGCUGGAAAAAGGCAAAUAGAAAAAGUGGGACCACAAAAAUGCCAAUCCAAACCCAAUUUGCACGACCUUUUAAUUAAUCUAAGCUGAUGAGUGUUGGAGGUCUCUUAGAAUGUUGAACAAGAAGUAAUCUUUAACUUUGAAUAAAAAAUUUAACCUUGGAGUUUUAUUGUUGUUCAUGAAGCAAUCUCUACCUGUCACGCCCCAAGACCCACUCCAAGGGCGUAACGGUCAUUUCACAUUUCAAACCUGAAGGCUUACAGUGUAACUUGACCUAAACAAUUAUCUUGUAAUCGGAAGUUACCAAUUACCAAAUACCUAUUCAGAGUAGCGGAACAAAAUCUAAAAUCCUCAAAAUUCAAUUUCAAAACUAAAACAUCUACUAUCCAAAAUCCAUUGUCCAAAUAUUUGCAAACUUAAACAAUUCAAGUACUAGAACAAAUUUCAAAAUCUCCAAAACUCAACUUUGAUCUAACAUAAAAUUUGAAGGAUCAAUAUCCAAAUAACUUCCAAAUACCAAAAGAUCCAAAUGAACAUAACUAAUAGUUAAACAAAAUCCAACAUAAAAUCCUAAGUCAAAUCCUAAUGAUGAUCAUUCCUCAGCCUAGCCAUCACUCCUCACCCGAACUAAGGGUACCUGAAAAGUAGUCAACAAAUGGGAAUGAGCUCAUAGCCCAAUAAGGAACAUUAAUGCAGUCCAUGGAUCAAAUAUUUCAAACUCACUUGCAAAAUAAGAGAUAUUGUAAUCAAUCAUUUUCAUAAAGCUGUGAGUAAAUUUUUUUUUUUUUUUGCCAAUACAUUCAAAAUUUCUAACUAUAUGCAUUUAUUUCUAAUUCAAACAAUUUCAUAUCAAAUUCAGUCAAAACAUUCCAAUAAUUUAUUUACUCUGGUCAUCAAACAUCAAAGGGUGCACAGUUAGGUGGGACUUUUCAAAUGGGUGGCUAGCCUCAAAUUGUUCCUUUAAGGUGGACGGAACCAAACACUACUAGUACUAGUAACCUUUAACCGAAACCCCUAGAGGCUGAAGUUCAAAUCAAUUACAUUCCCCACCAAGAAAUGUAAAGGUCAACUAUUAUAUCCCAUUGACAAGGGCCAAAAGUCAACUAUUAUAUCCUGUUGACAAGGGCCAAACAAACCAGAGUCAAAUAUUGAUUUCAUUUAUUCAAAUUUACAACAUAUAAUAUCUCCACAUUUAUUUGUCAAAAACAUAAUAUAAAAUUCUAACAUACUUUUCAUGCAAAACAGGUUUGAUCCAUGCAUAAAACGAAAUAUAACUCAAACGUUUUCAAAUAAUGUAUGUAUAUAUAUAUAUAUAUAUAUAUAUAUAUAAAAUUGUUUCAAAAAAGAAUUUAACAACUGCAUUAAUUUCCCUUACCUCAAACGAAAUUCUCAAAAACUUUGGAGAGAAAAAAAUCUUGAAAAUCUACUCUUCACCUAACAAAAUAUAAGAGGAAUAAUUAUUACUAUUUAUCUAAAAUUAUAGGUUUGACAAUCCUAAAAUUUAGGUAUUCAAAUUAAUUUUUUUUAUUUAUGGAAGGUAAUUUAAUCUAUUCAUAUUUUAAAAAUUAAUAAAUUUCUAAUUCAUAUAAAACUGAAUUUAUUUAUUUAUUUUUUAAAAUUUAUUUCUUGGGAUACAACUUAAUUAAACUAUAAUUUAUUUCAAUAAUUAAUUUCUAUGUUAUUGUGGACCCCGCAUUUCGGCUCAUGCGUUUCCCACUCGAUGGCGAGCUCGAUUUUUAUUUUAUUUGAAAAAAAAUUGAUUUUAUUGACUAAGAAAAUGACUUGGAGUUGCCACUCAUUUUUGUUUUAUUUUUAAAAGGGUAAACAAAAUAAGAAAGAAAACCCUAAGUGCGACUCCUUAUUUUGGAAAAGGUGAUCUACGAAAAAUCGGAUCGGGCUCGAGGGUCAGGUUACUUAUCGGGAAGGUACGGCAAAGACCAUAGCACCCCUCUAAGUCCCUAAAGUCAGGUCUCUACUAAUAAAAUGAAGCUGGCAUGACAAUCAAUAGGGAAAAUCAAUGGAUACUCAAAUCGAUCAUGCACAUAUGAGAAUCAAAACACCCAAUAAAGAAUGAUCAAAGUGUGAGCGGGGCGUACCUUGGCAUCAAACGAUCAAUGCGCUAUCAAGAGAGCAGGUUAGUACACAAUUAAGAAACAAUCUCAUGCAUGUCAGAGAGCAAGAUGUAUGAUAAUCCAAUCAAACGAUCAAUCAAUCAAUCAUAAAGUCACCCAUGUGGGGCCCCUAUCAAAGCCCGUUUAUUUGGCAUGACUUAAUGUCACAGAUUUCAUUAUUAUGGAAUUAUGGAAAAUUCGUUCACGUUUAUUAAAAAUCAAGAGGAGCAGAAAAUCAUUUGAAAACUAGAGCGGAAUUAAAACUAUUUGAGAGAAAAUUAGAUUUUAGAAAUUUAAUUUUAAAAUUGGAAUCUCGAAAAUCACUAGAAAAUUGGAGUUUUAGAGUUUAUUUGAAGAUCAGACUUCUAGAGGUUGAAUGUGAGAAUGAGAAUUUUCAGAAAUUGAAUUUGAAAGAGGUGGGAAUUUUGAAAACAAUUUGAGGGUUCAGGAUCUUAAAGAAAGAUUAAGUUGCGAAAAUUGGGACUUUGGGAGUUAAAUUUUGAAAGAAAUCAGAAUCGUAAGUUAUUUGAGAAGUAGAGAUUAUGAAAGUCGAUUUAUAAAAAAAGUUGGCAAUCUUGGAAAUCAUUCGAAGGCAGAAUUUAUAGAAAUAAUGCAUAAAAUAAUAGUGAUAAUGAUAAUAAUAAGUGAUUCAUGCCCAAUUGGUGUCUCAGCUGAUUCAUGUCCAGUUGGUGCUCCUUGGAUGAGGGAGUAAUCAACAAAAUUUAUAACCUAUUACACCAUAUACUAGGGUAGCAAAGAAAAAGCUACUAUAGUAUAGCGGCUCUAGGAUCGUUCACUGGGAAGGAUUAGCAAAUUAUUAAUGAUACCAAUUCAAAGUGAAUUGGUCUUGUUUCAUUUCAAGGUUAGCUUAAGAAAUAAAACACCAACUUUAAUUGGUAAAGAUUUAGAUUUAAACUAACUACAAAACACGUAAUGGGAAUAACUUAGGAAGAAAAACAUUCCUUGGAGAGUCAGGUUCACUGGGGUGGUUCCUCAUGCAAAAGACAUAGCUCCGGUCAGAUGGUUCAUUUCCUCGCGUUAGAGAUUCAACAUAUAGUCAAUUCUCUAACCGGUGUUGUACAGAUACAUCCUUUAAUUAGAUUUCAACUUUAAUUCUCUCACUGAUACAACUUGCAAUGGUUCAAGCCUCUCACUAAGCUUUAACCAUUCAAGGUGAUCUUUAACCUUGGACUUCCCUUCACAAGCUUGAUUACUACUCAAAAAGUGCUAUUUUGUAGCUUGUAAUUAAUCCUUUUAAACACUUUUGAGUAGUAGUUAUUGCCUUUUAACUCAAUUAACAUGUUAAGGACCCUUGCAAUCAUUUCUAAUCAAAUUGUGUAAGUUUUGGUGUUUUUGUUAGUAAUUUGAUCACCAAAACAAUCCAAGAUUGAGGAGAGUUAUUUGGAAUCCAUGGCAAAGCAAUGAAGAGCUCAAAUUCAUGAAGAACCAAGCUUUGGAGCUCCAUAGCCCUUUGCCAAAGUCGUUCAAAGUAUGCAAGGAGAGAAGCAAGGAGAGAGGAAAAACAGAGUGAAGAAAACAGAGGAAAGCUAGCUUCAGUCUUCUUUUGCACUUUUGGAGCACUUCCCGAAGUCCAUUUUCUGCAUUCUAUAUACCAUUUCAAAUCUCAGGAAGUCAAGAAUCCAAUGCUUCAAACGGUGCGCGAUUCGGAGUUGAAACGAAGAAGUUACAGCCACUACAAGUCAAUCACUCUAAAGUGUUGCGAAAUCAGCCUUUUGUUGCGAGAAUUUCGCAGCCUUUUUGUACAGUGUUGUGGAUUUCCUCCUGAAGUUUCACGCCGCGAUGGAAGCCAAACACCACAAGGUGGAAGCCAACUUAGCAGCCCUGCUAGUUUAACUUGUUGAUGCGAAAAUAUUUCGCAGCCCUCUUGAGUGUCUGCGAAAUCUCGCAGACACCAUUUUUCACCUGCGAAAUGUUCCUGGAGCUUCCCGAUAUUUUUGCACCGACUCUUUUAGAUAUUUUUCUUCAUAUUUUUGUGUCUAAAUUUCCAUUUUCUCCUUGUAUUUGACCACUCAUGUAAUUCCUUAGCUAGGAAGUAUCCAAGGAAGGGUAAAUUACCUUCCUAUAUAAACUCUCUUGUAAACACUCUCAAGAGACGCUCGGAUAUCAUGUAAUCCCAUAUAUAGAAUCAACGAACAGAGCACUUGCUCUGUUUUUCAUAUAUAUUCUUGUCUUCUCCUUCAUUUUCAUUUUCUAGCCAACCAAACUCUGAGGAUUUUUCCACAGAGAAUGAGAGGCUAAGCUUUUUGUCUCUUGGAGUAAGGAAAUCCGGGUAAGUUUCCACAUGCAUAAAUUGGAAGUUUUAUUGUUUUAGUUUUUAAUGAAGAGAAAGUGUGACCCGUCAAUGGUUUUUAUCUUUUUAGUUAACUUAAAACGCCAUUAAAUCACCUAGGCCAACACUUGGUAAGGCAAGUGAUCUCCGUCCAUGGAGAUGCACUAGUUUACCCCUUGCGAGCCUUUGGGAGGUGACUUGAAGGUAGGAUUUUCUAGAAUAGCCAACACUUGGUAAGCUUUUGGACUCCAAGGAGACAUCCAUUAGUUAUCUCUUGCGAGCUUUUGAAGGGAAGUCCAAGGUUAAAGAUCAUCUUGAAUGGUAAGUGCUCGUGAGAGGCAUGAACCAUUGUAAGUUGCAUCAGUGAGAGAGAUUUAGUGUUUGAACCCAUUAAUGGGAAGCAUCUGUACAACACCGGUUGGAGAAGGAACUAUAUGUUAAUUCUCUAAUGCGAGGAAAAGAAACAAGUGACCGGAACUCCCUUUUUGUAUGAGGAACCUGAGCCUAGUGAUCUAAACUCCAAGAAACAUUUUUCUUUGUAAGUAAAAUCAGUUACUAUUUUUGGUUAGCUUAAAACCAAUCCUUUUUCAUUCAAACAUCUUUAUGUUUUCUUUUAAAGCUAACCUUGAAAUAAAAAGGCACCAAUUCAACUUUGAAUUAACAUCAUUUGUGAAGUGAAAACCCAUCCCAGUGAACGAUCCUAGAGCCACUAUGCUAUAGUAGCUUUGUCUUUGCUACCCUAGUAUAUGGUGUAAUAGGUUAUAAAUUUUGUUGAUUAAUCCCUCAAUCAAGGAGCACCAGCUGGACACGAAUCAGUUGAGACACCAAUUGGGCACGAAUCAAAUGGCGUCGUUGCCAGGGAUCGAACCCCGAAUCAGAUGGUGCCAUUGCCACUGCCACUGCUAGGGACGAAUCAAAUGGCGCCGUUGCCGGGGAUCGAACCCCGAAUCAAAUGGUGCCAUUGCCACUGCCGCUGCUAGGGACGAAUCAAAUGGCGCCGUUGCCGGGGAUCGAACCCCGAAUCAGAUGGUGCCAUUGCCACUGCCGCUGCUAGGGACGAAUCAAAUGGCGCCGUUGCCGGGGAUCGAACCUCGAAUCAAAUGGUGCCAUUGCCACUGCCACUGCUAGGGACGAAUCAAAUGGCGCCGUUGCCAGGGAUCGAACCCCGAAUCAAAUGGUGUUGUUGCCACUACCGCUGCUAGGGACGAAUCAAAUGGCGCCGUUGCCGGGGAUGGUGCCACUUUACAGUGAUAUCACAUUUUGAGAGUACUUGUGAUCUUCAUCACAAGUUUGGUGACUUUUCUUUUCCUUUUACUAACUCUUUUUAUUUCUUUAUUGUUCAUAUUUUAGUAUACCUUUUAUUUAGUUUUUAGUCUACCUUAAUUUUCUUUCUUUGAAUUUUUUUUCUUUUGUUUUCUUUUGUAUUCUCUGUUUUUUAUUCACAAAUUGCUAGUUGUGCAUGCCAUGUUGAAUACGAGAUAGCAGAGGAAGCCAUGAACUUCAUGAGUUAUGUGGCUGAAGUUUCAAGAGGAUGGGAUGAACCAAAUGCUAGAGAUAUGGGAAGAAUGACGUCUCAACCUAAAGCUAAGGGUGAGAUGUAUAUUUUGAUUACGGCAUGAACAUGAAGGCAGAAAUUGCAGCUAUGGAAAGGAGAUUGGAAGAGCUAGAAAUGAACCAGAUGCAAGAAGUGCAAGCCAUCUCUCAAACACCAUUGCAAACUAUGCCUUGUGCCAUUUGUCUAUCUUAUGAGCACUUGGUGGAUAAGUGUCCUACCAUUCCAGCCGAGAGGGAAAUGUUUGGUGAUUGCAACACCUACAAUUCCAAUUGGAGGGACCAUCCAAAUUUCUCUUGGAAACCACAACCACCUCAGUAUCAACAACCUGCUCAAGCACCACAGCAAGCCUCAAACCUUGAACAAGCUAUGGUGAAUCUUUGCAAGGUCGUGGAAGAUUUUGUUGGAAAGCAAGAAGCCAUCAAUGCUCAAAUCAAUCAAAGAAUUGACAGAAUGGAGAGUACUUUGAAUAAAAGGAUGGAUGAAAUGCAAAAUGAUAUGGCCCAAAAGUUAGAUAUUCUCCAAGAUUCAAUCUCAAGGUUAGCCAACCUCAACACAGUGCAAGAGAAAGAAAACUCUCCUUCUCAACCUUAUCAAAAUUCCAUGAGUAUCCAUGAAAUGGAGGCUGAGAAGGGAGAACCUUCACAAAAGAGGGAAGUCAAAGAAGUGAUCACUCUGAGGAGUGGUAAAGAGGUUGAUCUGCCCACAUGCAAGCUAGAGCAUAAGGUAGAGAGUGAAACAGAGAAAGAAAAGAGGGAGGAAAUCAAAGGAAAGAAAAAGGGGAAAAGCAUAGAGAAAGAUGGCUAUGAUGUUAAUGUAGAAAGAGAACCAUAGAGGAUAGUCAUCAAGGAAGAAUUGAUGAAGAAACACAUGCCUCCACCUUUUCUCCAAGCUUUGUAUGGGAAAAUCAUACAAACCAAGUCUCAAGCCAGAGAUGCAAACUUCAUAUGGGAUCCGGGCAAGCUAAAUCAGGAUCAAAUUUUUUGAUGGACUUAGUCUUUUUAAAGACUAGCUAGUCCAUAUCUUUUUGUUUUGUUAAUUUCUUGUUUUAAUUUUGAUUUCAAUGCUUUAAUUUUGAUUUCAAUGCUUUAAUUCUAGUUUGUUUUGAUGUAAUAUAGGUUUUUGGAUGAUUAAAAUCAAGAGGAAUUGUAAAGAAAUUGAAGGAAGUCUUUCGGAGCAAAAUCGGAGCAAAAUCGGAGUCAAACGGAGCGAAAACAGGGGAAAAACAGGGGAAAAACAGGGGCCUGUGAGAUUUCGCAGCCUCUGCGAAAUCGGCACUUUGCUGCGAAACCAGUUCGUAGCCCAAUUGCCCUCUCUACGAAAAAUUUCGCAGCUGCGAAACCAAGUUUGGCACACGAGUGCCACUUCGCAGCAUAGGAGCCCCCAUUUCGCAGCUGCGAACCACCAAAGCAUGAAAUCCUCCAUUUCGCAGGGAAAGCUCCAUUUGGAAGGGUAUUUCGCAGCUGCGAAACCAUUUUUGGCACACGAGUGCCACUUCGCAGCACAGGAGCAUCCAUUUCGCAGCUGCGAAACGCAUUGCGAAGUGGUAAAGCUUGAUUUCGCAACAAAAGACCCAUUCCGCAGGGUAUUUCACAAUUGCGAAGCAUGUUUUGGCACACGAGUGCCAUUUCGCAGCACAGUGACCCUCAUUUCAUAGCUGCGAAAUGGCUGCGAAGUCCCAAAAAGUGAAAAAUCCCAAUUUCACAGCCGCACCCCCAUUUUGGCAAUUGUUGGACACAUCUCGAUCACUUCCUGAAGUUAAAAUUAUGCAUUCAAUAUCUCAUUUGAAAUCUUGGGAAGUCACGAGUCCAAAGCUUCAAACAGUGCUAGAUUUGGAUUUGAAACGGAAAAGUUAUGACCGUUUGAAGAUGACUGUGCAAACCAUGAGCGGAAAUGUCGCAACUCCAUUUUGCUACUGUUGGACACAUUUUUGAAGAACUUCCUGGAGCUCAAAUUAUACAUAAUAUAUCUCGUUUCAAAGCUUAGGAAGUCAGGAGUCCAGCGCUUCAAACGGUAUGCGAUUUGGAGGUGAAAUGAAGAAGUUAUGGUCGUUUGAAGACAAGUGCACAAAGCUGAGCGAGAAUUUCGCAACCGAGACACCAUUUGCAAGGGUGUUUCGCAGCUGCGAAACCACUUUUGGCACACGAGUGCCAUUUUGCAGCAUAGUUCCCCUCAUUUUGAAGCUGCGAUACGGCUGCGAAAUCACCUUUGGGCUGCGAAAUCACUUUUGAGCUUUGAAACGGCUGCGAAAUCACCUUUGAGCUGCGAAAUCACUUUUAAGCUGCGAAAUGGGCUGUGAGAAUUCCCCUCUUCUACGAAAUCCACCCCCUGCUGCGAAAUUGCCCAUUGCUUGCAAAAUGAUCUCCAAGCUUUGAAAUGGCUACGAAAUCACCUCCAAGCUUAGAAAUGGCCUUCAAAUUGCGAAAUUGACUUGCGAAACGGAGGAAGGUUUGCAAAAACACCUUGCAAAGCCAAGGGAAUUUGUUAAAAUGCCAUCAGAGCCCUGCAACCAUGCAUCUGAAGAGGAGAGCCCUGCACACCCUGGGAUCACACACACUAAGCCUCUCACUCCAUUUUUGACCUCCUUAAACCAUCAAAUCCCAUAGUUACCAACUGAGAGCUUCAGUUGAGGAGACUAUGCCAUCUAAGGAGACUACCAAAACAGAGGCCAAAGUCCUGAUCCAACCCAUUCAAGAGGCCACCACAGACGCAUCAGUUCCACAGGACCUUACCAUUACUUGAUCAUCUCUUUACUUUUUGUCUUUACAUAUUAUAUUAGUGUAGAUAAUUCCAUGUUUUGAUGUCUUACAUUCUGGGAUUGGAUGUAUUACUGGUGAUACAUCAUACAUAGACAUCAUUUUUGUUUAAACUUGGCAUUUUUCUAUUUCCUCUACUCACUAACUCUUAUGUUUUCUUUGAAACAUGUGGUUUCUCCUAUACGACUCAAACUCCAUGUCACUCAAGAGGUACCACUUCCUCCCUAUUUUUCAAUCGCUUUUGUCACAUUGAGGACAAUGUUCAGCUUGGUUGGGGGGAGAGUUGAGGAAGUAAGUAUUGUUAAUAAUGCUAAGUUAUUUUGGUAAUUUAGUUGUUUUUUGCUUAAUUUAAAAUUUUCUUAAAGUUUUUAUUCUACUCUCCAUGGUUAUUAAGGAAAAAUUUUCUAAAUGAAAUGGGAGAAAUUGAAUUUUUGUCUUUUUACUUGACUUAGAUUUUGUAUUAUGCUUACUAAAGUUGAUGAACUAUUGAAACUUCUAUUGAAGUCAACCUUAGUUCUUCCACUUUAAGCUAUCCACACACUGUGCACAAUAGGUUCCAAGUAUAAGAUGAAAAACUAUUUCCCUCUUGACUUAGGAAAAUUUUAGACUUGGUACCUUUGACCUUAUUUAAUAGUGUUGGGACACCUUGUAAAAGGCCAAUGAGUCUUUGAAGAGAAAAAAAGAAAGAAAGAAAAAAUGUUUGCUUGCCUUGAAACCCGAGCAAGGUCUGAGGAGUAUAUGGUGAAAAUCUUUAAAACCUGGUGCCCUAAGCCUUCAUUGGUUGGGAGUCACCGACCUCAAUGCUCGUUACAAGGGUGAAUAGGUGGAGUUUAACAUACUAUAGGUGCUUGGGUAUUAAAAUUCAUUCUCAAAAGUCCGGGGUAAAAUCCGAGGAGUUAGUGGUUGAAAGAUCCUUAAAGCUUGAUGCCCUAAACCUUAAUUGGUUGGGAGUCAUCGAUGGACCCCCGUUACAUGGACAAUUUAGAAAAGAAUACCUUUAAGCCUUGUACUCCUACAAUGAAAAAAAUUGUGAAAAAAGAGGUGCGUUCUUAGCCUAUUGGAGGUUGAUUAGUUUGCUAAGCUUUGAAAAAGAACUAGGUUGGGGGGAGAGAUUAGUUCAACAUACUAUAUUCGGAAGCUAAUAAAUAACACUUAGAUUUUUGUGGAAGAGUAAGGUUUGAUCCUUUAGAAGUGGAAAUGAUUUUAAAGCUUAAAUUUGCAUAAUGCCUUCUCUUUAAGAAUUGUGAUUAGACAAGUUAUUUGAUAACUCUUGUUGAAGUUUGAGUUUUAUUUCUUUAAUGUUCCAUGUGAGAGUUAGAUCAUCAUGCCACUUGAAAAUUGUUUUUUGAUCAGCAUGAUGUUGUAAAUUAUAGUAUUGUUUAUUUUUAUUUUUCUCUCCUUUAUUGCUAAGGGACUAGCAAUAUGUCGGUUGGGGGGAGUGAUUACUACUCAAAAAGUGCUAUUUUGUAGCUUGUAAUUAAUCCUUUUAAACACUUUUGAGUAGUAGUUAUUGCCUUUUAACUCAAUUAACAUGUUAAGGACCCUUGCAAUCAUUUCUAAUCAAAUUGUGUAAGUUUUGGUGUUUUUGUUAGUAAUUUGAUCACCAAAACAAUACAAGAUUGAGGAGAGUUAUUUGGAAUCCAUGGCAAAGCAAUGAAGAGCUCAAAUUCAUGAAGAACCAAGCUUUGGAGCUCCAUAGCCCUUUGCCAAAGUCGUUCAAAGUAUGCAAGGAGAAAAGCAAGGAGAGAGGAAAAACAGAGUGAAGAAAACAGAGGAAAGCUAGCUGCAAUCUUCUUUUGCACUUUUGGAGCACUUCCCGAAGUUCAUUUUCUACAUUCUAUAUACCAUUUCAAAGCUCAGGAAGUCAAGAAUCCAAUUCUUUAAACGGUGCGCAAUUCGGAGUUGAAACGAAGAAGUUACAGCCACUGCAAGUCAAUCACUCUAAAGUGUUGCGAAAUCAGCCUUUUGUUGCGAGAAUUUCGCAGCCUUUUUGUACAGUGUUGUGGAUUUCCUCCUGAAGUUUCACGCCACGAUGGAAGCCAAACACCACAAGGUGGAAGCCAACUUAGCAUCCCUGCGAGUUUAACUUGUUGAUGCGAAAAUAUUUCGCAGCCCUCUUGAGUGUCUGCGAAAUCUCGCAGACACCAUUUUUCACCUGCGAAAUGUUCCUGGAGAUUCCCGAUAUUUUUGCACCGACUCUUUUAGAUAUUUUUCUUCAGAUUUUUGUGUCUAAAUUUCCAUUUUCUCCUUGUAUUCAACCACUCAUGUAAUUCCUUAGCUAGGAAGUAUCCAAGGAAGGGUAAAUUACCUUCCUAUAUAAACUCUCUUGUAAACACUCUCAAGAGACGCUCGGAUAUCAUGUAAUCCCAUAUAUAGAAUCAACGAACAGAGCACUUGCUCUGUUUUUCAUAUAUAUUCUUGUCUUCUCCUUCAUUUUCAUUUUCUAGCCAACCAAACUCUGAGGAUUUUUCCACAGAGGAUGAGAGGCUAAGCUUUUUGUAUCUUGGAGUAAGGAAAUCCAGGUAAGUUUCCACAUGCAUAAAUUGGAAGUUUUGUUGUUUUAGUUUUUAAUGAAGAGAAAGUGUGACCCGUUAAUGGUUUUUAUCUUUGUAGUUAACUUAAAACGCCUUUAAAUCACCUGGGCCAACACUUGGUAAGGCAAGUGAUCUCCGUCCAUGGAGAUGCACUAGUUUACCCCUUGCGAGCCUUUGGGAGGUGACUUGAAGGUAGGAUUUUCUAGAAUAGCCAACACUUGGUAAGAUUUUGGACUCCAAGGAGACAUCCAUUAGUUAUCUCUUGCGAGCUUUUGAAGGGAAGUCCAAGGUUAAAGAUCAUCUUGAAUGGUAAGUGCUCGUGAGAGGCAUGAACCAUUGUAAGUUGCAUCAGUGAGAGAGAUUUAGUGUUUGAACCCAUUAAUGGGAAGCAUCUGUACAACACCGGUUGGAGAAGGAACUAUAUGUUAAUUCUCUAAUGCGAGGAAAAGAAACAAGUGACCGGAACUCCCUUUUUGUAUGAGGAACCUGAGCCUAGUGAUCUAAACUCCAAGAAACAUUUUUCUUUGUAAGUAAAAUCAGUUACUAUUUUUGGUUAGCUUAAAACCAAUCCUUUUUCAUUCAAACAUCUUUAUGUUUUCUUUUAAAGCUAACCUUGAAAUGAAAAGGCACCAAUUCAACUUUGAAUUAACAUCAUUUGUGAAGUGAAAACCCAUCCCAGUGAACGAUCCUAGAGCCACUAUGCUAUAGUAGCUUUGUCUUUGCUACCCUAGUAUAUGGUGUAAUAGGUUAUAAAUUUUGUUGAUUACUCCCUCAAUCAAGGAGCACCAGCUGGACACGAAUCAGCUGAGACACCAAUUGGGCACGAAUCAAAUGGCGCCGCUGCCGGGGAUCGAACCCCGAAUCAGAUGGUGCCAUUGCCACUUCCGCUGCUAGGGACGAAUCAAAUGGCGCCGUUGCCGGGGAUCGAACCUCGAAUCAAAUAGUGCCAUUGCCACUGCCACUGCUAGGGACGAAUCAAAUGGCGCCGUUGCCGGGGAUCGAACCCCGAAUCAAAUGGUGUCGUUGCCACUACCACUAUCGCAAGAGAUAACUAAUGGAUGUCUCCUUGGAGUCCAAAAGCUUACCAAGUGUUGACAAUUCCAGAAAAUCCUACCUUAAAGUCACCUCCCAGAGGCUCGCAAGGGGUAAACUAGUGCAUCUCCUUGGUUGGAGAUCACUUGCCUUACCAAGUGUUGGCCUAGGUGACUCAAGGUGUUUUAAGUUAACUAAAAACAUAGAAAUCACUAAAGGAUUUCACUUCCUCUUCAUUGAUGGCUGAAAACACAAAGCUUUGCAUCCAUGCACUUGGAACCUUCCCCGGCAACCUUAGCUCCAAGGAACUAGAGAUUUAGUUACUCAUUCUCUAGGGAAAAUUCCUCAGAGAGUUCAUAACUUAAUAAGAAAAUAAAAAAUACAAAGUGAGAAGGUAAGGCAAAACAAAGGACCUGAACUUUACUUGCUUUCCCAAAACUUUACAAAGGGUCUCCUCCUUGAGAACAGGCUCUCGAGAGGUAUAUAUAUGAACAUCAUACAAAACUAAUUAUUACAUGGAUAUUUACUCUUUUUACUAACUUAAAAGCUAAGGAAUCUUGUAAUUGGUGGCUUACAAGGAGUAUUUUGGGAUUUAGACAACAAAAAUCUGAUGGAAAAUAUCUCCCAAUGUUGGUAGCAAAUAUCGGGACGCACUAGGGACCAUUUCGCAAGAGAAAAUGAUGUCUGCGAGAUUUCGCAGAGAUACAAAAAGGGUUGCGAAAUCACUUCGCAACAAAAGGCUAUUCUCGCAGGGCUGCGAAGUUGGCUUCCAUCUUGAGGUUCUCAGCUUCCAACUUGUCGCAUAUAUCGGGCAACUUCAGGAGGAAAACCACCACACUGUACAAAAAGGCUGCAAAAUCACUUCGCAACAAAAGGGUGAUUUCGCAACACUUUUGCAAAAUGCUUCCUUCAGCUUAGAGUGAUUGACUUGCAGUGGCUGUAACUUCUUCGUUUCAACUCCGAAUUGUGCACCGUUUGAAGCAUUGGAUUGUUGACUUCCUGAGCUUUGAAAUGGUAUAUAGCAUGCAUCAAUUGGACUUCAGGAAGUGCUCCAAAAGUGGCUGUCACGACUGUCAUCAAGAAUAUGCUUUAUGGCAGAUUCUCUUUACUUCUUCUCCUUGCAUUCCGGAUUUACUCUUGGAAAAGGGCUUCAAAGCUUUAGUUCUUCAUCUUUCUGAGCUUCCAAUUGCUUUGCCCAAGAUUCCAAAGAACUCUCCUCAAUCUUGGAUUGCUUUGGUGAUCAAAUUACUAACAAAAACACCAAAACUUACACAAAGUGAUUAGAAUUGAUUGCAAGGGUCCUUAACAUGCCAAUUGAGUUAAAAGGCCAAAAUUACUACUCAAAAGUGUUUAAAAGGGUUUAAUACAAGCUACCAAAGAGCACUUUUUGAGUAGUAAUCACUCCCCCCAACCGACAUAUUGCUAGUCCCUUAGCAAAAAAUGGAGAGAGAAAAAUAUAAAAGCAAACUAAACUAUAAUUUACAACAUCAUGCUAAAAAAAACAAUUUUCAAGUGCAUGAUGAUCUAACUCUCACAUGAGACCUUAAAGAAAUACAAACCCAACUUUCAACAAGAGUUAUCACAAACUAUGCUAAACAUUGUCAAUCAAGGGAAUGCAUUAUGCAAACUGAAGUUUUAAAAUCAUUUCCACUUUCAAAGAACCAAACUUUAUUCUUCCUCAAAAAUCUAUGUGUAUUGGUUCCUUAGCUUCCGAAAAUAAUAUGCUGAACUAAUCUCUCCCCCCAACCUAUCUCUUUUCAACACUUAGCAAACUGACCAAAAUCAAUAAGAAAAGAACACACUUUUUUUUUUUUAAGGAGGCUUAAUGGGGUAUUCUUUUUGAAUAGUCCAUGUAAUGGGGGUCCAUCGAUGACUCCCAACCAAUUAAGGUUUAGGGCAUCAAGCUUUAAGGAUCUUUCAACCACUAACUCCUCGGAUUUUUCCCCGGACUUUUGAGAAUGAAUUUCUAAUACCCAAGCACCUACCAUAUGCUAACUCCACCUAUCUACCCUUGUAAUGAGCAUUGAGGUCGGUGACUCCCAACCAAUUAAGGCUUAGGGCACCAGGUUUUAAAGAUUUUCACCAUAUACCCCUCAGACCUUGCUCGGGUUUCAAGGCAAGCAAACACUUUCUUUCUUUAUUUCAAAGGCUCAUUGGCCUUUCAUAAGGUGUCUCAACUUUAUUAAAUGAGGUCAAAUGUACCAAGUCCCAAAAUUAUCCUCAGUCAAGAGGGAAAUAGCUUUUCAUCUUAUAGUCGGAAUCUAUUGUGCACAGUGUGUGGAUAGCUUAAAGUAGAAGAACUAAAUUCAAUUACAAUAGAAGCUUCAACAAUUGAACCACUUUAGUGAGCAUAAUCCAUACUCUAAGUCAAGUGAAAAGCAACAGUUCAAUUUCUCCUGUUUUAAUUUGAAAAUUUUUCCUCAAAAUCCAUGGAGAUUAGAGUAAAAAGAGUAAAAAGCAAAAACUACAACUGUUUUACCAACAUAAUUGCAUUAUCAAAAAGAUUUAGCAUACUUCCUUUAACUUAGCAUACUUCCUUCCUCAUUUCUCUCUCUCUCUCUCUCCCCCCCCCCCCCAACCGAACUGAGCAUUGUCCUCAAUGUGACAUGGGUGAUUGCAAUUAAAGGGAGGAAGUGGUACCUCCUGAGUGAUAUCAAUUUCGAAUACUGAUUGGAGAAACCACAUGUUUCAAAAAGAAUAAAAGAUGUGAGAAAAGGAAAUAAGGAUAAAUUAAUGCUAAAUGUUAACAAAAAAUUUUAGACUUGUACUACUUUGAAUCCAUUUGAGUACAAUGAAAAAGAAGGCAAUACAAGCAAUCCCAUAUAUGGUACCAAAAUAAUGGGAUUUCUUACAAACUAAAAAAAAACGAAAAACAUAAAAAACAUAGGCAGUAGAUAUAUAUAAUGAUCUGAUGAGUGGGUGGUGUUGGGACUAGGCAGACGGGUCUGCCUCUUCAGUUGGUGCUCCAGAUGGGGCCUGAGGCUCUGUGGGAUGAGAGUGUGGCACUGCAGUAGUGGAGGUGGAGAGCUCAGCAGCUGGUGGCAGAUCGAAAUGAUGCUGGAGCUGCCUUAAGAUGGCAGUGUGCUGAGCCUGGAUGGCCAACAUCUGCUCUUGGCAUGCUCGAAUGGCUGCCAUCUCAUGAGCAAGGCUGCUCUGAGAUGCUGUGAGGGUAUCCAAUGAACGGCAUAACUCUCUGUAUUCAGAAAUGGGAAUGGCCAUCCUUGGUUCAGCUGAAGUGGAUGGUUGAGAUAAAGCUGGAGUAACUGGUGGAGCUUUGGGAAUGGCAGGAGCAGCAAUAGGUAUACCUUCAGGUAUGUGUCAUGGGAAUGCUCUCCUAGCAGCUGGCUGUGGGCGCUCUGGCUGGUCAACUCUAUAGGCUGUCAUGUUGUUCCAUUUGUCAAGAGUAAAUACCUCUCGGCAAAUGCGCUUGCGCUCCAACUGAGGAUCAGAAGGAUACCCCAGGUGCUCCAGAAUUUGGCACAGUAGCCUUGGAAAGAGAAGAGGAAUGGUAUCAGCUCUCUGCAGCUUCUUUUUAUGCACCUUCUCUUCAAAAUAGAGAAGGACUGCCAUAAUUAGAUGGUGAGGGCUGAAGAAAUAUCCCUCAGACAUCCUGAACAGGGCUUCUAACAGGACUCCUCUCCUUUGAGUCCAAUGCUGCAGUGGGUAGAGGUUAUGACGCAAAAAUGCAUCAAUAAGAAACAUGAUUGGAGGAAGCUCCCCCCUCAACAGAUGUGAUCGUGUGGAAUCUCCUCUAGAUAGGAUAUGCACCAUUUCCAGCUCAGUAGGACUGGUCCACACUCUAAAAUCAUCAAAAUGGCUCGGCUCAUAGGGUAUUUGCAAGGCCUCAGCUAUAUGGCGAGCUCCCAAUAUGCCAUGCCUCCCAUCAAUGGUAAAAUGAAUUAGAGUUGGAUCCCUUACCUGUUUAGUGGUCAUGGACUGAUAAAAAUCCAUGGCUACUCUUGGGUAGAAGAAGUCCCUUGGAGUCAGCAGGUGCUCCAUAUGGUAUCUUCGCAGCAGGUGGAAUGACUGUGCAAGCUUCGGCCGCAAUUGGAAUGUGGUUGUGUCAAAGCACAGCUCGGAGUGGAAUGGCCGAGCUUUACAGUCCAAAUUCCCCUCAAUUGGGGGCUGAGUCAGCAUCGGCCGCCUGAUUAUUUCUUCCGGAGCUAUUUCAGAUGGAAUUUGGGGCUCGGGAAGUGGCGGCUGAGGCUCUUUAGGCUUUGCUGGCGGCGCCGGAGAUGGAAUUGCAGAUAGAACUGGUGAGGGUUCUGGGGACUGCUCCGUUAAAUCAAUGGGCUCUGAGCUUUCAACCCUGGCUCUCUUUUGUAGUAGUCGACCCCCUGACCUGGUAAGAUAACGCCUCGCCGGAGGCUUCUGCGGCGCGGGCUUCGCCGGAGGAGAAACUGCUUUCGGCCGUAGAGGCUUAGAGAUGGGUUCUGGAACGGGCUCCUCUCACGGGACUUUCUUGCGGCUUGAAGGAGAGGACGACUUGGCCCCUCUGGUUCGCGCCAUUCCGGGUUGCCGAAAUUUGGCUGGAAUUGAUGACCGGAGAAGAUGAACGGAGGUUUGUGUGGUGUCGGGCUUGAGCAAGGAGAUGAAUAGUCUGCAAGAAUGGCGCGCUCUAUUUUUGAAACCCUUUCGCAGCUCAAAUGACCGGUAUAUAUAAAAAUAACGGAAGAUUAAUGGUCAUUUUGAGCUUCGUAGAAAAAGGCCAAUUUCGCAGCAAAAAGUCAUUUUCGCAGCCACUUCGCAAUCCGUUUCGCAGCUGCGAAUUGAGUGUCACUGUGUUACGAAGUGGCACACGUGUGCCAAAAUCGCUUUCGCAAUUGCGAAAUACCCUGCAGAAUGGAACUUUGGUUGCGAAAUUAGAGAUUUUCACGCUUUAUCGCUUCGCAGCCGUUUCGCAGCUGCGAAAUGGGGGCUCCUGUGCUGUGAAGUGGCACUCGUGUGCCAAAAUUGACUUCGCAGCUGCGAAAAUUCUCGCAGAGAAUUCCAAUGAGUUGCGGAAUGGUUUGGCAGCAAAGUUCUAAUUUCGCAAAGAAUUUCCUUAUGCUGCUGUGGACCCACAUUUUUCACGUGCGUCCCCACUCGAUCGGCGAGACUCGCUUUUUAUUUGUGAAAAAUUAAUUUUUAGAAAAGUUGGAGUCGCCACUUAUUUUAUUUUUAUUUUAAAGGGAAAAUAAAACAAGAAAGAAAAACCCUAAAAUGUGACUCCAUAAUUUUUGGAAAAGCAUGUCUUUGAAAAACCCGAGUCUAGGUCCGGGGAUUAGGUUACUUAUUAGGAAGGUACCUCUAGGAGAUAGCACCCUUCUAAGCCCUAUAAAGGUCUCUACUGACUAAGUUAAGGGAAGUGCGGCAAUUAAUCGGUACGUUAUAGGUAUCUAAAUAGGCUAGGUGAUUUCAAAUAUAUAGCAUGCCAAACAAGAUUUAAUCACAAUAAGAGAGGGUUAAGAUGCGUACCCGGAUCACUUCUCGAGCGCUAACACAAGACAUUAAAGGUUAGUUUGGAAAUAUGACACAUAGUAUGUAUUUUCAUCAAAGACGAUCAAACAAGCAUCAAGGCAAUCAAUGCAUGUCAUCAAACAAGGGCAUGGUACACAAAGAUAUGGAUAUUCAUGGAAUUUCGAAAGUGGGGAGAUGGAGAGUGUACCUGGAUAGCAAGCUAAUACUCCUCUAUGGGAAACAAAGUUAGAUCAAUAACCAAUUCAAAAUAAUCUCAUAUAUAACACAAAGAGGAAGCACAAUCAAUCAAUUAUCAAACAAACACUAUCGAAGAGAAUAUCAUGAAUAUCGGGCCCCCACCAAAGCCCUAAUUAAUUUCGCAUGAGUUUGUUCCAUGAAUUCCAUUGCUUGGAAUCAUAAAAUUUAUUCAUGCUUAAUAAAAUCGAGAAAAUCAUGAAAAUAGUUGAAAAUAAAAGAAAAUAGUGAAAGUGCAUGCCUGGAGGAAAAUGGCAGCAAAAUGGUGUUGAAAUUUGGAUUUUAAUGCCUAGAAACUCUUAAGGAAUUUUAAAGAAAACUAUAAUUAUUUUUUUGCCAGAAAAAGGUUUUGAAAUCCAGAUUUAAGAUGUAUAAGAUCACAAAGAGAAGAAGAAGAAACACUAGGAGGGGUACAAUGUGUGGCAAGGUGGCCAUGCAUAGCACGUGAAGAAAGUCACGUGGGAAGGGGGUGGAUAGGUAGAGAACAGUGCACCUUGGAGGGUUGGAAAGGAGUUGGUCGUUCAUACUAGGGUAGCCAUGUGUGCCACCUAGAAUCUUUUACCCCUCAUAGAAGGAAAUAGGAUUGCGGUCCACAAGCUGCUCAAGACCGAAAUUCCUCUGGUCUUCAUGUCGUAAGAAAAGAUUCUUGUCCUGUCACGGAUCACCAUUGUAUCACUUUGCUGUGUAUUUCCACGGUGUCUGAGUAGAGUUUUUUACAGCAUGUGCACGGUUAUAGUCUCGCCAAAACUGAACAAAGCUCCUCUUGUUUCCAAGCUCAAGGCACCUUACAUGAAGACCUUAAUAAGUCACCUUUCGGUAAAGCAAUAAUCUACCUCUCAUCCGACCUCGAAUAUCUGACCUUCAAUAAUCUUAUAAACCUCCAUAGGCAAAUAGUUUGGCUUUCGUCGAUUUCCCAUUUGCAGAUAAUGUUGUCGAAAUGAUGACCCAUACCCAUUUUUAUGCAUGUCCAGAAAGUACAGUGUUGCAAGUAAUCACAUCAGGUUCCGUCCAUACUUAUGCAUCAAUCUAGAAAGCUUAGCACAUCCUUCAACUUUUCUGCUCUCUGUUCAGGUUUGACUUUACAUUAUGUAGUGUCGCGGCAGGGAUAAAUUCAUUCUGAUCUUCGUCGAAGGCUUGGAAUGCUUCUUUCAACUCCUUUAAUCACUAUACCAGUUGCUUGAUACCGAUCAUCAAAAUCAUGCCUUCCAGUCUGAAUUAUAUUCCAUCAACCCCAUUGCUAGUAAUUCGUCAUCUGAAUCGGUGAAAAGCACUCGAUUUGCAACAGGUGUGGGAGGUGGCUUAUGUGGAAACAGUGCUGAAUUGAACAAUGGAAAAAAUUUCUGGGCUAACUUGACAAUUUCCUUAUGGACCAGAGCAACUGACUGCUUCUUGGUACUCUCCACAAGUGCAGCAGCCAAUGUCUUUUUAGGUGGUUGGUGACUAGAUGAAGAAACUAGCUCCAUGUUGGUAGCAGGAGGCAUGGUUCCUCUCGAAACUUCGCCACUCUUCAGCAAGUGACUGGAAACUAGGAAAGGGGAACAAAGGUUCCCUAUCAAAUCGGGAAUCACAAGUACCUUGCACAUGUUGGCGCUGAUACUCUCGCACAGCUGUAGAAAUAUCAUCCAUGUAUCCUCUAACUAAACUAAGUGGAGCAACAUCCAAAAUGGAUAGAACUGGACCACAUACAUACGACACCCAGAAAGAGGCUUUAAUUUGAAAGGAAUUGACAUGCCCAUUAACUGUUGGAUUCUCGUCACCCAAAUACAUCAAUUCACAUCUAAUGGCCACUGGAAACUACAGAAAUAUCAGUAUUCCUAGACGAGUCUUCCCAUGCAAAACAUAUAUCCUUCCAACUUCAGCUUCUAUGCCUUUGCCGUUACGCAAACAGAACUGUUUCUUAGCUUCAGCCAGAGGAGUUGGAAUUCUGGACCUUCGCGAUCUGGAUGGCUCAAAUUCUCAGAAAAUAUGUCAAAUGCAUCCACGGCCUUCUCUGAUUCAAUCAGCUGAUUCGUCAGAUCCUAGUUUAUUUUCAUCGCUUCAGUCAACUUCUGCCGACUCUAGAGGUCCCAAUAUUCUGCUAUCAGUGGCUUACUUAUCAAUUCCCUGCAUGUAUGCUUUCCUUGCUUGUCAAGUGAAUGCUUGAUGGUUCUUCUGCUUUUGUGGAUCCCCAGAGUUUGAAAAUCAUUCCGCAAUCUGAAAUUCUACUUCAUUUUUAAUGUUUUUAUCUUCUUCACUCAAGGAGUUCUCUGAGUCGCCUCCGAUUGCAAGAUUAGAAGGGGUAAAAAGAUCGGACUGGUUUGGUCAGGGAGGGGAGCAGGUUUCUGAGACCAGUUCGCAGAUUCCAAUCUAGCAAGACAGUCAACAGAAAAAAAAUCUUGGAUCCGCCUGGAGAGGUUAUUGUGAUACUGCCACUAUCAGAACUUGUAUUUGUUACUGCUUUCAAAAUGGCAGCCAAUGCAACAGAAUUAAAUAAUUCCUUUCUAUCUCCUUCUUCAUCAGUGUCCACUUCUUCAUCUGAAUCACUUAUAAUUUGACCACCAAUUCUUUGUGAAUGGUCACGAGAACUCUCUGCACUAGAGUGAGAACCUCCACUUAAUACUUGCUCCAAUUCCUUCAAGAAGUGUUUGGCAGCUUCAGAACCUUCAAGAACCAUACCUUUAAACUCUUCAUCUGUAACUGAGCCUUCAAUCCCACUUUCUUUAUCAUCUUCAUUUGAGUAAUGAUCGGUUUCGUCUAGUUUUAUUGUUAUGUUAAAAACUGGACUGAGAUCCGCAGAUUCAAGUGACUCUGAUUUGCCAGAGACCGCAUUUUCCAGUUCAGCGCCCUAUGCAUUAACAUGUGUAAGUCUGUUUUCUAACUGUUUUGACUCAAGUGUUAGGUUCUCUAUGGUAGAGCAUAAGGUAAAGAGGAGUUCACUUAUUGGACUGCUUCAACAUCCUGCACAGUUGCCCCACUGUGUUUAAACUACUUCAAAGAGGCAUUUUUUAAUCGUAUCCAAUGCUAUUGAAGAUGUCCCAAUUCUCUUCUGAAUUUCUAUAGACCAGUCAUACAGCCCAGCGUCCUGACACUGGUGAGGAGCUUCAAGCAGAAAUUGCUAUCUUGCUUUUACAUCAGUCAGAAAACGAGCCAGUUUACCUUCUUCUCCAGCACCUCUCAGACCAAGUAAAAGAUAAAUCCACCAUUCCUUAAUAACAAUUCCGUGAGGAGUUGCUCCAGCGUCAGAUUUUUCUGCCAUUGCUGACUUUUAUUACCUCUUCCAGUUCAUGACAACUGUCCAUCUCCCCCUGUAGCAGCAGCUCAUGCAUAAUAUUUCAAUACUGUUGAAAGAUCACCAGUACGUAAAUACAUCGAUCUAUAUUGUUGAAUCAUGCUAGAUGCCUCUUGUUUCAGACUGAUCAGUAACCUCUUCUCGAAGCAAAUUUCUGGAACAUUUAACAGCUGCUCAAACGAAGUGUCAUCUUCAUACAUAAAUAGUUGGAGGAAUGACAAGGCAAGGUCUAUGCAUUUUUCCCAAUACGUUUCAUGGUCCACAACCAAACACUUAAGAAUAUGUCUUUGAAGCCACUCAUAAAGCUCUGAUAGACCUUUCUUUUGACCGCGUCAUUCCAAAUUUGAAUUCAGGUCAACUAUCACGCAUGAAUUUGUAGUUGCAUGUGCACAUUGUUCUCUGAUUUCUUCUCUCAGAUUGGGACUCUCAGAGGACCACUUUAUUCCACCAAUGAACAGAAGAACUGAACCAGAUUUCUCAAAAAUACAACUUUUGCUUAUAGCAACUGAACAUUCUUUAGACUAAAAGCGUCUGAGCAUCUCUAAGUGUCACCAUUCUGACUAGCACAAACGUCAUUCAAUGAAUCCCAGGCACAUUCGACAAGCAAAAACUGAUAGAAUCCAAACAUAUUUUCCCAAGUUGAUCUUCAUGUCCCGCGAGAAUCUUGCUUGCCAAAUAUUGAACAUAUUGAAUCUCAUAAAUGACCACAGGAACCAUGCGUGGUACUAAAUCUUCUAAUAAGAUGAAACCAGAAUUUUUAUUUUUCCAUUGCAGAGAAACCAAAAUUUCUCCUCGAGGUCGGUGAUCCUUCUCCAUAUGAUGAUAAGAUCAGAGAGAGUGGCAACAAGGUUGCUUCCAUGAAAAUCACCAGUCGUAUCAUGAACUUCCCUUUUCUAAUCAGAAACGAAAAUCAAACUUCCAGAAUUUCUCCCAUUUUUCCAAGAUCGGUGACGUGUGAUAGGUCCGAAUUUUAAUGAUCCGUGUUCUAGAUCUCUGCAGUUCACUACCAUGCCUUGGAAUCAACUAUCCAAUAUUUGAGUGAGGUUGCUGCGUACUUCAUCUCUCACAUUGACACUUCCAUUAUUCCUCAGUGUAUACCCAAACGCAAUGACAAGGGUUCGGAAAGCAUUCCGGAAAGGGACAGAAAGGAAAUAAAAUAAAAUAAAAGCGAAGCAAAACUCGGAUAAGGAAAUAGCGGAAGAUGUUGAUCAGUAAACAUAAAUAGCCCCACUUCAAACAUUAAACCGUGGGCUAAAAACUGGAGGGACGAUGCAGAAUGGGAUUUGAAAGAAAACAGAGCAUGCUCAAAUUCAUGAAUUCUAGAAGACAUCAACGACAUGUAAAAGAAACAUAAUCAGAACCAAAAUAGGACAAACAAAAGAUCUACCAAUCUCAAUAGAGCAAUUUGUGGCCCUUAACGUCCACACCAAUCAGCAAAGAUUGAAUAUUCAAAAUGGUCAGAGGAUCAUGGAGUAUUGAAUGUAAACGGGAAUAAAAAAAAGUAGCAAGAAGCAUACCCGGCAGCUUUGACUCAAUUCCUUUCUUCUAGAUAUGAUUCUUCUCCCAAAUCCUUUAGAAACUCGUGUACAUCAGUCCCUGUUCUUCUCACCCAAAACAAUCCAAAGAAUCCCCUAAUACCUCUCGCCUCCUUUCUUCCUUUUCUCCUAUAUAUAUCACCCUUCAAGACCUAAAUUUGUUUCCAAAAAGGAAAAUUCUCCUCUUUUCAUUCUUUUUCUCUUCUUUUUUUUAAAUCUUCCAAUCAAAAGCAAUCUUCCCAAUUUCAAAUUCCCCUCCAAAACCUUCCAAAGAGAGUCCCACCUUCCUUAAACUCCAAUGGUAAGUUUCCUUGCAAAAACAUGAAAAUUUUAAAGUUAAAUCAUUGAAUGAAUAAAUAAGCAAGUAAAUAAAUUAGGAAACGGUAAAAAUAAAUAAAUAAAUAAAUAAUAAAUAAGUUAAGGAAAAUAAUAUAAAGAGGAGAAUAACUAAUAAAAAGUGAAUGAUAAUCAUAAAACUAAAACUAAAAUAAAAUAAAAUAAAAUAAAAUAAAAAUAAACCAAUAAACAAAAGCCGAGCCCAAAAGCCAUGUAGCCAUGCAAGUCAUACAAGUCACGCUAAAAAUGUCCAAAUGGGCCAAGUGUGCCUAAACGGGCUUAUGAUGAGACUAAGCAGGCCUAGGGUGGUGUCUAAUGGGCCAAGUGUAUCUAAAGGCUAUCCUAAAAAAACAAGAAAAGCCUAAGUCUAAAUUAGGGCUGCCAAGGGUCAUAAUAAGGGAUCAAAUAAUCCCUCAACCAAAGUCUCCAAGGUGACUCAGAAAAAGGUAAGUGGUGAGUAGUACUGGGCCACCAAGGAACUACUGUGGAGCACUGAAAAUGAAUUUAAAGACAUGUGCUAAAGGAACAAAAUUGAGGGUCUACAGCUGCGGAAUCUCGUAGAGCCCUGUUUUUGCUCUGUUUACACUCUGUUUUUGCUCUGUUUUCACUCCGAUUUCUCUCCGAUUUCUUCAUUUCAAUUUCUUUGCAUUUUCUUCCACCUGAGAUCAUUCAAAAAGAUUAAAACAUAUAUAAAAACAUGAUUUAAGAUCAAAAACUAAGAUCAAAAGUAUGGAAAAAACUUUGAAAUUUACAAAAUUUACAAAAAUUUUGGAAUGUGGUAAAACCACGUCCACCAAACCCUUAUUUGCUUAGGCUUUUUGUGGCUCAAGGAGGUUGAUUUCCUCCUUUUCUGGUUUGAAUGGCUCCAUGAAUGGCUUGAGACGAUAUCCAUUGACUCUAAAGGUGUCUUUGCCAUUGGAAUUCAAUAAUUCCAUCACUCCAUUGGCAUAUACUUGGUGAAUAAUGAACGGGCCUAUCCAUCUUGACUUGAGCUUUCCAGGAAAGAUAUGGAGUCUUGUGUCAUACAGUAAAACUCUUUGCCCUUUCUGAAAUUCCUUGUUGGAGAUUAGUUGAUCAUGCCACUUCUUCAUCCUCUGUUUUGCAACUUUGGAAUUGAUAUAAGCAUCAUUUCUUAAUUCCUCCAUCUCAUUAAGGUCUAGAUAUCUCUUUUCUUCGGCUCUGAUCAAGUCCAUGUUCAGCUUCUUAAUUGCCCACCAAGCUUUGUAUUCAACCUCCACAGGGAGAUGGCAUGCUUUGCCAUAGACAAGACGAUAGGGAGACAUGCCAAGAAUAGUCUUAUAAGCUAUUCUAUAUGCCCACAAUGAAUCAUGAAGCCUAAUAGACCAAUCUUUUCUACUUGAAUUCACCACUUUCAUCAAUAUGUUCUUUAUUUCCCUAUUAGCUAGCUCAACUUGCCCGGAAGUAUGAGGAUGAUAAGGUGUAGCUACCUUAUGCUUCACUCCAUACUUGGAUAAUAGAGCUUCAAAAGGUUUGUUGCAAAAAUGAGCACCUUCAUCACUGACUAUGGCUUUGGGCACCCCAAAUCUUGAGAAAAUGUUCUCUUUAAGAAACUUGAGAACCACCCUGUGAUCAUUUUGUUUACAGGGGAUUGCCUCAACCCAUUUAGAUACAUAAUCCACCCCCACCAAGAUGUAAGAAUUACCAAAAGACAUUGGGAAAGGCCCCAUGAAAUCAAUGCCCCAUACAUCAAAUAGCUCAACUAUUAGAAUGGGGUUCAUAGGCAUUUGAUUUCUUUUUGUUAGCUUUCCAAGCCUUUGGCAUCUAUCACAACUCCUACACAUGAUGUGGGCAUCUUUGAAAAGAGAUGGCCAAGUAAACCCUGAUUGCAACACCUUCAUGGCUGUUUUCUGAGAGGCAAAGUGGCCUCCACAUGCAUUCUCAUGACAAUGGUUUAGAAUUCCUUGCUGCUCAUCUUCAGGGACACACUUCCUUAUGAUCUGAUCUGCACAAUACUUAAAAAGAAAGGGCUCUUCCCAAUAAUAAGCAUGAACUUUUGAAAAGAAAUGUUUCCUGUCCUAUGCAUUCCACUCACUUGGAAUUUCACCAGUUACUAGAUAAUUAGCAAUAUGAGCAUACCAAGGAGUUUUUACUAGGAACAUGAGUGAUUCUUCAGGAAAAUCAUCAUUAAUAGGCAAGGGAUGGGAAUUAUGUGCUAUAACUAACCUUGAAAGGUGGUCAGCUACCACAUUCUCCACUCCUUUCUUAUCUUUGAUUUGGAGAUCGAAUUCUUGUAACAAAAGAAUCCAUCUAAUCAACCUUGCUUUUGCAUCUUGCUUUGUCAAUAAAUACUUCAAGGCUGAAUGGUCAGUGAAGACAAUGAUGAAAGACCCCACUAAAUAAGCACGAAAUUUGUCCAAAGCAAAUACCAUAGCUAAUAAUUCUUUCUCUGUAGUUGUGUAGUUCCUUUGAGCUUCAUUCAGUGUUUUGCUUGCAUAGUAGAUCACAUAAGGCUUCCCAUCUUCUCUUUGGCCAAGCACAGCUCCUAUAGCAAAGUCACUGGCAUCACACAUCAGUUCAAAAGGUAGUUGCCAGUUAGGGGCCCUCACUAUUGGAGUUGUUGUUAAAAAUUUCUUCAGUUGAUCAAAGCUAUUUUGACACCUUUCAUCCCAUAUAAACUUAGCAUCCUUAGCUAACAGCUCACAAAGAGGUUUUGAAAGACUUGAAAAACCUUUUAUAAACCUCCUAUAGAACCCUGCAUGGCCAAGGAACUGUCUUACUCCUUUUACAGUUGUUGGGGAUGGUAAUUUGACAAUAAGCUCCACCUUUGCUUUAUCAACUUCAAUGCCUUUUUCAGAGAUGAUAUGGCCAAGGACAAUUCCUUGACGUACCAUAAAAUGGCAUUUCUCCCAGUUAAGCACCAGGUCUUUUUCAAUGCAUCUGUGAAGAACCACUUCCAAAUUGAUUAAGCAUUCCUCAAAUGUACCUCCAUAUACGGUGAUGUCAUCCAUGAAAACCUCCAUAAUUCGCUCCACCAUAUCACUGAAAAUACUCAACAUGCAUCUUUGAAAUGUAGCAGGUGCAUUGCAUAAACUAAAAGGCAUUCUCCUGUAAGCAUAUGUUCCAAAUGGACAUGUAAAAGUGGUCUUUUCCUGAUCUGCCACAUCAAUUUCAAUCUGAAAAUACCCUGAAUACCCGUCCAAGAAGCAAUAGAACGGAUGUCCAGAGACUCUCUCCAGCACUUGGUCAAUAAAUGGCAAUGGAAAAUGAUCUUUCCUGGUUACAACAUUCAAUUUUCUAUAAUCAAUACACACCCUCCAACCUGAAGUGAGGCGUGUAGUAAUUUCUUCUCCUUUUUCAUUCUGAACCACUGUAAUCCUUGACUUCUUUGGUACCACUUGAGUAGGACUCACCCAAGGGCUAUCAGAUAUAGGGUAAAUAAUGUCUGCUUGAAGUAGCUUCAGCACCUCAGCUCGCACCACCUCUUGUAAAUGAGGAUUCAAUCUUCUUUGAAGUUGACGAAGUGGCUUUGCUUCCUCCUCCAUAUAUAUAUGAUGCGUGCAAACUAAAGGACUAAUGCCUUUCAAGUCAGAUAUUUGCCAUCCUAUUGCUUUCUUACACCUCUUGAGAACUUCCAUUAAACAAUUCUCUUGAUGACUGGUCAGAGAUGAAGAUAUUACAACAGGACAUUGAUUAUUCUUCUCAAGAUAUAUAUAUUUCAGCUCCACAGGUAGAGGCUUCAGAUUGAGUUUUGGAAUUUCUUUUUCAGCAGCUGCCUCUUCUUCUUUAUUGAACAAAGGUAGAAUCUCUACUAUCUUUCUCCAACUUUGUAGAGUAGCAAGCACAGUAGGGGAUUUAGACAAACCUUCCUCAAAAUCCACAAGACUUUCAUUCAACUUGUCUUGCAUAUUUUGAUUACAGUGCUCCUCCACUAAAGUGUCAAUAAUGCACAGCUCUUCUGGACCCUCUUCUUCUUCCGGAGUGGUUUGCUUUUUAGACAUAUAAAAGACAUUGAGAUCAAGUGUCAUGUUGCCAAAAGUGAGUUGCAUCAGCCCAUUCCUGCAAUUGAUGAUUGCAUUUGAGGUAGCAAGAAAUGGCCUUCCAAGGAUGAUAGGAACUAAAUUAGCUUCCUUUACAAUAGGAUUUGUAUCAAGAACAAUAAAAUCUACUGGAUAGUAGAAAUUAUCCACUUGAACCAAGACAUCCUCAAUUACCCCCCUUGGAAUUUUCACUGAUAUAUCUGCUAAAGAUAGAGUGAUUGCUGUUGGCUUCAAUUCUCCAAGUCUCAAUUGCUUGUAGACAGAAUAUGGAAGCAAAUUCACACUUGCCCCUAAGUCUAACAAAGCUUUCUCCACUACCUUUCCUCCAAUCAUGACUAAAAUGGUAGGACUUCCCGGAUCUUUGUGCUUCAAUGGAGACUUACAUUGUAAGAUUGCACUUACUUGCUCAGUUAAGAAGGCUUUCUUGUUUACAGUUAACCCUCUUUUGAUAGUACAUAAGUCCUUUAGAAAUUUUGCAUACGUUGGAACUUGUUUAAUCAUAUCCAGCAAUGGGAUAUUUACUUUCACUUGUCUCAAUACUUCAAGGAUUUCAGCUGCAUUUCUAAUCCCCUUUUUCCCAUGUAAUGCUUGAGGAAAAGGUGGAGAAGUUGAUUUCUUCAACAUUUCUUCCUUCAGAAGUUCCUUCUCUGGAAUUGCAUUCAUUGUUGAAUCAGAGUCCUUCUUCUCUUCACUGAUCUCACUCUCUUUAUCUUCCAUUUCAUCCCCUUUCUUUAUAUCUUCUUCUUUCUGAACAUGUGGCUUGGUUGUUGGCUUCUCAAUUUUUUUACCACUCCUUAGAGUGAUCAAGGCUUUGACAUCUUUCAUCUGUGAUGAUUCUCCCUCUUGGCUUUCCACUUCAUGGACACCCUUGGGGUUUUGGUGGGGUUGAGAAGGAAAUCUUCCCUUUUCCUGCACUGUGUUCAAAUUUGUGAGCCUUGAAAUUAAAUAUUGGAUAUUAUCAAACUUUUGGGAUAUAUCAUUUUGCAUUCCAUCCAUCUUUUUAUUCAAAGUACUCUCCACUCUGUCAAUUCUUUGAUUGAUUUGAGCAUUGGUGGCUUCUUGGUUUCCAACAAAAUCUCCCACUACCUUGCUGAGAUUCGCUAUUGCUUGUUCAAGACUUGAAGAUUGUUGAGAUGGUGGAUCCGGCUGUUGGUAUUGAGUUGCUCUAGCCUUCCAUGAGAAAUUUGGAUGAUUCCUCCAACUUGAGUUGUAAGUAUUUCCAUAAGGUGCAUUGUUAUUGGGCUUGAAUUGUCCAACAACAUUUGCUUGAUCUCUAAACAUCUCCCUUUCAGCUGAAAUUGCAGGGCAUUCCUCCACCAAAUGUUCAUAUGAUUUACAAUUGGGACACAGCUUCACUUGCACUGGUGCUUCAGCAACAACUUGUACUUCAUGUAUUCUUUUCAGCUCCAGCUCCUCCAAUCUUCUAGUCAUAGCUGCCAACUUUGCUUUCAUAUCAUCAUCUUCUUUCAAGGUAUACAUCCCAGCCUUUGCAUUGAAAGCACUCAGUUGAGACUUCAUCUUACCCACUUCUCCUUUGGUUUGUUCAUCCCAUCCCCUUGAAACUUCAGCUACAUAGCUCAAGAAAUCCAUGGCUUUCUCCGGAUUUUUGCUCAUGAAAUCUCCUCCACACAUUGUCUCGAGGAGUUGCUUCAUUAAGGAGGACAUACCAUCAUAAAAAUAGCUCACCAAUAGCCAAGUAUCAAAGCCAUGGUGAGGACAAGCAUUUAUAGCUUCCAUAUAUCUUUCCCAACACUCAUAGAAUUUCUCAUUCUCUUUAGCUGAGAAGUUUGAAAUUUGCCUUUUCAAGCCAUUUGUUCUAUGAGUGGGAAAAAUUUUCUUGAGGAAUUCAGCUUGUAAGUCAGUACAAGAACGGAUACUCCUUGGCCUUAAAGAAUUAAGCCAAAUUUUGGCCUUAUCCUUUAAAGUAAAAGGAAAUAACUUAAGCCUCAUCAUAUCAAUUGAAGCUCCUCUCUCUUGGAAUGUAUUACAAACAUCUUCAAAUUCCUUGAUGUGUGCAUAGGGAUUCUCACUUUCCAUCCCAUGGAAAGUUGGUAGAAGUGGAACAAGAUACGGUCUGAUCACUAGUUGCUCUAUAAGGGGCACUAUACAUGAUGGUGCACUCAUACGAGGUGGAUGCAUGCGGUCCCUCAUUGAUCUGAAUUCAUUGAGAUUGUCUUGACGACCUUGGUGACUAUGCUGAUCUUCAGGUGUAGCUUCCAUGAUAUUCAAGCUCAAUUCGAAUUCUUUGUUAUGAGGUGUAUCACACUUAACAAGCCUUCCUCCACUAUCUCGUAUCCACUUUGGCAUACACAACUAGUAUCUAUCUGCAACUUAAAUGAAAAUAAAGGACAACAAAAGAAAACAGGGCUACAACAACAAAAUUAAAUUAAGCUAAAUUUAAAAGAUAAACUUGAAUUAUGAAUAAAUAAAGAAAGAAUGAGAAUUAGUAAAGUGAAAGAAACGUUACCAAACUUGUGAUGAAGAUCACAAGUGCUCUAAAAUGGUAUCACUAUAAACUUGACACCUUCCCCGGCAGCGGCGCCAUUUGAUUCAUGCCCAAUUGGUGUCUCAGCUGAUUCAUGUUCAGCUGGUGCUCCUUGGAUGAGGGAGUAAUCAACAAAAUUUAUAACCUAUUACACCAUAUACUAGGGUAGCAAAGAAAAAGCUACUAUAGUAUAGCGGCUCUAGGAUCGUUCACUGGGAAGGAUUAGCAAAUUAUCAAUGAUACCAAUUCAAAGUGAAUUGGUCUUGUUUCAUUUCAAGGUUAGCUUAAGAAAUAAAACACCAACUUUAAUUGGUAAAGAUUUAGAUUUAAACUAACUACAAAACACGUAAUGGGAAUAACUUAGGAAGAAAAACAUUCCUUGGAAAGUCAGGUUCACUGGGGUGGUUCCUCAUGCAAAAAACAUAGCUCCGGUCAGAUGGUUCAUUUCCUCGCGUUAGAGAUUCAACAUAUAGUCAAUUCUCUAACCGGUGUUGUAUGGAUACAUCCUUUAAUUAGAUUUCAACUUUAAUUCUCUCACCGAUACAACUUGCAAUGGUUCAAGCCUCUCACUAAGCUUUAACCAUUCAAGGUGAUCUUUAACCUUGGACUUCCCUUCACAAGCUCGCAAGAGAUAACUAAUGGAUGUCUCCUUAGAGUCCAAAAGCUUACCAAGUGUUGGCAAUUCCAGAAAAUCCUACCUUAAAGUCACCUCCCAGAGGCUCGCAAGGGGUAAACUAGUGCAUCUCCUUGGUUGGAGAUCACUUGCCUUACCAAGUGUUGGCCCAGGUGACUCAAGGUGUUUUAAGUUAACUAAAAACAUAGAAAUCACUAAAGGAUUUCACUUCCUCUUCAUUGAUGGCUGAAAACACAAAGAUUUGCAUCCAUGCACUUGGAACCUUCCCCGGUAACCUUAGCUCCAAGGAACUAGAGGUUUAGUUACUCAUUCUCUGGGGAAAAUUCCUCAGAGAGUUCAUAACUUAAUAAGAAAAUAAAAAAUACAAAGUGAGAAGGUAAGGCAAAACAAAGGACCUGAACUUUACUUGCUUUCCCAAAACUUUACAAAGGGUCUCCUCCUUGAGAACAGGCUCUCGAGAGGUAUAUAUAUGAACAUCAUACAAAACUAAUUAUUACAUGGAUAUUUACUCUUUUUACUAACUUAAAAGCUAAGGAAUCUUGUAAUUGGUGGCUUACAAGGAGUAUUUUGGGAUUUAGACAACAAAAAUCUGAUGGAAAAUAUCUCCCAAUGUCGGUAGCAAAUAUCGGGACGCACUAGGGACCAUUUCGCAAGAGAAAAUGAUGUCUACGAGAUUUCGCAGACAUACAAAAAGGGCUGCGAAAUCACUUCACAACAAAAGGCUAUUCUCGCAGGGCUGCGAAGUUGGCUUCCAUCUUGAGGUUCUCAGCUUCCAACUUGUCGCAUAUAUCGGGCAACUUCAGGAGGAAAACCACCACACUGUACAAAAAGGCUGCGAAAUCACUUCACAACAAAAGGGUGAUUUCGCAACACUUUAGCAAAAUGCUUUCUUCAGCUUAGAGUGAUUGACUUGCAGUGGCUGUAACUUCUUCGUUUCAACUCCGAAUUGCGCACCGUUUAAAGCAUUGGAUUGUUGACUUCUUGAGCUUUGAAAUGGUAUAUAUCAUGCAUCAAUUGAACUUCAGAAAGUGCUCCAAAAGUGGCUGCCACGACUGUCAUCAAGAAUAUGCUUUAUGGAAGAUUCUCUUUACUUCUUCUCCUUGCAUUCCGGAUUUACUCUUGGAAAAGGGCUUCAAAGCUUUAGUUCUUCAUGUUUCUGAGCUUCCAAUUGCUUUGCCCAAGAUUCCAAAGAACUCUCCUCAAUCUUGGAUUGCUUUGGUGAUCAAAUUACUAACAAAAACACCAAAACUUACACAAAGUGAUUAGAAUUGAUUGCAAGGGUCCUUAACAUGCCAAUUGAGUUAAAAGGCCAAAACUACUACUCAAAAGUGUUUAAAAGGGUUUAAUACAAGCUACCAAAGAGCACUUUUUGAGUAGUAAUCAAUAAGUAGCGGGAUAAAUACGGGGAUUGGAGCAUGGGAAACUGAAAAUUAAGUUCGGAGAUAGGACAAUUGGAAUUUCAGAUAGCUAAAUUUAGAAAUCGGAAUUUUGAAGAGUUAGACUUUAAUGAUGGAGAUUUUUAAGAGAAAUAAAUAGGUAAAUAUAGAAUAAUGCUACUAAUUAAUCAGAAUGAUAUUAGAACGGAUGAAAGUGAAUAGUGAAAUUUGUGAGAUUAAAAAUUAAAUUUGAAAUAUUGAGAUUUUUAAAAUAAACAAAUAGAUAAAUAUAGAAUAAUGUUACUAAUUAAUCACAACGAUAUUUGGGAUGGAUGAAGAUGAACAGUGAGGUUUGUGAGAUUAAAAAUUAAAUUAGGAAGUCAGGUUUUUGAAGAAUUGGACUUUGAAUAAGUAAAUAAAUAUAGGAUGAUAAUUCUACUUAAGGAAAAUAACGUUUAAACGAAUAAAGAAGAAUAGUGGAAUUUUUAGGGUUGAAAAUUAAGUUAGGACAUCGGAUUUUUGAAGGGUUAGACUUUAAAUAACUAGAUAAAAACGGGAUUUAUAAUUCUAAUUGAUGAAAAUAAGAUUCAAAUGAAUUAUUGAAAAAUUAAAUUAAGGCAUGAGAUUUUCGAAGGAUUAGACUUUAAAUAAAUAAGUAAAUAGGAGAGGAUAAUUCUAGUUGAUGAAGAUAAGAUUUAAACGUAUUGUGGAAUUUUUAGAAUUAUAAAAUUAAAUUAAGACAUGGAAUUUUUGAAAGAUUAGACUUUAAAUAACUAGAUGAAAACGGGAUUAUAAUUCAAAUUGAUGAAAAUAAGAUUUGAACGAAUUGUAGUAUUUUUUGGGAUUGAAAGAUUAAAUUAUGACAUUGGAUCUUUUUCAAAGGGUUAGACUUUAAAUAAGUAAAUAAAUAUGGGAUACUAAUUCUAAUUAAAGAAAAUAACAUUUAGACAAAUAGUGAAAUUUUUAGGAUUGAAAAUUAAAUUAGGCCAUCGGAUUUUUGAAGAAUGGAAAUUUCAAUGAUUGGAGUUUUUAAAUGAGAUAAAUAAAGAUAUAUGAGAUAAAAAUAAUAAUUGACAAACAUAAUAUCUAAACGAAUGAAAUUGAAUAGUAGAAUAUUUGAGAUUGAAAUUAAUUUAGGAAGAUAUUUGAGUUUCGGAAAUUAGAUUAAAAUCUUGAAUCUUGAAAAUUGACCCUGGAAAUGGGGAGCUAAAAAAAAAGAACAUUCUAAAAUAGAAACUCUUAAAAAUUAGAAAAGGAUUUUGGGAAACGAACUUUGAAAAUGAAGAUUUUGGCAAUUAAAUUUGAAAGUUAAAAAGGGUGAGGAUUGAAGCUUGAUAUUGAGAACGAAGAGGUUGUACAAAUAAACAAAUAUAUAUGCAUGAGUGACACUCUCCACUGCGUGCAUGCAUGAAAGUAAGUGGAGCAAGUGGGCUUUGGAAGUGGGCUUAGGAGGGUGGCCAUGCGAAAUGAGGCCAUGCGGUUGGAUGCACGCAUAAGUGGGCCCAAGAUGGACAAGGAAUGAUGAUGUCGCUGCAGAAAGACAAGGAGGAGAUGCGAAAUCUCGGCUUUGAGCUGCCAGUCAGCCUCUGCAUCAGCCUCCUCCAAUGGGAGCAUGUCAACAUCAACGUCCCCAGCUUCCUCAUCAAUGUUCAAGCUAAGCUUGAGCAUCCUGUGGAUCCUAUUUCCGAAGGAGUUGGGCUCAUCAAGACUAAAUCCUGAGGUGAGGAGAGAAGUCUCGAAGAGUGAGAGGACAACAUUCUUCACUGACUUGUCGUUCUUGUCCAUAUCAGUCCUCUUCCUGAGCUCCUCCAUGAUGGGGUUCUCGGGGUUGAUCUCCAUUGUCCUUUUGCUGGACAUGCAACCAGCCGUGCUAGAGUCUUUAAGUGCCUGGGCCUUCAUGAUCCUCUCCAUGUUAGCAGUCCACCCAUACUCUCCUGUCAUCAAACAGCAAGGAGAAUCCACCACCCGGUCAGAUACAACCACCUUCUCUGCCCUCUUUGGUUGCUGAGACCAGCUUAUUUCCCUCAAAUUCCUUCAGCUGACCAACAGCAUUCACCAUGUCGGAUCUAUAUCAAUAACAAGACCACCCGAGGCAUGAGGUUUGAUGAGAGAGAACACGAGGAGGGUAGUGGGGGAAUGAAUAUUUGAUGUGGUGAAGAAAGGGAAUGGUGAUAAAGAAAAAAAAUAGGUUUUGAUAGGUAUGAAGGUUGAUUAAUGGGAUGAAUUGUGGAUAGAGGUGCGUAGAGGGGUUCAUGCAUGAUGAAGGUGAAUGGGAGUAGUGGUGGAACGAGCAUAGGAGAUGGAUGUGGUGUAGAGAGAGAAAAGGUGAUGGAAAAGAAAGUGAGGGGAAGUGGAUUCGGUGUAGUGGGCAUGUGGAGUGGAGAACACUUGCAUGGGAGGGAAGAUGAAUGGUGCGUGGUGUUGAGAUGGGUUGGAGUGGUGACAGUGUGAGAGCCAUUGGUAGGUGAUGGGUAUGAUAUUGGUAAUGCGCAUGAAAAACGAAGAUGGAGGUUAUGUAAUGGGAUGGGUAUGAUAUUGGUAAUGCGCAUGAAUAUUUUCAAUUUGAUUUUGAGUCAGACUUGAGAGUGGUUUUAGCUACUACAACUAUUUUUAUAGAGAAUUAUCUAGUGUCUAUGUAAAUAAAAAAGCAGUAAUUUUGAUAGUAUUCUAGUAAAAUCAAUUUUUUAGAAGAAGUUACCAAUAGGACUAGUUUAAGAAUCAUUUCAAGAGAUUCUUAAAAAAUUUUAAAGUAAUUUUUAAAAUUUUAUCAAAUGCCUAAUUUUAAUAAAAUUUCCAAAAUCAUUCAUUUUUUUUCCAUUAAAUAAAGUGAUUUUAAAAUUUUAUUAAAUAUCUAUAUUUUUUUUAAAUUUCCAAAAUCACUCUUAAACACCAUCUCAUAAUCAAUUUUCUAACACCUUUUCUUCUACACAUUAUUGUAAAAAUUUAACUUAAAAUAUUAUUUAUGUCCCCAUAUAAUUAUUUAAUGAGGAUUUAUCAAGAGAAAGGUCAUUAAUGACAUUAAUAAAUCAUAGAAAAAAGAUGAAACAUAUGUUUGAUUUUCUACUUUCUUUUAAUGGAUGGAAAAAAUACUCAAAAUAUUUUAUAGAAGGGGAGUUGGAAGAAGGAGAACAUGGAAUGCACAAAGAAAAAUAUUAUUUUAUUUUAUCAACAUUAGUCCAUUUUGUCUAUUUCACGACUUUUUUGUUGAAUUAAAAAUCGAAGGUGAAUCUUAAUGAUGAACUACAAAUCUACAGAGAAAGGGGAAGGGGGGUGGGUGAGUAGGUGAUUUUAUAAAUACCUUUUGAAUCUAUAUAAAAUCACUUAUUUGCCCCUCCUAAGUCCCUCGAUCCCCUAACAUAUAUUAUCAUUCCCUUUGAAUCGUCACAAUUUAUAUUCCUUUCUUUUAACAACUAUUUAUUUAUAUUCCUUUCUUUUAACAGCUAUUCAACAAAGGAUAAAGAAUAUCACAAGCAAGAAUGAAUGCAAUAAUACCCUCCCAAUAGUUUAUAAAUACAAGUCACAUGCAAAUGCUUUAACACUUCAUAAUUACAUUAAUUCAUAAGAACAAUUAUCUUCCUAAUAUAUUUCCAAUUACCUCUUGAUAUUAUUAACAAUAUGAAUAAAAAAUUAUUCAAGAAUAUCCAAAAGGUAAUUACACCCAUUUCAACUCAUAUUUCAUCCUUUCAACAUACAUGCUUAAGUAACAAAUGAUAUCUAACAUUGGAAAGGAAUCAAAUAGUAGAAUGAGAGCAAAAGAGACAAUGACACAAGAUUUUAUGUGGAAAAUCUCCUUAGAUAUUAAAAAAACUAUGAAUCUACCAAUGAUAAAAAAAUUCCACUAUCAAGAGUAACCAAUGCAUAGAAGGUUUUACUUAACUCAAGUUUGCUAAUAUUUCACGGAUUGCUUAACCAACACCUUUUCACUUCAGCUGCAUGCCUUCAUCUUUUGGAACAUUCUUGAAGUCCUCACCAAGCUUGAGCUCGACUUCUUCUUGAAGUUCAAUCAAGAAGAAAAUGAAUUUUCAUCCAAAACCUAAAUAAAUAGUAAUUGAAAGAUGAAUAGAAUAGAAGAAGAAAAUGAGUUUUCAGCCAAAACCUAAAUAAAUAGGAAAUUGAAAGAUGAAUGGAAUAGAAGAAUCAACCCAUUUUUUAAGAAAUUCUGAUGGAAAACAAUUUGGAAAUCAAGAUCAAAAAGAGAAUUUUCUUAACAACUAAACACGCUUAAUUAGAUAAGGAUAGAGAGAGCUCAAGAGGGAAGGAGAACGGCUGCAGGUAUCUCCUCCCAAAAUAGGAAUCAAUUUUAGGUUUUAAAUGGAAUGAAACCCUUGAUCCAACGGUUAAGAAAACAUAAAGAAAAAAGCAACCUGAAUCGACCUAACCAAAAUCUAAAUCGAUAUUGAAACAAGGCGUUUAAACACUUAGACAAGAAAAGUUGUCCUAACCUCCUCAACUCUCUUAAGAAAUAAAUAGUUCUAGAAUAACUAAUUUGAAAAACUUGGUUGAUUCAUUUCAUCCAUCUACAACCUCAACUACAUCUUUUGGUCCCUUAGCAAAUUCAACAUUUUGAUUUUCAUUAGGCAAGUAGUCCAAAGAAGGAUUUGGAAAAAUUGAGUUAAGAGACACUUAGGAAAUUUGUCCAAAAUUAUCAACCUAACUAAACACUCACAAAAACAUAAAUACUUGUAUUACUUUAUCAUAAAGUUUCCCCUAUUGUUUUUGGGUCUAGAAAAAUCAUCAAACAAUUUCUGGACAAGGUGUCACUAGAUGUUGUCGAUGCCAACGGAGUUGUGCUUGCAGAGAUGAGUCUCAAGUAGAGAAGGAGCAUUGCUAAAGAACAAGUGAGAAUGAUGUGCUCUCCAUAUGUCUUCUAAGUGUUUUUUAUCUUUAAAUAUGUUCUUUGAAAACACAGUUUUGAGAAGACAUAGAACAACAUUGUUUUUUAAGUCACCAUUUGUCAAACAUGUUUUUAAGUGUUUUUUAUUCUAAAGAAUGGAAAUCACACUUUCCAACAUAGCCUUUAUAUUCCUCAAUGCUUUCCAUGGAUAGUUUAUGCUAUCAUGAAGAAAUAAUUUGGAUAUUGAUGAGUACAAGAAGCGACACAUCGCUUAUCACAACUUCCAACCUCUACAAAGAUGAACAUACCGCUGCCAUCACUAAGGUGCGGAUAAUGGAAAUUACUCCAUCUUCUUUAAUUGAACCACAAUUUUUUUUUUUUUUGGUAGCUGAGUUAGAAUUUCUAGUAGGGUUUUUGCAUUGAAGCAACUUCAAGGAAGUAAUAGAUCUUUAAUUAGAUUCAUGGAAGUAGUACUUGUGCGCAACAUUCCAACUAGUCCUUUCUACACAUUGUUAAUGAGUAAAAAGUGAAUACAAUUCAUACAUGACUCUUUACCUAUUUUAAGGAACUUGAUCAGGGACUUCCAAUCUAUAGGCACUUGAUACCUACAUUGCAUGCAACCAUUUGGUGCAUCAAAAACACUAAAAAAUAAUUUGCAAAGGUGAAGUUUCCAUAGCCAGUACUUGUAGAAACUAGAUUGUCUUGAUUACUAGUAAAAUUCUAAUGAUUUCAAGAGCACCCAAUCCAAUUGUGUUAUUUGAGUAUUGCAUAACAAAAAGAGAAAAUUUGAUUUAGUUAUACUUUGUGUGAUUGUUUUGAGACUUGAAGGUGAUCAAAAAGCCAUUUUCUGAUUAAUUAAAAUUUUGUGGUUAAAAAUAAUUGCUCAUAGACUUAGAGCAACAAACUCACCAAAAUAAUAAUAAUAAUAAUAAUAAUAAUAAUAAUAAAAUAAAAUAAAAUUUGUGGAAAAAAAAAUCUUAUGUCACAAGAUACUAAUUUUUAAUCACAAAUUAGUUUGUGGCAAAACCUCAUAUUUGUUGUAGUGGCAUUACUAGGAUGGAAUAAGUAAGUUUUCUUUUUAAUUUUUUUUUUUUUGCAUGCUUGUUAAUGCAUUGAUCGAUGCAACUAAGGUUAAAUUAGUUGGAUCGACAUCAACCUUAGAGCUUGAGUUGAUUUAAAAUAUCACUUAAUUAGAUUGAUUAAUGUACAAUCCAAACUUAAAGUAGGGUUCAGAGUUUAUGAUUUGGUUCAAAGAAGAAGUUGGCCAAUUAACCUAAUGCCCAAAAGGCCAUUUAAAAAAAAAAUAGAAAAAAAUAUGCUAUGAAGAUAGGUUUUUUGAAAUUAAAUGUUAUUGUCAUGCACUAUCCUUAAUCCAAAUAGAAUAUUAUUAUAUAACCAUGCUUCAAUCAAUUAAAAGACAUGCUUUGGAACUCAAUCAUACUAGAAUUAAUAAUUUAUUAAAGUUUCACUUCAUAGGAACGCCGCACUUUUUAUUAGUACAAUUGCUCUUGCAAACAUAGGAAAAUAAAGCAUAAGUAGAGUUUGAUUCAAAGAAAAAGAACAAGUUCAUUAAGAGAGGCAUUUUUAUUCACUUCCUUUAGCUAGAGCUCUUUGGACCAACGUGACUAAGAAAUCUUUAUAAUUUCCAAGAGCUACAUCUUCAAUCUUCUUGGCUAGAGGAGUUCCAUAUUGCUUAUUAUAUUCCUCAGCAAUGUCCUUCAUAUCAACAUCAGUUCGGGUUACAAUAACUCGAGUUAGGCUUCUUUUUCAUUCUUGGUUGCAUUAGCUUUCAUUGCUGAAUCUAAAAUCUAAGAUUAAAAAGAAAAAAAAAUAGUUCAAGAAAUGCUUUAACAAAUAAAAAUAAAAAGAUCAUUUUUGUAAUGUGUUAUAGUGAAUUUAUCUCACCUUACUGAAAUACACUGGAGCAGCACACAAGCAAUAAAUUGUGUCCUUCAAACCUGAUUCCUCACCGAGAUCCUAAAUAAAUUAAAUAAGGAGGAAUUAUAUUAAAAUGAAUAUUUUUGAAAGCUAAUUCGAGGAAAAAUGACUUCUAAUAAAUAUUACAAUGAAAAGAAUUGUUCAAAGCAACAUGAGAACGAGAACUGCUGUCCUACUUAUUUAUUUAUUUUUCUAAAAAGAGAAUUUAUAAAACAAAAAAAAAGAAUAAAAAAAGAGGAAAAAACUGCAUAAAUAAUGUUCCAUGGUUCGAAAUAAUAUGUUUUUCCUUAUAAUUUGUAUGUUCAUAAUUUUAUGUGUUAAACUAUUAGCAAAGUAUAUAUUUCAAUCUAAUUACUUCUUAGAAUGUAUUUGGUAUGUGAAAAUAAGAAGAAAAAAAAAAUCAUAACAUCAUGUAAAAGAGAAAAAUCAAAAUUCGAAAAAGAUAGAAUUUUGCAUCCACAAGAUUGGAAAUUUAAUUUUAUUCCUAUAUUUAAUAAAUAAUUUGGAGUUAUAAAUGAAUAGAAAAUGGAAUGGGUUUUUUUUUGUUCCUAUUCUAGUGUGUGAAAAGCUAAUAAUAGUAUAGGAAAAAGGAUGAGAAGGAAAUAUAAAAAAGAGGAAAAAAGAACAAAGAAAGAUUAAAAAAAAAAAAGAAGAUACGGUAACAAAGAAGGAUAAAAGAUACUAACUUUAAGUCUAAUAUUGAUUAACCUUCACAUUUUUCUUUUCACUUUAUUCAUUUUUUAAUGUUUAAGUAAAGAAUAAAAAGUGCCUUUGAUAAGCAAGAAUUAAAAAAAAAAGGAAAUAAAAAAAUUUUUGGUAUUUUUUUUAUCUCUAUUUUUGAAAUAAAAUAAUAAAUGAACUGUGGAAUAGAUUUCCUGUUCCAUUCAUAUUCUAAUAUUUCAAACAUGCCCUAAGAAUUUACAAAUAUAAUAUCAUGACUAUGUUAUACCUCUGCAAUGUCCUUGUCGAAAUCAUCAUAGUAACAUUUGAAGACCUCCACGAGAUGAGACUUGCUUCUUGUUGUUAGAAUCCUUACAAUCUCUUCAUCUUUGAUUAGCAUCGUCUUAUCACCAUUUCUAAUGGCUUUAUUAAGUUUUUGAGCAUCCGAUUCAAUUGCCACAUCAUUCUUUCGUGAUCCUUCAUAUCUGUACGAACUUACAAGUGCUACCAAAAACUGUUGAGACAAUUAAAGAUUAAAAUAUCGGUAAUCAUGGAUAUAUCGAUACUUAGAUUUUAUAGAUAUAUCAAAUAUAUCGGGGACAUAUCGGUGAAUAUUUUAUAGUAAAAAUAUAAUGAAAAACUAAAAAAUGAUAAAUAAUAAUAAUAAUACAUAUAUUGAAGUUAUUUUAAUGAAAUAUAUAUAUAUAUAUAUAUUAUUUAAAAAUGUUAAUAAUUUUAUUUAUAAAUUUAUAUUUUUAUUAUAUUUAAUUACUAUAAUUAAAUUUAACUUAUUUACAAUAAUUUUAUUUUCAUUAAUUUAUAAUACAUAUAUACUAAUAAAUUUUAUUUUAUAAACUAAUAAAUAUGUAAUAUGCAUCUUAUGAAACCAAGACCAAUACAACUUUAUUGGCAAGUGACUUAAAUUCCAUGCAGAAUGCAGGGUUCAAGUCUUGGUGGUGUGCUUUGGGUGAAUAAUUUUUCUACUGUUUGUGGAAAGGAUGCUCCCAUCUUAUGCAUGAGGCGUGGAUUGGGUUACAACAAGAAUGCAUGCUUUUGAAGGAUGGAUGGAUGGUGUGGGCUGCAGCAAGUUGGGUGGGAUGCUUUUGAGGCCCAUUUCAAAGCUUUAAAUAAAAGGAAAAAAUAAAUAAAUAUUUGAUAAAAUUUAAGAAACACUUUUAAAAAUUUGAAAAAUCACUUGUAGUACUUUUAGAGAAAUACUUGAUAGAAUAUUUUUUUUUAAAACACUUUCAAAGAAAAUACUUUCACUAAAAAUAUUUUGAAUUAAAAUACUGUUAAAUGCAUUUUUUAACAAUGUAUUUACAAUAUUUUUACUUAAAGUGUUUAUAGUAAAAGUAUGUUAUUUACAAGUGUUUUUAGAUGACUUUCUAAUUUUUAAAAAAAAUUUUAAAAUUUUUUUAAAUGAUUAAUUUUUCUUUAAGAACCAUUUUUUUUAUAUACUAAAAGUACUUUCUAGAAAUAAUAUUAAACACUCUAAGUUACCUUUCAAAUAUGACCAAGUUACUUUCUAAAUAUGAUCAUCUUACCUAAUUAUGAUCACAUUAAUUCUCGAUUGGUUCCUUAAUAUGACUAUAUAUAUUACUUCUCAUAGUACCCUAACUAAGACUGCACCACAUAAAACUCCUUUAUUGAGAAAAGACACAAUUAUAGGACUUUCUAAGAGUCCAACUAAUGAGGUUUUAAGGCUCAAAAUAGGUGGCUUGAACCCAAAAAAAGUUCCAAACUCCAAUAGUAGAAGAGUAGGCUCAAAAGAUUAUUUGCAAUUGCAUAUCCUUAUGCCCAACCAUCAUUUAUGGAAAAAAUAUAUGUUAGAAAGGAAGACGAAUGCAUUUUUCUUAAGAAAUAAUUGGUCAAAAUGCUUCAAUAAAUUUAUAAGAUAGAAAUUCUCUUCACUUUAUAAAAAAUUGCAUAACAUCUCACUAAUCCAAGUCAAAGUUUAUUUUCAAAUAUAAUAACUAAAAAUAUGAUCAUAUUCUUCAAAUAUCGUUUGAUGCAUUUUUUUCUUUUUUAUACUAAAAGUGGUACUAACCUGGCGUUGGAUGCCUUCAACUCGGCAAGCAACGUCUUCCUCGAUGGAUUCACUGUAGAGGGACUGGUAUGCUCUCCUAGCUCCCAAGAGCUCGUCUGAUGAUCUGGUGCAUGCAAGUUCAAUGAGUAGGCCAUAUGCUUGACUGCCUCUUUUCAAAGCCUUCCUUGCCAUGCGAGCAUCUCUUUCCCAAGGAUGCAUGGUCCAUUGCACCACAGCAUCCUGCCCACAAAAAUGUUAAAAAAACUGAUCAUAUUAUUGCAAAAACCAAUCUUAAGUAAUCUUUAGUCUCCCUGUCUUUUGUACUUCCAUUGUAAUAUUUGUUUUUUUGUAAGAAUUAAUUUUUUUAUGAUAAAUAAUAUAUAAAUAUCUUUAAUUUUAUAUUAACAUAAAUAUCUAAUUUUGUAUUCGAUAUAUAGAUACCUUAAAACGCUUAAAUUCCCUUUUUAGAAAUUUAAGAAGAAUUUCUUCACAUUUCUCAAACGGGAAGCGUUCAUCCUUCAAAAAGAUGCUAGAAGUUUCAUUCCUAAAAGUUGACAAGUGUUCUGGUUGCCAUUUUACUAAGAUCUCCAGCAUUGAUUUCUCGUCAACUCCAAAUAUUCCUGGAAAUGUAAAUCAAGAUUAUUUCAACCUUCUAAUAAAUAUCAAUAAUGAAAGAACAAACAAACAAACUGAAAAAUGUUUGAAUAUGGGAAUUAUGUAACAUUUGCUCUCCAGAUCUGAUAUUGUAUCUAAAUUCAAAAUUGUUAUAUUAAUUUGUAGACUGUAUUCAUUAACCAGUGGGGAGAAAAAACUAUAGUGUAAAUUGCAAAAAAAGAAAAAAAGAAAAGAAAAGAAAAGAAAAGAAAAAAGUUUCAUAUGGGACAUGAGAUCAUAUGUAAUCAUCCUUACUGUCACAAAUUUUCACUAGAAUUAUUAAGAAAAUAAUAGAUCAAUGAGUAGAAAGUAUAUUGUAAAAGAAGGUAGUUGUUUGUGAUUUAGAAAAAAACAAAGUUAAGAGAGAAGGAGAAAUUACCAGAGUGAGAAACAGAGAAAGACUUUGCGAGAGCAUCUGACGAAGACAUAAUUGUUUUCCCUUCUUUGUUUAUUUGUUUUUUCCUUCUUUUGAUGGAGGCAACAAGAAUGGUGUCUUUCUUUACCUCCACCAUAGCAUUAAUUUUAUAAAUAAGCUAAAGGGGUAUAUAGGGUAAGCAGGACCACGAGACUAAAAGAUAGAAUGACUUGUGGGAGGGGGGAAAGGUCUUAAUUGUUUGUCGUCAUCAUAGUGUAUUGCAUUCAUUUAUGGGAUUCUUAAGUUAUUUUUGAAGUUUUAUCCACUUUUAAGACUUGAAUCUUUUUAAUUUGAAUUUGAGCCAAACUUGAGGGUGGUUUUAGCUUAUGAAAAAUGUUAAAAAUAUUAGGGCUCCUUUGAAUUUGACAAGGAGGCUUUUGGUCUAUAGCAUUUUUUAUAAUAGUACUUCUAGCUACUACACUUAUUUUUAUAGAGAAUUAUUUAGUGUCUAUGUAAAUUAAAAAACAGUAAUUUUUAUAGUAUUUUUAAUAAUAUCGAUUUUUUAGAAGAAGCAUUUAUCGAUAGUACUAAUUUAAGAACCGUUUCAAGUGAUUCUUCAAAAAUUUUAGAAUAGACAAUAAAGGAUUUUUAUUCCCCAACAAUAAUGGAAAUACUAUGUAUUGCUAAUUUAGAUUAUGAAAUAGCAAGAGAAAUUUUGACACUCAUAAAUGUUGACUUCUCUAAAUGCAUUCAUGAAAGUUAAAGUUCAGAAUAGACAAUAUUUAUAUAUAGAAUUCUCAAAUUAGAAGGAUAAUUUUUUUUUUUAUAAUUAUUAAAAAAUAGAAAAUAUAUGCAUAAGAUAACAAUGAGAUAUAUACUCCAACAAAGAAUCUUGUAAAGAGGUUUCAAAAUUUUGAAUUAUUUGUUUAUUAAAGGAGCUUCUUACGAGGAAUAUCCAAAAGAGGUUCCAAAUUUUAAGACUUAUAACAUGUUCAAGAAAUCUAUAUUUAUGCCAAACUUGCUCUUGGAGAAGGGCACAUUAUCUAGCUUGGUUAAUUAGAAGUGAUAAGAGGUUCCAAAGUUUAGAAUUCUUCUCAUAUUAUAGAAACCAUAUUUUAUUUUAUUUUAUAAUUUCUUUGAGAUACAUUUCCAUCGAAAGGUGCAAGAAAGUAUUUGACAGAAGUGUCUUUGCACCACUUUUUUAUUUAUUUUUUAAAUAAAGAUUUGAGAAAAAUGCAAAUGUAUUGUUUACAUGUAAUCAUUUUUUUGACAUAAAAAAGUAGAACAACCUUCAAAAUUAAGUAAUUUCAUUAUCAAAACACUAAUGAAACUAUUGUAGAUUCCAUUUAAGGGACUAGAGGUUUAGAGUAUUUUUGGAACAUUGAAAUAGAAAUUAAGAAUGAAAAUUCAUUUUAUUUUCUAUUUACUACUGUAUUUGGAUUACUACUUGUUCUCACUGAAACUAAAAUCCAUUCUAGCCAGGAUUUUAAUUCCCUUUUUUCUACAUAGUAUUUUAAUUUUUCUUUAUCCCCAUUCUUAUUCCCAUUCCUAUGUAACUAACUUACCCGUACUUUUCUUAAAUAGUAAGAGAAGGUUGAUUUUUUUUAAAAAAUAUUCUCAUUUCAAAGUCAAUAGGCUAACUACUCUUUGUUUCUUGGCUAGGAGGAAAGAAAUCUUUUGAGUUACAUAUUAUGUAUCCUUAACCAUUUUUCUUCCUUGUGAAGCAACUAUAUAGCUUUGAUAAAGACUUCCAUUCAAUGGUGGAGAAAAGAAAUGUGCUUCUAUGUUCAUGAAAAAGGAUACCCACUUGUGCCUCUCUUUGUCUUUGUCUCUGUCUCUCUACUAAAAUGAAUAAAGUAGAUCUAAUACAAUUACAAUGGAUGACGUUGAGGAUUCACAUAAGAAUGAUGUAUUGGCAUAAUGAUCAAAGAACAAAAUAAAGUUACUAAUCUAUAAAUAUGAAAAAGAAGCAACGAAUUAUGAGAGUCAUCUACACUUCAACUUUAACUGCAUAUUUUGCUUUAGAUAAGAUAUGUAGGUCCUUAAAUGAUCUUUCAAGUUGAAUGAAACAUCGCUUUCAACAUUAGAAAAAAAUUAAAAACAAAAAGAAGAAAAAAACUAAAGAAAAAAUCACAAUUUUUAUGCUUAUUAUUUAUAUUUCUUAGUUAAUAUAACAUAUUGGUUAGACAAUUUUUAGUAAAUACAUGAUAAAAUAUAAUCAAAUUAGCUAGAAUAUUAAAUUGAUCUUUUGAUAAUUUGAUUUUUAGGUAGGUAAAUGUUUCGGUGGUUAAAUAAUAAUAAUAAUAAUAAUUAUUAUUAUUAUUAUUAUUAUUAUUAUUAUUAUUUUAUAAAGAUUAGGCAAAAAAAUUUCUUAUUAUGGGUUGUCACACCCAAAAAUUUGAGAACAUGACUUAAUCUAUACUCAAGAUCCUACCAUGAUUCCACACUUCAAAAUAUGAUUAAGAAGAAGAAAUAAUCAUGUUCAUGUGCAUAAACCACUAGAUGUAAAAUAGACAAUUUUACAUCUCAUCACAUUGAACAUCAAAUGGGAGAGCUUGAGAAUAACAUAGAAUAGAGCUCAAGUAAUAAUUAACUUGUCACACACCAAAGUUUAAUCCAUGGUACAUCAUGAUAAUAUAAAUAAGUACUUUGGAUCUGAUGCCCAAAGACAUGUCUAUGCCUCCUAUCACAUCCACAUGGGAUCUUCUUAAGUUAGCUUUCACCUGUUUUAGAAUCCCAAUGCCCUCUCCUUUAAGGCUUUCACCCUCACCUUUGCCACCAUUAAUUAAAGAGCAGGAACCCACCUUUAUUGGUACUAACAACCAAUGGUUUCCAACAUCUCCAAGGCAAAACCUUUAUCAAUUCCAAAAAUUCAAACCUUCAUAACCAAAGAGAUACCUACCUAUUUGGUUCCUCAAGGAACCAUCCCUGCUCAAGGUUCAAGUAGUAGCCCUACAACAAACCAUGAGCUGAUAAGUGUAGCUUUGCAUUAAUCCAUUAUAGUAUGCUUGAGCUCAAAUACAACGGUUACAUGCAUGAAAUAUGUUAAAAUAAUACAUACUUAAUGGAAAUCCAUGAAACCAAAUUUUGGAAAGGUAACCAACGGAUGCUUAAUCUUAAAACAGAAGCUACCCUACCAAUGGUGAAAAUCACCAAAAAUCAGUGACUAAAGUAGUUUCUUUUUCCCAUGAUUCAAUUGAUUUAGGUGUUGCAGGUAAGUAAAUUCAUGGAGAAGAAAAUGCAAUGGAGAAAGAUGAGGAGUGUUGGUGAGCUAAAUUAUCUAGUUUAAUUCAAGUUUAAAAUUUUGUUUCCAAACAUUACCAGAUCCACUCUAAAUACUUCACUGAGACUAUAUUGGUCAUUGAAGAUUGAGUUCAUCAAUUUAUGUAUGCUGCAUACAGUUGAGUAUGAAAUGAAAGUGGUCAGUAAGCUUAAUGGUAAAUAAAAAGGCAUAGGAUGGUUUUAUGGAAAAAGUGGGCUAAAACACUGCCAAGUUGUGAAAACAUUUCAUGGAGUGCUCAAGAACCCAAGGUGCUCAACUGCCCUUGAUAAGCGCUUAAGCACUCAAGCCAUUUUUUUUUUAUAAUAAAUUUGUGGUAAAAAAAAAAAAAGAUUUCUUUGUCAUACCCAACUUGUUAGGAUUUUGUUAUAUAGAUAUGCCUUCUAGAGUUUAAAAAAGCUUCAUGUGCCCUAAUAUGAUAUAUAUAUAUAUAUAUAUUUUGCAUCCUUACCCAGUUUUCUUUUUUGUGAAGCAACCAUAUAACUUUGACAAAGACUUUGAUUCAAUGGCAUGAAGAAAAGAUAUGUGCUCCUAUGUUCAUGGAAAACGACUCACUUGUGCCUCUCUCUCUCCUAAAGUUAAUAAAGUAGAUCUAAUAUGAUUAUAAUGGAUUACGUUGAUUCACAUAAGAAUGACAUAUUGGCAUAAUGAUAAAAAAAAGAAAAAGAAAUGAAGUUAAAAAUCUAUAAUUAUGAAAAAGAAGCAACAAAUUGUGAGAAUCAUGUUACACCUAAAAUUUAAGUACACAUUUUGCUUUAGAUUAGAUAGAUAUGUGGGUCCUUAAAUGAUCUUCCAGGUUAAAUGAAAUAUCACUUUCAACAAAAAAAAUAAAAAGAAAAAACCACAAUUUUUAUGCUUAUUAUUAAAUUUCUUAGUUAAUAUAACAUAUUGGUUGGGGAAUUUUUAAGUAAAUAUGUGACAAGAUUGGCUGAAAUAUUAGAUUGACCUUUUGGUAGGAAAAUUGACAAAAUUGAUUGAAUAGCAAGUGGAAAAAAAUUUCCCUAACCAAUAUGUUAUAUUAACUAAGAAAUAGGACAUAGACAUGGACAUGGCAUUCUAUUAGCUCGAAAUGGCAUGUACAUAAUUAUUGCCACCAAAAGGUGGUUGCCCUCUACUUUGGAUAUAGAGGACAUGUGGAAAGCAAAUUUUGUGCUUGGAGUUAAGAUCAUAAGGGAUCACUCAAGAAGACUUCUUGGUUUGUUUCAAGAGACUUAUAUUAAGAAAAUUCUAGACCAGUUUUGGAUGCAAAAUUGCAAACCUAUUGACACACCUAUCGAGAAAAGUUACACCUCGAGUCUUGAUCAGUGCCCUAAGAAUGAUGAGGAAAGGAAAUAACUGGCAAGAGUUCUUUAUGCGAGUGCAAUUGGAAGCUUGAUAUAUGCUAUGUUGUGUACUCGACUUGACAUAUGUUUUGUAGUUGGAUUGGUUAGUCAUUACCAAGAGUAACCUAGGCCCUGUUCAAUGGCGAACAACUAAGAAGAUUUUUUGUUACCUCAAAGGGACUAGAGAUUUUGUCCUCUGCUAUCAAGAUGGGGACUUGGAGAUUAAGAAGAUACUGUAAUGCAGAUUGGACUAGUGAUAGAGAUGAGCGCAAAUCUACUAUAAGAUAUGCUUUCUUACUCAAUGACACUACUAUUACUUGGCGUAGUAAGAAACAAUCCUACAUUGCUUUAUCCACCAUGGAGUCAUAAUAUGUCACUUGUUUAGUGACCGUAUAGGAGGCUGUUUGGUUGGGGAGAUUAUUCCAAAACCUAAAAGUCAUGGAUUUAGCCAAAGAGCCUAUCACUAUUUUUAGUGAUAACAUAGCUGCUCUAGCAUAUAGUUAGGAUAUGUGAAGCUUGGUUGAAACUUCAAGUAUAGUGGAUACCUCACUCGGUUAGGAGUUUGAGGAGAGUGAAUGUAGGCAAAGGGUGUCGAACCACUAUAAAAUUUGAGUUUGCUUUCUUUAACUUUAUCUCUCUAUAUUUGUGCUUGUUUUGUUUGAAUUUAUUGUAAUUGAAAAAGAAUUUUUAAAACCUAAUUUACCCCCCUUUUGGGUGUUUUCCUUAUUAAGAUUAGCCUAUGACAUUAGAGAGUGACACACCCACUCUUGUGGGAGCUCCAUCUUGACAUACAUAUCAUAAUACUAUAUGUGCUAUCUACAACUAUAAGAGAGAGUUGUUAGAUGGAUCCCUGCUCCAACAUUAUGUGAACUCUUAUAGACUAGUUACUAUAAAGUUUACUCUAUACCCUUGAACCUAGGACUAUGUCAUGCAGCAAGGGUAAAAUGUCACUACUUUAACAUGUAAUCCAAGGGUCAUGAAUGAUACGGUCGAAUGGAAUAUGUUAGGAAAAUAGUCAAACCUAAAUGAAUUGACAUAAGUGGUUGGGGAAGAUUGCUAAUAACACACCACUAUUUGUAGCUCAUAUAUCAACUUUGUGUUCGAUAUAAUUAUGAGUACAAAUAUGUAUAUGAGUUGAGGUUAAACAUUUCUAAUUGAGAUAUGACUCAUUGAGGGGUUUUUUUUAAAGGUGCUUGAACUGGUAUGAUUAACAAGUCUGGGCUAUAAAUGAGAUAUUUUAUUCCGAAUGAUGUGUUGCGCUAGUGAGAUGGACACUUAGUAUAAACACUCCUACGUUAUAGCUUCUCAUCAUGCAACACAUUUCUUUUUCUAUAUGAAAAAAGUGACUUGAUGCAAGAUUAAGAGAAAAAAAAAGACAGAUUUUAGCCAAUGUUUAUGAGUGGGAAAUGUUAGAAUUUGAAUUUUUUAAUUUUUUUUAAAAUUCAUUGUCAACGUAUGGGUUAAAUAAAAGGAGGAUGAAUAAGUAGAUACGAUUCCAUGAAACUCAAAUUUUGUUUUUGAAUUAAAUUAGUUAAAAAAAAGAAAGAAUGAAGAUUAUUAUCCAUUUAGUUUGAAAUCCUUAUCUUUCACUAAUAGGGCUACUUAUAAAUAGUAGGUUCAUUGACGAGUCCAACAAUCUUUUCUCCAAAGGUUUGAGCUUCUUCAUCUCUCUUUUAUUUUCUUCGAAUCAAGUUUUUUCUGGUGUCCAUUUACACUUAGAAUUUGGAGAUUGGAAUAAUAAAAAACUCUAGUAGUUUCUUUGAAGAAGGAAGUUACCAACAUUAGAGAUUAUAAUUCAAGUUACAAAUUAAUAUCUUCCAUGCAUAGAUAUUUAUUUGGACUAUAGUUUUAUUCUUUUCUUAAGCUAUCUUUAUCCCCACAUUCAAGGCCCUAUGUCCCUAGUGCUACAAGGUCUUUUCUUUUUAGGUCAUGUGCAUAGUUGUCUUCGAUGAGCAUAGGUUUUGAAUUUAGGGAUAGUGUUUCUAUUUUUCUUUGGAGUGAUGUCAUAAUUUUAGGUCUAGGAUUAUUCAUUUAAGAGGAGAGUUUAUUUAGGAUCGUUUAUCAUUUAAUUGAUUCUCUAAUUAUUGUUUUUCUAAAAGGUUUGAGUGGUGUCAAAAUUGUUAAUUUUCAUUUAAAAGUGUGUUUUUCUACUUCUAUCCCUUCAAUCACUUGAAUUCUUUAUCAAAAUUUAGUAACAAAGUAAAGAAGGAAUUUGAUAUAAUGCCAAACACAUAAGGUUGAAUGUUGUAUCCUUGUCUCUAUGAAAUCUUCUUAAGUUUAACUUUUGUAUGAAGUUACUAUUCAAGUAAAUUAUGAAAUCAUGCCUGUUGAUUUUGUAUUUUGAAAACUCAUGUUUGGUUUAGUUCAAAAAUUAAAAUUUCUUAAAGUGAAAAUGUUACAUUGAUCGUGUAGUAAAUUGCAUUUUUAAACUAAGAGUCAAAGUUGUCAUUUGUAAUAGUACAAAUUACCCUUAAGUGGAAUAGACCCUUGCAUGGAAUGGGAUAAUAUCUUAUGUUUGAAAGGUGGUUUUCGACAAUUAAGGAUCAUAACUCCACUUUAAGUACUAUAAUUUAAAAAAGACGAAAAAAAACCUAUGUUAUGCCGCAAAAGUAAUAUUGUCGUUGUGCUUGAAUGAUCAAUGAAUUGUUAUGUUAUAAAAAAUUGGUCAAACUACUAUUCAAUUGAAUGAGUUAGUAUAAUGUAAUGGAUCCAACAUGAUUUAAACAGAGGACUUGAGCUAGUUAAAUGAAUCAUUUUAGUUAAAUGAAUCAUUUUAGUUAAAUAGCAAGUUGGGCACUUAGGCAAUAGUUUUAGUUAUUUGAUUUUAUAAUUAUCAUAUCCCUUUCACUCUUGAAAUGGUCUGACUUCAGGUUCACAAUUAAUCUAAUUGUUUGGAUAAUUUAGUGAAGUGGUUACAUGAUUGAGAUCAAUUGUUUAUGAAUUGCCCAUGAUUUAUAUGAUUACCAUAAUUUCUUGAGUAUUAGUGAGAUGAAAGCUUGCAAUUUGAGUAUAGGUCAUUCAUGUAUGUGUUAUAAUAUGUUUCUUAGUGGUGCAUAGUGUUUUUGGACACUUUUUUAAGAACCCAAUGCAUAGCUCAAGCAUUUGGAUCACUAGAGCGGCUGCUUGAAAAUUGAAGAGUGUUUAUUUGUGAAUUUUCUAGUUGUUUUCAAAUAUAAUUUCAUAUUCUUUCAUGCAUCUUUUUACAAUUUUUCUAUCAGAUGUCCUUCCAUCAAAUUUAUUGGAGAGUUUUUCCUUUUUCAUUUUUUGUCUUAGGUGGUGUUUGUUUUUUGUUUGAAUAGAAAAAGUCAAAAUAUUUAUUUUUUUCUAUUUAGCUAAAAGUAAUAUGUUAAUAUUAACCGGUAUAUAUUAACAUGUUCAUUUUGGCUUAUACUGAACCUAUUAAAAACAAAUUCACUUUACUUAUACGGGUUGAUAUUAACAUGUUCACUUUCUGCAGCUCACUUAUCAACCGUACUAAAUCAGCUUGGGUUUUUGCCAUGUUCUACAAAUACACAUUCUAUCCCUCUUCUCAUCAUAUCUAGUUCUAAAGAGCAGCUGCCAAAUUUAUCCACUGUGUCUUCAUUAGGCUCUUAUCGAUACAACCCAGAUGAUUCUGGAUAUUAUAGGGUCUUAUGGGGACCCCUCAUGCUUUGGGAGUCUUUUGUUCCUUAUCCAAUCAUAAGCUUCGUGCUAGAUGCUAGCCAGUUUUGACUUCUAGCAUGACCUAUCAAUGCUUGCAAUUGGCUUCCAUUGACGAUAGCUCCUAGUCCAAGCCUGUGAGCCACACGCAAGGACAGUUGGUUGACCUUGUUUUGAUUGUUGAGGAGGUAGAGAUACAAGAUAUCAAAGGGCUUAUUGCAUGUGGACCCGAAUUAGGGUGUUAGGUGACCUAGUGAGAAGAUAUGAAUGAAUUAAUAGAUUGAUAAAUUCAUGCCAAAUUUUUUUUUUUUUUCCUCUUAAGUAAAAGAAAAAGAAUAUAUAGACAAUUAAAUAAAGAUAAUAAAAAAUAAUAUAUAGAAGAAAAAGAAAAUGUCUUACUCUCACUCAAAUUAAAUUCAUCUCGUACAUAUUGAUCUUCAUUUAUUUCUUCCAUCUCUCACAACUUCAAUCUACCAUUUUCUUUACGUAUGAAAUAUAAUUUAAACAAAAACCAUUAGACCAAAUGAAAUUAGCUAGAUGAUCGAAGGCAAUCCUCUAAGAACAGAUUAAACAAGAAGGAAAGCAACAGCAGCCGUGGUUGCCAUCAGAAGCUAAUGCCCAGACACCGAGAUCCCAUAAGCAGAACUGGGUGCUGGUGCUGUGGUGGUGGAGGGGGAGGGGGCCGGUGCAGGAGACGCCCACUCUUCCAGCACAGUGAUGGCAAGCUUCUGUCCGUAGUUGGCACAAUGGUCGUUUACACCGCAAAUAUACCACUUCCUUCCAGGGGUGGCCAGUGUAAUCACAUCAUUUCCAGUGGUAAGAGCUUCAUUUGGUGGUGGUAUAGUGCAGUUCGUGAAGACGGUACCAUUCACUUUGAAGACAUUGUGCCGCCCCGCCGUGUAUUUGAAGACUGAAUGUAUGAGAAUUGAUAACAGGACUUUUAGCAGCUUGAAUCAAAAGAAACUACAAAAGGAAAAUAAAGUGACAGUUUAAGGCUAAAGCCACAUUACCUAGUUCAUCGCCAACCCGAAAUACUUUGUCCUUGGCCCAAGCUUCGUAGUCGAAAUUAAUGGUCCAACCUUGAUCAUCCCCAACAGUAAACUCAGUUGCCAUGGCCACAGCGGGAAGAACAAUUGCGAAGACUGCAAGGGCAAUAUUCAACAGUUUAGACGCCAUUGCAGCUGAUUAAAGUUGAGGAGUACUGUAAUUCAAUGGUUUCUUGGAUUGUUGAUGUUCAUCCUAGGCUCUAAAGGGUGUAUUUAUAGUUAAUGUUUAGACCAGAAUAUUGUUGAAAGCGUCUAAAACAUGAAGAACGGGAUGGGUCUGCAGGCCACAAAGCGUUGCCGCGGAAAAAGCUUUGGUUAGUGCGCAAUUAUUCCAUGACUAAUUAAUAUUAUUGUAUGACAAUUGUAAAGCCAUAAUUCUCUUGGCCGUUUUCUUCGGUCCAGACAUACACACUCGAGCAUUGAAUGGUCAAUGUUUAGCUUUAAAAGCACAAAUUGAAGUUCCCUGGAAAAGUGAAUCUUGGGGCCGGCUUUGUGGCUAGGUGGACAUGCACAACGACAAAGUGCUGUUGUGCCAAACCCAACUCAAUUUUCAUCACCUUAGCCUAAGUUGAUGCAUGGGUUUUGGUAUUGGGCUUGUGGUAACCCUAAGGUCCAACCUAUCAGGGUUGAGGAGCGUUUUUUUGUUCUUAGCUCAGUUUUUUGUGCCCAUUAUCAUGGGCUACAGCUGGCCCUGUCUUUGGCCCAAUAUAUCAGUUCGAGUAAAAGUAGAUUACAGGGCAAUAGUACAGAAGAGUAUCCACCAGUCCUCUUCCUAGGGUUUUAAACUUCAUCAUUCUCUUGCAAUCUCCGUCUUAUUCUUUCUUCAUGCUUAAGGAAGGACUAUAGUGAUGAGAUUUGUUCCUAUUUCUUUCUAGUUGUGGGCUUAUCCUUGUAUUAAUUGAAAGCUUAUAUUCUUGAUCACGGUAUUACCUAGGAUAUCUUAAAUUAAUAACCUGUAGACUUAUUUCUGAUUGAUUAAAUUAAGUUUAUUUUCUCGUUUUGAUUGAUCAAGUGCAUUUGAUAACAAUCAUGAAUAUUCAGUCACACAUGGAAAAUCACCAAUAGAGAUUGUCUCAACGCUAAACAUAUGGAAAACCACUAACUAGUCAACUGAUUUUAGUCAAAUUUCACUAAAUAUAAAAUACUAGUACACAAUUUUAUAAAAUUGACUGGUGUGGAAUAUUUUUUUUAUUAUUAUAAAAAUUAGUUUAAUUAAAUUGUUUCCUUUUUUUUUUCUUUUUGAACAUUUAUGAAAUACAAAUGUAAGUUUGGCUUUUCACUAAAAAUUUAUAAUUUGAUACCAUCCCUACCUAAUAGUCCUUAGGACGGUAGGUGGACUUAGCAAAUAAGAGAAAUAAAUAAGUAGUGAGGUUUGAACUUAUAACCUUUGAUAAAAUAAUAUACUUUGAUAUCAUAUUGUCAAUUAAAGCUUUGUUAAGUACAAGGAUUAAAAUAUCGAAAAAUACAGAAAUAUUGAUGGUUGAAUUUGACAAAAAUAUCAAAUCAAAAUUUGAAUAAAAAAUAUCAAUAGAAUAGAAGUAAAUAAAAACUUAUAGAAAUAUCGAUAAAACUACAAGAAAUGAUAAAACAAUGAAAGUUAUUUUUUAAAGACCAUAUUACCAAUAUUGAACUUUGGAUAAUGAUAUAUAAUACUUGAAAACACAUUUAAUAUUAAAUAAAUUAUUUAUCUAGUUUAUACAUAUUUAAAGACAUAAAAGAAAUUAUGACAUAUAACAUUAUUUUUAUUUAAAAAUAUUUAUCAUUUUAUUUAUAAAUUUAUGCUUCAUUUAUAUUUGAUAAUUAUAAUGAGAUAGAAAAAAAAUUAUUAAAAGGAUUUUUCAAAUUUUAUAUUUUAAAAAAUCAAUCUAUUCAAAUUUAAAAACAAAAUAAUUAAAAUUAGUUUAUUUACUAAAUUAAACUUAUUAGAAUUUAAUUUUAAUUUUAGUUACCUUAUUGGUAGUUGAAACAACAUUAUAUAUAGAAUUUUGGGUCAAGUUAGCCGUUGAUCCAAAUAAAAUAUUAGCUUAAUUUGAGCUUCUUUUGAAACUAUUGUUCAAAUUAGUAAUUUUGGUUUUGUUUUGUUUUUUUGUUUUUUGUUUUUUAAUUUCUAUGAAACUACAAUUUGAAAGUAAGGUUUCAAUAUAAAUUUAUAGACACAAUUUUAAUACUAAAACCAUAUUUUGAAACCUUAUUUUCAAAAUGUGAUUUUAAAUUUAUACUGAAAUCACAUUUUCAAAAUGCAGUUUCAAUUUCUUUUUCUUUUUUUCUAAUAGAAGAUAAAGGAUGAAAGAGAAAGAGGUCAUUUUGAACAAAAGUUUCAAAUGAGGGCCAAAAUGCAUAUUUGUUUGGCCAAUGGGGUUGUUUUUAACCCAAACUCUUAUAUAUAUAGACAUACACAAGUCUGUGUGUACUUUUUUUGCCACUUCUAGGCAUUACUAAUACAAUCUCUCAUUUACUUAUAUAUAUAUAUAUAUAUAUAUAUAUAUAUAUAUAUAAAUCUAUACAUACUCAAGGAUGAAAAUAUCAAUAAAUAUAGAUAUAUUGAUACUUGAAUCUUACAUAUAUAUUGAAAAUUAUGUCAGUGGAUAUUUUGACAAAAAUAUCAAUGGACUGAAAAUUGUUCAAAAUUCAUAAAAAUGCUUGGAAAUUUUUUUAAAAAUGAUAAAAUAAAUAAGAAUACACAUGUUAAAGUUAUUUUGUAAGUGUAAUUGAUAUACGUAUGUAUUAUUAUUACUUUUAAUUAAUUAAUUAAUUAAUUAUUGUUUUAUUGCUUUCUAUUUGUGUAUAUCAAUUGGGGAAUUGGUGGAACUCCUACAUAAAAAUCAUUUUUCAAAAACCUUCUUUUGAUCAACUUAUUCAAUUUAUUGCACACUUGAAAAUAAAAUUUAAUUUGACCUAUUUAUGAUGUUUUUUUAAAAAAAUUUAGUGAUUGUAUGAUAUUUUAGACAUCUUGAAUAUGAAGUUAGAACUUUGUUUAAAUUAAAAAGCAAUUCUAAAAUAGAAGAUAUAAAUGACUCUUUUAGGGAUUCUAUUUUCACCCGAUUUUGGACAUUCAAAAUAUUUUUGUAAAAAUAAAUUAUUAGGUGACCUUGUAAAUUUUAUUUGAUAUUUUUACUUGAUUAUAGACUUCUUGAAAUUGACUUUACACACAUAAAAUAUUGAAAAUAGUUUCCCUAAUCAAAAUAUAUUUUUUUUCCUUGUUGCAUUCACUGUAUUGCCCUAAUUUUGAAUAGAGGAGUUGUUUGAUUGUUUUUAAAAUUGAUUUGCCUUCUGAUCACCUUGUAUUUAUUUUUCUUGUAAAGUAGACAUUCUAAACAUUUUGAGUGAUUUUUUUGUAUGAUUUUUUGGCACUUCUAUGUUAGUUUAAAAAACCAUUUUAUGCAUACUAUUGAAUUUUGUUAUGGUCUGGACCUUUAGAGAUGUUUUUGUAAAACUGGAAUCAAUCAAAGCUUUACUAAAUUUCUUGGCCUUUUGGUUGAUAAUCUAGACAUAUAGAAGAGGCCUCCAAAAUUUUUUUUAAUUAAAAUCUACUUCUAGAUAUUGUUUUAGGAUUUAUUCUUUAAAGGUUCUUGUUGUGAUUGCAUGUUGGGAUUUCUAUACAAUGUUUAACUUACCUUUUAACUUGGAGUUAAUUGAUAUGUCUUUACUUGAUUUUGGCUUUGGUAUUGUAAUAUAGACAUAAUGAGAAUGCCAUAUGAUUCCUCCCAUGUUGAAAUGAUGUCUCUAGAUAUUUGUUUAGGAUUUUUCAAGUGAAUGCAAUUGUUCUACCCAUUUACUGCAUGUUUUUGUCUUAGUUACUAACUUUGAUACUUAUGACUACCUAAAGUAUUAGUUUAAAUUUAAUAAUGAGCUUAUAUGUAUGUCCUAGGUGAUAGAUGAUAUUCCUUUGGAAUCUUGCCUUUUUUUAGCUAUACAAAUGUUAUAUAUAUUAGUGUUUUUUUUUUAUCAUAGUUAUUUAUUAUCAUGAAUUAUUCUAACCCUAUUUCAUCAUGUGUAAGCACAUUGUAAGUUAUGCAUACUAUCCAGGUAUGUCUCUCAUGCCUUUUAUCCCUAUAAUUAUGCAAAUAUACAAACUUUGAGUGUGCAAAUUUAGAUAUAUGUUGUUGGUUUGUAUGUUUUGUUUGUUACUUGAUUAUUUGAAUGAGAUGAAAUGCAUGUUGUAUGUUAUAUUUGUUAAACUAACUUCAAUAUUUUUAUGAAAGCGCUUUGGGAUGUAGCUCAGGUACGCCAAUCCCUUCUUACUACAUGAGUGUUUCUUGCGGUAUGAUUGUUUGGUUAUGAAUAUUAUGUUGUUUACUCUUAAGCUUGAUCACCUUUGCUAUCUUUGCAGUUUCAAUCAAGCAAUUAAUUAUCAUCCUUCCCUCAACCUAGCUAAUAGAGACCUUUUUAGGGUUUAGAGGGGUGCUACACUUUAAGGUAUCUUCCUAAUAGGUAACUUGAUCCCUAGACCUAGAUUCGGGUUUUUCAAAAGUUUAAGGAGUCAUUUUUUCUUAGGGUUUUAGUUUCUUAUUUUAUUUUUCCUUAAAUAAAAUAAUAAAAAUAAGUGGCGACUCUAGUUUUUUAUAAAAUACAAUAUUUCAGUCAACAAAAACAAGUCUUGCCGAUUGAGUGGGGAUGCAUGUGAAAAAUAUGGGUCCAUAGUAUGGUUGAUGAUGAAAAUAUUAGUAAAUACAGAUAUAUCGAUAUUUGGAUUUUAAGGAUACAAAAUAUGAAUUUUGGAAGUGCACACUUACAAUUAGGAUAAGAAAUAUUUGGUUUCAUUCAGUGAGAACAAUUUAUACAUAUUAUAUGGUAAUAGUACUUUAGUACCAAAAUGAAUAUCGUUGUGGUUUCAUCGCAUUAUUAGACAAAGGGACCCCAUUUUGUUGAAAGGAUUGAUAGUAUUGAUUGUAAGUUUGAACAUGUCAUACAUAAAUUUAUGAUAUUAAUAAUAAUAUGUCAAACUUGAAAAUAUAUUUAAUAUUAAAACUAUAAUCUAUUUAAUUCAAAUGCAUUUAAUGAUGUAAAAUAAAUUAUGAUAUAUGUAUGAUUUUUUUUAAUAUUUAUAUUAUUUAUAUUUAAUUAUCAUAUAAAUGAUAUAAAAAAAAGACUUACUAAGAAAAUUAUAAUGAUGGUUGGUAAUCAAUUAAAUGAAAUUUAAAAUAAAAUAAUUAUAAUUAAUUUGUAUAUUAAAAUAUUCUUUUAAUAUUAAAAUUAUAAUCUAUUUAAUAUAGUAAUGUUUGUCUAAAUACAACAAAGUGCAAAGUUGGCCCAAUGGCUGCCAAGGGUUCAAUUUGAACUUUUUAACUUGGGUUUGAGUUGGCCAAGUAAGACGAUAAGAGGAGCAUGAAAAUAUAUUUGAUAGAAAUAUUGGGAAAUUUUUUAAAAUAUCGUUGAUAUAUCAGCCGAUGAUAAUCAAUGAUCAAUUUCAUAUUUACCCCUCCCUUUCGUCCAUGUGCAUACUUGAUGGUUAAAGUGCCCAUGACUCCAUUCCUACCUUUUUAAAACACCUCAAUUCCUUGCUUAGUUGCCCCACCUAUAGAAAAGUUUGUAAUAAAAUCAUUGGUUAGUCUUUCCUUAUCAUAUUUCGUAUCCGUGGAGCCCGAUACCUAAUAUUGCACCAAAUCCCAUUGAAACUCUAAUCCUUGCUUAGAUCAUGAUGGUCAAUACUAUAUAUUAAGCUAGGCAACAAAGUUACAAUGCCAUAUUUGGCAUUUCAUCACAUAAUGAAACUUUAUUGUUCCACGUGAAUUUGAUUCAUAAAAUUUUCCAUUUAAAAAAAGUUCAGGAUCACUUUAGUCAAUCAUAAAGCCGUAGAAGUUCAUUAUCAACCAUGGAAACUCAGGUGGAGUCGUUGAUUAAAAGUUUGACAUUGCUUGCUUCUUGCUAAAUGUUCUAAGACUCCCAAUAUAAUCAGCCCAGGUUAAGGUCAUGUAAAUUGAGUUUGGAUUGGGACUUUUGUUGUUCCACUUUCUAGUUUUGUAAGAAUGGCCUAGUGUCCAAGCUGGCCAGAAUAACUUCUUCAAGGGACUUCCAUUUGUGGUACUUUUGAAGUUAAACGUAAUCAUUAUUUAAUUUAUACUUAAAACACACUAGUGAUUGCUCAGAGAAAUUAUCAUUCGAUAUUUGUGUAUAUAUGUGUAGGCCAAAGGAAACCGCCAAAACAUACAUGUUUUUAUAAUUUUCAUACAACAUUAGGCAUGGCUUAACUGCUUACCAACCAAAGUUUUCUCCGGCAACACCCAUGGUCGGCGAUCCGGCCUGUUCCUCAUUUUUUUUUUUUAAGGCUUUCAAUGAGAUUCUGUAGGUCAAAACAUUUUGCUAUAAAUAGACUUUUAAUUUAGACCCCAAGAUGAAAAUCACCGGUUCAAGUAACCAUUGAAGUUGAUCAUUAGAAGAAACUUGGUGCCUACUCAACUUCAAUAAGCUCCAACGACUUCUAAGCAGUUUGUUGGCGCCAUAGCAAUCUUGGCAUUUGUUCUUCCAAUUGUAGCCAUGGCAACAGAGUUUACUGUUGGACAUGACCAAGAAUGGACCAUUAAUUUCAACUAUGAAGCCUGGGCUAAGGACAAAGUAUUUCAUGUUGGAGAUGAGCUAGGUAAUGUAGCUCAAGCCUUAAGCUAAGCUAGGAUUUCAUGUUCCUUUUAUCACUUCCUUCGAUUCAAGCUGCUAAAAGUAUUACGGUCGAUUCUCAUACAUGUAGCCUUCAAAUACACGGCGGGACGACACAAUGUCUUCAAAGUGAAUGGUAUGGCCUUCAUGAAUUUCUCAAAACCUAUAUUUUUUUCUUCAAAUAAUUUUCAACAAUAAAUAAAAAUCAUAAGGCAUGAAUGCAUCAACACUCUCCCAAUAAUUUAUAAAUACAAGUCACAUGCAAAUGCUUCAAUACUCUCCAACACAAAUUUAUAAAAACAAAUUCCUUCUUCAUAUAUUUCCAAUUACUUGAUAUUUUUAUCAAAUUGAGCAUAAAAUUAUUUAAGAAUAUCCAAAAGAUAAUUACACCAAUUUCAACUCAUAUUUCAUCCAUUCAACUUACAUGCUCAAGUAAUAUAUGAUAUCAAUAACUGGAAAUAAAUCAAAAAAGCAGAAUGAGAGAAAGAGAGACAAUGACACCAGAUUUUAGGUGGAAAAUCUCUUAAGAAAUAAAAAUCCACGGGUAUACAAGUGAUAAAAAAUAUUCAUUAUGAAGAAUAAAAACUGAAUAGUGCAAAGUUUUAUAUAACUCAGGCCUACCAAUCAUUUUCGAACCACUUAAUUAAUACCUUUCUAUUUUAACUUCACACCUUCUUUCGAAGCAUACUUGAAGUCCACACCAAACUCAAUAUUAAUAUCUUCUUGAAUUCACACAAGAAGAAAAUGAGUUUUUGAAAGUAUUAAGUAGUAGAUUUGAAUGUCCUAUUUAUAUAUUCUCGAUGAAUAACAAGUAUGAAGCCAAAUUUCAAAUCCUGAAUUCUAAUUUCAUAUCAGCCUAAACUUUUGAAUUUUCAUAGUCUAUCGUAGAUUUGAACUUGAUUAGCCAAAGGACAUCUUUAAAUCCACAAAUUGGGUGGAAAAUAUAUAUGUUCUUCUUACUAUUCUCAAGCUAUGAUUUAUUUAUUUUUUUAAAUAUUAUUAAAAUACGACCUUUUGCAAAAUGUUAAGACUUUUUCAAUAAAAAUUAUCACUUGAAACCCAUCUCUUAAAAAAAUGAAUUUACUGUAAAUGGGUGACCCUUAAUCUUGUAUUUUUGUUCUACAUAAAAAACAUAAUUUUUUUUUUUAUAUAUACAAAACUCAUAACAUGGAUUUCAUCAGGCAUAAAAUUACUGUAGUUUUAGAAAUGUUUUUUUUUUCUAAUUUUUUUAUUAGAGAAUGAUAUUUUAAAAAAUAAAAACCACAGCACUUGUGCAGAAUGAUCUUUCAAGUUAAAUGAUUUACUGUGAAGCAAGCAAAGAAAUGCACGACCAGAAUUCUAAGUGCCUGCCUGUGUCUUGUCUAUCACUUUUUUCAUUGAAACAUAUGCUAAUAAAUUUGCAUGUAGACAUUAUAAAUAUAUUGGUGUUUGACUCUUGUUCUUAAUUUCCGAUGUAGGUAGAGAUGCCGAGGAGGCAUACAUUCAAAGGACUCCACUAGUCUCAAGUAUGUAUUGAAACUGCAUUAUCAAAAUCCGAUUUCCUUUUUUUUGAAAGAACAAUAAAAAGUAAAGGGUGAAAGAGAAAGAGAUCAUUUUGAACAAAAGUUUAAAAAGAAAAGCUAAAAUGCACAUUAGUUUGGUGAAAAAGGUUGUUUAUAACCCCAAAAAGGUUGAAAAAUUGGUGAUGAAAUCAUUGGACUUUCUUGCCUUGUCGUAUUUGUAUCGAAGGAAUGUGACACCCGAUGUUUCAAGGCAUUACAUUGAAACUUUAAUCCUUGGUUAGAUCAUGAUGUCCAAUACUAUAUACUAAGCUAGGGUACAAAGUUACAAUGUCAUAUUUAGCAUUUCAUCACAUAAUGAAACUUCAAAAUAUUGUUCCACAUGAAUUUGAUUCAUAAAAUUUUCCAUUUAAAAAAAGCUGUAGACGCUUAUUAUCAACCAUGGAAACUCAGGUGGAGUCGUUGAUUAAAAGUUUGAUAUUGCUAGCUUGCUAAAUGUUCUAAGAGACUCCCAAUAUAAUCAGCCCAGGUUAAGGUCACGUAAAUUGAGUUUGAAUUGGGACUUUUGUUGUUUCACUUUCUAGUUGUGUAAGUAUGGCCUAGUGUCCAAGCUGGCCAAAAUAACUUCUUCAAGAGACUUCCAUUUGUACUAUUUUCAAAGUUAAUCACUAUUUAAUUUAUACCUAAAACACACUAGUGAUUGCUCAAAGAAAUUAUGAUUCAAUAUUUGUGUAUAUAUGUGUAGGCCAAAGGAAACCAUCAAAAGAAAUAUGUUUUUAAAAUUGUCAUACAACAUUAGGCAUGGCAUAAAUGCGUACCAACCAAAGGUUUCUCCGGCAACACCCUCUGGCCGGCUGACCCAGCCUGUUCAUGUUGUUUUUAAGGUUUUCAAUGAAAUUCUGCAGGUCAAAACAUUUAGCUAUAAAUAGACCCUUAAUUUAGACCCCAAGAUGAAAAUCACCUGUUCAAGUAACCAUUGAAGCUGAACAUUAGAAGAAACUUGGUGACUACUCAACUUCAAUAAGCUCCAAUGGCUUCUAAGCGGUUUGUUGGCGCCAUGGCAAUCUUGGCAUUUGUUCUUCCUGUUGUGGCCAUGGCAACUGAAUUUACUAUUGGAGAUGACUAAGGAUGGACCAUUAAUUUCGACUAUGAAGCCUGGGCCAAGGAGAAAGUAUUUCAUGUUGGAGAUAAACUAGGUAAUGUAGCUCAAGCCUUAAGCUAUGAUUUCAUGUUCCUUUUAUUACUUCCUUUUAUUCCAGCUGCUAAAAGUAUUAUGGUCAAUUCUCAUACAUGCAGUCUUCAAAUACACGGCGGGACGGCACAAUGUCUUCAAAGUGAAUGGUACAGCCUUCACGAACUGCACUAUACCACCAGCAAAUGAAGCUAUUACCACUGGAAAUGAUGUAAUUACACUGGCCACCCUUGGAAGGAAGUGGUACAUAUGUGGUGUAAACGACCAUUGCGCCAACUAUGGACAGAAGCUUGUCAUCACUGUAUUGGAAGAGUCUGCGUCUCCUGCACUGGCCCCCUCCAACCCCACAGCACCGGCACCCAACUCUGCUCAUGGGAUCUCUGGGUCCAGGUAUCAACUUCUGAUGGCAGCCAUGGUUGCUCUUGCCUUCCUAGCUAUUUGAUGAUCUGCUUUUACUCCAGGAGUACCUUUGAUCAUCUAGUUUUCAAGAAUUUUCUUCUGGCUUAUGGUUUUUUUAUUCAAUUAUUUUUUAUAUGAUUGAAAGAAAAUGGUAUCUUCGAAUAUGAAAGAUGGAAAAGAAAAAUGAGGAUGAAUACCUGUUGUGACAGUCUGACAAUUUUUUUAUUUUUUUAAAGUUUAUUGAUGUUUUUAUACCUUGCUGUUUUAUUAUUAUUUAAUCAAUAUAAUAUAAAGUUAAUGUAGCAGUAUGAAGAAAUAAUGUGAGCCUAUAGAAGCCUUUAGAUUAUUGAAGAAUGAUGAGUUAUACUUUCAAAGACCACUCAAAGAAUGGGAGGAUAUUUUUAAUUUGUUUUCCAUUUAUAGAGACUUAUGCUUUGUUUGGAUUAUGAAAAUAAUUGGGAAAUAUUUUUUUUUUUUUAAAAAGGAAGAAAUCUCACAUUCUCUUAUUAGGUUCAAUGUAAGAAAAUUAGAAGGAAAAUCAAAUUCAAUAAAAUUUAUUUGGUUUCAAAUCCUUCACUAUCGGAUGAACUUCCUCCCCUAGUUUGGUGUGAUAACAAAAGUGCAGCUGCCCUAGCUGCCAAUCCAAUCUUCCAUGCCUUCUCAAAACACAUUGAUAUAGAUCUUCAUUUUAUUCUUAAUAAAGUCCUUCAUAAAACCCUUAGUAAGUAUAUUCCCUCAUCUGGUCAGGUCGCCGAUAUCUUCACCAAGCAUCUUCCAAGCUUACAGUUCUCCACCUUUUAUGUCAAACUCUCCAUUGUCCCAUGCCCUAUAACUGAACAACAUAACAUUACUAGGAGUAGUAACUGAACCUCAACACUUGCAACAACAAGAACAUACUACCAGAAACAACAACCGCACCUCAAGACUUGCAACAAUAUGAACAGACUAUUGUUAAUGAUUAGUUAGACUGUUAUCAAGAACUGCUAAAGCAACAACUACAGUUAGAAGGAUUUGUAUAUAUAUAUAUAUAUAUAUGUAGUAGGCUUCAGAACAAAGUAAUCAAUAAUAAAUAUCCCUAUGAUUGUUUUUUUGCUAAAACAAAAAAAUCAUUCCCUGGUAACUCGUAGCCUACUAUGAAUAGUGGCAAUGAUUGUCGAGGGUGGCCCUAGAGGUGGAAGGAGGAGUCUCUCUUUGUUAUCUUAUUCUUCUUCUUGCAAAUCCUCUUCUUAUCCAUGAACUCCUUUAACUUCCCACUUUUUACAAACUCUUUUAUAUGUCGUUUUGGACUUCAAUACUUGUCGGUCUGAUUCCCUCGAUCCUCAUUGUAGUUGCAAUACUUAUGAGGCUUGCACUCCCCCACUAUGACCGAAAAGGGUUUGGAUGGUCAAAAUCCUUUUAGUGACUUAAUCUCUUAGAGGAUGUGUUAGUAGGACACUUUCUGCAGCAUAUAGUUGGUUUGGAACGAUUUUCUAGAUGAAGGUUAAUAUUUUCUCUACAUUGCUUCUUCUCUUCCCUUUCAAUUUGAGAUACAUCUUUCCUAUUACUUCCCGACUAGUUACGAAUUUGACCGAAUGAUGCUUCAAAAAUGAGGGCACCAUAGGAGGUAGCUUUCUUUAUCACUGAGACUUCAGGUCUUCUCUGGCAUGGUCUGUUUCCUUGCUUUAGCAAAUAAUCCCUAUAUGGUUGUCCGUGUUGAAUUAGAGAGUGAGUUAAUGAGGUUUAGACCCUUUAGAAGUCCUUUGAAAGCCAUCAUCACUGCUUGCGUGGUGGAUCACCAAACUUGAGAUAUUUCAAUGUUAAAUCACUGCAAAUAUGCAUGCCUUUAUUAACUCUCCUACACCUUUUGCUUCCAACCCCUUUUCCUAUCAAAUAGAGUGAAUAUAGUAUGCUAUAAACACAACUUCCAAAGCUCAAGAUUAAUUCGGACAAGCAUUGAUGGAAGCAUAAUAAUGUUGGUACCUUCAGACAUAAGGGAAGACUUUGCAUAAUAAGUGGUUAUGUACCAUCAUUUGGCAUAAAUGCAUUAGAUACUUGUGGGGAUCACUAGUACUGCUAAACAUGUUGAACUUCGAGAGAACAUACUCAUUGUCGUAGCCUCCUCAUGGAGAAUGUCAUGAGUAAAUGGUGUUAAGACAAUAUCUCACAAGAGAUGAAGACGAUGAGCUCUACAUUACUUUCUUGUACCAAUAGUGGAGUCUUAUUUGGUCCACCCCAGUUGCCUAUUAAGGCCUUCCUCUAAGACAACAAGGUCAUGCACCUCAGAUAAUGUUUUGAUAACUUAGAAUCAACAAAUCCCUUUCUUGAUCAUUUUCUCUGUAAUGUUACUGCAAAGGGCAUCAGAAUUGGACAUGUGUCUGCACUUCUUUACUGAACUUUCGAAAAUAAUGAAGCUUAACAUGGACUGAGUUCGGAUCAGUACAUACUUUCCUUAUGUUCCCUUUGAAAUAUUAAAUGGUACAAACUUUUGCAUGUUGGUCACAAAACAUAGUGCAGGUUGCUGUGUAUGCCCAUUUGAGUCUCAACAUUCUGCACAUCUCCCUAUCUUCUUUUAAUGCUAGAACCACUCCACAAAUUCUGUCAAACAUCCAUCAAUUGGGUAACAGAAUCAUCUUUGUGCAUUGUCAUUUUUGAGUGUGAUCUGCUACCUUCUUUCUGUUACUUGUUUCCAGAUUGAUUCCACUUAAGGUGAUUGAAGGAGACUUGAACGAGCAUGACAGAAUUGUUGGUGAACUGUGUGCGUGAGACAAUGAGGGACUAUCUGAAUUUGAUUGAUUUAGGUCUCAAAAAUAAGCAUGCAAGAAUGUAUGACAUGGUAGUGGCACUUAAAUUUUUUUGCUAAUUCUUGGUUUUACAUUACCAAGUUGUAAUUGAAACGAUGAGCAUUUCAUUCUUAUUUUACCAUCUGGUUUGUAUGGGAGAGAUUGAUGCUCAUCACUUAGAGAGAAAGGAUUUGGUGAAAAUGACAACACUAACUUAAGUUUCUUAUUGAGUUUGAUAUAUAUAACAAUUACUUAUUAAUUUUGAUAUAUAUAGCUAUUACAAGAAGGAUUAGUUAGUUACUUAUAGUCUAAGCUGGCAUAACAAACUCUUAACAAACUUCCUAAUAGGUAAUAAGCUUAAUUUAACUGUAUCACUAAUAUACCCCUCACAAGCUAAACGAUGGUACUAAGUGAAAGCUUGUUACACAGAAAAAGAAAACGAGAAAUAGACAAAGGCUCAGAAAAGACAUUAGUUGUUUGCUCUUUAUAUGGAAUAUAACAAACAUCCACUUCAUUAUUGAGCACUUUCUCAAGCACGAAUGAAAUAUCAAUCUCGAUAUGCUUAGUUUUGGCAUGAAAAAUAGGAUUUGAAGUAACACAAUAACACCAAUGUUAUCACACCACCACAUGAGGGUUUUUCAAGAGAAAGAUCCAACUCAUGAAAUAGAGAUUGAAUCCAAAUCAAUUUUGUAGUGGUAGAAGAUGAAGCACAAUAUAGGAACAAAUACUUUUUUUUAUUAAAGAAUUGAUUGAGACACUUUGACAACUAGAUUGAGAAACACUAGGCUCUUGUAGUAGAGAAAGCAAGGCCUUAAACAUAGAAGAUGACUUGGACUAUGAAGAUUGUGAUUGUGUGAGAUCAAGUUGAUAGAGACCAUUCCUAAGAGCUCGUUUCACCAUAAUUUUCUUUGAAGCUUUGUCCUUGCUUAGACAAUAGUCAUAACAGAAUUCAAUUAAAACAUUAUUAUAUUUUGUAAAUUGAGAAAUACUGAAAAUAUUUUUGGUAAUAUGUGGAACAUGUAAGAUGUUAUUAAGGAGAAGAGGUUUAGAAGAAUUUUUGUAAGGUAAAAAGGAAUUUCCAAACUGAGAAAUAGCAAGUUUAGAACCAUUACCAACCAUAAGCUUCUCAUUGCCCAUAUAAUCUACCUUGAUAGUCAGAUUGUUCAUAUCAACAGUGAUGUCGUUUGUUGCGCUACUAUCGACAUACCACUCGUGAUAUGCAAAGUUAGAGGUGAAAGCAAUAUUUGCCUAAUAACUAGUCAAAUCAACACUUAAAAAGCUAAUAUCAAACCUUUUGUAGCAUUUAACAACCACAUGACCAAUCUUGCCACAAAGUUGACAGAUUGGCUUGUUGCCAUGACUAGAACCACCAUUGUCAAGGCCAUGAUGACCACAGAAAUGAGAGUUACCACCAUGAUUGGCAUUACUCAAUACAACAAGAAAAGAUCUGCGAUAAGCAACAUUAGUAGAGGGAGAAUUUUGCAAAUCAGUUGGCAAAAAGACCAAUUGAUGUUGAAUCAUCAUUUCAUGAGUCUAUAUGACAAAUUGAACCUCUUGAAGAGUGAGAGCAUUGUUUCCUGAAGUAAGAUUAACAAUGAUUGACUCAUAUUCAGGAUAAAAUCCAAUAAGAAUAUAAAGAAUAAGAUCUUUAUCAAUAAUGACCUAACCAAUAGAGUUAAGAUUGUCAGUCAAACCUCACAUCUUAAGAAUAUACUCCUCUACACUAAGAGCUCAUUUCUUCAAUGUCUAUAGCAUAAUACAAAGUUGCAUCACUUUGGCCUUCGAUUGAGACCAAAAAAGUUAUUCACGUGUGGACCAAAGUUCAAUAGUAGUAGCACAAUGAUUGACAUGAUUAAGCAUUGAUUCGCUCAUCAAUAAAAGAAUCUAGCUUAGAAGAAACUGAUCAUGCCUCAUUCAAAUUAGGAAAUCAAGAUUUUAAACCCUAGUUGGUGGAGAACUAGGACUAUUACAAGGAACUUUGACAAAUUAAGGCAGAAUUAGAACAGAUCCAAACAGAAAGCCUUCACAUCCUUAAGCUCGUAUAGAUGAAAGCACUUGAGCUUGCCAUUAGUAGCACUUAGAGGCAAGAGGCAAAUUAGGAGCACCAAAGGAAGUAGAAGAGGUCAAGACAUGUUUCUAGAGAAAAAUUUUGAGAAAAAAAAUGGAAGAAUUUAGAAAGAGAAAAAAGAGAAAGGGAGAGAGAGAUAGAGAAAAGAAUUCUCAAAUGCAAACUUGCUUUGAUACCAACUUAGAGAGAGAAAGGAUUUGGUGAGAAUUACGACACUCACUUAAGUCUAUUAUUGAUUAUGCUAUAUAUAGCUAUUACAAGAGGGUUCAGUUACUUACAGUCUGAGUUGGCAUAACAAACUCUUAACAAACUUCCUAACAAAUACAAGUGUAAUUUAAUUAUAUCACUAAUAUCAUCAAAUGUGUUUGUACAUCUUUACAAGAACGGAAAAUAUUGUUAAAAUAUUGACUAAAGAAAUGCAAGUUGUAUUCUUAUUAGGCCACUCUUCUAAUCAAGCUCACCAAGAAAUCCUUAUAGUUUCCAAGAGCUACAUCUUCAAUCUUCUGGGUUAAAGGAACUUUAUAUUGCUUAUCAAAUUCUUCUAUGAUUUCCUUCAUAUCAACAUUGCUCCAUGUCAUUAUUACUCGGGUUAGGGCUUCUUUUGUAUUCUCGUCUGCAUCAUCUUUGAAUGCAUUAUUUAAGACCUAAAAGAAUUGAAACAAUCAAUCCAAUACAUGAUUAUACAAACAAAUAUAAGAUCAUUUCUAAGAUGUUGGUUGUGAUGAAUUAAUCUUACCUUACUGAAAUAUGAUUGGGGAUUGCAUAGGCACUGAAGUGUCUCCUUCAAACUCAUUAGAGUGUCAAGAUCCUAAGCAGAUUAAUGAGAAUCAUACUAAAUUGGUAAUUUAAGAUGAUAAGAAAAGUAAAUCAAAGAAACCCUUCAUGUGAUUUUUCAUUGUUUUUCCUACUUAAUUCAUUCACUUUUUAUAAAAAGAAAAAAGAAAUAAAAUAUGAAAAUAUUAAAUUGUUUUCCUUUGCUACAUUUCAUUUUUUUUUUAAUUUAUAAUUCGGUAGGUAUGUUAUACUCCUUCCCCAAAGAUUUAGACUUAGUAACUAGAGCUCUCUUGGUAAAAAUCUUGGCUCUUACUCACCAUGGUUUUUAAAACAGAUGACAUAAUUAAGAAAAGUCUACUAUAUAAAAAAACACCUAAAACUUCUCUUCUAACUAAUAUGGAAUAUGAUAUUACAUUUUCAAUUUUAUUAUUAUAUAUCUACUAAGGGGUUUACUUAUCAUUGUUAUUCCUUCAAACAACUAUGGUACCUUCUUUUUUUUUCUUUAUUUAAAAUUUAUUUUAAUUCCAACUGUUGUUGAAUUAAAGUUUAAAGAAGAAAAAUUAAGGUAUAUUACACAUUUAUUAUAAUAUCAUUCUCGUUCCUUACCUCAUCUAUAUUUUUGCCAUAAAUCUUCUUAUAGUACUUGACCACUGCCUUGAGAUGGAACUUGCUCCUUGUUGUUAGAAUCCUCACUAUCCCAUCAUCUUCAAUUGGGUUCUUCUUAUCAACAUUCUUAACCACAAUUGCAAGUGUCAUGGCCUCUAAUCUAGCAAUCCCCUCAUUAACCCGCAACCCUUCAUAUCUAUACGAACUCACAAGGGCUACUAGGAGCUAUCAAUGUAGGAAAACAAAUUUUCGUUAUACCAUAAUUUACAUUAAUUAUGGAAGUAUUUAACUUUUAUUAAAUACCUUUAAAAUCAAAGAUGUCAAAUAGGGCCUUAAUCUAUCAUAAACAAGUUAGAUUUGUGUUCUUUUGCCCUUGUACUAAUUCAAAUUGGGUCAAACAUAAGAUGAGGCAUGAGAGGGAAGAACUUUGGUGUUAGCCAACUAUAUUGUCAUGCGUUUGAGGCUUAAUUUUUAGGUUAUCAACAAAAGAGCCAUGCAUAUUAUGGCACAAUGAUUGGGCCACAUUGCUUGGGCUAGCUCAAUCUUGAAACAUAUGAGCUGCCCUAGUUUGAGCACAAAGUGGGCUCUUGUCAUCAUAUAAAAAUCAAUCCCACAAACCAUAAUAAAUGCUUUUAAUUUUAUAAAAAUAUUAUAAUAUAUUUUUAAUCAUAUAAAUAAAACCGUUAAGAGAAGUAUUUGAAAAUUUUAAUAUUUUACAAGAAGUAAUAAAACUAUCAUGAAAUGGAUUCUCAAAAAGAUUAUAAAGUAUAACAAUUGUGUGAUAAAAUUGUUAUUUUCAUAUAAAAACUAUGUUCAUGCUUUGAAUAUCAUUCAUUUGAUGUGAUAACCUGACUGAAGUGGCAGGAACCUUGCGUUUGAUGCCUUCAAGUCGAGAAGCAACAUCCUCGAUCGAUUGGUCGAAGAGGGAUUGAUAAGCUUUCCUAGCACCAAGCAACUCUUCUGAUGAUCUUGUGCAUGCAAUCUCAAUGAGCAAGCCAUAUGCUUGAGGACCCUUAGAAAUAGCCUCAUGCACCAAACGAGCAUCCCUUUCCCAAGGAUGCAUGAUCCAUUGCACCACAAUAUCCUGACCAUAAAAAAAUUCAAAAGAGUCAUAAGAUUGCAAAAAAUUCAACCAUUCAUAACUAACAUAUUAUCACAUCCUAAUAUAUGUGCCUUGGCAAAAUAUAAUACAAUACUCUUAGGAAAAUACUAAGAUACUAAAUUAAUGCCUCUAAAACUUUGAAUUUCAGUUUCUAGAAAUAUACAAUGAAAUUUGGAUCAUUGAAUAAAAGUACAAAUAUAAAGAAAGAAUCAUGGUAUAAAAACAAAUUAAAUUAAGGCAUAAGGGAACAAAAUUAAGGUAUAAACAAAUGAGACCAAGGUAUAAUGGGAUAAAACCAAUAUAUAGAGUAAGGAGACCUCGAAAUGUGAUACAAAUGAAUGAGCUUGGAAUAGUACAAAAUAAUGAGACUUGAAUUACAUAUGCGACACCAUUUAUUGGUGGUGCCUUUUGAAUAGGUUCCACAAAAAGUAUAUUUGGAUAUUGUACUAAAAUGUGUCAUCGUGUCAAUUAAAAGCACUUAAAAAAUAAGUCAAUCCAAUUGAUCCAUGAGUACAAAUUGGGCAUGAAACAAUGAUAUGAAAGGGUAAGUGUUAGCAAACAAUAAGUUUAUGAAAAGAAAAUUUCAUUUUAUUUUAUUUUUCAUUAUUUGAAGUAAUGGUACUAUAUCAUUAUAUAUAUAUAUAUAUAUACUUUAGAAUUUUCUCAUAUUAUAUAUUGCAAUUUUUUGAAUACAAAAAAGUAUUUAUAGGUUAUAUCUAGUACCAAAAUACAUUAAACUAGGUUAAAAAGAGAACAUUUUUCAUCCAUUUUCCAUGUGAUAUCCAUAAUUAUGACUUUCAGCUAACAUUUCUAUUACAAGAAGAAGAACAUGAGUACCUUAAACCGCAGAAAUUCUUUCGUUAAGCAAGCAAUAUGGUGAUCAUCCCACCUCUCAAAAAGACGUUCAUCCUCCAAGAAGAAUUUAGGAGUUCUCUUUCUAAAGGAUUCCAAGUGCUCCGAAUGCCACUUUCCUAGGAUCGAUACCAUCGAAUCCUCAUCAACUCCAAAUCCUAAAAAAUGCAAAUUAAGGUUGCUUCAAAUAGAUGGACUACAUAUAAUUCUUGGUACGCCUAUAUAAAAUAAAGCAAAUAGAAAAUAACAAAAGGCUAAAAAAGUUGAAUUUCACAAUUUAAGACUAUUAUACCAUAAUUUAGAGUGUAAUAGGCUGUGAUUUUAAGAAGUAUUUUUAAUAUUUCUAACAUUUGAAAAUUUUUAUCUUUUGAAUAUUAAAAAUGUUAGAAACACUUCUUAAAAUCACUAUCAAAUACAUUCUUAAAGUUCGUUUAGUUGUAAUUCUAAAAAAUGUUUAUAACAUUUCUAACAUUUGAAAAUUUUUAUCAUUCAAGUACUAAAACAACGAAAAACAUUUCUUAAAAUAAUUUCUAAACACAUUCUUAGUGUCCAACUAAAAUAAACAAAAUUAAAUAAAAAAAAAUGAUAAGAAAAAUAUAAGGGGCAAACCUGAGAAAGCCUUGGUGAGAGCUUCAAAGUCAUUUGGAGGAUCUAUUUUGGUUGUUUUUCUUUUCCCGAGUCACGCAAUAAGAUGAAAGGCUUCUCAUUCACACAUGAAUGUGAGAUGAUGAUUUAGUAAGCGAUCCAUCCAAGGGGAUGGAUGCAGUAGAAUAAAAUGUACACAAAAAAUGGAAUGACUUGUGGGAAGAGGAAAGGCAUCUGUCCUCAAAGGACUGCAUGUCAAUAUCAUGGAGUCCUUUCACUGAUUAUGAGAUUCCGACUAUAGUGUUUGAAUUUUGCUUUUAAGACUUGAUUUUCUGAUCAAGACUUUGACCUAGGUUUGGGUGAUUUUAGUUCAUGGAAUAAUGAUUUUGAACAAUUUGAAUAUGUUUUGAUCUAAUAAUAAUGAAUUUAUAGUUGGGCUUGGGCUUGGGCUGAGCUCCUAUAUCUCUUGUGGGCCGGCAUGGGAAUUGAAUACUAGUACUGGUACAGUGUUGGUCAAAGCUGCUUUAGAAUUUUGUCGUGAAAAGAUUCAUGGAAACAUAGGCACUCAUCACGGUGCUGAAUGUUCAUGUGCCUCUUCUAUGGGGGUCAAAUUAUGAUGAAUGUAUUGUGUGAUCAAGUCCUUAUGUAUAUACAUGAUCCUACACAAAAAAAAAAAAAAAAAAAAAGUUGAUUAGCAUUUAGAGCCCGUUUGAUAGUGAUUCUAUGAAACGUUUUUAAUAUUUCUAACUUUUGAAAAUUUUUGUCAUUUAAGUAUUAAAAAUACUAAAAAUGUUUUCUAAAAUCACUCACAAACGCAUUCUUAGACUCCAUUCGAUAGUGUUUUCGAAAAACACUUUGAACCUAAAAGGUAUUUUUGAAAAAAAUAAUUUUUUUGAUAAAAUUUAAUAAACACUUUUAAAAACCAUUUAUAGUAUUAAAAAAAUAAUUAACAAUGUUUUUUAAAGAAACAUUUGAUAAUUGAUUCUCUUAAAAAACUUUUAGAAAAAAAAAAAAUUCGGUAAAAAAAAAAAAAUUGGGUAAAAACACUAUCAAAUAAACUCUUGAACCUGUUUGAUAGUACUUUUAGGCGAAGUGUUUUUAUUGAAAAUGUUUUCUCUAUAAUAUUUCUAUGAAAAACUAUCUUAUGAGAUUAUGGAAAAAUGAUUUUAAUAAUGUUUUUGACAAUAUGUUGCAUAAGUAUAAAAAUAUUUUAAUAUUAAUAAAUUAUCAAAAAGGACAUAUAAUUUAAUUACAAAAAGUAAAUAUUAUAAUAAAUCCAAAACUUUUCAUUGUAAAAGAAUGUGUAAACAUUUAUAUUGUUAAAAAAACUAAAAAUAAUAAUUUUUAUAAUUACAAGAAAAUUUUGGAAAAUAUAUAUUUUUAAAUGGAUUAAUAAAUAAACAUCAAUCAUAAUAUAACAAUUUUUUUAACUAAAAAAUGAAACAAACUAUUUGAUUAUAUAUUAAAUUAAAAAUAAUAAAUUUUUAUUAUAAAAUGAUGGGUGGUAGCUACUUAAUAUUCAAAAGUUUUCUUAAAUUGUAUUUGUUUAAAAUUAAAAGAGUCAAAUAUUAAUUCUUACCCCGUUGUAUUCCUAUGUGGAGUGGAGAGUUGGGUUAUAAAAUAUGGUUAAAAUUAUACCUUUUAUGAUGCCCACAUAAUGUCCAUUAUAAGCAUAUGCGAGUUUCUUUCCUUUUGUGAGGUAGGAAUGCCUAAAAGCAUUCAUUUCCAAUAUAUAUUUGCAAUGUACACAUUAUUCACUUUAUAAAACUUGCUCAUCUAGAACGGAGAGUACUUUGGAGCAGAUUUCAACGAUGUCGAACGAGAGUGAUAAAAGCCUUUGACUGUAGAGUCUCCACUCGGAUGGAGAGGGAAUGAGGAAGAGAAAAGUGAAAGGGAAAUGGAAAUGGAGGGUAUCAGAAAACACUUGGGGGUAUUUCAGAAAUAUUUGUAAGCUUUUAAAGUGAUUUUUAAAUAAAUCACUUCCUAAGUGCUUCUCUAAAAAUCGCUAUUUCAACGAUGUCGAACGAGAGUGAUAAAAGCUUUUGACUGUAGAGUCUCCACUCGGAUGGAGAGGGAAUGAGGAAGAGAAAAGUGAAAGGGAAAUGGAAAUGGAGGGUAUCAGAAAACACUUGGGGGUAUUUCAGAAAUAUUUGUAAGCUUUUAAAGUGAUUUUUAAAUAAAUCACUUCCUAAGUGCUUCUCUAAAAAUCGCUAUUUCAACGAUGUCGAACGAGAGUGAUAAAAGCCUUUGACUGUAGAGUCUCCACUCGGAUGGAGAGGGAAUGAGGAAGAGAAAAGUGAAAGGGAAAUGGAAAUGGAGGGUAUCAGAAAACACUUGGAGGUAUUUGAGAAAUAUUUGUAAGCUUUUAAAGUGAUUUUAAAAAAAAUCACUUCCUAAGUGCUUCUCUAAAAAUCGCUUCAAGUAUUUUUCUAAAUUUUUAAAAGUGUUUUUUUUUAAAUAUUAUCAAAUACCUAUUUUUUACCUUAAAAAUGCUUUUAAAUAUUUUUAGGACAAGAAACACUUUUAAGAAGCAUUACCAAAUGGGCUUUUAAUUAUUUUUUACAUAAAAGUUUAAGACAUAUUUGGAUGUAUAGUAUUGUUAGACACCUUAAGAGCUAUGUGAAUAUAUAGGAUCUAAUAUUAAAAGCUUCAAAAAGCAUCCAUCCCUAAAAUUGGAAACCCUUUUUAUGAUCCCCUCAUUUUUUAAGCUCUUAAAUUUAUAAAAAAAAAAAAUGGUAAAGAUCCUAUAUCUUCAUUUCUAAUAUUAUCGGAAAUGAUUAUUUGUUUUUUUUAUUAUUCUAAAAUUAUAAUUUUUAGAAAAAAAAAUUAUUAGAGUUAUGAAAAGAUUAAGAAAAAAAAAAAAGUGGGACGAUGAUCUGAAUUAAUUUGUAAAAAAAUUUCAAUCUUCUCACAACUACUUUUAUCUUUAAAAAACCUAUAAUUCUAAUGGAUAUAUAGAAAGUUUAUCCUUGAAAAAUCACAAUUCUAAUGGAUAUAUAGAAAGUUUGGUAGAUGCCAAUAUAAUUUCUCUUUUAACACUUCGAAACAAUCCAAUAAAUUGGUGCUAGCCUACUAAGCCUUGAGGCCAAAAAGAGAGCGGGCUUGAACAGUGAAGGGAUACUGCCCAGCCCGUAUAAUUACAUGGUCAUACUAUUUGGGUCAGCCUAGUCUUGAGAUCUAUGGGCCAUCUUGGUUUUGGCUCACUAAGGUAUCUCUUAGGCAAACUCAACAUGCUUGAUGCACUUCUUUUCUUGGAAUAAGCCCAGAGUUGGGAUGACCCAAUUGAUUACUACUCAAAAAGUACUAUUUCAUAGCUUGUAAUUAACUCUUUUAAACACUUUUGAGUAGUAGUUAUCACCUUUUAACCCAAUUAACAUAUUAAGGACCCUUGCAAUCAAUUCUAAUCAAAUUGUGUUAAGUUUUGGUGUUUUGAUAGCUUUUUUUAUCACCAAAGCAAUCCCAGAUUGAGGAGAGUUCUUUGGAAUCCUUAAGCAAAUCCAGAAUACAAGGAGUAUGGGAUCCUGCACAUUCCACCCGGGAAGGAAUUCCAUCCGGCUGCUAAAAGCUUUCCCAUCCGACUGCCGCCACUUUCCACCCGGAUGUAUCACAUCCGGAAAUCGGCUGCCGCCGCCAUUCCAUCCGGCUGCCGCCACUUUCCACCCAGAUGUAUCACAUCCGGAAAUCGGCUGCCGCCACUUUCCACCUGGAUGUAUCACAUCCGGAAAUCUGCUGCCACCGCCAUUCCACUCGGAUGUUCACAUACGGAAUUCUGACGCAGGAUAGGAGUGGAGAACGUUUCAACUUCCCCGGUCACACAUUUCCGGAUCCGCUUAUAACGCUUACCCGGAGAGUUUCGCAGCCAUUUUGCACAAUGCCGCGGGGUUCUCCUGAAGCUUCCCAAUAUGUGUGACCAACAUUUUGAGAUAUUUUGCGAUAUUUUUGCUUUAGAUAUUUGAUGUCUAAAUCCCCAAACUCUCCUUGUAACCCACCAAUUAUAGGAUUCCUUAGUUAUUAAGUUAGGAAAAAGGGUGAAUAACCUGGUAGAUAUUAUUAUUGUAAUUUUCAUAUAAUGAUCUCUCGGGAGCCUAUCCAGGGGGGGACACAACUUUUGUAUAGUUUUAAAAAGAAGAAAAAUACAGAGCUUUGCUCUGCUUUUACUUUCUCAUUUUGAUUGUAUUUUCUUACUUGCCAAACAACCUUUGAGGAUGUUUUCCCAGAGGAUGAGAGGCUAAACCUUUGGUUUCUUGGAGUGAAGAAAGCUAGGUGAAAAGUCCAGAUGCAAAAGUGGAAAACUCUCGUGCUUUAAAUACAGGUAGUUGGAGUUCAUAAAUGGCUUUUAAAUCUAAAGUUUUUCUUUAAAUCCCUUAGAAUCACUUUGAAUGGCCAAUACAUGAUAAGCUUUUAGAUCUCUGUGGAUACUUAUUGUUAGAUCCACUUAAGACCAUUAGUUAUCAUGUAUGAGCCAUUAGGAAGUGGCUCAGGGUGAAGACCCCUAGUGUCUAAAGCCAUUAAUGGAACUCGACUACCAUUUCUAUUAGACUUUUUAUGGAUUAAAUCUUCAUUGUUAAACCUAUACCGGUUCGGGAAACAACCAUCCUUUAUGUUGUUGUCCCCAAUACGAGGAGAAAAAUCCGGAAUUUCCCACUUUGCAUUCUGAACUUGAUUCGUGCAAGCUUUAGCUCCGGGAGACUUUCUCUCUUCCAUUUUUACUUAGUUCUAUGUUAGUUUAGUUUCAAACACCACUUUCAAAACAAAUUUUAUUUUCUUUUAAACUUUAAGUUUUUGAUAAAGGAAAUCAUCAGAUUCAAUUUCUAAUCUUGAGUCUAUCACUGGUAGAAUGAAAACCCAUCCCAAAGUUCGACCCUAGAGCUGCUAUACUAUAGUAGCUUUGCUACGCUAGUAUGAGGUCAUAGGAUUUAUAAAUAUUUUUUAUUAAAAUACCCAACUAGGCACGAAUCAAAAUGGCAUCGUUGCCAGGGAUGGUGCCACGAUACAGUGAUACAACUUUUUAGAGGCUACUUGUGAUUUCCAUCACAAGUUUGGUGAAUUCCUUUUUCACUAACUUCAUUUCCUUUCUUCUAAUUGUAGAAUUCCUUUUGUUAAGUUUAUUUUCAUUUUCUUUCUAACCUUAACUUUCUUCUAGUUUUCUUUUGUUUUUUUUGUCUUUGUUUUGUUUUAGGGAAGUGGUAACUUGUGCAUGCCCUAUUGGAUUCGGGACCAAGAGGGAAGACUAGUAAGGAUAGGGAAUCCUCAAGACACAGAGUUGGAUAUCUGUGUAAACGUCAUGGACCCUCCAAAAGAGGAUCAGAAUUCUCAACAUGGUCAAGGGGAUAAUCCAAAUGCAUAUCUAUCCAUGAGGGAUAGAAUGCACCCACCAAGGAUGAGUGCACCCUUAUGCAUCGUACCUUCUCUUGAGCAGCUGAUUAUAAGGCCCCAUAUUGUGCCCCUCCUACCAAAUUUCCAUGGAAUGGAGAGUGAGAACCCAUAUGCUCACAUCAAGGAGUUUGAGGAGGUGUGCAAUACUUUUAGAGAGGGAGGAGCUUCAAUAGACUUGAUGAGACUCAAGCUAUUCCCUUUUACUUUGAAGGACAAGGCAAAAAUAUGACUUAACUCUUUAAGGCCAAGGAGCAUAAGGAAUUGGGUUGAUCUUCAGGCCGAAUUUUUGAAGAAAUUUUUCCCCACCCAUAGGACCAAUGGGUUGAAGAGAUAAAUCUCAAACUUUUCUACACAAGAAAAUGAGAAGUUCUAUGAAUGUUGGGAAAGGUAUAUGGAGGCCAUUAAUGCUUGUCCUCAUCAUGGCUUUGAUACAUGGCUCUUGGUGAGCUAUUUUUAUGAUGGGAUGUCUUCCUCCAUGAAGCAAAUUCUUGAAACCAUGUGUGGGGGAGAUUUUAUGAGUAAGAAUCCAGAAGAAGCCAUGGAGUUUUUAAGUUAUGUAUCUGAGGUAUCAAGAGGAUGGGAUGAGCCCAACUCAAGAGAAAUGGGAAGGAUGAAAGCUCCUGUAAAUCCAAAGGGUGGAAUGUACAUGUUAAGUGAAGACAUGGACAUGAAAGCUAAGGUGGCAACAAUGGCAAGGAGGUUAGAAGAACUUGAGUUGAAAAAAAUGCAUGAAGUCCAAGCCAUUUCCGAGACACAAGGCCAUGUCAUGCCAUGCACCAUUUGCCAAUCAUGUGAUCAUGUGGUAGAUGAGUGCCCAACCAUCCCAGCUGUGAGGGAGAUGUUAGGUGAUCAAGCCAAUGUUGUGGGGCAAUUUAGGCCCAACAACAAUGCAUCUUAUGGAAACACCUAUAAUUCAAGCUGGAGAAACCAUCCAAAUUUUUCAUGGAAACCAAGGCCACCUCCAUACCAACCACAAGCCCAAACCCAAGCACCUCAACAAACCUCUUCAGUGGAGCAAGCCAUUGUGAACCUAAGUAAAGUCAUGGGUGACUUUGUGGGUGAACAAAAGGCAAUCAACUCCCAAUUGCACCAAAAGAUUGAAAAUGUUGAGAGUUCUCAAAUUAAGAGAAUGGAUGGGAUGCAAAAUGAUCUAUCUCAGAACAUAGAUAAUAUUCAAUACUCCAUCUCUAGGCUUACCAACCUCAACACAGUGAAUGAGAAGGGAAAGUUUCCCUCUCAACCAAGCCAAAAUCCAAAGGGUGUUCAUGAAGUUGAAACCUAAGAUGGGGAGUCUUCAAAGUUGAGGGAGGUCAAAACUGUGAUCACCUUGAGGAGUGGGAAGGAGGUUGAUCAACCUUUGCCUAAGGUAAGGCAAGAUGAAGAACUCAUGUCAAGGAGAACCUUGGUUAAAGAGAGCAAUAACCAAGAAGAGAAGAGUGGGAAGAAAAAUGCAUCUAAUUUAAGCAUUGAAGAAGAGACAAGGAUAGUGAUUAAAGAGGAUAUGAUGAAGAAACAUAUGCCUCCCCCUUUUCCUCAAGCUUUACAUGGAAAGAAGGGAAUCAAGAAUUCAUCAGAAAUUCUUGAAGUUUUGAGACAAGUGAAGAUGAAUAUACCCUUACUGGAUAUGAUCAAGCAAGUCCCCACAUAUGCAAAAUUUUUAAAGGAUUUGUGCACGGUCAAGAGAGGGUUAAUUAUGACAAAGAAGGCAUUCCUUACUGAGCAAGUAAGUGCCAUCAUUCAGUGUAAGUCUUCAGUUAAGUACAAAGAUCCGGGAUGUCCCACCAUUUCGGUCAACAUUGGGGGGACAAAUGUGGAGAAGGCUUUACUAGACUUGGGGGCAAAUGUGAAUUUGCUCUCAUACUCUGUGUAUAAGCAACUAGGACUUGGAGAAUUGAAGCCCACAACCAUCACUCUCUCCUUAGCUGAUAGGUCAGUCAAAAUCCCAAGGGGGGUGAUAGAGGAUGUUCUAGUUCAAGUGGACAAAUUCUACUAUCCCGUGGAUUUUGUGGUGCUUGAUACUGAUCCCACUGUUAUGGAAGCAAAUUAUGUGCCAAUCAUCCUUGGGAGACCUUUCCUAGCUACCUCCAAUGCCAUCAUCAAUUGUAGGAAUGGGGUGAUGUAGCUCACAUUUGGAAACGUGACCUUGGAACUAAACAUAUUCCACCUAUGCAAGAGGCAUCUUCAACCCGAAGAGGAGGAAGGAUUGGAGGAGGUGUGCUUGAUCAACACUUUGGUUGAAGAGCAUUGUGACAAGAAUUUAGAAGAGAGCUUGAAUGAAAGCCUUGGAGUGCUUGAAGUAGGGUUACCUGAACCCUCUGAUGUGUUAGCCAUCAUGUCUCCUUGGAGGAGAAGGGAAGAGAUCUUACCCUUGUUCAAUAAGGAGGACUCAUAAGGAGCAGCUAGGGAGGACCCUCCAAAGCUAGUUUUGAAGUCAGUUCCUGUUGAUUUGAAGUAUGUAUAUUUGGAGGAAGAUGAGAAAUGUCCAGUGGUGAUUUCUUCAACUCUCACAAGUGAUCAAGAGGAUAGUCUUUUGGGAGUCCUCAAAAAAUGCAAAAAAAGCCAUUAGAUGGCAAAUUUUUUAUCUGAAAGGGAUUAGCCCUUUGGUAUGCACCCACCAUAUCUACAUAGAGGAAGAUGCAAAACCAGUGCGGCAGCCCCAAAGGAGGUUGAAUCCUCACAUGCAAGAGAUGGUAAGGGGUGAAGUUCUGAAGCUACUUCAAGCAAGGAUCAUAUAUCCCAUUUCAGACAGCUUGUGGGUGAGCCUAACCCAAGUAGUCCCAAAGAAAUCUGGAGUUACUGCGAUCCAGAAUGAGAAAUGGGAGGAAGUCUCUACACGUCUUAUCUCAGGAUGGAGGGUGUGUAUAGACUACAGGAUGUUGAAUUCAGUGACUAGGAAGGACCAUUUCCCAUUGCCUUUCAUGGACCAAGUCCUUGAGAGAGUCUCAGGGCAUCCUUUCUACUGUUUUUUGGAUGGUUACUCGGGGUACUUCCAAAUAGAGAUUGAUUUGGAAGAUCAAGAAAAGACAACCUUCACUUGCCCCUUUGGUACUUUUGCCUAUAGGAGGAUGCCCUUUGGUCUAUGUAAUGCACCUGCAACUUUCCAAAGAUGUAUGCUAAGCAUCUUCAGUGAUAUGGUGGAGCGCAUCAUGGAAGUCUUCAUGGAUGACAUCACUGUAUAUGGAGGUUCUUAUAAGGAGUGUUUGUUGCAUUUAGAAGCUGUUCUCCAAAGAUGUAUUGAGAAAGACCUAGUGCUAAAUUGGGAGAAGUGCCAUUUUAUGGUACAACAAGGAAUUGCCUUAGGACAUAUAAUCUCCAAGAAUGGCAUUGAGGUAGAUAAGGCAAAGGUGGAGCUAAUUGUUAAGUUGCCACCUCCCACAAAUGUUAAAGGAAUUAGGCAAUUCCUAGGACAUGUCGGGUUCUAUAGGAGGUUCAUUAAGGAUUUCUUAAAAAUCUCAAAACCUCUUUGUGAACUCUUGGUAAAGGAUGCCAAGUUUGUGUGGGAUGAGAAUUGUCAGAAGAGUUUUGAGGAACUGAAGCAAUUCCUCACAACUGCACCAAUAGUGAGAGCCCCAAAUUGGAAAUUACCUUUUGAGGUAAUGUGUGAUGCAAGUGAUCUUGCUAUGGGGGCUGUUUUGGGGAAAAGAGAAGAUGGAAAGCCCUAUGUGAUUUAUUAUGCAAGCAAAACUUUGAAUGAGGCUCAAAGGAACUACACAACUACUGAGAAGGAGUUGUUGGCAGUAGUUUUUGCCUUGGAUAAGUUUCGUGCUUAUUUGGUAGGGUCCUUUAUAGUGGUGUUCACUGACCAUUCUGCUUUAAAGUACUUGCUAACCAAGCAAGAUGCCAAGGCAAGAUUGAUAAGAUGAAUCCUUUUGCUUCAAGAAUUCAAUCUCCAAAUCCGGGAUAAAAAGGGAGUAGAAAAUGUGGUGGCUGACCACUUGUCAAGAAUUGUGAUAGCACAUGACUCACAUGGUCUACCUAUCAAUGAUGACUUCCCUGAGGAGUCUCUCAUGUCAAUAGAGGUAGCUCCAUGGUAUUCUCACAUUGCAAAUUACUUGGUUACUAGAGAAGUUCCAAGUGAGUGGAGUACCCAAGACAAGAAGCAUUUCUUUGCUAAGAUCCAUGCCUAUUAUUGGGAUGAGCCUUUUCUCUUCAAAUAUUGUGCGGAUCAAAUCAUAAGGAAAUGUGUUCCUGAAUAAGAGAAAUCAGGAAUUCUAUCCCAUUGUCAUGAUAGUGCAUGUGGAGGUCAUUUUGCUUCCCAGAAAACAGCUAUGAGAGUGGUCCAAUCAGGUUUUUGGUGGCCCUCUCUGUGGACCCGCAUUUUUCACGUGCGCCCCCACUCGAUCAGCGAGACUCGCUUUUUAUUUGUGAAAAAUUAAUUUUUGGAAAAAAGUUAGAGCCGCCACUUAUUUUAUUUUUAUUUUAAAGGGAAAAUAAAACAAGAAAUAAAACCCUAAAAAAAAUGACUCCAUAAUUUUUGGAAAAGCAUGUCUUUGAAAAAAACCCGAGUCUAAGUUCGGAGAUCAGGUUACUUAUUGGGAAGGUACCUCUAGGAAGUAGCACCCCUCUAAGCCCUAAAGAGGUCUUUACUGACUAAAUUGGGGAAAUGGGGCAAUUAAUUGAUUAAUUGGGGAUACCUAGAUAGACUAAAGUGAUUUUAAAAAAUAACAUGCCAAAUAGGAUCAAAUUACCAUAAAAGAGAGUUAGGGUGCAUACCUGGACGGCUUCUCAAGCGCUAUCACAAUACAUCAAAGGUUAGUUUGAAAAUACCACGCAUAAUAUGCAUUUUUAUCAAAGAUGAUCAAACAAGCAUCAAGGCAAUCAAUUAUGGCAUCAACAUGGACAUGGCUCAUGAUAUCAUACACAUUCAUAGAAUUUUAGAGCUUGAGGGCAAGAAGAGCGUACCGGGAUAGCAAGCUAAUACUCCUCUAUGGGAAACAAGUUUGCUUAGUAACAAGUGCAAAAUACGAUACCACAAAGAGGAAGCACAAUCAAUCAAACAUCAAACAAACAAUAUUGAUGAGAAUAUCAUCAAUGUCGGGCCCCCACCAAAGCCCUAGUUGAUUUCGCAUGAGUUGAUCCUAUGAAUUCCAUUGUUUUGGAAUCAUGGAGUUUGUUCAUGCUUGGAGGAAAUCGAGAAAAUCAUGAAAAUAGUUGAAAAUAAAAGAAAAUAGUGAAAAUGCAUGCCUAGAGGAAAGUGGUAGCAUAUUUAUUAAAAUUUGGAUUUAAGUGACUAGAAAGACUCUAAAGAUGGAUUUUUCAAAGCUGGAAAUGUUUAGUUGAAAAAAAAUAAUUUAAAAUUUCAAUUUAAAACAAUAAAUUCUCAAUCAAAGAAGCAAAAGGAAGAAGAAGUGUGUGUAGCAAGGUAGAUAUGAUGGAGUGGAGUCUGGGAGGUUUAGCUGUAUCUAGAUUGCUGAUGGUUGUGUGAAGAGACCUUUGUACAUUGUUAGCAUGUUUGGAGAAGAACUGGCCAUAUUCAUUUCAGAGCACGUGCUCACUUGCUGCCACUCAUUCUCAAGCUUCAAAUCUUCUUUCAGAAGUUCAUCUGAUUUAUCAAUUUUCUUAUAGUUCACUUCCGGAUUUUUCUGUAGUUCAGAAUAUGAGUUUUCCAGCUCAUCACAACUUCAUCCUUUGCCUUUUCUGUAGUACUAAUUGAUCUUCUUUAGCUCGCAUAGGGAAAUUCACUGAUGUAGCUUUUCGAAUAAAUACAUGGACUGUUGCAACAUCUCCAAGCUGUAUGUGUGUGGUGCCCCUUUUGAAUUUUGGCAAGUGCUUUAAAGCUCAUUUUCUUUUAAGGCGAAUUCCAAUGCUAAGUGGUCCGAAGGUUGGAUCAAUUCUCUCUGUAAGGAUGCAAGAGCGUGUCUUGAAGUUAUAUCUUCAACAGUUUGUACAAGUAAGAGCAGAUUCAAACCAUCUCUUCCUCUGAAGUCAAUAAGCCAUGAUCAGGCCUUUCUAAACUGAACUUGGCUCUGAUGAAUCUACUGUUGGUUUAGGACUCUCUAAUUUCUUUUUAGCUGACUGCAAUGGGAACUCUGAGACCAAAGGUUCGCUUGAAGAUUCUUUUAGAUAAGAUUUUGAAGGAGUAUCAAAGCAACUUUCUUGUUCUAUACGAUUCGAAGUAUCGAUUUGCGGAAUCCAUUGAGAAAUUAGUGGUGUAAAGCACAAGAUUCUGGUCAGUAUGCAAUAUAAUCAUGGAUCUUCCUCUCGAGUUAUUCACCUCUGAGAAACGUGCAACAAGUUUACUGCCUUGAUUCAGCAUCUGAGUGGGUAGUAUUGUGUCUGUUGGAGGAUUAAAACUCUGCCAGAAAUAGGUGGGAUCGCAGCCCGCAAGCAUAAGAUUUCCAAUGUCCAGCAUGGUAGCAUAGGUGACUUCAGUACUAUUCAAAUCAGCCUUUGAACAUGAGAGAGAGAGAGAGCAUUAUAAAUUCUAUUUCGAUUUUCCCAUUUCUAAUAGCAUUUGCCUCAGCUUUUGGAGAAGAGCUUCAUCAUCUGACCUGGCCGUUUGCAAUGCUUCCAAGAAAUUCUUGCAGCCUGCGUCAUCUUGAUCGCUUGGUUCGCUUUCCACAUCGUAAAAAAUGACCUUCAAUAAAUUUAGAAGCUGCUCCAGAUGAGCCAUAUUCCUCAAAUAAAAGGGUUGUUUCAAGAGGAUCAACAGCAAAGCGAUAGAUAGGUAUCCUUCAUAAUGCAGCCUUUUAUCUACAACUUCAUCCUCAAAGAAUAAAUAGCACUCAUAAAUCAUUUUUUAUGCUUCAUUGAACCGUAUUCUUCUCUCUUCGGGCGCAUUUGAAAUAUGUAUUCUGGUUGCUGGCAUAGUAGAGUAAUUCACCAAAAUUUCUCAUGAGCAUGUUGGGCAAGAUUCACAAAGGCGACCUUAUUGAGAGGCUCAUUAUGUUUCAGCUUCAGAAAAUUAUCUAUAAUAGACAUUAAUUCAACACAUUGGUAAGAGUUCAAGAUGAAUCUGCAUGUCCACUCUUGAAUGACUCAAAGAUGACCCCGUCUGAAACUCAAAGCCUGUAGAAUUCUCCAACAGCAUCCUCUAAUAGCUUAUCCUGCUCAUUAGUUGCUUCUCUGCCACUCCUUGCAUAGAGCUUCUUAAUAUUCCAGAGCCUAUUCAUGACUUAUCUCAAACGCAAGCAAAAUAGAGAAUCAGGACCUUCAAUUGAUGCCUGCGUUCAGAAGCUGUAACUGGGCAUCAAAAUCAUCUAGGCAUAGAUCACAACCCUCAACAUGAUCAGUUGUAGGUGAUCGAGCAGCCAAUUCAUCAUUGAGCAAAUCAAUAAAAGCUUGGAUAUCAUUGCCGGGUGGCCUAAAAUCAUUGGAUAAAUCAUUAAAGUCAUUAAGUAUAUUAUUGAUCUCCAUGAAAACCCUUUUCCUUGCUUCUAUAGAGCGAACACAAGCUGCCACUAAAAUUGGUUAGCCCGGAUUGCUAAUUUAUGCCUCCAAUCACUAUCGAUUUUUCUUUUCCUUUUUAGAACUUCUGGAAUAUGGAUGAAACAUGUGAAGGAUACGGUGGAAUUGCAAGUUUUGGGUUCAAAAUCCAGCAGAACUUUGUUACUUUUCCUGCAGCUGCUAUGCGUACUUCAGCCUCAUUGUCAUGAAGCAACCGAACAUAUGCAGGAACCAAGUCUGACCUGGUAGGCUCAGGACCAACAACUUCACAUAGCUCAUAUAAUUGAUUUGCAACCAUAUAGCGAACACGCCAAGACUUAUCCUGAGAGAAAUUCAUAAUUUAUGGGAGGAAUAUGUGCUACACAAUCUUGAGGUUCCAACAGUUUUCCGAGAGCUGCACAACCCUUAACAGCCAAUAACCUAACAGAAUCUUGAUCAUCCUUUGUCAGAUCCUCAAAUAUUGACAUGAUGUCAGCCUUUGAAUGAGCAGUUUCAACAGUAGCAGCAAACUUUCCCAGAUUUGAUGCAGCGGAUCUCUUUACCAUUGGCAUGUCAUCUUGACAAAGCUGGCUAUAUAUUGCUAUUCUGAAGUAGAUGACGUAUUCUGGAAAACUGUGCUUGUCAACUAGACUAAUUUUUCAUGACAUUCAGAGGAACCGUGUACUUUUUCAUUUGAAUCUUCCCACCAGGCAUUUAAUUGAAUUCUGGAUUCUUAUAUUACCAAUAGGAUAAACAAACCAAUUCUUAUAGCUUCACUUACAAAAUCGUAAAUACCUUGCUGCCAUGUGUUCAAUAUUAGUCCUGUUUCUAUCUUUUAGAGCAUAUAUAGGGACAUGCUUUAGGAAGUCCUGCAUUAUUUGCAUUUUGCUUAGUUUCUUGCUCAGUAAUUCAAUCUGAAUAUGGGGUUGAGGCAUCUAGGAUGAAAAGAUGACUAUGGAUUGUGCAUUUGCUUGUUUGUCCUCUUAUCGUUUUCUGAAUCAAAUCAUCUGCUGCUGUGUCCCCUGAAGCUGUAGCCUCAUCCAACAAUCUCUCAAAAGCAUAAACACCAGAUUCUACAGCUGUGCUGUUCUCAGAUUGCAUCAGCAAUAUAAGGGGUUUUAUGCACUCAGAGGCCCUCGGCGAAGCUCGAAUUUUUAGAAUAUUAAACAAAGCAAAGCAGAGUUGUGCAACAUUUCCCUUUAGAUCUGAGGAUGAAGUAGAAGAUGACAAAAUUUUGCAAAGACUCUCAAGGGGGUUCCCAUCCACGUCUGUCAUCAAAUAUGUUUUUUUGAUGAAUUUCCUAUAGUCAACUUGAUUAAGACAACAAGAGUAGCUUGUUGCUCACUCUCUGAUGCAGCAUUAAGCACGUUAAUCAAGAGCUGAACCGCCUGCUUAGCUAACUCAAAAUCUCUGACAUUCUUAGCAUCGAAAAACUCAUGCGAAGCUCUAGUAGCAUCGAAUCUAUCAUUUCUUGACUCCAAACGCAGCACGACUAUUAGUUGAUUUAAGGAACUGAUUGAUGCUUCCUAACGAGGAAGAUCAAGAUUACUAAAAAGUAUUCUCAACAGCUCAGACACUGUGGCCUCAGAAAAGUCUUGAGGGCUCAAGGACAAGUACUUGGUUAGAGCAUCCAAUGCUCCAGCUUCAGCCAUGAUCAGUUUGUUUGUAUCACUUCCAUCUGUAAUACCAGUCAAUUGUUGAGCAGCAAUUGGAGGGGCACUUGAUCUAUCUGGAAUUGGUCUCAAAAGAUCCAUUAAUAAAGGUAUAAAUUUGCGAGCAGUGGAACCAACUCUUAUGUCUUCAAUUUCAACAAGAUUUUCAAGAACAACUUGAACAAGUUUCCGAACCAGACAAAACACUUCAGAUAAAGCAACAAGGUUUGGCAUAUCUGAUUCUACGUAACCAAUUAGAGUUAUUAACCCAGCAACUGCAUCUGCAUUUAUAAUCGUAAGAUUUAUUUCCCUGCUUCUAUUACAAACAAGACUUGCCAUUGCCUGGGCAGCAAAGAAUCUGUCAAUCACUUCAUCAGGCUUCAGUGCAAGUGAUGGUAUGAUGCACAUGGUUGCAGGGACCAGAACAACAUUUGCAUCUCAGGACAAACAAGCAAAUGCACAAUCCAUAGUCAUCUUUGCAUCCUAGAUGCCUCAACCCCAUAUUCAGAUUGAAUUACUGAGCAAGAAACUAAGCGAAAUGCAAAUAAUGCAGGACUUCCUAAAGCAUGUCCCUAUAUAUGCUCUAAAAGAUAGAAACAGGACUAAUAUUGAACACAUGGCAGCAAGGUAUUUACGAUUUUGUAAGUGAAGCUAUAAGAAUUGGUUUGUUUAUCCUAUUGGUAAUAUAAGAAUCCAGAAUUCAAUUAAAUGCCUGGUGGGAAGAUUCAAAUGAAAAAGUACGCGGUUCCUCUGAAUGUCGUGAAAAAUUAGUCUAGUUGACAAGCACAGUUUUCCAGAAUACGUCAUCUACUUCAGAAUAGCAAUAUAUAGCCAGCUUUGUCAAGAUGACAUGCCAAUGGUAAAGAGAUCUGCUGCAUCAAAUCUGGGAAAGUUUGCUGCUACUGUUGAAGCUGCUCAUUCAAAGGCUGAUAUCAUGUCAAUAUUUGAGGAUCUGACACAGGAUGAUCAAGAUUCUGUUAGGUUAUUGGCUGUUAAGGGUUGUGCAGCUCUCGGAAAACUGUUGGAACCUCAAGAUUGUGUAGCACAUAUUCCUCCCAUAAAUUAUGAAUUUCUCUCAGGAUAAGUCUUGGUGUGUUCGCUAUAUGGUUGCAAAUCAAUUAUAUGAGCUAUGUGAAGCUGUUGGUCCUGAGCCUACCAGGUCAGACUUGGUUCCUGCAUAUGUUCGGCUGCUUCAUGGCAAUGAGGCUGAAGUACGCAUAGCAGCUGCAGGAAAAGUAACAAAGUUCUGAUGGAUUUUGAACCCAAAACUUGCAAUUCCACCGUAUCCUUCACAUGUUUCAUCCAUAUUCCAGAAGUUCUAAAAAGGAAAAGAAAAAUCGAUAGUGAUUGGAGGCAUAAAUUAGCAAUCCGGGCUAACCAAUUUUAGUGGCAGCUUGUGUUCGCUCUAUAGAAGCAAGGAGAAGGGUUUUCAUGGAGAUCAGUAUUAUACUUAAUGACUUUAAUGAUUUAUCCAAUGAUUUUAGGCCACCCGGCAAUGAUAUCCAAGCUUUUAUUGAUUUGCUCAAUGUUGAAUUGGCUGCUUGAUCACCUACAACUGAUCAUGUUGAGGGUUGUGAUCUAUGCCUAGAUGAUUUUGAUGCCCAGUUACAGCUUCUGAACGCAGGCAUCAAUUGAAGGUCCUGAUUCUCUAUUUUGCUUGCGUUUGAGAUAAGUCAUGAAUAGGCUCUGGAAUAUUAAGAAGCUUUAUGCAAGGAGUGGCAGAGAAGCAACUAAUGAGCAGGAUAAGCUAUUAGAGGAUGCUGUUGGAGAAUUCUACAGGCUUUGAGUUUCAGACGGGGUCAUCUUUGAGUCAUUCAAGAGUGGACAUGCAUAUUCAUCUUGAACUCUUACCAAUGUGUUGAAUAAAUGUCUAUUAUAGAUAAUUUUCUAAAGCUGAAACAUAAUGAGCCUCUCAAUAAGGUCGCCUUUAUGAAUCUUGCCCAGCAUGCUCAUGAGAAAUUUUGGUGAAUUACUCUACUAUGCCAGCAACCAGAAUACAUAUUUCCAAUGCGCCCGAAGAGAGAAGAAUACGGUUCAAUGAAGCAUAAAAAAUGAUUUAUGAGUGCUAUUUAUUCUUUGAGGAUGAAGUUGUAGAUAAAAGGCUGCAUUAUGAAGGAUACCUAUCUAUCGCUUUGCUGUUGAUCCUCUUGAAACAACCCUUUUAUUUGAGGAAUAUGGCUCAUUUGGAGCAGCUUCUAAAUUUAUUGAAGGUCAUUUUUUACGAUGUGGAAAGAGAACCAAGCGAUCAAGAUGAUGCAGGCUGCAAGAAUUUCUUGGAAGCAUUGCAAACGGCCAGGUCAGAUGAUGAAGCUCUUCUCCAAAAGCUGAGGCAAAUGCUAUUAGAAAUGGGAAAAUCGAAAUAGAAUUCAUAAUGCUCUCUCUCUCUCUCAUGUUCAAAGGCUGAUUUGAAUAGUACUGAAGUCACCUAUGCUACCAUGCUGGACAUUGGAAAUCUUAUGCUUGCGGGCUGCGAUCCCACCUAUUUCUGGCAAACUUUUAAUCCUCCAACAGACACAAUACUACCCACUCAGAUGCUGAAUCAAGGCAGUAAACUUGUUGCACGUUUCUCAGAGGUGAAUAACUCGAGAGGAAGAUCCAUGAUUAUAUUGCAUACUGACCAGAAUCUUGUGCUUUACACCACUGAUUUCUCAACGGAUUCCACAAAUCGAUACUUCGAAUCGUAUAGAACAAGAAAGUUGCUUUGAUACUCCUUCAAAAUCUUGUCUAAAAGAAUCUUCAAGCGAACCUUUGGUCUCAGAGUUCCCAUUGCAGUCAGCUAAAAAGAAAUUAGAGAGUCCUAAACCAGCAGUAGAUCCAUCAGAGCCAAGUUCAGUUUAGAAAGGCCUGAUCAUGGCUUAUUGACUUCAGAGGAAGAGAUGGUUUGAAUCUGCUCUUACUUGUACAAACUGUUGAAGAUAUAACUUCAAGACACGCUCUUGCAUCCUUACAGAGAGAAUUGAUCCAACCUUCGGACCACUUAGCAUUGGAAUUCGCCUUAAAAGAAAAUGAGCUUUAAAGCACUUGCCAAAAUUCAAAAGGGGCACCACAUACAUACAGCUUGGAGAUGUUGCAACAGUCCAUGUAUUUAUUCGAAAAGCUACAUCAGUGAAUUUCCCUAUGUGAGCUAAAGAAGAUCAAUUAGUACUACAGAAAAGGCAAAGGAUGAAGUUGUGAUGAACUGGAAAACUCAGAUUUUGAACUACAGAAAAAUCCGGAAGUGAACUAUAAGAAAAUUGAUAAAUCAGAUGAACUUCUGAAAGAAGAUUUGAACCUUGAGAAUGAGUGGCAGCAAGUGAGCACGUGCUCUGAAAUGAAUAUGGCCAGUUCUUCUCCAAACAUGCUAACAAUGUACAAAGGUCUCUUCACACAACCAUCAGCAAUCUAGAUACAGCUAAACCUCCCAGACUCCACUCCAUCAUAUCUACCUUGCUACACACACCUCUUCUUCCUUUUGCUUCUUUGAUUGAGAAUUUAUUGUUUUAAAUUGAAUUUUUAAAUCAUUUUUUUUCAACUAAACAUUUCCAGCUUUGAAAAAUCCAUCUUUAGAGUCUUUCUAGUCACUUAAAUCCAGAUUUUAAUAAAUAUGCUGCCACUUUCCUCUAGGCAUGCAUUUUCACUAUUUUCUUUUAUUUUCAAUUAUUUUCAUGAUUUUCUCGAUUUCCUCCAAGCAUGAACAAACUCCAUGAUUCCAAAACAAUGGAAUUCAUAGGAUCAACUCAUGCGAAAUCAACUAGGGCUUUGGUGGGGGCCCGACAUUGAUGAUAUUCUCAUCAAUAUUGUUUGUUUGAUGUUUGAUUGAUUGUGCUUCCUCUUUGUGGUAUCGUAUUUCGCACUUGUUACUAAGCAAACUUGUUUCCCAUAGAGGAGUAUUAGCUUGCUAUCCCGGUACGCUCUUCUUGCCCUCAAGCUCUAAAAUUCUAUGAAUGUGUAUGAUAUCAUGAGCCAUGUCCAUGUUUGAUGCCAUAAUUGAUUGCCUUGAUGCUUGUUUGAUCAUCUUUGAUAAAAAUGCAUAUUAUACGUCAUAUUUUCAAACUAACCUUUGAUGUCUUGUGAUAGCGCUUGAGAAGCCAUCCAGGUAUGCACCCUAACUCUCUUUUAUGGUAAUUUGAUCCUAUUUGGCAUGUUAUUUUUUAAAAUCACUUUAGUCUAUCUAGGUAUCCCCAAUUAAUCAAUUAAUUGCCACAUUUCCCCAAUUUAGUCAGUAAAGACCUCUUUAGGGCUUAGAGGGGUGCUACCUCCUAGAGGUACCUUCCCAAUAAGUAACCUGAUCUCCGGACUUAGACUCGGGUUUUUUUCAAAGACAUGCUUUUCCAAAAAUUAUGGAGUCAUUUUUUUAGGGUUUUAUUUCUUGUUUUAUUUUCCCUUUAAAAUAAAAAUAAAAUAAUUGGCGGCUCUAACUUUUUUCCAAAAAUUAAUUUUUCACAAAUAAAAAGCGAGUCUCGCCAAUCGAGUGGGGGCGCACGUGAAAUAUGCGGGUCCACACUCUCUUUUCAAGGAUGCCCACUCUAUGUGCAAGGGAUGUGAUUGGUGUCAAAGGCUUGGGAAGCUAACACGCCGGAAUAUGAUGCCCUUGAACCCCAUCUUGAUAGUGGAUGUCUUUGAUGUUUGGGGGAUAGACUUCAUGGGACCAUUUCCAAUGUCAUUUGGACACUACUACAUUUUGGUGGGAGUGGAUUAUGUCUCUAAGUGGGUAGAAGCAAUCCCAUGUAGGAGCAAUGAUCAUAAGGUGGUUCUCAAAUUUCUCAAGGAGAACAUCUUUUCAAGGUUUGGAGUGCCUAAGGCCAUUAUCAGUGAUGGAGGAACCCAUUUUUGCAACAAGCCUUUUGAGACUCUUCUAGCCAAAUAUGGGGUCAAGCACAAGGUAGAUACACCUUAUCACCCUCAAACAAGUGGCCAAGUUGAGUUAGCCAACUGGGAAAUCAAGAAUAUACUGAUGAAGGUGGUGAAUGUGAAUAGGAAGGAUUGGUCUAUUAAGCUCCUGGAUUCAUUAUGGGCUUAUAGGACCUCUUAUAAGACCAUUCUUGGAAUGUCUCCUUAUCGCCUUGUUUAUGGCUAAGCGUGCCAUCUCCUAGUGGAGAUUGAAUAUAAAGCAUGGUGGGCAAUCAAGAAGCUCAACAUGGAUUUGACAAGAGCCGGGUUAAAGAGAUGAUUGGAUUUGAACGAAUUGGAGGAAAUGAGGAAUGAUGCUUACCUCAAUUCAAAAAUUGCAAAAGAGAGGUUGAAGAAAUGACAUGAUCAGUUGGUAAAUCAGAAGAAUUUUACCAAGGGACAAAGAGUCUUGCUUUAUGACUCUAAAAUUCAUCUUUUUCUGGGAAAAUUGAAAUCAAGGUGGACGGGUCCUUUCAUAAUUCAUGACGUGCAAUCAAAUGGAGUAGUGAAACUACUCAACAUCAAGAGCACUCGAACUUUCAAAGUGAAUGGGCAUCGUCUCAAGCCCUAUAUGGAAUCAUUUUCCCGAGACAAGGAGGAAUUCAUCCUCCUUGAUCCACCUCUAACAUGAAAACACUCAAUUCAUGGUUGAACUUAGUCUCUUCAAAGACUAAAAAGUUCAUCAUCUUUUUGUUUCCUUUUGCAUUGAUUUUAGUUUAAUCUAGUGUUUUUUCUUGUAUAUAUGCAUGUUUUGAUUUUUAUUUUUGACCUUAACUUCAUUCUAAUGUGGUUUGAAUUGGUUUUUGUGUUAACAUGCAGCUAGGAAGGCUUGAAGAAUGAAGUCAAGGGAAAAACAGGGGAAAACAGGGGAGAAAAGCCAAGACAUAGGGAAUUUCGCACUACUCAAUUCUCUGGUGCGAAAUUCGUACCACCCUACCCCCUUGUGCGAAUUUUUGGGCAGCCACUCAAAGUAGCCUUGCUCAGGAGAUGUCAGCUAUUCGUUCUCAGUAGGAGCAGAUUUUGAUCACCCAGACUCAGCACACUACCAUCCUGAGGCAGCUUUAGCACCAUCUGGAUCUUCCAUCAGCUACUGAGCAUCUCACACCUACCACUGCAGUGCCCCACUCAGAGACCGCAGAGCCCCAUGCCCCUCCUGAGCCGGCUACUGAAGAUGCAGAGAUCUCUACCUGAGCCAUCAGUUUACCAGCAUCAUCCUCCCCAUUUCUGAUCAUUUACAUACUUUACUUUAUGUAUUUAUUUUAUAAUUCCAUAUUUUGAUGUCUUAUAUUCUGGGAUUGCAUGUAUUAUUGAUGAUGCAUCAUAUAUAGACAUCAUUUUUGUUUAAACUUGACAUAUUUCUAUUUUCUUUACUCACUAACUUUGUUGUUUUUUUGAAACGUGUGGUUUCUCCUACAUGACUCAGAUUCCAUGUCACUCAGGAGGUACCACUUCCUCCCUAUUUUUUAAUCGCUUUUAUCACAUUGAGGACAAUGUUCAGCUUGGUUGGGGGGAGAGUUGAGGAAGAAAGUUUUGUUAUUAAUGCUAAGUUAUUUUGGUAAUUUAGUUGCUUUUUGCUUAAUUUUAAAAUAUUUUUAAGUUUUUAUUCUACUCUUCAUGGUUAUUAAGGAAAAAUUUUCAAAAUGAAAUGGGACAAAUUGAAUUUUUGUCUUUUUACUUGACUUAGAUUUUGUAUUAUGUUUAUUAAAGCUAAUGAAUUGUUGAAAUUUCUAUUGAAUUCAAGCUUAUGUCUUCCACUUUAAGCUAUUCACACACUGUGCACAAUAGGUUCCGAUUAUAAGAUGAAAAACUAUUUCCCUCUUGACUUAGGAAAAUUUUAGACUUGGUACCUUUGACCUCAUUUUAAUAGUGUUGGGACACCUUGUAAAAGGCCAAUGAGCCUUUGAAAAAAAGAAAGAAAGAAAAAAUGUUUACUUGCCUUGAAACCCGAGCAAGGUCUGAAGGGUAUAUGGUGAAAAUCUUUAAAACCUAGUGCCCUAAGCCUUAAUUGGUUGGGAGUCACCGACCUCAAUGCUCGUUACAAGGGUGGAUGGGUGGAGUUUAACAUACUGUAGGUGCUUGGGUAUUAAAAUUUCAUUCUCAAAAGUCCGGGGUAAAAUCCGAGGAGUUAGUGGUUGAAAGAUCCUUAAAACCUGAUGCCCUAAACCUUAAUUGGUUGGGAGUCAUCGAUGGACCCCCGUUACAUGGACAAUUUAGAAAAAAAUACCUUUAAGCCUUGUACUCCUACAAGAAAAAAAUUGUGAAAAAAAAAGGUGCGUUCUUAGCCUAUUGGAGGUUGAUCAGUUUGCUAAGCUGUGAAAAAAGAACUAGGUUGGGGGUGAGAUUAGUUUAGCAUACUAUAUUCGGAAACUAUCAUCUCACACUUAGAUUUUGUGGAAGAGUAAGGAUUGGUCAUUUGGAAGUGGAAAUGAUUUUAAAGCUUAAAUUUGCAUAAUGCCUUUUCUUUAAGAAUUGUGAUUAGAUAAGUUAUUUGAUAACUCUUGUUGAAGUUUGAGUUUUAUUUCUUUAAUGUUCCAUGUGAGAGUUAGAUCAUCAUGCCGCUUGGAAAUUGUUUUUUGAUCAGCAUGAUGUUGUAAAUUAUAAUACUGUUUAUUUUUAUUUUUUAUUUUUUCUUCUCUCCUUCAUUACUAAGGGACUAGCAAUAUGUCGGUUGGGGGGAGUGAUUACUACUCAAAAAGUACUAUUUCAUAGCUUGUAAUUAACUCUUUUAAAUACUUUUGAGUAGUAGUUAUCACCUUUUAACCCAAUUAACAUAUUAAGGACCCUUGCAAUCAAUUCUAAUCAAAUUGUGUUAAGUUUUGGUGUUUUGAUAGCUGAUUCGUCCCUAGCAGUGGCAGUGGCAACGACACCAUUUGAUUCGGGGUUCGAUUCCCCGGUAACGGCGCCAUUUGAUUCGUGCCCAAUUGGUGUCUCAGCUGAUUCGUGUCUAGCUGGUGCUCCUUGAUUGAGGGAGUAAUCAACAAAAUUUAUAACCUAUAACACCAUAUACUAGGGUAGCAAAGACAAAGCUACUAUAGUAUAGUGGCUCUAGGAUCGUUCACUGGGAAGAAUUAACAAGCUAUCAAUGAUACCAAUUCCAAGUGAAUUGGUUUUGUUUCAUUUCAUGGUUAGCUUAAGAAGUAAAACACAAACUUUGAUUGGUAAAGGUUUAGACUUAAACUAACUAACAUAACAGAAGUUUGGAAUAAUUUAGGAAGAAAAGCAUUCCCUGGAGAAUUAGGUUCACUGGGGUGGUUCCUCAUGCAAAAGACAUAGCUCCGGUCAGAUGGUUCAUUUCCUCGUGUUAGAGAUUCAACAUAUAGUCAAUUCUCUAACCGGUAUUGUACAGAGACUCCUUCAAUUAGAUUUCACUUUAAUUCUCUCACUGAUGCAACUUGCAAUGGUUUAAGCCUCUCACUAAGCCUUAACCAUUCAAGGUGAUCUUUAACCUUGGAUUACCCGUCAAAAGCUUGCAAGAGAUAACUAAUGGAUGUCUCCUUGGAGUCCAAAAGCUUACCAUGUGUUGGCUAUUCUAGAAAAUCCUACCUUGAAGUCACCUCCCAAAGGCUCGCAAGGGGUAAACUAGUGCAUUUCCAUGGUUGGAAAUCACUUGCCUUACCAAGUGUUGGCCCAGGUGACUCUAAGGUGUUUUAAGUUAACUAAAAACAUAGAAAUCAUUAAAGGAUUUCACUUCCUUUUCAUUACUAGCUAAAACCACAAAGCUUUGCAUUCUUGCACUUGGAACCUUCCCCGGCAACCUUAGCUCCAAGGAAUUAGAGGUUUAGUUACUCAUUCUCUGGGGAAAACUCCUCAGAGAAUUCAUAACUUAGAAAUAAAAUAAAAAUACAAAGUGAGAAGGUAAGGCAGUAGAAAGAACUGAACUUUACUUGCUUACCCAAACUUUUUCAGAAGGAACUCUUCUUCUGAGAACAGGCUCACGAGAGGUAUAUAUAUGUACAUAAUAUAAAACUAAUUAUUACAUAGAUAUUUAGUCUUUUUACUAACUUAAAAGCUAAGGAAUCAUGUAAUUGGUGGUUUACAAGGAGUAUUUUGGGAUUUAGACAACAAAAAUCUAAUGGAAAAUAUCUCCCAAUGUCGGUAGCAAAUAUCGGGAGGCUUCAGGCACCAUUUCGUACGAGAAAAAUGGUGUCUGCGAGAUUUCGCAGACACUCAAGAGGGCUGCGAAAUAAUUUCGCAACACCAAGCUAUCUUCACAGGGCUGCGAAGUUGGCUUCCACCUUGAGGUUCCAAGCUUCCUUCUCGCGGUAUAUGUCGGGAAACUUCAGAAGGAGAUACAUCACACUGUACAAAAAGGCUGCGGAAUCACUUCUCAACAAAAGGGUGAUUUCGCAGCACUUUGCAAAAUGCUUCCUUCAGCUCGAAGUGAUUGGCUUGUAAUGGCUGUAACUUCUUCGUUUCAACUCCGAAUUGCACACCGUUUGAAGCAUUGGAUUGUUGACUUCCUGAGCUUUGAAAUGGUAUAUAGUAUACAUCAUUUGGACCUCAGAAAGUGCUCCAAAAGUGGCUGCUACGACUGUCAUCAAGAAUAUGCUUCAUGGCAGAUUCUCUUUGCUUUUUCUCCUUGCAAUCCGGAUUUACUCUUGGAAAAUGACUUCUAAGCUUUGCCCAAGAUUCCUCAUAGCUCUCCUUAGUCUUGACUUGCUUUGGUGAUCAAAAUACUAACAAAAACACCAAAACUUACACAAAGUGAUCAAAAUUGCUUUCAAGGGUCCUUAACAUGCCAAUUGAGUUAAAAGGCCAAAACUACUACUCAAAAGUGUUUAAAAGGAUUAAUUAUAGGCUAUCAAAUAGCACUUUUUGAGUAGUAAUCAAUAGCUUUUUGAUCACCAAAGCAAUCCCAGAUUAAGGAGAGUUCUUUGGAAUCCUUAAGCAAAUCCAGAAUACAAGGAGUAUGGGAUCAUGCACAUUCUACCCGGGAAGGAAUUCCAUCCGGCUGCUAAAAGCUUUCCCAUCCGGCUACAACCACUUUCCACCCGGAUCUAUCACAUCCGAAAAUCGGCUGCCGCCGGCAUUCCAUUCGACUGCCGCCACUUUCUUCUCGAAUGUAUCACAUCCGGAAAUCGGCCGCCGCCGCCAUUCCAUCCGGUUGCCGCCACUUUCCACCCAGAUGUUCACAUACAGAAUUCUGACGCCGGAUAGGAGUGGAGAACGUUUCAACUUCCCCGGUCACACAUUUCCAGAUCCGCUUAUAGCUCUUACCCGGAGAGUUUCGCAGCCAUUUUGCACAGUGCUGCGGGGUUCUCCUGAAGCUUCCCGAUAUAUGUGACCAACAUUUUGAGAUAUUUUGCGAUAUUUUUGCUUUAGAUAUUUCAUGUAUAAAUCCCCAAACUCUCCUUGUAACCCACCAAUUAUAGGAUUCCUUAGUUAUUAAGUUAGGAAAAAUGGUGAAUAACCUGGUAGAUAUUAUUAUUGUAAUUUUCAUAUAAUGAUCUCUCGGGAGCCUGUUCCAAUGGGGGACGUAACUUUUGUAUAGUUUUAAAAGGAAGAAAAAUACAGAGCUUUGCUUUGCUUUUACCUUCUCAUUUUGAUUGUAUUUUCUUACUAGCCAAACAACCUUUGAGGAUGUUUUCCCAGAGGAUGAGAGGCUAAACCUUUGGUUUCUUGGAGUGAAGGAAGCUAGGUGAAAAGUCCAGAUGCAAAAGUGGAAAACUCUCGUGCUUUAAAUACAGGUAGUUGGAGUUCAUAAAUGGCUUUUAAAUCUAAAGUUUUGCUUUAAAUCCCUUAGAAUCACUUUGAAUGGCCAAUACAUGAUAAGCUUUUAGAUCUCUGUGGAUACUUAUUGUUAGAUCCACUUAAGACCAUUAGUUAUCAUGUAUGAGCCAUUGGGAAGUGGCUCAAGGUGAAGACCCCUAGUGUCUAAAGCCAUUAAUGGAACUUAACUACCAUUUCUAUUGACUUUUUAUGGAUUAAAUCUUCAUUGUUAAACCUAUACCGGUUCUAGAAACAACCAUCCUUUAUCUUGUUGUCCCCAAUACGAGGAGAAAAAUCCGGAAUUUCCCACUUUGCAUUCUGAACUUGAUUCGUGCAACCUUUAGCUCCGGGAGACUUUCUUUCUUCCAUUUUUACUUAGUUCUAUGUUAGUUUAGUUUCAAACACCAUUUUCAAAACAAAUUUUAUUUUCUUUUAAACUUUAAGUUUUUGACAAAGGAAAUCAUCAGAUUCAAUUUCUAAUCUUGAGUCUAUCACUGGUAGAAUGAAAACCCAUCCUAGAGUUCGACCCUAGAGCUGCUAUACUAUAGUAGCUUUGCUACGCUAGUAUGAGGUCAUAGGAUUUAUAAAUAUUUUUGAUUAAAAUACCCAACUGGGCACGAAUCACCAAUCUUUGACUAAAGCCCAUGUAAGAGCAUCUAGGCUUUAGGCAAUUACAUUUAGGGUUACUCAGUGUACUAAUGCAUGUGGCAAUUUUGACACAGCCUAACAUGAGUGAGAAAAGACAUAAAUUUUAGUGGGUUCGAGUCACACAUAAUCACGUUUUUGUUAUAAUCAUAUAACUCAUAUAACUCAUUCAAUUAGUCAUGUUUAUGAUUUGUUUAUGAGAAAAGACAUUUAUGAUUUGUUUAACCCAAUUUAUUAAUUUUAAAUAUUUAAAAAUUCUAAAAAUUUAAAAUACCUUUUAAUUAUGAAUAAUAUCAUAUCGUUAAAAAAACUUAAAGAACUAAAGUAUAAUUUCAUAAAAGAUUAAAAAUAUUUUAUAAUUUAAUAAAUAAAUAAAAUUAUAACGAGCAUAUAAUUAAAAUUUUAAUUUAAUUUUUAUUUUAUAAAUGUAUUCUAACUUAAAAUAAAUAAUUAAGUUAAUGAAAAGUUUAAAAAUCAAACUUAAAAGUUAAGAACAACUAAAAAAAUAUUUUAAAUUAAUAUUCUUAUAAAAUUAAAAUUUUAAAAAGGUUAAUUAAAAUACAAUCAUAUUAAUGAGUUUAAUGAAUUAAAAUUAUAUUAAUUAGUUUAAUGGGUUAUAAUCAUGUUAACAACUAGGUUUCAUAAGAAUUAGUCUCACCCAUUUACUUUGAAAUUCUCUAAUAACAUGCAGUACAAUUUGAUUGGGGAAAAAAAAAUUAAACAUAUCAUUAUUUUCCAUGCAAAAAUUAUGCUCAUAUACUUUGAAUGUCUUCUAAGUGGCACUAUCUCUCUUCCAUUUGAUGUCUUAAAUUUGGAAGUCAACAUUCUCAAUUGAUACGUCAAAGAGAGAUUGACAAGCUUUUUCAGGCUUUGUGCAUGUGAUCCCGAUGAGCAAGCCGUAUGAUUGUCGACCCAUGCAUGGUCACAGCUUCUCAGCAUGUCAAAUGAGCAUCCCUUUCCCAAGUAUGCGUGGUCCAUUGCACCAAAGCAUUCCAACCAUGACAAAACUCAAAUCUACCACAAGAUCGCAUUGACAUCUUGUCACAUCCUAAUAUGAAUGUCAUUUUUUUAGAAGAGUUGUGCAGUUCUCUCACUAAAGAAGUAUAAAUACUCUGAAUCCCAUUUUCCAAAUAUCAUUAUCAUCCAUUUCUCAUCAACUUCAAAUCCUAUAAAAGCAAAUUAAAGGGGUUUCAAUAUCUAAAAAUAAUAAUUAAUAUAGGAAUUAAAUUAAUUAUGAUUGGGUCGAGAACUUUCUCUCUAUUGCUGCUUAUGAUGAAAGCUAUUAGAGAAUUGCUAAAUGAGGGGAACGAGGAGAUCUAGGACAUGCCAAAACCUAGAGGUGGGCACUUGUAGGAAUCUUCCUUGCAUAUAGGAAUGGCAACGAGGUGGGUUCAGGAGGGGUCCCCCCAUCCCAAUCCUGUCCCGUUUAUUCAAAACAAUUCUCAUCCUCGUCCCAUUUAAAAAAUUAAACGGGGCGAGGCAGGGUGGGGUAGGUAUGAUAAAUUCUCAUACCCGCCCCGCCUCGCCCUGUUUAUUUUAUUUUAUUUUUUUUUUUAAAUUUACUUUUAAAAUUUUUAAUUACAUUAAAAUAAAUAUAUUUUAUAAAUAAUUAAAUUAUCAUAUUUUUUAUAACUUAUUUUAUUAAAAAUAUUUUAUUAUUUUCUAUAUAUUAAAAAUAGUAAAAUAAAUUAAUUUUAAAAUUUAAAUUAAAUUAAAUUUUAAAAUUAAUUUUAUAUAUAAUCGGGACGGGGCGGGGUGGGAUGGGGCAAUACCCAAACCCGCCCUAGGUUUUAAAAAAAAAUCCCAUACUCGUCUCAAACCUGUUUAUUAAAAAUUGAACCUCGUCCCAUUAGGGGCGAGUAACCGAAACCACCCCCCCGCAAUUGCGAUCCCUACCUGCAUACGUGUUGUGAGCAGAGAGGGUGUGGGGGCCAUUUUGAGAGAAAAUAGAGGGAAACUCUAUUGAAAUUUUCCUAGUCAGACAUUGUUUUAACAUUUAAGUUCAAUUAAAAUUUGGUUAUUAAUUUCCUUUUUUAGAGGAUGUUUGGUAAAUCAAUAUGAAUUAAUGAUUUAAUGACUUAAUUUAAGUCAUUAAGUAGAUUAAGUAUAUUUGGUAAAAUAACUUAAAAUCAAAAUUUAAAGUAAAAAAAUGACUUUAAGUUUUAAUUCAAAAUAAUGAAUUUAUUUUUAAUCUCAAAUAUCUUUUAUCACAUUUAUCCAUAUUUACUAAGAGUAUAUUUUACAAUUAUGGCUCUACAUUCAUAACCCAUCUUUUGUAGUAAAUAUUUUUAUAAUUAAUUUAUAUAUCUACAAUAUUUUAAAUAUUAAUGUUUAACAAAUAAAUUUAUUAUUUAAAAUUAGUAAAAAUAUAAAUAUUAAUUAAAAUUAAUGAGAGUAAAUAUGUCAAUUUGAUGAUUUAGAAUCAAUUUUAAAUUAACUUUAUCAAACAACCUUAAUACUUAAUACAAAAAUAAGUGAUAAGUUUUAAAUCAAUAACUUAUGAAUAAUUUAACUUAAGGUCAACUUAAGUCAUUAUUAAGUAAUAAGUAUUAAGUUUUUAUCAAACACCCACUUACUAAGUUACUUAAAUUAAAAGAUAUUGGAGUCAUCAUAAUUUGUCUUUUUUGGUUCUUAGAAUCAGGUAAGAGAAUGAGAGUAAGAAUGGGAGAGAAUGCAUUGGGUAAGAAUAAGCAUUGUAGAAGUUUGGUUACAAUAGGAAACAAAUCGAAGAGUAAUGACUUGGGAAAUGAAAGGGAAUAAGAUAUAGGAUUGCUAAUGCACGGGAAAAUGGGUAAAUAGUAGGGCUAUGUACAAAAAAGUGGAUUCUAUGCUUUUCAUUUUUUUUCAAUAUGUUAUAACCAUUUUUAAAUUGGAUUAGAUAUACUAAAUGCAUACCUAAUUGUUAAGAUUUUAGCUAGCUCAAUCUCAAGUAAUCAUUGUAAAGAGAGGGGGAGGGUGAAUGGGUGAAGGUCACUUUUUGCAAAUUUAAGCUAUGUAAGGCAAGUGACAAUUAUGUGCAAAUGUAUAACAAAUAUAAUGGAAAUUAAUUGCAUAUAAAAUAGAGAAAGGAAGAGAAAUUAUAAACACGGGAUUUAAUGGUAGUUUAACGCAACUUGACUUAUGUCCACUCUUCUCAAGCUCCUAAUUGAGUGAGAGUUCCACUAAUCCAAGACUUCCAACACAAAUAUUCAAGAUAUAUAAUUGGAUUUUUCAACUCUAAUGGGCACUACAAAUUUCUUCAAGAGAUGUCUCACUUUUGAAUUCCUUAAGUGAUAUCCCAUAUUUGGCAAACACUAAGUGAUAUCUUAUACUUAAAUUUUUCUGUUAAGUGAUUCCCCACACUUGAGAUUUCUUUGCAAAGGUUACAAAUUGAUAGGAAAUAUAAUCUCACAAGAUCCUAGUACAAAUUUAAGCUAAGCUCAAAUAAUAUGAAGAAAAACUAGGAUUGAGGUGCAUUAAAUGGAUAUGCAAGUUCUGAAAUAAGGUGCACCUGGAUAUGUAAGCUUUGAAAUAAGGUGCAUUAAAAAAACACUCCCCCAAGGUUUAAAUAUAAUCAAGAAAGAUUUUGGAAUGUUAAACUCUUUUAAACAAUGAAGAAUGAAACCAUUUUAUAAGAGAUGAAAGCCCAAACUAGCCAUAGGCACAGUUUGGGGGUUGAUUGGUUGAGCAUCGACUUGACUAGUUCACUAUCCAUUGUGCAUUAAUUGCAUAAGCAAUUGACCAUUGGGGUUCAAUGCUUCAACUAGGCCCUGAUCAAAACUCGGCUAGUCCUCGAUUGGUCUCAACUUGUUGAACACAUGCUACUAGAAAUCAAGGGUGCACAAAAUGCCCCUCGAUUGAUAAAGCCUAACUGGCUCAACCAAUUCCCUAGACCGUUGACCUAUCGCAUUGUGAAGUGCUCAAAUAAUCCGGUUUUGAGGUUUGGAACCUCUAACAACUUGUGUAAAGCAACUUAAAACCUUUAAAGUAAGUUUAUAAAGAAUUUGACUAAAGGUUUUCAUUAAAAACAUAAAAUCGUCCAAAUAUAAAAUAUUUUAAGGCAAUUUAACUCUUGGAUGAUUAUGGGUGCAUCAAUAAAAAUACAACAUAUAAUCCUAAUGUAUCAGCAACCUUACAAAAAGAUCCUAAGGAAUGAGUUUUCAUUGAUUUUCUCCUUGAGGUCUUCAUUUUCUUUUUGAAUUUCUUCUGACUUAUUUUAUCUUUAUGAUUACCAUUUAUAAAUCUUCUUGCCUAAACACAUUUAAGAUAAAAUAUUAGUUUCAAGCUUUAUUUUAUUAUCAUCAAAAUGGAGAUUAACCAAAUCUUGGUUUAACAUCUCCACUUUUUUUUGUUUUUUUUUUUAUGAUGACAAAAUCAAGGUUGCUAAUUUGCCCCUCCUCAAUAUAUGAUCCUUAAUUUUUAGAAAAUAUUUAAGUUUAAGAACUUUAAGGAGUAUAUUAAAAAUGUUAAAAAAAUAAAUAUACCCAAAUAUAAAUAACAUAAAGAGCAAUUAUGAAUAUGACAAGAUAAGACAUUAAAUAUGAUGCAUGCAUAAUUGACCAAUUAUGCACAUAACAUCAAUAAUUAAGAUUACGAAAUACAAGAUUGUCAUUUUAGUACAAUGAUAGCCUAAUAAUAAUAUUUCAUUGUAAUUACAUCCACUCAUAACUGGGGAGAAAAAUCAAUCAUAAUACCAACUCUUAAAAUUAGCAACCCUUAAUUUUUUUUUUUUUAAUUAUUAAGAGAAGACAUUUUGCUCCUAUUUUUCUCUAUAUGCUUGUGGGUGUUUGAAGCUAUCUUAGAUAUAUUUGUGGAUAGUAGAGAAGAAAUUCGUUAAGCAAAGUACAAGGAAAAUAAAAACAACUAUUGAAAUAGAAAGCUCCAAAAGUAUUGUUUUUAAUUAAAACGAUGUUAAUUUUUCUUUUUUAUUUUAUGGCAUAGAGUUUAGGUGUAAAUAAAAUAUUUUGAUUUAAAAAGAUUGCAUUUUGUACCCUAUCCAAUUCUUGCCAUGAGAUAUUGUUGAUAUCUUUACCAUGAUGAUCAAUUAAAUAAGAGGGUUAAUGCUUUAAUAUAUACUAUAGCACAAUGAAAUUGGACUUGAGAAUAACCAAUUUAUUUAAUUGUACAAAUAUAUAGGUCCUUGGUACAAACAAAUAAGAGCAUGAUGCAAAAGCAAUAGAACUUUGGUACAAAGCUAUAGGAAUAACCGUUCAAUUGUAUUGGUCCAAAUGCAUAAAGAAAUGGGUCCAAAAUAAAAGGUAAUAAGAUCAAAGAUACAAAGCAAUGGGACCAUAGUACAAACUAAUUGAACAAAUGAUUUAUAAUUCUAUCAUUGAGAGUGAAAUUAGGGAUAAUAGAAGAUGAGUGACUAAUUUAGGGGAGGAAUGAUCAAUUUAUAAAUUGGAAUGACUAAUUUCAUGAAGACAAUUAAUAGUUAAAGGAGCACAAUGUGCCUCAAAAGAGGGUGAAGGGAGGAGACAAUAGAGUUUUUCAUGUACCCUCUCUUUCCAUUGAUGGUGGAGUGAUUUUUCUCUCUAAAUUAGUGUGUCUAAUAUCAUUCAAUAAUGUAAGUGUGGUACCUCUUGCAUAUAGUUGUUAAAAAAUAAUUUUUUUUAAAAUUUAAUGUUGUUGUAUAAGCUAGAUGUUGAAGUUAAAAAUUAAGAACAAACCAGGGACAUGGUAGGACAAAUAAAAAAUGAGUCUUCACACUGUGAUUUGUUAGGGAACAUGGGAAAUACUGCUGAACCUUGAAACUCAAGUCACUUGCUUCACUAUUAAGAAAGAACUAAUGGAGCUAUUAAUUGAAGAUUCCUUUAACACAUGAAAGCAAGAUGCUUAGCUGUUGUUGGUUCAUUUUCAGGACUAAGACAAGGGUUGAUUUUGGGAAAAAACACAUUAAAGAGGGUUUCCACGGUUUUAAAAUUCUCCCUUUUAAGUCAGAAAGUUAAGCUUUCUUUAUUGGCUUGGAGGAUAGAGCAUUUUUAGAUCGAUAAGGUUAGAUAUUAAUUUGGUGUUAUAAUUUUAUGUAUUUUUACUUCAAUAAAAAUUGAUAUUGAAGUCAAUAUCACGAUUUCCAAAGAACAAUGUUGAUAUAUAUUAUGAAAGUUUACACUAAACAAAGCAUUUGCUUGCAUAAAUCAAAAAACGGUUUUUCCUAAAAUCAAUAUAGUUGGAAAGCAUGAUAUUACCGGCUCAAAUUCUAUAAACUUAAACUUUUAGAAAAUAUGAUUGUCCAAUAUGAUAUCACAAUCUCAUUUGAUAAGAGAUCAUGUGUUCAAACAUUACUACAAGGACAUUUAUUUGAUCAUAUUUAAGAGGUGUUAAAGACUAUAAUUUACAUUAUAGAUGUAAUGUAAAUUAUUCUCAUUCAAAGAAUUUUAUAUUCUUAGAGGUUACCUAAUUUAGGUUUUACUAAGGAUUGAAAUUUUGGAUUUUAUCGACGAUAUUUCGUAGAUAUAUCGAAUAUUGGACGACCUUGAAACGAUUUUGAGCACUGAUUAUCAAACGAGAGGAAUAUCGGGAAAAUGUUGGAAAUAUCGCCGAAAUAUCGGCGAUAUAUCGGUUUGGAACUAAUAAUCAAUAAUUAAAUCAGUUGUGGAGUGACGCGUAGAGCAAUGGGGAGAAAUGGAAAAAGUCGUUGAUAUAUUGUUGAUUUUUUCAAGCAUUUUUUUAAAAAAAUUUGAAAAUUCAUCCAACGGUCAAAUUUGAAUUUUUGAUGAUCCGAUGGCCUAUAUUUGACUCGUGUUUUUUUAAAGGCAUCCAAUAGUCAGAUUUGUGAUCCAAUGGUGGAAAAGCAAUAUUGACUUGAUCCAACGGUCAAAAUUAAUUUAUAACAGCUAUUUGACCAUCCAACAACUAGUUUGACCAAAAAAAAUCCUAUAAAUACCCACAAUCCAUUCUAUUUCAUACAUAAAAAUUUGAUCUUGUUCUAUUGCUCUAAAUUUUUAUUUUAUUUUAUCUCUAGCAAAAUUUUAAAAUUUUGAAAAUUUGAUGGUGAAGGGGAUUAACUCUAAGUUAAGGCUAAUUAAGGUAUACUUUACCUUUCACAAAAUUUAUUUUUAUUAUCCAUAAUUCAAUUUUAUUUUUUAUGUAUAGUUUAAUUGAUAUUAUCUAAUUUUAAAAUUUGUUAUAUUAACAUUAUAUUUCAUAUGGAAUGGAAAUUGAUUUGACAUCUAUGCAUAUUUAGUUUCAUUUUUUAAUAACUUUAAAAUUAAAUUUAAUUCAUAUGGAAAUUUAAUUGUAAUGUUUAUCUAUUUCAUGCAUAAUUCAAUUUUAAUUUUAAUUUUUAUUAGUAAUGAUUCUUAUCAAUUUCAUGAAUAUGGAAAUUUUAUUUAAUUUAGUUUAAUUUAAUUUAAAUUAAAUUAAAUUCAUAUGGAAAUUUAAUUGUAAUGCUUAUCUAUUUCAUAUAUGCAUAAUUAAAUUUUAAUUUCAAUGGACAUUACAUAUAUGCAUAAUUCAAUUUUAAUUUCAAUUUUUAUUAGUAAUGAUUCUUAUCAAUUUCAUGAAUAAUAUUAAUAUUAAAUUUCUUAGAUGUUUUAUCUUUAAUAAUUUUAAAUUUGAUAUUAGUUUUGUAUAGGAAUUUAAAAUACAUGUUUAGCAAAUGGCUAGUGGAAGUGGAAACGGUAUCAUGGGUCGAGAUCCUUAUUGGAAAUAUUGUACACUUAUGGAAGGGAACAAAAAUGGAACAGUAUGCAAUUACUGUGGGUUGACAAUAAAGAGUGGUGGGAUUACUCGUUUUACAUUUUACCUAUGUCAUACAGACCCUCAUUCAAAUACAAAAAAAGUGUUCUAAUGUGCCUCCAUAAGUGAAACAAGAAAUAGGACGACUUCUAAAGGUAAAAAAUGAGGCAAAAAUGAAGAAAACUACAAAGAUAGAAGAGAUCCAAGCUGAAGUGAGACACAAUAGGAGGAAUACAUAGACAUGUAACUGAUAAAAAGGAUGAGAAGAACCUUGAUGAUGAUGAUGAUGUGUAUAUGUAUUUGGUUGACAUGCACCCUGAUGAGCGGCAUGCUUAUAGAGCAACAGUUUGAGCAUCAAAAGCUAUUGAAUGGAAUCGACAACAAAAAGAACAUUUUGUAAGAGGCAAAAGAAAAACAAGUAUAAUAUUAAUUUGAAUUAUUACUAUUUCUUAUCAACUUCAUCAAUAAUAUUAAAUUAACAUAUAUGUUUAAUUUUAAUAAUUAUAAUAGGUGAGUCUUCACAUCCAACUAGUCCAACAAGGCAUAUACGAAGAUCGCAAAGUGUUCGAUAUUCAGAUCCAUCACCGCCUAGUGCACCCUCAUUGUACAAAUCUUUAGUAGCAAGACAGAAAAAUGCGAAAAAUCUUUUCAAAUGUGGUGCCAUCAAGGAAACCAUGGGAUGUUUGAUUAGUAAGUUCUUCAUAUAUGAUAGUGUUGCGCCUAAUAAAGCAGACUCUCACCACUUCAAGAACAUGAUUGUUGGUGUACAACAAACAGAUAAUUAGUAUAAUUUUAAAAGUUGUAUUUAUUUUAACAAUAUCAUUAUUAUUUAUGAAGUAUGAUUGCCACAAAUGUUCUUAUAUGCUUUAAUUAUAUAUGGAUUGUAGUUAUGGGUAUAGAACCACUGUCUCCUUAUGAAAUCAAACACAAGUACUUGGAUAUGGAGUACAAAGACAUGGAAGCUUAUGUUAAUAUUCAAAAAGAAAAAUGGAAGACUUAUGGAUGCAUGAUUAUGUGUGAUGAAUGGACUGGGUCCACAAAAUUAAGCAUAAUUAAUUUAAUGGUAUAUUCAAAAGGUAGCACAAUCUUCCUCAAAUAUAUUGAUGCAUCAAAUUAUAUAAAAUAUAACAAAUACAUAUAUGGUUUGUUAAAGGAUGUGAUCAAGGAAGUUGACAAACAAAAUGUGGUAUAAAUAGUGAUGGAUAAUGGGUCGGCAUUCGUGAAGGUGGGGAAGUUUUUAAUGAAGAAAUGCAAUCUUAAUUAGUCUUCGUGUGUAGCACAUUGCAUCGAUUUGAUGUUCGAAGACACCGAUAAAAGGUCGAGUAUUGCAAAUGUGAUUACAAAGGCUCGAAAGAUAACCAACUUCAUCUAUAAUCAUAGUUGGUUGCUUGUGCAAAAGCGCAAGGUGUGUGGUGGAGACAUAGUUCACCUUGGAGCAACAAGACUUGCAACCAAUUAUAUUGCCCUGGAUAGUCUUUUGAAAAAGAAGGUGGACUUGAAGAAAGUGUUUAUCAGUGAUAAAUGGGCACAACACAAGUUAAGUCGCAAAUUAAUCGGCAAAGAAGUUGAAAAACUUAUGUUCGACCAUGCGUACUAGGAGAGAGUGGGAAAGCUAGUGUCAAUCUAUGAGGCGCUAUACACAAUUCUUCGCAUUGUCGAUUUCAGAAGUUGCUCCUACAAUGCCAUUUGUGUAUGAAUUGAUUCAAGUUAUGAAAGAGAACCUCAUUCGACUUAAUGCUAAAGAAUGGGUGUUAGAAAUAAUUGCAUACCAUUAGGAUAUGACUCUUAAACAUCCUCUUCAUGUAACAAGUAACUAAGUAUUAUCCAUCUUUGAAAGUUAUUGGUAUUUAAUAUGUUUCUUUCAUAACAUUCUAAUUCUACAUAUCUAUUUUACUAUUGUAGCAUUCUUUCUUAAUCCAAGGUAUCAAUAUAAAUGUACUGAUCCUGGUCUACUUCAAGUUGUUCAUGAAGUCUUUGCGAAAUUAGAUCCUGCAACCAAAGGUCUUUGUCAAUUUAGAAAUUAGGUAAAUUAUUAGAGUUAUAAUAUAAAUUAAAAAUUUGAAUUUCAUUUACUCAAUUUUUGACUUUCAAUUAUUUAAUAUAUAUCUUAUACUAUUCUGAGAUGCAAAAAGAGAAUUUGGUGAUCGAGCAGCGAUUGCUUUGAGGUCAGAAAUGGUUCCCAAUGAGUAUUAUUUGUGAAUUAAUAAUACAUUUCAUUAGCAUAUUAUUGUAGCUUUCCAAUAUAAGUAUUGAUAUCAUUUAUUUGGUUGUAGCUGAAUGGUGGUUCAUGUAUGGAAACCACACUCCUACAUUAAGAAGGUUAGCCAUCAAGGUUUUAUUGCAAACUGCGUCAUCUUCAACUUAUGAGAGAAAUUAGAGCAAGUUUGCCUUAAUUCAUACAAAGCAAAGAAAUCGGCUUGCUUACCCGAGGUUCCAACUAUUAGUUUUCGGUUAUUAUAACAUGAAACUAAAGACCCGUGAUAUGAAGACAAAAAAUGACAAAGUUGCGGAGAACGAUUAACUCGAUUUACUUGACAUUAUAGCUAAGGUUGGUGAAGAAGAAGAUAACCAAUUGUUUUAAUGGGUUAGACCUUUUCAUUUAGAUGAUGAAGAUGGAAAUCUUGACCUACGAAUUGUCGCACAUGUCCGAGAAGCAGGUGUUGAUGUUGAACGGGUGUUAUUCGAAGAAGUUCAUACUAAUAGUUUCAUCCAAGACACGAGAGAUUCAUUUCUACAAGGAACUUCUCAAUUGGCAGUCACUUUUCGGCCUUCUUUUGACUCCACGAGCAUUGAACAUAGUAACAGAACUAAUGUUGCUGGUAUUUCCGCUUUCGGUUAUGAUGGUUCAAGAUGAGAGAGGACCAAUGAUGGUAGCGACCCUGGAAAUGAUGGAGGGGAUGCUAGACAACAACAAAAAAGUGGAGAACCAUUGGCAUUUAUUUGUGAAGAUGAUUUCACACAUUGUACUCAAGAUGAAGAUCACGACUCUAGAAGAGCUAGUCCAAUUGUUGGAGCCAUUGGAAAGCCAUAUAGAGGAAGACAACGAAGAAUGACGCCAUACAACGAGGACUCAUUGUUGGCCAAUUUUGAGUCAAUGAGUAUAGAGACUCAAUUCAGUGACUCGUCAAAUGAAGCCAACAUUUAUGCCCUUUAUGUAAUGAGUUAUGGUCAACCUCUUCCAAAUCUUUCAAAUUCCACUGAUGAAGAGUGUGAAAGGUAUAACUAUCCUUUUUUCCACACAAAUAUUGUACUACCUUCCAUAUCAGAUGCAACAACAAGGAUUUCAAAUGAGCACAUAGGAAAACCCUGGAUUUGGUGUCCAUGGACAGGUUGUGGGUAGGGCUCAACCUGUCUAUUGACUAUGAGUUGUAGGGAAUCCAUUCAUAUUAAAGUAUAAUUAAAUAUUAAAGUUAUAUGUUAUCUUCAUUGUGUUAUUGAUAAGAAUGAACACAAUUGCAUUUUCCAUUUGAACCGAUAAAAAUAUACAAGAACACUUAGUAAUUACCCAUGAAGUAACUAAAGUUCAAAAAAAGAAAAAGGUUUGAAAUCAAUCUCCUUGUGUAUAAUUAUAAAUUAUUUUCUAUAGAGGAUUUUGAAUCGAUUGUUGAAUAUUCACUAGGUUUAUGAAUAUUAUCAAUGGACUUCAAGCCUUAGAAAUGACCUACACCAAAAUGAAGAAAGUUAUGAAGAUUUUGAAGUAUCUACCAAAGAAAUAGGGGGCAAAGGUAAUGACAAAUCAAGAUCUUAUUAAGCUCUUUCUUAAAGAAUUCAUUAGGUCAAUUAUGACUCAUGAGAUAAACAUGAGAAAUCAUCAAUAAUCAAUAAGAAAAGAAGAAGAAUAAUAUUGCAUUCAAAGCUUUAAAAAGAAGGUUUUAUAGUUUCAUAUAUAUUAAAAACACAUGUCAAUUUAAUGAAAUAUAAUAUAUAUAUAUAUAUAUAUAUAUAUUAUUUACAAAAGAGUAUCAAUCCUUUUAUUAGUAUAACAUAUUUUUUUAGUAAUAUUUAUUUUAGAGAAAAAAAUUGUAAAUUCAUUUACAUAAAUAUUUCAAUACUUUUUUUUGUAUAUAUUUCAUUACAAACGAUUUUUUAUUUGAUAUAUAUAUAUAUAUAUAUAUAUAUAUAUAUAUAUAUAUAUAUAUAUAUAUAUAUAUAUAUAUAUAUUUUAUUUACAAAAGAGUAUCAAUCCUUUUAUUAGGAAAAAUAUUUUUAUUAGUAUAAAAGAUUUUUUUAUAAUAUUUAUUUUAGAGAAAAAAAAUUGUAAAUUCAUUUACAUAAAUAUUUCAAUCCUUUUUUUUGUAUAUAUUUCAUUAAAAAUGAUUUUUAUUUGAUUUUAUUAUAAUAGAUUUAUUGCAAAUUGAUUUUAUCUUUAUUUAGUUUAAGAAGAAGUCUCCCAAGUUUGUUACAAAGAUUCUUGCAAUUUAGUUCUAAAAAGGUUAUUUCUACUUUAUAAAAAAAAAAAAAAACUUCAAAUUUAUUAUUUUAAAAAAAGGCUUCAAAUUUAUUUCAAGAAAACAUUAGGAAAAAUUUUGUCCUUAUUUUAUUUUUAAAAAAAUCUAGUUUAUUUAAAAGAUCAUAUCUCACUUAUUUUAAAAGCAAAAUGAUUUUUUAAUUUAUUUCUUUUAAAAGGUUUCAUAAUUUUAUUUUUAUUUUUUUUAAAAUGUUUAAAUUUUUUUUUAAGAGAAAAAGGGUUCAUAUUUAUUUUUAAAAAGGUUUGGGAUUUAUUUUUGAAAAGAAAGAAAGGGUUUCAUAUCUUAUUUUAUUUACUUACUUAGUGACUCAAAAAUAAAAACAACUAAAACUAUCCAAUAUACAAAACUAAAUAAAAUAUAUAGAAUGGAUAAAUAUAAAGGGAAAAAAAACAAUAAACUAUAACCAUUUAAAUGAAGUAUAUUUAAAAAAAUGAGAUCGAUUCUUUCAAAGAUAGAAACUCAUAUUCUGUCAUGCAUUUUAUCAUCAAAAAAGGUUUUUAAUCUUAAGCUUUCAAAUGGAACCAAUAUGAGCUAUUAAAGGUCACUUGUGCAUCAGGUUCCAAUGUUUAUUGUAUGUUUGAUUUGUGGUUGACUAAAGUGGUCAACCAAUUGACCUAAAUAGUUGAUCGAUUUAGGGGAAUUUUCUUAAAUGAUUGGCAAAAAGCUUUCAAUUGAAGGAGAGCCUUGAUCGGUCAAACCAGAGACUUGAUCCAUUGACUCAAUGCUACAUUAAUUAUCAUCUUCUACUACCCAAUAGCUUGUAAACAUUGGUUGAGCCUUAUUGUGUUUAAUAGUUAGGUUGAGCUUCUAUCUCCUAUAUAAAGUUCUAUUCUUCAUUUUCAAUUAUCUAUAGAGCCUUAGAAAAGAAUUUUGAGUGUGCUAAGUUUAAACUUUAAUUUCAUUCUUAGUAUACCUUAUCAAUCAUACUUUAUACUAUAUCCAAUGAGCAAAAUUAUAAAUAAUGAGUUUUAAGCUUUGUAAACUCAAUCUUGUAACCUUGUGAGGGUAGACUCAAAUGUGUGGUAUCACUUAUGGGAAAAUUCAAGUAUGAGACAUCACUUGAUAGUUUUCCAAGUGUGGGGUAUCACGUGGAGAGUCCAAGAGUGAGACACCUCUUGAUAAUUGUUGAACAUCACUUGAAACCAAGAAUCUAAAUUUUCAAAUAGAUGAUGUUUGGUUUGAAGCUUUAAAUAUAGUGAAAUCUGAGUUUGGAAUUGAAAUGAGAGGAUAGUGGAUGUAGAUUGGGUUGAGUUCGAGGUCGAAUCAUUACAAAAAUCUUGAGCUAGUAUUCCCUUCUUUAUAUAUAUAUAUAUAUAUAUAUAUUAGUGUCUAGAUAAUUGCUCAUAACAGUUUAAUUUGUUAUUUGCAUUCAUUUUGUAAAAAUUGUUAAAUUAAUAGAAAUAAAAAUGAUAAAUGUUUAUUGUAUUUUUAUUUGCAAUAAGUUGUUUCAUCUAUUAUGAUUAAACAAUAAUUAAUGUGUAAUAAUUAGUAUUUUAUUUUUUAAUAAAUUAAUAUUUUAUAGAUAAUCAUAAUUAUUUCAUUAAUAAUGGUUCAAAAUCAAUAUUGUAUUUAUAAUAGUGAAAAUAUUAGUCAUAAUCUAAUUGUUUCCAUUUAUAGCAUUUAUUUAUUUUUUUCAGUUUUUUUUUUUAAUUUUAAAUUUCAAGGCAUUCUUUGAAGUUUAUAUGAAGGAUAGUUUAAAAUUUUCAAAUAAUUUCUCAAUAGUACUUUAAUAUUAAAAUGAGCCCUUAAAUUAAAAAAAAAAAAAAAAAAAAAGGUUUUGCCCAACAACAAUCCCAUGCAUGAAAAUUCUUAAGAUUCCAAAUAAGAAAAGAGAGAAGGGAAACCUGAACAAGGAAGAACACGACUCCAAUGGGGAUCAAACCCAGAGUCUCUGGUUUCGUAGACUAACGCCUUAUCCAUUUGGCCAUGGAGUCCUGAUACUUAAUACAGAGGUUAGGCAUAAUCCACAUUCUCACUCUAAUUGAUUUUUUUUUUUCCUUCAGCCACUUAUGGCUUAUUUGAAAGACAUCCUUCCUUUUAUUUCUUUUCUAUUUUUAUUUUUGUUUGAGUAGUUGACAACUUUAAUUUAUUAACGUUCAUCUUUUUAAUUUCAUGUGUUUAUAAAUAAAUUGAGAUGGAUCAUUUUUAUUAACUUCUUGUAAUGUAAAAAUGGGUUGGUUGUUGCUUAUUUUCAUAUUUGUAUUUUCUUUUCAUUUUUGGAUACUCAAGAGGAAUUUUAUAUUGCUUUUUUAUUUGAAAUUAAUUUAAUACAUAGGAAAAAAGUUGGGUUAUGUUUUAAGAUUCGAGUUCAAAUAUAUAUUGAUUAAUCGUCGAAUCAUAUUUAAUUAUUAUAUAAAUAAAAUAAUUAACUUGCAAGAUGUGAUUGGAUUAAUAUGUGCAUGGAUAAAAAAGUAAUUAAUUUUUACAUAAUUAAAAGCUUUUACUAGAAAGAUGGAAAAAAUAUAAAAAUAUAUGGGUUGUUUAGAGGGAUGACAAUGGGUAGGUUUUUCUUUGAGUACCUAUAAUGACCUGCACCCAACCAUGUAAAUAUUGUCUACUCUAGACCCAAAGGGGCUCUCAUGACUUUAAAACACGUCUACAGGUUAAGGGGAGUUCAUACUUAUAUAACGUCAGAAACUUUUCCCCUAUUCAAUGUGGGAUGCCACAGACACCCCUAUGAAGACAUAACAUUCUCGUUGUAUCCUACAAGAUUGCGGGGCCAAACAAACCCUUACACUGGGGUCGAGGAUCAGUUCUGAUAUCAUUCUAUAACGACUUGCACCCAACCGUGUAGAUAUUGUUCGCUCUGGACCCAAGGGGGCCCUUACGGCUUCAAAAUACGUUUACAGGGUUAAGAGAAGUUCAUACUUAUACAACGUCAGAAAAUUUUCCCCUAUUUGAUGUGGGAUGUCACAGUACCCACCUCAUCGGGAAUGUAAUAGGAUAGGUAUGGGAGGAUUGAGGAGUAUAAAUGGGUCAUGAUUAGGUUUUGAAAAUUUUUAAAAAACUUUAGGUAAGGUUUGGGGCAAGUUCAACUAUUGUCUUAGCCCAUCCCACCUUGAUUAUGAAUAUAAUUGAAUAAGAAUGAUUUAAUUUAAUUUAUUUUUAUUUUUCUUUUUUAUACUUAUAAAAUAAAAAAUUAAUUUUUUAAAAAUAAAAUUUUAUAAUAUUCAUUUAUUUGUAAAUUAUAUUUCUCAUUAAUAUAUUUAUUUUUUUAGAAAAUAAGCAAUUGAAAAAAAAAUAAAAUAUAUCAAAUAGGGAAGGGAGGGUAUGAGAAAUUCCCAUACCCAUUUAAAGUGUUUUUAUUUAUUUAUUUUUGGAUGGUUAUAAGAAUAAGUGUAAAUAAUUGACCUACAGUCAAGACAAAAGUGACCUAUCCUAAACUCAUUUUAUUGUCAUCUUUGGUUGCAAACUUUUUUUUCUCAACAUGGUAAAGAGUGGAGAUAAGAUUUAUUUAUUUAUUCAUUUUAACAAAAGUCUACUUAUAUUACUCUUAAAUCUUCAAAUAAUCAUACAAAUCACUUAUGAUAUUUUAAAACAGGGUAACACCCUUUCAUAUUUAUUUUUCUAAAACCUUUUCUUCUAUACAACACUGUAAAAAUUUAACUUAAAAUAUUAUUAUGUCCACAUACAAUUAUUUAAUGAUGAAUUAUCAAGAGAAAGGUCAUUAGUGAUACUAAUAAAUCAAAGAAAAAAAAUGAAACAUGUGUUUACUUUUCUCCUUUCUUUUAUUGGAUGGAAGAAAUACUUAUAAUAUUUUGUAGAAAAAGAGUUAGAAGAAGGAGAACAUAGAAUGCUCAAAGAAAAAUAUUGUCUUAUUUCAUUAGCGCUAGUUAAAAUUUUUCAAUAUUUAUUUGCCCAUUUCUCCUAUUCCACAACUUCUUUGCUAAACUAAAAACUAUCCCAAUGAAGAACUACACCUUCGGGCUGAGAGGUGGGAUGUGGGGAGUGGGUGGGUUGGGUGAAUAGGUGAUUUUAUAAAAAUUCAAAAGGUUCUUCCUUUCUUCCCACAACCAUUCAACAAAGGAUAAAAAUCACAAGCAAGCAUGAAUGCAACAAUACUCUCCUAAUAAUUUAUAGAUGCAAGUCAUGUGCAAAUGCUUCAAUACUCCCCAAUUACAUUAAUUCAUAAGAAUAAUUAUUUCCCUAAUACAUUUUGAAUUACCCUUUGAUACCAUUAACAAUAUGAACAAAAAAUUUAUUGAAGAAUAUCCAAAAGGUAAUCACACCAAUUUUAGCUCAUAUUUUAUCAUUUCAACAUACAUGCUGUAAAAAAUAAUAUCUAACACUGGAAAUAAAUCAAAGAGUAGAAUGAAAGUAAGAGAGAUAAUGACACCAAAUUUUACAUGAAAAAUCUCCUUAGAGAUCAAAACUAUGAACCUACCAACGAUAAAGAAUUCCUCUAUGACGAACAACCAAUUUGUACAAGGUUUUACUUAACUUAAGCCUGCUAAUCCUUCAUAGACUACAUAACCAACACCUUCUCACUUUAGCUGCAUGCGUUCAUCUUCCAUAAUAUACUUGGAGUCCUCACCAAGUUUGAUCUUGAUCUCUUCUUGAAGUUCAAUCAAGAAGAAAAUGAGUUUUCACCCAAAACCUAAAUAGAUAGGAAAUUGAAAGAUGAAUGGAAUAGAAGAAUCAACCCUUUUUUUUUUUUUAAGGAAAUCUAUUGGAAUAUAGUUUGGAAAUCAAGAUGAAAAAGGGAAUUUUUGACAACCAAACACCCUUAACUAGAUAAGGAUAGAGAGAGCUCAAGAGAGAAGGAGAAUGGUUGCAGAUAUCUAUUCCCCAAAAUAGGAAGGAAUUUUAGGUUUUAAAUGGAAAGAAGCCCUUGAUCCAAUGGUUAAGAAAAAAAAAACCUAAAUCGAUUUGACCAAAACCUGGAUCAAUUUUGGAACAUGACAUUUAAACACCUAGACAAAAAUAGUUGUCCUGGCUUCCUUAACUCUUUUUAGAAACAAAUAGUUCUAGAAGAAACACUUUGAAAAACUUUGGUUGAUUCCAUCUCAUCCAUCUACAACCUCAACUAUAUACCUUAGUCCCUUAGUAAAUUCAAUAUCUUGAUCUUCAUUAGGCUAGUAGUCCGAGGAAGGAUUUGGAAAAACUAAGUUAAAUACUUAGGAAAUUUGUCUGGAAUUACUAAUCUAGCUAAACACUCAUAAAAACAUAAAUACUUGUAUUACUUUAUCAUAAAGUUUCCCUUAUUGUUUUUGGGUCUUUGCAAAAUCAUCAAAUAAGAACAAGUGAGAACAAUGUGCUCUCCAUAUGUCUUUUAAGUGUUUUUUUUUUAUUCUAACCAAUGGAAACCACAAUUCCCAACAAAGCCUUUAUAUUCCUCACAAUGCUCUCCAUGGAUAGUUUAUGCUAUCAUGAAGAAAUAAUUCGGAUAUUGAUGAGUACAAGAAGCAACACAUCGCUUAUCACAACUUUUAACCUCUACAAAGAUGAACAUGACAUUUCCAUCACUAAGUUACAAAUGAUAGCAAUCACUUCAUCUUCUUUAACUGAAGCACAAUUUUUUUGGUAGUUGAGUUUGAAUUUCUAGUAGGGUUUUUGCAUUGAAUCAACUUCAAGGAAGCAUUAGUAGAUCUUUAAUUAGAUUUACAAAAGUAGUACUUGUGUGCAACAUUCCAACUAGUCCUUUCUACAUAUUGUUAAUGAGUAAAAAAAAUGCAUGCAAUUCAUAUUUGAGUCUAUCUAUUUUCAUGAAAACUUGAGGAACUUCCAAUCCAUAGGCACUUGAUGCCUGCAUUGCAUGAAACCUUUUGUUGCAUCAAAAACCCUAAAAAAUAAUUUGCAAAUUGAAAUUUCGAUAGCUAGUACUAGUAGAAACUAAUGAUUUCAAGAACCCAAUCAAAUUAUGUUAUUUACAUAUUUCACAACAAAAAGAGUAAAUUUGAUCAAGAUAUACUUUGUGUGAUUGCUAUGAGACUUGAGAAGGACUAGAAGGUGAUCAAAGAGCUAUUCUACAAGAGGAACAAUGUCUCUCUUGAUGAUGUGGUAGUCAAGACACUUCAAACAUUACAAGGAUGGUAUAAAUAGGUUUUUUUUUUUUUUUUUUUUGCAUGCUUGUUAAUGUAUGAAUUGAAGCAAUUAAGGCUAGAUUAGUUGGAUUGACAUCAACUUUAGAGCUUGAGUUGAUUUGAGAUAUCACUCAAUUAGAUUGAUUAAUGUACAACCUAAACUUGAUUAAUGUACAUCUUCAAUCUUCUUGGUUAGAGGAGUUCCAUAUUGCUUAUUAUAUUCCUCAGCAAUGUCCUUUAUAUCAACAUUGGCUCGGGUUACAAUAACUCGAGUUAGGGCUUCUUUUUAAUCCUCAUUUGCGUUAACUUUCAUUGCCGAAUCUAAAAUCUAAGAUUAAAAAAAAAAAUAGUCCAAGAAAUGCUUCAACAAAAAAAAAAAAGAUUAUUUUUUUAAUGUGUUAUAGUGAAUUUAUCUCACCUUACUGAAAUACAUCAGAUGAGCAUACAAGCAAUAAAUUGUGUUCUUCAAACUUGUCUCAUCAAGAUCCUAAACAAUGAGGAAUUAUAUUAAAAUGAAUAUUUUUGAAAGCUAAUUCAAGGAAAAAUGAGUUCUAAUAAAUAUUAAAAUGAAAAGAAUUGUUCAAAGUAACACAUGAAUGAGAAUUGUUUUUUUUUUUUAAAGAAUUUAUAAAAAAGACUGGAGUUUAAAAACAAUAUAAUGAAUAAGAAUAAAAAUAGAGUAAAAAAAAGGCACAUGAGUGGACCACACAAAUAAUGUUCCAUGAUUCAAAACAAUAUGUUUUUCCUUAUAAUUUGUAUGUCCAUAAUUUUACAUGUUAAACUAUUAGCAAAGUAUAUAUUUCAAUUUUAUUACUUCUUAGAAUGUAUUUGGCAUGUGAAAAUAAAGAUAAAUCAUAACAUCACGUAAAAGAGAAAAAAUUAAAAUCUAAAAAACAAAAAAAAAAAAAAUUUGUAUCCACAAGAUUGAAAUUUUAAUUUCAUUCUUAUAUUUAAUAAGUAAUUUGGACUUAGAAGAAAUAAAUAGGAAAUGGAAUAGGUUCUUUUUAUUCCUAUACCCAUUUUCUAUUCUAGUGUUUCAAAUAUGUAAAGUGAUAAUAGUAGAGGAAAAGGGAAGAGAAGGAAAUACAAGGAAGAGGAAAAAGGAGCAAAGAAAGAGAAAAAAAAGAACAUAAAAUAACAAAGAAGGAUAACAAAUACUAACUUUUAAGUUAAAUACUAAUUACCUUUCAUUUUUUUUUCUUUUUCACUUUAUUCAUUUAUUAUUGUUUAAGUAAUGAAUAAAAAGUCCAUUUGAUAUGGAGGAAUUAAAAUACGAUAGGAAUGUUGGAUGAUGUGUAUUAUGUAAAAAAAAAAAAAUAAUUUUUUUAUAAUAAUAUAUAUACUUAAAGAAAAAUUGUGUUUUCACACAUUCACUCAUGUAAAAAUAAGGAAAAAGUGUGUUUUCAUAUACUUGCGUAAAAAUAAUUACAAAAUAGGAACUUUGUAAAAAUAAUUCAAGUUUUAUGCACUCAUCUAGUUGAAUAUAGUAUCUAUAUCAUUAAAAUAUAGUAUUUGAAUGAUCAAAAUUGUAAUUUGAGCAAAAAGUGCAUGAAAUGCUAAUUAUUUUUAGAUAACUACUUGAAAUUUGUAUUUUAUAAACUUGAGUUUCCAUUUGGUGGUUUUUUCAUAUAAAUGUAGGGAAACACAUUUUUUUUUUUUACUUCUCAUUUCCAUUUUUGAAAUAAUUCAAAUAUAAUAAUGAUUGGAAAAUAGAAUAGAUUUCCUAUUCCUAUUUCACAUUCUAAUGUUUCAAACAGGCCAUAAGAAUUAACAAAUAUAAUAUCAUGAUUAUGUUAUACCUCUUCAAUUUUCUUGUUAAAAGUCUCCUAGUAACAUUUGAAGACGACCUUGAGCUGAGGUUUGCUUCUUGUUGCUAGAAUCCUUACAAUCUCUUCAUCUUUGAAUAGCUUCUUCUUAUAACCUUAUCUAUUAAUGGUUAUACCAAGUUUUACAGCCUCUGAUCUAACUGCCACAUCACUAAUUUGUGAUCCUUCAUAUCUGUACGUACUUACAAGUGCUACCAAAAGCUGUUGAUACAAGAAGCAAUUUUUCAUUACAUUAUUUCAUGUUGAUAAUAAUAUUUGUUACAUGGUUUCUUUAUGUGGUUAUGAGUUUUUAGUUAUCAUUAGAGAGAAUGUGUUUGAUUAAAGCUCUCCAAAAUCAAAGAUGUGGGAGGGAAAGAACUAUGUUUGGUUGGUGGGCAAAAUGGGCUUUCAAGUUUCAAAUUACGACAUACAAUGGGCUAGGUUCAGUCAAGAACAGUGUUUGUCUUUUUAGCUUUUUAUUGAAAGCAAUUUGCUUUUGGACUUUAAGUUGUUUGUUUUUCUACUUUUCAUGACUUAUUAUAAAUUUUUGGUUGAAUAGAAAAAACUAAAAUAUUUGGUUGAAUAGAAAAAAUCAAAAUAUUUGGCUUUUUCUAAAUGGAUAAAGUACCAUGUUGUUUUUCUUUACCUUUUAAUGCUUAAUAUAAAUAAAAUAUUAAAAAAACAAACAACCUAAUACUUAACAAUAUUAAGCACUAUUUAGUUUUAAUUUCUAUUUAAAAUUAAGUAAGAAAACAAACACCACCUUAUGCUUUUUGGCCCAUAAAUGAACUUCAAAUUGGAUCCAAAAUAUGAUAAAGCUUGAAGUCCAAUUUAUUAUGGUUGGGUUUAGGGGUUGUACAGAUUAUUGGAUGGAGUUUUUGAAGUGUUGGACCAAACUAAAAUGAAAUCUCAACUAUUGAGUUGAUAUUUGAUGAUAUUGAUAGAUAAUUAAACUAAGAGCCCGUUUGACAAUGAUUUUAGGAAGUGUUUCUAACAUUUUUAAUGCUUAAAAAUGUAUAUCAUUCAAGUGUUAGAAAGACUAGAAACAUUUUAUAAAAUUACUAUCAAACGCACUCUAAAAGUAUGUUUGACAAUAGUUCUAGAAAGUGCUUUUAACUUAAAAAGUGUUUUUGAAAAAAAUUAGAUGUUUAGUAAAAUUUAGGAAACACUUCUAAAAAUAUGAAAAACCACUUGUAGUAUUGAAAAGUCACUUAUAGUAUUUUUUGGAGAAACACUUGAUAAAUGGUUUUUGUAAAAAUAUUUCUAAAGAAAACACUUCCAUUAAAAAUACUUUAAGUUGCCAAACGCACUUUAAGAGUGUAUUUGACAGUGUUUCUUCUUGAAGUGUUUUUAGCCUAAAAAGAGUUUUUGAAAAAAAUUGGAUGUUUGGUAAAAUUUAGGAAACACUUCUAAAAAUAUGAAAACUCACUUAUUGUAUUGAAAAGUCACUUAUAGUAUUUUUUUGGAGAAACACUUGAUAAAUGAUUUUUUUUAAAAAAAAAAUUGAAGUGUUUUCUACAUUUUUCCAAACAGUUGAUUUUUCUUCAAAAACAGAUUUCUUUUUUCUUUUUUAUACUAAAAGUGCUUUCUAGAAAUACUAUCAAUCGGACUCUUAAAUUACCUUUCAAAUAUGACCAAGUUGCUUUCUAAAUAUGAUCAUCUUACAUAAUUAUGACCACAGUAAUUCUUGAUUGGUUCAUUAACAUGAUUAUAUAUAUUACCUCUCACAGUAUCCUAACCAACACUGCACCAUAUAAAACUCCAUUAUUGAGAAAAGACACAAUUAUAGGACUUUCUAGAAGUCCAACUAAUGGGGACAAAAAAAAAGUUCGAAACUCCAAUUGGAGAAGAGUAGGCUCAAAAGAUCAUUUUCAAUUGCAUACUUUAUGGAGAAAAUAUAUGUUAGAAAGAUAGACGAAAGCCAUCUUUUUAAGAAAUAAUUAGUCAAAAUGCUUCAAUAAAUUAAUAAGAUAGAAAUGCUCUUUACUUGAUUAAAAAUUGCAUAAUAUCUCACUAAUCUAAGUCAAUUUUUAUUUUCAAAUAAAACAACUAAAAAUAAUGCUCAUACACUUCAAAUAUAGUUUGAUGCAAAAAAGAAAAAAAGAAAAAAGAACGUAACUAAAAUUAGUACUAACCUGGCGUUUGAUGCCUUCAACUCGGGAAGCAACAUCUUCCUCGAUGGAUUCACCGUAGAGGGACUGGUAUGCUUUCCUAGCUCCCAAGAGCCCGUCUGAUGAUUUGAUGCAUGCAAGUUCAAUGAGUAAGCCAUAUGCUUGAGGGUGUCUGUCCAAAGCCUUCCUUGCCAUGCGAGCAUCUCUUUCCCAAGGAUGCAUGGUCCAUUGCACCACAACAUCCUGACCACAAAAAUGUUAAAAAACUAAUCAUAUUAUUGUAAAAACCAAUAUUUAAGUCAUCAUUUGUCUCCUUGUCUUUUCUAAUUGGCUUGUAAUUUUUGUUUUCUCAUAAGAAUUAAUUUUUUUUAAAAAUAAAAUAAUGUAUAAAUAUCUUUAAUUUUAUGUUUCGCAUAAAUACCUAAUUUUAUAUUGGACAUAUAAUACCUGAAAACGCAGAAAUUCCUUUACUAGAAAUGCAAUAUCAUAAUCUUGGCAUCUCUCAAACAAGAAGUAUUUAUCCUUAAGAAAGAUGGAAGAACUUUCAUUCCUAAAAGUUGUCAAGACUUUUGGACGCCAUUUUACUAAGAUCUCCAUCAUUGAUUUCUCGUUAACUCCAAGUAUUCCUAGAAAGGUAAAUCAAGAUUAUUUCAACCUUCUAAUCAAUAUUAAUAAUGAAAGAACAAAGAAACAAUUUGAAAUCAUAUGGGACAUGAGAUCACAUGAAAUCAUCCAUAUUGUCACAAAUUUUCACUAGAAUUAUUAAAAAAAUAACAUACCACAAUAAGUACAACUAGAGUAAACAAUUUGAAUGUAAAAGAAUGCAGUUGUUUGUGAUUUAGAAAAAAUAAAGUCAAGGGAGAAGGAGAAAGAACCAGAGAAAGCCUUUGUGAGAGUGCGGCUCUCAUUUGGCAAAGACAUAAUUUUUCUCCCUUCUUCGCUUGUUUUCUUUUUCCUUCUUUUGAUGGAGGCAACAAGAAUGGUGGCCUUCUUUACCUCCAUCAUGGAAUUAAUUUUAUAAGUAAGCUAAGGGGUAUUUAGGGUAAGUAAGAAGACUAAAAAAUGGAAUGACUUGUGGGAGGGGGGAAAUGUCUUAAUUGCAUGUCAACAUCAUAGUGUACUUGCUUAAGUUAUUUUUGAAGUUUUAUCCAUUUUAAGACUUGAAUAUUUUCAAUUUGAUUUUGAGUCAGACUUGAGAGUGAUUUUAGCUACUACAACUAUUUUUAUAGAGAAUUAUUUAGUGUCUAUGUAAAUAAAAAGGCAAUAAUUUUGAUAGUAUUCCUAGUAAUAUCAAUUUUUUAGAAGAAGCAUUUACCAAUAGGACUAGUUUAAGAAUCAUUUCAAGAGAUUCUUAAAAAAAAUUUAAGUAAUUUUUAAAAUUUUAUCAAAUGCCUAAUUUUAAUAAAAUUUCCAAAAUCGUUCAUUUUUUUUCCAUUAAAUAAAGUGAUUUAAAAUUUUUAUUAAAUAUCUAUUUUUUUAAAUUUUCAAAAUCACUCUUAAACACCCUCUCAUAAUCAAUUUUCUAAAACCUUUUCUUCUACACAUUAUUGUAAAAAUUUAACUUAAAAUAUUAUCAUGUCCCCAUACAAUUAUUUAAUGAGGAAUUAUCAAGAGAAAGGUCAUUAAUGACAUUAAUAAAUUAUAGAAAAAAAGAUGAAACAUGUGUUUCAUUUUCUACUUUCUUUUAUUGGAUGGAAAAAAUGCUCAAAAUAUUUUAUAGAAAGGGAGUUGGAAGGAGAACAUGGAAUGCACAAAGAAAAAUAUUAUUUUAUUUUAUCAACAUUAGUCCAUUUUGUCUAUUUCAUGACUUCUUUGCUGAAUUAAAAAUCGAAGGUGAAUCUUAAUGAUGAACUACACCUAGAGAGAAAAGGGGGGGGGGGGGGGGGGGGGGGGGGAAAAGGGGAUUUUAAAAAACCCUUUUGAAUCUAAAAAAAAACCCUUUUUUGCCCCCCCCAAGCCCCCGGACCCCCAAAAAAAAAAAAAAAUUCCCUUGGAACGGCCCAAAUUUUAUUUCUUUUUUUUUAAAAAAAUUUUUUUUUAUUUUUUUUUUUUUAAAACCAUUUCAAAAAAGGAAAAAAAAAAUCCAAGGAAAAAAGGAAGGGAAAAAACCCCCCCCAAAGGUUUAAAAAAAAAAGUCCAAGGGAAAGGGUUUAAACCCCCUAAAUAAAUUAAAUUAAAAAAAAAAAAAUUUUCCCAAAGGGUUUUCCAAUACCCCCUGGGAAUUAUAAAAAAAAGAAAAAAAAAAUUUUUCAAAAAAUUCCAAAAGGGAAUUCCCCCCUUUUCGCCCCAAAUUUUCCCCUUUCAAAAAAAAGGUUUAAAAAAAAAAGGAAUUUAAAAUUGGGAAGGGAUUCAAAUGUUGAAAGGGGGGCAAAAAAAACAUGGCCCCAGAUUUUUUGGGGGAAAAUCCCCUUAAAAUUAAAAAANNNNNNNNNNNNNNNNNNNNNNNNNNNNNNNNNNNNNNNNNNNNNNNNNNNNNNNNNNNNNNNNNNNNNNNNNNNNNNNNNNNNNNNNNNNNNNNNNNNNGGGGGGGGGGGGGAGUGAAUAGGUGAUUUUAUAAAUACCUUUUGAAUCUAUAUAAAAUCACUUAUUUGCCCCUCCCAAGUCCCCUGAUCCCCUAACAUAUAUUAACAUUCCCUUUGAAUCGUCACAAUUUAUAUUCCUUUCUUUUAACAACUAUUUAUUUAUAUUCAUUUCUUUUAACAACUAUUCAACAAAGGAUAAAGAAUAUCACAAGCAAGAAUGAAUGCAAUAAUACCCUCCCAACAGUUUAUAAAUACAAGUCACAUGCAAAUGCUUUAACACUCCUUAAUUACAUUAAUUCAUAAGAACAAUUAUCUUCCUAAUGCAUUUCCAAUUACCUCUUGAUAUUAUUAACAAUAUGAAUAAAAAAUUAUUCAAGAAUAUCCAAAAGGUAAUUACACCCAUUUCAGCUCAGAUUUCAUCCUUUCAACAUACAUGCUUAAGUAACAAAUGAUAUCUAACAUUGGAAAGGAAUCAAAUAGUAGAAUGAGAGCAAAAAAGACAAUGACACAAGAUUUUAUGUGGAAAAUCUCCUUAGAUAUUAAAAAAACUAUGAAUCUACCAAUGAUAAAAAAAUUCCUCUAUCAAGAGUAACCAAUGCGUAGAAGGUUUUACUUAACUCAAGUUUGCUAAUCUUUCACGGAUUGCUUAACCAACACCUUCUCACUUCAGCUGCAUGCCUUCAUCUUUUAGAACAUUCUUGAAGUCCUCACCAAGCUUGACCUCGACUUCUUCAAGUUCAAUCAAGAAGAAAAUGAGUUUUCAUCCAAAACCUAAAUAAAUAGUAAUUGAAAGAUGAAUAGAAUAGAAGAAGAAAAUGAGUUUUCAGCCAAAACCUAAAUAAAUAGGAAAUUGAAAGAUGAAUGGAAUAGAAGAAUCAACCCAUUUUUUAAGAAAAUCUGAUGGAAAACAAUUUGGAAAUCAAGAUCAAAAAGAGAAUUUUCUUAACAACUUAACACGCUUAAUUAGAUAAGGAUAGAGAGAGCUCAAGAGGGAAGGAGAACGGCUGCAGGUAUCUCCUCCCAAAAUAGGAAUCAAUUUUAGGUUUGAAAUGGAAUGAAACCCUUGAUCCAAUGGUUAAGAAAACAUAAAGAAAAAAGCAACCUGAAUCGACCUGACCAAAAUCUAAAUCCAUAUUGAAACAAGGCGUUUAAACACUUAGACAAGAAAAGUUGUCCUGACCUCCUCAACUCUUUUAAGAAAUAAAUAGUUCUAGAAUAACUAAUUGAAAAACUUGGUUGAUUCAUUUCGUCCAUCUACAACCUCAACUACAUCUUUUGGUCCCUUAGCAAAUUCAACAUUUUGAUCUUCAUUAGGCAAGUAGUCCAAAGAAGGAUUUGGAAAAAUUGAGUUAAGAGACAGUUAGGAAAUUUGUCCAAAAUUAUCAACCUAACUAAACACUCACAAAAACAUAAAUACUUGUAUUACUUUAUCAUAAAGUUUCCCCUAUUGUUUUUAGGUCUAGAAAAAUCAUCAAACAAUUUCUGGACAAGGUGUAACUAGAUGUUGCCAAUGCCAAUGGAGUUGUGCUUGUAGAGAUGAGUCUCAAGUAGAGAUGGAGCAUUGCUAAAGAACAAGUGAGAAUGAUGUGCUCUCCAUAUGUCUUCUAAGUGUUUUUUAUCUUUAAAUAUGUUCUCUGAAAACACAGUUUUGAGAAGACAUAGAACAACAUUGUUUUUUAAAUCACCAUUUGUCAAACAUGUUUUUAAGUGUUUUUUAUUCUAAAGAAUGAAAACCACACUUUCCAACAUAGCCUUUAUAUUCCUCACAAUGCUUUCCAUGGAUAGUUUAUGCUAUCAUGAAGAAAUAAUUUGGAUAUUGAUGAGUACAAGAAGCAACACAUCGCUUAUCACAACUUCCAACCUUUACAAAGAUGAACAUAGCGCUUCCAUCACUAAGGUGUGGAUGAUGGAAAUUACUCCAUCUUCUUUAACUGAACCACAAUUUUUUUUUUUUUUUUUUGGUAGCUGAGUUAGAAUUUCUAGUAGGGUUUUUGCAUUGAAGCAACUUCAAGGAAGUAAUAGAUCUUUAAUUGGAUUUAUGGAAGUAGUACUUGUGUGCAACAUUCCAACUAGUCCUUUCUACACAUUGUUAAUUAGUAAAAAGUGCAUGCAAUUCAUCAAUGACUCUUUGCCUAUUUUCAGGAACUUCAUCAGGGACUUCCAAUCUAUAGGCACUUGAUACCUACAUUGCAUGCAACCAUUUGGUGCAUCAAAAACCCUAAAAAAUACUUUGCAAAGGUGAAAUUUCCAUAGCCAAUACUUGUAGAAACUAGAUUGUAUUUCUUGAUUACUAGUAAAAUUCUAAUGAUUUCAAGAGCACCCAAUCCAAUUGUGUUAUUUGAGUAUUGCAUAACAAAAAGAGAAAAUUUGAUUUAGUUAUACUUACUUUGUGUAAUUGUUAUGAGACUUGAAGGUGAUCAAAAAGCCAUUUUCUGAUUAAUUAAAUUUUAUGGCUAAAAAUAAUUGCUCAUAGACUUAGAGCAACAAACUCGACAAAAAAAAAAAAUUUGUGGAAAAAAAAUCUUUUAUCACAAGAUACUAAUUUUUAAUCAAAAAUUAGUUUGUGACAAAACCUCAUAUUUGUUGUAGUGGCAUUACAAGGAUGGAAUAAGUAAGUUUUUUUAAAAAAAAUUUUUUGCAUGCUUGUUAAUGCAUCGAUCGACAUGAUUAAGGUUGAAUUAGUUGGAUCGACAUCAACCUUAGAGCUUGAGUUGAUUUAAAAUAUCACUUAAUUAGAUUGAUUAACGAACAAUCCAAACUUAAAUUAGGGUUCAGAGUUUAUGAUUUGGUUUGGAGAAGAAGUUGGCCAAUUAAGCUAAUGCCCAAAAGACCAAUUUUUAAAAAAAGAAAAAAAAUGCUAUGAAGAUAGGUUUUUUGAAAUUAAAUGAUAUUUGAUUCGUCCCUAGCAGUGGCAGUGGCAAUGGCACCAUUUGAUUCGGGGUUCGAUCCCCGGCAGCGGCGCCAUUUGAUUCGUGCCCAAUUGGUGUCUCAGCUGAUUCGUGUCCAGCUGGUGCUCCUUGAUUGAGGGAGUAAUCAACAAAAUUUAUAACCUAUUACACCAUAUACUAGGGUAGCAAAGACAAAGCUACUAUAGCAUAGUGGCUCUAGGAUCGUCCACUGGGAUGGGUUUUCACUUCACAAUUGAUAUUAAUUCAAAGAUGAAUUGGUGCCUUUUCAUUUCAAGGUUAGCUUUAAAAGAAAACAUAAAUUUGUUUGAAUGAAAAAAAAGUUUGGUUUUAAACUAACCAAAAAUAGUAACUGAUUUUACUUACAAAGAAAAGAUGUUUCUUCGAGUUCAGAUCACUAGGCUCAGGUUCUUCAUAUAAAAAGGAGAGUUCCGGUCACUUGUUUCUUUUCCUCGCAUUAGAGAAUUAACAUAUAGUUCCUUCUCCAACUGGUGUUGUACAGAUGCUUCCAAUUAAUGGGUUCAAACACUAAAUCCCUCUCACUGAUGCAUCUUGCAAUGGCUCAUACCUCUCACCUAGCACUUGCCAUUCAAGAUGAUCUUUCACCUUGGAUUACCCGUCAAAAGCUCGCAAGAGAUAACUAAUGGAUGUCUCCUUGGAGUCCAAAAGCUUACCAAGUGUUGGCUAUUCUAGAAAAUCCUACCUUCAAGUCACCUCCCAAAGGCUCGCAAGGGGUAAACUAGUGCAUCUCCAUGGACGGAGAUCACUUGCCUUACCAAGUGUUGGCCCAGGUGAUUUAAAGGCGUUUUAAGUUAACUAAAAAGAUAAAAACCAUUAACGGGUCACACUUUCUCUUCAUUAAAAACUAAAACAACAAAACUUCCAAUUUAUGCAUGUGGAAACUUACCCGGCUUUCUUCACUCCAAGAAACAAAAAGCUUAGCCUCUCAUCCUCUGAGGAAAAAUCCUCAGAGUUUUGUUGGCUAGAAAUAAAAAGAAAUGAAAAAUGAAAGAGAAGGAAAAACAGAGCAAGGCUCUGUAUAUUCUAUAUAUUGAUCGAUAUGGAUUACAUAUAUGAUGAUUCCCCGAGCGUCUCCUGAGAGUGUUUACAAGAGAGUUUAUAUAGGAAGGUAAUUUAGCCUUCCUUGGAUACUUCCUAGCUAAGGAAUUACAUGAGUGGCUGAAUACAAGGAGAAAAUGGAAAUUAUACAAAAAUAUCUGAAGAAAAGAUCUAAAAGAGUCGGUGCAAAAAUAUCGGGAAGCUCCAGGAACCAUUUCGCAUGAGAAAAAUGGUGUCUGUGAGAUUUCGCAGACACUCAAGAGGGCUGCGAAAUAUUUUCGCAACAACAAGCUAAACUUGCAAGGCUGCGAAGUUGGCUUCCACCUUGAGGUUUCAAGCUUCCUUCUCGCGGUAUAGGUCGGGCAACUUCAGAAGGGAAUCCACAACACUGUACAAAAAGGCUGCGAAAUUCUCGCAACAAAAGGCUGAUUUCGCAACACUUUGUUGAAUCCUUCCUUCAGCUUGGAGCAGUCAUCUUCCAAAGGCUGUAACUUCCUCAUUUCAGCUCCAAAUCAUACACGGUUUGAAGCGUUGGAUUCUUGACUUCCUGAGCUUUGAAAUGGUAUAUAGAAUGUAGAAAAUGGACCUUGGAAAGUGCUCCAAAAGUGCGAAAGAAGACUGUAGCUGCUGUCCUCUGUUUUCUUCACUCUGUUUUUCCUCUCUCCUUGCUUCUCUCCUUGCAUACUUUGAACGACUAAGGCAAAGGGAUAUGGAGCUCAAAAGCUUGGUUUCUUCAUGAAUUUGAGCUUCCAAAAGCUUUGCCAUAACUUGUCCAAGUAGCUCCUCCAUCAUUUGGCAUGCUUGAAUUGAUUCAUAAGCUGAUAAAAACAUGUAAACUUGCCACAAAAUGGUUAAAACCAAUUACUAAUGACCUUAAUGAAUUAAUUGGGUUAAAUGAAUAUGAUUACUACUCAAAGGUGCUUAAAACCAUUAUAAUUAGGUCUACAAAAUAGCACUUUUUGGUAGUAAUCAAUAUUAUCACACACUAUCCUUAAUCCAAAUAGAAUAUUAUUAUAUAACCAAGCUUCAAUCAAUUAAAAGGCAUGCUUUGGAACUCAAUCAUACUAGAAUUAAUGAUUUAUUAAAGUUUCACUUCAUAGGAACACCACACUUUUUAUUAUUACACAUUGCUCUUGCAAACAUAGGAAAAUAAAGCAUUAGUAGAGUUUGAUUCAAAGAAAAAGAACAAGUCCAUCAAGAGAGGCAUUUUUAAUCACUUCCUUUAGGCAGAGCUCUUUGGACCAACGUGACCAAGAAAUCUUUAUAAUUUCCAAGAGCUACAUCUUCAAUCUUCUGGGCUAGAGGAGUUUUAUAUUGCCUAUCAUAUUCCUCAGCAAUGUCUUUCAUAUCAACAUUGGCUCGGGUUACAAUAACUCGAGUUAGGGCUUCUUUUUCAUUCUUGUUUGCAUUAGCUUUCGUUGCUGAAUCUAAAAUCUAAGAUUAAAAAGAAAAAAAAAAGUUCAAGAAAUGCUUUAACAAACAAAAAUAAAAAGAUCAUUUUUGUAAUGUGUAUAGUGAAUUUAUCUCACCUUACUGAAAUACUGUGGAGGAUCACAUAAGCAAUAAAUUGUGUCCUUCAAACUUGAUUCCUCAUCAAGAUCCUAAAUAAAUUAAAUACGGAGGAAUUAUAUUAAAAUGAAUAUUUAUGAAAGCUAAUUCGAGGAAAAAUGACUUCUAAUAAAUAUUAGAAUGAAAAGAAUUGUUCCAAGUAACAUGAGAAUGAGAAUUGUUGUCCUACUUAUUUAUUUAUUUUUUUAAAAAGAGAAUUUAUAAAACAAAAAAUAAUAAAAAUAGAGGAAAAACUACACAAAUAAUGUUCCAUGAUUUGAAAUAAUAUGUUUUUCCGUAUAAUUUGUAUGUUCAUGAUUGUACAUUUUAAACUAUUAGCAAAGUAUAUAUUUCAAUCUAAUUACUUCUUAGAAUGUAUUUGGUAUCUGAAAAUAGGAAUAAAAAUAAAGAUAAAUCAUAAUAUCAUGUAAAAGAGGAAAACCAAAAUUUGAACAAGAUAGAAUUUUGCAUCCACAAGAUUGAAAUUUUACUUUCAUUCCUGUAAUUUAAUAAGUAAUUUGGACUUAGAAAUGAAUAGGAAAUGGAAUGGUUUUUAUUUUAUUUUUUAUUUUUUAUUUAUUUUUCAUUCCCAUUUUCUAUUUUAGUGUUUCAAAUAUUACACAAUUUUUCUUUAAUUUUUUCCAAGUAAAAAAGUGAUAAUAGUAGAGGAAAUGAGACAAUAGGGACAUAUAAGAAAGAGAAAAAAGUGAUAAUAGUAGAGAAAAUGGGACAAUAGGGACAUAUAAGAAAGAGGAAAAAGGAACAUAGGAUAACAAAGAAGGUAACAAAUACUAACUUUAAGUCUAAUGCUAAUUAACUUUCACUUUUUUUUUUCUUUAUUUCUCUUUAUUCAUUUAUUAAUAUAUAAGUAAAGAAUAAAAAGUGCCUUUGAUAUGCAGGAAUUAAAAUAUGAUAGGAAUGUUGGAUCACAUGUAUUAUCUUAAAAAAAAAAAGGGAAAUCAAAAUUUUUUUGGUAAUAAUUUAUUUUUUUACUUCUUAUUUCUAUUUUUGAAAUUAUCCAAAUGUAAUAACGAAUGAAAAAUGGAAUAGAUUUCUCAUCCCCAUUUCAUAUUCUAAUAUUUCAAAUAGGCUCUAAGAAUUAACAAAUAUAAUAUCAUAAUUAUGUUAUACCUCUAUAAUGUUCUUGUUAAAAGUCUCCUGGUAACAUUUGAUGACAGCCAUGAGAUGAAUCUUGCUUCUUGUUGUUAGAAUCCUUACGAUCUCUUCAUCUUUGAUUAGCUGCUUCUUGUCACCAAUACUAAUGGAUUUUUCGAGUUUUUGAGUGUCCAAUUUAAUUGCCCGAUCAUUAGUUUUUGAUCCAUCAUAUCUGUAUGAACUUACAAGUGCUACCAAAAGCUGUUGAUACAAGAAGCAAUUUUUCAUUUCAUUAUUUCGUGUUGAUAAUAAUAUUUGUUGCAUGGUUUCUUUAUGUGGCUAUAAGGUUUUAGUUAUCAUUAGAGAGAAUGUGUUUGAUUAAAGCUCUCCAAAAUCAAAGAUGCAGGAUGGAAAAAACUAUGGAAAGGGUUGGACCAAACUAAAAUGAAAUCUCAACUAUUGAUUUGAUAUUUGAUGAUACUAACAAAUAAUUAUACUAAGAGUGCGUUUGAUAAUGAUUUUAGAAGAUGUUUAUAGCAUUUCUAACACUUAAAUGAUACAAAUUUUAAAGUAUUAAAAAGUUUGGAAACACUUCCUAAAAUCACUAUCAAAUGGGCUUUAAGAGUCUAUUUGACAGUAAUUUUAGGAAGUGUUUUUAACGUAAAAAGUGUUUUUGGAAAAAAAAAAUUGAUGUUUGAAAAAAUUUAUGAAAUAUUUUUAAAGAUUUGAAAAAUCACUUAUAAUGUCUUUUUUUUUUUUUUUUAAGAAACACUUGAUAGAUGAUUCGUCUAAAAACACUUUAAUUAAAAAUACUUUGAGUAAAAACACUACUAAAUGCACUUAAAAAAUGUAUUUGGCAAUGUUUCUAUUUGAAAUACUUUUAAUAGAAGUGUUUUGUUUACAAGUAUUUUUAGGUGAUUUUUUAAUUUUUGAAAAGUAUAUUCUAAAUUUUUCCAAACAGUUGAUUUUUCUUCACAAAUGGUUUAUAUAUAUAUAUAUAUAUAUAUAUAUAUAUAUAUAUAUAUAUAUAUAUAUAUAUAUAAAAUUGCUUUUUAGAAGCACUAUCCAACAGACUCUAAGUUACCUUUCAAAUAUGACCAAGUUACUUUCUAAAUAUGAUGAUCACAUUAAUUCUCGAUUGGUUCCUUAAUAUGACUAUAUAUAUUACCAGUCAUACUAACCUAACCAAGACUGCACCACAUAAAACUCCUUUAUUGAGAAAAGACACAAUUAUAGGACUUUCUAAGAGGCCAACUAAUGGGGUUUUAAGGCUCAAAAUAGGUGGCUUAAACCCAAAAAAAAGUUCCAAACUCCAAUAGUACAAGAGUAGGCUCAAAAGAUUAUUUGCAAUUGCAUAUCCUUAAGCCCAACCAUCAUUUAUGGAAAAAAUAUAUGUUAGAAAGGAAUAUGAAUGCCAUUUUUCUUAAGAAAUAAUUGGUCGAAAUGCUUCAAGAAAUUUAUAAGACAGAAAUGCUCUUCACUUUAUAAAAAAAUUGCAUAAUAUCUCACUAAUCCAGGUCAUUUUUUUUUUCAAAAAUAACAACUAAAAAUAUGAUCAUAUACUUGUACUAACCUGGCGUUCGAUGCCGUCAACUUGGGAAGCAACGUCUUCCUCGAUGGAUUCGCUGUAGAGGGACUGGUAUGCUCUCCUAGCUCCCAAGAGCUCAUCUGAUGAUCGAGUGCAUGCAAGUUCAAUGAGUAGGCCAUAUGCUUGUCUUCCUCUUUUCAAAGCCUUCCUUGCCAUGCGAGCAUCUCUUUCCCAAGGAUGCAUGGUCCAUUGCACCACAGCAUCCUGACCACAAAAAUGUUAAAAAAAACUGAUCAUAUUAUUGCAAAAACCAAUCUUAAGUAAUCUUUAGUCUCCCUAUCUUUUGUACUUCCAUUGUAAUAUUUGUUUUUUUAUAAGAAUUAAUUUUUUUAUGAUAAAUAAUAUAUAAAUAUCUUUAAUUUUAUAUUAACAUAAAUAUCUAAUUUUGUAUUUGAUAUAUAGAUACCUUAAAACGCUUAAAUUCCCUUUUUAGAAAUUUAAGAAGAAUUUCUUCACAUUUCUCAAACGGGAAGCGUUCAUCCUUCAAAAAGAUGCUAGAAGUUUCAUUCCUAAAAGUUGACAAGUGUUCUGGUUGCCAUUUUACUAAGAUCUCCAGCAUUGAUUUCUCGUCAACUCCAAAUAUUCCUGGAAAUGUAAAUCAAGAUUAUUUCAACCUUCUAAUAAAUAUCAAUAAUGAAAGAACAAACAAACAAACUGAAAAAUGUUUGAAUAUGGGAAUUAUGUAACAUUUGCUCUCCCGAUAUGAUAAUGUAUCUAAAUUCAAAAUUGUUAUAUUAAUUUGUAGACUGUAUUCAUUAGCCAGUGGGGAGAAAAAACUAUAGUGUAAAUUACAAAAAAAAAAAAAAAAAAGGUUUCAUAUGGGACAUGAGAUCAUAUGUAAUCAUCCUUACUGUCACAAAUUUUCACUAGAAUUAUUAAGAAAAUAAUAGAUGAAUGAGUAGAAAGUAUAUUGUAAAAGAAGGCAGUUGUUUGUGAUUUAGAAAAAAACAAAGUUAAGAGAGAAGGAGAAAUUACCAGAGUGAGAAACAGAGAAAGACUUUGCAACAGCAUCUGACAAAGACAUAAUUGUUUUCCCUUCUUUGUUUGUUUGUUUUUUCCUUCUUUUGAUGGAGGCAACAAGAAUGGUGUCCUUCUUUACCUCCAUCAUGGCAUUAAUUUUAUAAGUAAGCUAAAGGGGUAUAUAGGGUAAGCAGGACCAUGAGACUAAAAGAUGGAAUGACUUGUGGGAGGGGGGAAAGGUCUUAAUUGUAUGUAGUCAUUAUAGUGUACUUGCAUUCAUUUAUGGGAUUCUUAAGUUAUUUUUGAAGUUUUAUCCACUUUUAAGACUUGAAUCUUUUUAAUUUGAAUUUGAGCCAGACUUGAGGGUGGUUUUAGCUUAUAAAAAAAUGUUAAAAAUAUUAGGGCUCCUUUGAAGUGAAUUUGACAAGGAGGCUUUUGGUCUAUAGCAUUUUUUUUAAUAGUACUUCUAGCUACUACACUUAUUUUUAUAGAGAAUUAUUUAGUGUCUAUGUAAAUUAAAAAACAAUAAUUUUUAUAGUAUGUUCAAUAAUAUCGAUUUUUAGAAGAAGCAUUUAUCGAUAGUACUAAUUAAGAAUCAUUUCAAGUGAUUCUUCAAAAAUUUUAGAAUAGAUAAUAAAGGAUUUUUAUUCCCCAACAACAAUGGAAAUACUAUGUAUUGCUAAUUUAGAUUAUGAAAUAGCAAGAGAAAUUUUGACACUCAUAAAUGUUGACUUCUCUAAAUGCAUUCAUGAAAGUUAAAGUUUAGAAUAGACAAUAUUUAUAUAUAGAAUUCUCAAAUUAGAAGGAUAAUUUUUUUAUAUAUAAUUAUUAAAAAAUAGAAAAUAUAUGCAUAAGAUAACAAUGAGAUAUAUACUCCAACAGAGAAUCUUGUAAAGAGGUUUCAAAAUUUUGAAUUAUUUGUUUAUUAAAGGAGCUCCUUACGAGAAAUAUUCAAAAGAGGUUCCAAAUUUUAAGACUUUUAACAUGUUCAAUGAAAUCUAUAUUUAUGCCAAACUUGCUCUUGGAGAAGGGCACAUUAUCUAGCUUGGUUAAUUAGAAGUGAUAAGAAGUUCCAAAGUUUAGAAUUCUUCUCAUAUUAUAGAAACCAUAUUUUAUUUUAUUUUAUAAUUUCUUCAAGAAACAUUUCCAUCGAUAGGUGUAAGAAGGUAUUUGGCAUAAGUGUCUUUGCACCACUUUUUUUUUUUUUUUUAAAAAAUAAAGAUUUGAGAAAAAUGUAAGUGUAUUGUUUACAUGUAAUCAUUUUUUUGACAUAAAAAAGUAGAACAACCUUCAAAAUUAAGUAAUUUCAUUAUCAAAACAUUGAUGAAACUAUUGUAGAUUCCAUUUAAGGGACUAAAGGUUUAGAGUAUUUUUGGAACAUUGAAAUAGAAAUUAAGAAUGAAAAUUCAUUUUAUUUUCUAUUUACUACUGUAUAAAUAAGAGUAUAGGAAUAAAAUACUUGUUCUCACUGAAACUAAAAUCCAUUCUAGCCAGGAUUUUAAUUCCCUUUAUUCUACAUAGUAUUUUAAUUUUUAUUUAUCCCCAUUCUUAUUCCCAUUCCUAUGUAACUAACUUACCCUUACUUUUCUUAAAUAGUAAGAGAAGGUUGAUUUUUUAAAAAAUUAUUCUCAUUUCAAAGUAAAUUGGCUAACUACUCUUUGUUUCUUGGCUAGGAGGAAAUAAAUCUUUUGAGUUACAUAUUAUGUAUCCUUAGCCAUUUUUCUUCCUUGUGAAGCAACUAUAUAACUUUGACAAAGACUUCGAUUCAAUGGUGAAGAAAAGAAAUGUGCUUCUAUGUUCAUGAAAAAGGAUACCCACUUGUGCCUCUCUUUGUCUCUAUCUUUGUCUCUCUCUCUACUAAAAUGAAUAAAGUAGAUCUAAUACAAUUACAAUGGAUGACAUUGAGGAUUCACAUAAGAAUGACGUAUUGGCAUAAUGAUCAAAGAACAAAAUAAAGUUAGUAAUCUGUAAAUAUGAAAAAGAAGCAACAAAUUAUGAGAGUCAUCUACACUUCAACUUUAACUGCAUAUUUUGCUUUAGAUAAGAUAUGUGGGUCCUUAAAUGAUCUUUCAAGUUAAAUGAAACAUCGCUUUCAACAUUAGACAAAAAAACAAAAAGAAGAAAAAAACUAAAGAAAAAAACACAAUUUUUAUGCUUAUUAUUUAUAUUUCUUAGUUAAUAUAACAUAAUGGUUAGGCAAUUUUUAGUAAAUACAUGAUAAAAUAUAAUCAAAUUAGCUAGAAUAUUAAAUUCAUCUUUUGAUAAUUUGAUUUUUAGGUAGGUAAAUGUUUCGGUGGUUAAAUUAUUAUUAAAUUAUUAUUAUUAUUAUUAUUAUUAUUAUUAUUAUUAUUUUAUAAAGAUUAGGCAAAAAAAAUUCUUAUUAUGGGUUAUGUCACACCCAAAAAUUCGAGAACAUGACUUAAUCUAUACUUAAGAUCCUACCAUGAUUCCACACUUCAAAUUAUGAUUAAGAAGAAGAAAUAAUCACGUUCAUGUACAUAAACCACUAGAUGUAAAAUAGACAAUUUUACAUCUCAUCACAUUGAACAUCAAAUGGGAGAGCUUGAGAAUAACAUAGAAUAGAGCUCAAGUAAUAAUUAACUUGUCACACACCAAAGUUUAAUCCAUGGUACAUCAUGAUAAUAUAAAUAAGUACUUUGGAUCUGAUGCCCAAAGACAUGUCUAUGCCUCCUAUCACAUCCACAUGGGAUCUUCUUAAGUUAGCUUUCACCUGUUUUAGAAUCCCAAUGUCCUCUCCUUUAAGGCUUUCACCCUCACCUUUGCCACCAUUAAUUAAAGAGCAGGAACCUACCUUUAUUGGUACUAACAACCAAUGGUUUCCAACAUCUCCAAGGCAAAACCUUUAUCAAUUCCAAAAAUUCAAACCUUCAUAACCAAAGAGAUACCUACCUAUUUGGUUCCUCAAGGAACCAUCCCUGAUCAAGGUUUAAGUAGUAGCCCUACAACAAACCAUGAACUGACAAGUGUAGCUUUGCAUUAAUCCAUUAUAGUAUGCUUGAGCUCUACAACGGUUACAUGCAUGAAAUAUGUUAAAACAAUGCAUACUUAAUGGAUAUCCAUGAAACCAAAUUUUGGAAAGGUAACCAACGGAUGCUUAAUCUUAAAAACAGAAGCUACCCUACCAAUGGUGAAAAUCACCAAAAAUCAGUGACUAAAGUAGUUUCUUUUUCCCGUGAUUCAAUUGAUUUAGGUGCUGCAGGUAAGCAAAUUCAUGGAGAAGAAAAUGCAAUGGAGAAAGAUGAGGAGUGUUGGUGAGCUAAAUUAUCUAGUUUAAUUCAAGUUUAAAAUUUUGUUUCCAAACAUUACCAGAUCCACUCUACAUACUUCACUGAGACUAUAUUGGUCAUUGAAGAUUGAGUUCAUCAAUUUAUGUAUGCUGUAUACAGUUGAGUACGAAAUGAAAGUGGUUAGUAAGCUUAAUGGUAAAUAAAGAGGCAUAGGAUGGUUUUAUGGAAAAAGUGGGCUAAAACACUGCCAAGUUGUGAAAACAUUUCAUGGAGUGCUCAAGAACCCAAGGUGCUCAACUGCCCUUGAUAAGCGCUUAAGCACUCAAGCCAUUUUUUUUAUAAUAAAUUUGUGGUAAAAAAAAAAAAGAUUCCUUUGUCAUAACAAAUUGUUAGGAUUUUGUUAUAUAGAUAUGCCUUCUAGAGUUUAAAAAAGCUUCAUGUGCCCUAAUAUGAUAUAUAUAUUUUGCAUCCUUAUCCAGUUUUCUUUUUUGUCAAGCACCCAUAUAACUUUGACAAAGACUUUGAUUCAAUGGCAUGAAGAAAAGAUAUGUGCUCCUAUGUUCAUGGAAAAUGACUCACUUGUACCUCUCUCUCUCCUAAAGUUAAUAAAGUAGAUCUAAUAUGAUUAUAAUGGAUUACGUUGAUUCACAUAAGAAUGACAUAUUGGCAUAAUGAUAAAAAAAAGAAAAGAAAUAAAGUUACAAAUCUAUAAUUAUGAAAAAAAAGCAACAAAUUGUGAGAAUCAUGUUACACCUAAAAUUUAAGUACACAUUUUGCUUUAGAUUAGAUAGAUAUGUGGGUCCUUAAAUGAUCUUCCAGGUUAAAUGAAAUAUCACUUUCAACAAAAAAUAAAUAAAAAUAAAAAUAAAAAAAUAAAUAAAAGAAAAAGAAAAAAAAAACUAAAGAAAAAACCACAAUUUUUAUGAUUAUUAUUAAAUUUCUUAGUUAAUAUAAUAUAUUGGUUGGGGAAUUUUUAAGUAAAUAUAUGACAAGAUUGGUUGAAAUAUUAGAUUGACCUUUUGAUAGGAAAAUUGACAAAAUUGAUUGAAUAGCAAGUGGAAAAAAAUUUCCCUAACCAAUAUGUUAUACUAACUAAGAAAUAUAACAUAGACAUGGACAUGGCAUUCUAUUAGCUCGAAAUGGCAUGUACAUAAUUAUUGCCACCAAAAGGUGGUUGCCCUCUACUUUGGAUAUAGAGGACAUGUGGAAAGCAAAUUUUGUGCUUGGAGUUAAGAUCAUAAGGGUUCACUCAAGAACACUUCUUGGUUUGUUUCAAGAGACUUACAUUAAGAAAAUUUUAGACCAGUUUUGGAUGCAAAAUUGCAAACCUAUUGACACACCUAUUGAGAAAAGUUACACCUCGAGUCUUGAUCAAUGCCCUAAGAAUGAUAAGAAAAGGAAAUAACUGGCAAGAGUUCUUUAUACGAGUGCAAUUGGAAGCUUGAUAUAUGCUCUGUUGUGUACUCGACUUGACAUAUGUUUUGUAAUUGGAUUGGUUAGUCAUUACCAAAGUAACCUAGGCCCUGUUCAAUGGCGAGCAACUAAGAAGAUUUUUCGUUACCUCAAAGGGACUAGAGAUUUUGUCCUCUGCUAUCAAAAUGGGGACUUGGAGAUUAAGAAGACACUAUAAUGCAGAUUGGACUAGUGAUAGAGAUUAAUGCAAAUCCACUAUAAGAUAUGCUUUCUUACUCAAUGACACUAUUAUUACUUGUCGUAGUAAGAAACAACCCUACAUUGCUUUAUCCACCAUGGAGUCAUAAUAUGUCACUUGUUUAGUGACUAUAUUGGAGGUUGUUUGGUUGGGGAGAUUAUUCCAAAACCUAAAAGUCAUGGAUUUAGCCAAAGAGCCUAUCACUAUUUUUAGUGAUAACAUAGCUGCUUUAGCAUAUAGUUAGGAUUUGUGAAGCUUGGUUGAAGCUUCAAGUAUAGUGAAUACCUCACUCGGUUAGGAGUUUAAGGAGAGUGAACGUAGGCAAGGGGUGCCAAACCACUAUAAAAUCUGAGUUUGCUUUCUCUAACUUUAUCUCUCUAUAUUUGUGCUUCUUUUGCUUGAAUUUAUUGUGCUUGAAAAAGAAUUUUUAAAACCCAAUUUACCCCCCUCUUGGGUGUUUUCUUUAUGAAGACUAGCCUUUCUUUUCUCAAUAUGUAUUUAAUUUUUGGACUCCUACCUAAGUUGAUAGAUAAAAGUCAAAUGUGAAGUUAUUCCACAAAUUCAUAUAGCAUGAACAAAGCCAAAUGUGAGACCUUAGGUAGGUGCUUGAUAAACAAUUGUGCUAAGAAACUCAAGUUAGGCACUUAGGGAGACGACUAGGCUAAGAUUCCUAUGACAUCGGAGAGUGACACACUCACUCUUAUGGGAGCUCCAUCUUGACAUAAAUAUCAUAAUACUAUAUGUGCUAUCUACAACUAUAAGAGAGAGUUGUUAGAUGGAUCCCUGCUCCAACAUUGUGUGAACUCUUAUAGACUAGUUACUAUAAAGUUUACUCUAUACCCUUGAACCUAGGACUAUGUCAUGCAGCAAGGGUAAAAUGUCACUACUUUAACAUGUAAUCCAAGGGUCAUGAAUGAUACGGUCGAAUGGAAUAUGUUAGGAAAAUAGUCAAACCUAAAUGAAUUGACUUAAGUGGUUGGGGAAGAUUGCUAAUAACACACCACUAUUUGUAGCUCAUAUAUCAACUUUGUGUUGGGGAAAUUAAUGGUCCAACCUUGAUCAUCCCCAACAGUAAACUCAGUUGCCAUGGCCACAGCGGGAAGAACAAUUGCGAAGACUGCAAGGGCAAUAUUCAACAGUUUAGACGCCAUUGCAGCUGAUUAAAGUUGAGGAGUACUGUAAUUCAUUGGUUUCUUGGAUUGUUGAUGUUCAUCCUAGGCUCUAAAGGGUCUAUUUAUAGUUAAUGUUUAGAUCAGAAUAUUGUUGAAAGCGUCUAAAACAUGAAGAACGGGAUGGGUCUGCAGGCCACAAAGCGUUGCCGCGGAAAAAGCUUUGGUUAGUACGCAAUUAUUCCAUGAGUAAUUAAUAUUAUUGUAUGACAAUUGUAAACCCAUAAUUCUCAUGGCCGUUUUCUUCGGUCCAGACAUACACACUCGAGCAUUGAAUGGUCAAUGUUUAGCUUUAAAAGCACAAAUUGAAGUUCCCUGGAAAAGUGAAUCUUGGGGCCGGCUUUGUGGCUAGGUGGACAUGCACAACGACAAAGUGCUGUUGUGCCAAGCCCAACUCAAUUUUCAUCACCUUAGCCUAAGUUGAUGCAUGGGUUUUGGUAUUGGGCUUGUGGUAACCCUAAGGUCCAACCUAUCAGGGUUGAGGAGCGUUUUUUUGUUCUUAGCUCCGUUUUUUGUGCCCAUUAUCAUGGGCUACAGCUGGCCCUGUCUUUGGCCUAAUAUAUCAGUUCGAGUACAAGUACAUUACAGGGCAAUAGUACAGAAGAGUUUCCACCAGUCCUCUUUCUAGGGUUUUAAUCUUCAUCAUUCUCUUGCAAUCUCCGUCUUAUUAUUUUUUUCAUGCUUAAUUGUAAGCUUAUAUUCUUGAUCACGGUAUUACCUAGCAUUUUGGUAACAAUCAGGAAUAUUCACUCACACAUGGAAAAUCACCUAUAGAGAUUGUCUCAACGCUAAACAUAUGGAAAACUAGUCAAUUGACUGCUGUAAAAUUUCACUAAAUAUAAAAUACUAGUCCACAAUUUUAUAAAAUUGACUGGUGUGGAAUAUAUUUUAUUAUUAUUAUAAAAAUUAGUUUAAUUAAAUUGUUUCAUUUUUUUUUUCUUUUUGAACAUUUGCAAAAUACAAAUGUAAGUUUUUCUUUUCACAAAAAUAAAUUAUAAAAAUUUAUAAUUUGAUAUCAUCCCUACCUAAUAGUCCUUAGGACGGUAUGUGGACUUAGCUAAGAGAAAUAGGUUUGAACUUAUAACCUUUGAUAAAAUAAUAUAUUUUGAUAUCAUAUUAAAUUUGUCAAUUAAAGCUUUGUUAGGUACAAGGAUUAAAAUAUCAAAAAAUAUAGAAAUAUUGAUGGCUGAAUUUGACGAAAAUAUCGGAUGAAAAUAUGAAUAAAAAAUAUUAGUAGAAUAGAAGUAAAUAAAAACUUAUAGAAAUAUCAAUAAAACUACAAGAAAUGAUAAAACAGCUAAUAAUCCACUAAUGAAAGUUAUUUUUACAAGACUAUAUUACCAAUAUUGAACUUUAGAUAAUGAUAUAUAAUACUUGAAAACACAUUUAAUAUUAAAUAAAUUAUUUAUCUAGUUUAUACAUAUUUAAAGACAUAAAAGAAAUGAUGACAUUUAACAUUAUUUUUGUUUAAAAAUAUUUAUCAUUUUAUUUAUAAUUUUAUGCUUCAUUUAUAUUUGAUAAUUAUAAUGAGAUAGAAAAAAAUUGUUAAAAGGAUUUUUCAAAUUUUAUAUUUUAAAUAAUCAACUUAUUCAAAUUUAAAAAUAAUUAAAAUUAGUUUAUUUACUAAAUUAAACUUAUUAGAAUUUAAUUUUAAUUUUAGUUACCUUAUUGGUUAGGUGAAACAACAUUAUAUAUAGAAUUUUGGGUCAAGUCAGCCUUUAAUCCAAAUAAAAUAUUAGCUUAAUUUGAGCUUCUUUUGAAAGUAUUGUUCGAAUUAGUAGUUUUGGUUUUGUUUUGUUUUUGUUUUUUUGUUUUUUAAUUUCCAUGAAACUACAAUUUGAAAGUAAGGUUUCAAUAUAAAUUUAUAGCCACAAUUUUAAUACUAAAACCAUAUUUUGAAACCACAUUUUCAAAAUGCAAUUUUAAUAUUUUUUAUUUUUUAAAAUAGAAGAUAAAUGAUGAAAGAGAAAGAGGUCGUUUUGAACAAAAAUUUCAAAUGAGGGCCAAAAUGCAUAUUUGUUUGCCCAAUGGGGUUGUUUUUAACCCAAACUCUUAUAUAUUUAUACAUACUCAAGUUGUGUGUACUUUUUUCGCCGCUUCUAGGCAUUACUAAUACAAUCUCUCAUUUACCUAUAAAUAUAAAAAAAAAUCUAUACAUACUCAAGGAUGAAAAUAUCAAUAAAUAUAGAUAUAUUGAUGCUUGAAUCUUACAGAUAUAUUGAAAAUUACAUCAGUAGAUAUUUUGACAAAAAUAUCAGUGGACCGAAAAUUGUUCAAAAUUCAUAAAAAUGCUUGGAAAAACUUCAAAAAAUGAUAAAAUAAACAAGAAUACACAUGUUAAAGUUAUUUUGUAAGUGUAAUUGACAUAGGUAUGUAUUAUUAUUAUUUUUAAUUAACUUAUUUAUUUAUUAUUGUUUUAUUGCUUUCUAUUUGUGUAUAUCAAUUGGGGAAUUGGUGGAACUCCUACAUAAAAAUCAUUUUUCAAAAACCUUCUUUUGAUCAACUUAUUCAAUUUAUUGCACACCUGAAAAUAAAAUUUGAUUUGACCUAUUUAUGAUGUUUUUUAAAAAAAAUUUAGUGAUUGUAUGAUAUUUUACACAUCUUGAAUAUGAAUUUAGAACUUUGUUUGAAUUAAAAGCAAUUCUAAAAUAGAAGAUAUAAAUGAGUCUUUUAGGGAUUCUGUUUUCACUCGAUUUUGGAAAUUCAAAAUAUUUUUUUUAAAAUAAAUUAUUAGGCGACCUUGUAAUUUUUAUUUGAUUCUAAACUUCUUGAAAUUGACUUUAGACACAAAAUAUUGAAAAUAGUUUCCCUAAUCAAAAGAUUUUUUUUUUUUUCUUGCUGCAUUCAUUGUAUUGCCUUAAUUUUGAACAGAGGAGUUGUUUGAUUGUUUUUAAAAUUAAUUCAUGUGCCUUCUGAUUAUAUUGUCUUUAUUUUUCUUGUAAAGUAGACAUUCUGAACAUUAUGAUUUUGUGGCACUUCUAUGUUAGUUUAAAAAAUUAGUUUAUGAAUAUUAUUGAAUUUUGUUUUGGUUUGGACCUUUAGAGAUGUUUCUAUAAACUGGAAUCAAUCGAAGCUUUACUAAAUUGCUUGGCUUUUUGGUUGAUAAUCUAGACAUAUAGAAGAGGCCUCCGAAAAUUUUUGUAAUUAAAAUCCACUUCUAGAAAUUUUUUUAGGAUUUAUUCUUUAAAGGUUCUUAUUGUGAUCACAUGUUGGGAUUUCUAUACAAUGUUUAACUUACCUUUUAACUUGGAGUUAAUUGAUAUGUCUUUACUUGAUCUUGGCUUUGGUAUUGUAAUAUAAACAUAAUGAGGAUGCCAUAUGAUUCCUUUUAUGUUGAAAUGAUGUCUCUAGAUAUUUGUUUAGGAUUUUUCAAGUGAAUGCAACUGUUUUGCCCAUUUACGGCAUGUUUUUGUCUUAGUUACUAACUUUGAUACUUAUGGCUACCUAGAGUAUUAGUUUAAAUUUAAUAAUGAGCUUAUAUGUAUGUCCUAGGUGAUAGAUGAUAUUCUUUUGGAAUCUUGCUUUUUUUAGCUAUACAAAUGUUAUAUAUAUUAGUGUUUUUUUUAUCAUAGUUAUUUAUUAUCAUAAAUUGUUCUAACCCUAUUUCAUCACAUGUAAGCACACUAUAAGUUAUGCAUACUAUCCAAGUAUGUCUCUCACACCUUUUAUCCAUAUAAUUAUGCAAAUAUGCAAACUUUGAGCGUGCAAAUUCAGAUAUAUGUUGUUGCUUUGUAUGUUUUGUUUGUUACUUGAUUAUUUGAAUGGGAUGAAAUGCAUGGUGUAUGCUAUAUUUAUUAAACUAACUUCAAUAUUUUCAUGAAAGCGCUCUGGGAUGUAGCUCAAGUAUGCCAAUCCCUUCUUCCUACAUGAGUGUUUCUUGUGGUAUGAUUGUUUGGUUAUGAAUAUUAUGUUGUUUACUCUUAAGCUUUAUCACCUUUGCUUCAUUUGCAAUCUCAAUCAAGCAAUUAAUUGUCAUCAUUCCCUCAACCUAGCUAAUAGAGACCUUUUUAGGGUUUAGAGGGGUGCUACACUUUAAGGUAUCUUCCUAAUAGGUAACUUGAUUCCUAGACCUAGAUUCGGGUUUUUCAAAGACACGUUUUUUCAAAAGUUUAAGGAGUCCUUUUUUCUUAGGGUUUUAGUUUCUUAUUUUAUUUUUCCUUAAAUAAAAUAAUAAAAAUAAGUGGCGACUCCAGUUUUUUAUAAAAUACAAUUUUUCACUCAACAAAAACGAGUCUUGCCGAUUGAGUGGGGAUGCAUGUGAAAAAUAUGGGUCCACAGUAUGGUUGAUGAUGAAAUUAUUAGUAAAUACAGAUAUAUCGAUAUUUGGAUUUUAAGGAUACAAAAUAUGAAUUUUGGAAGUGCACACUUAGAAUUAGGAUAAGAAAUAUUUGGUUUCAUUCAAUGAGAACAAUUUAUACAUAUUAUAUGGGAAUAGUGCUUUAGUGCCAAAAUGAAUAUCGUUGUGGUUUAAUCGCAUUGUUAGACAAAGGGAUCCCAUUUUGUUGAAAGGAUUGAUAGUAUUGAUUGUAAGUUUGAACAUGUCAUGCAUAAAUUUAUGAUACUAAUCUAUUUAAUUCAAAUGUAUUUAAUGAUGUAAAAUAAAUUAUGAUACAUGUAUGAUUUUUUUUAAUAUUUAUAUUAUUUAUAUUUAAUUAUCAUAUAAAUGAUAUAAAAAAAGACUUACUAAGAAAAAUAUAAUGAUGGUUGGUAAUCAAUUAAAAUAAAUUGAUUAGAAUUAAUUUAUAUAUUAUUCUCUUAAUAUUAAAAUUAUAAUUUAUUUAAUAUAGUAAUGUUUGUUUAUAUACAACAAAGUGCGACGUUGGCCCAACGGCUGCCAAGGGUUCAAUUUGAACUUUUUAACUUGGGUUCAAGUUGGCCAAGUAAGAUAGCAAGAGGAGCAUGAAAAUAUUGAUAGAAAAAUGGGGAAAUUUUUGAAAAUAUCGUCGAUAUAUCGGCUGAUGAUAAUCAGUGAUCGAUUUCAUAUUUACCCCUCUUUUUUGCCCAUGUGCAUACUUGAUGGUUAAAGUGCCCAUGACUCCAUUCCUACCUUUUUAAAACACCUUAAUUCCUUGCUUAGUGCCCCACCAAUUGAAAAGUCUAUGAUAAAAUUGUUGGUCAGUCUUUCCUUAUCAUAUUUGGUAUUUGUGGAGCUCGAUACCUAAUAUUGUAGCAAAUCCCAUUGAAACUUUAAUCCUUGUUUAGAUCAUGAUGGUCACUAUUAUAUAUUAAGCUAGGCUGCAAAGUUAGAAUGCCAUAUUUGACAUUUCAUCACAUAAUGAAACUUUAUUGUUGCACAUGAAUUUGAUUCAUAAAAUAUUCCAUUAAAAAAAAGUUUAGGAUCACUUUAGUCAAUCAUAAAGCCAUAGAUGUUCAUUAUCAACCAUGGAAACUCAGGUGGAGCCGUUGAUUAAAAGUUUGACAUUGAUUGCUUCUUGCUAAAUGUUCUAGGACUCCCAAUAUAAUCAGCCCAGGUUAAGGUCAUGUAAAUUGAGUUUGAAUUGGGACUUUUGUUGUUCCACUUUCCUGUUGUGUAAGAAUGGCCUAGUGUCCAAGCUGGUCAGAAUAACUUCUUCAAGGGACUUCAAUUUGUGGUACUUUCGAAAUUAAACGUAAUCAUUAUUUAAUUUAUACCUAAAACACACUAGUGAUUGUUGGGGUGAUGAUAGAACAAACCUAUAGUAAUUCAAAAGAAGAAACAAGAAAAAUUCGAAUGGAAGUAAAAAGAGCUUCGCUUGUUUAGAGGCUUGCAAAUUGCAACGUCCUAAAGAUAGAAUUUUGGCACCCUGUUCUUGAUUACAAUAGUAAAUGAUGUAUGUCUUUCAAGAUACAACUCUUAAAUGAUUUAAAGAGGGUAAUCUCCUAUUUAUAUCCUUUCAAACCAAGUGUUGUGUCCCCUCUAAAGGUUGUGUCUCCUUCAUUAGACAUGUUCUUUUCAUUCACCAAUUUACUAUGACAUGUGAGUCAUUAGUGCUCUUGACAUACACACAUUUUUCACACUCAUUUAUCUUGAAACCAUUAGAAGCAUGGUGUGAUCAAAUUUUUCAUGCCAUUGUUUGGGUGCUUGCUUUAACCCAUAAAGGGACUUGAUAAGUCUACAAACUUUCUUUUCUUGUUCCUUUACUACAAACCCUUUAGGUUGUUCCAUAUAAAUUUCUUCAUCUAAAUCUCCAUUUAGAAAGGUUAUCUUGACAUCCAUUUGAUGAAUUUCAAAAUUAUGGAUGGCAGUUGUAGCAAUUAACAUCCUAAUGGAUGUAAUUCUUGUUACAGGAGAGUAAGUGUCAAAGAAAUCUAAACCCUCCUUUUGUCGAUAUCCUUUAGCUACUAAAUGUGCUUUGUACUUGUCAAUAGUACCAUUAGUUUGUAGCUUUCUUUUAAAUAUCCAUUUGCAACCAAUUGGUUUAUUUCCCGGAGGAAGAUUAACCAAUUCCCAAGUAUGAUUUUGCAUAAUGGAAUUUAUUUCAUCAUUUACUGCUUCUUGCCAAUAAGGAGCUUCUGGUGUUGACAUAGCUUCUUUAUAUGUUUGAGGUUCCACUUAUGUCAAGAGGAUGAUAAAAUCAGGUCCAAAAGACGUGCUAGUUCUAGCUCUUUUACUUCUCCUAGGUUCAACAUCAUCCCUUUGUUCAUGUUGAGUUCUAAGCAAGCUAUCAUCAAUUUUUAUUUUAAUGAUUUCAUUGUGUCUUUCUUUGAAAGGAAAUAUCUCUUCAAAGAAUUCAACAUCUAUGGAUUCCAUGAUGAUAUUAUUAAUAUCAGGAACUUUAGAUUUUAUCACUAGGAAUCGAUAUGCUAAACUAUUUGAAGCAUAUCCAAUGAAGACACAAUCAAUUAUCUUUAGUCCGAGUUUUGUCCAUUUAGGUAACGGAACUUGCACCUUUGCAAGACACCCCCACACUUUCAACUUUUUAUAGGAAGGUAGUUUUCCUUUCCAUAACUCAUAAGGAGACUUUGAUGUUUUCUUAUGAGGUAUUCUAUUUAAAAUGGUAUUAGCAGUAAGUAAUGCUUCCCCUCACAUGUAGUGUGAUAACCCCGAACUAUUUAACAUAGAAUUAACCAUGUCCUUAAGUGUUCGGUUAUUUCUUUCAACAAUACUGUUUUAUAAUGGUGUAAAUGGUGCUGUAGUUUGAUGCACUAUACCAUGUAAUGCACAAAAUUCAGAGAGAGUUGUAGACUCAUACUCUCCUCCUCUAUCGGACCUUAACAUUUUCAAAGUCUUAUUCUCUUGAUUUUCAACGUCAUUCUUGUAUGUCUUAACGACAUCAAUGGUUUCAUCUUUGCUAUGUAACAAAUAAACAUAGCAAAAUUUGCUAUAGUCAUCAAUAAAAGUUAUAAAAUAUUUUAUGCCACCUCUAGUUUGAUUCAUUUUCAAAUCACAAAGAUCACUAUGAACUAAUUCAAGUAGUUCACCAGAUCUUUCAAUUGAUUUAAAUGGCUUCCUUGCAAACUUUGAUUCAACACAUAUUUCACACUUUUGUGUUUCAUUAAUAUCAAAUUUAGGCAAUAAACCUAAGUUUGACAUCUUAUACAUGGAACGAUAAUUAACAUGUCCCAACCGAGAAUGCCAUAAUUCACAAGAUUCAACAAUGUAAGCAGAAGACAUAAAGCUUUUAUUGAUAGUUGAAGCAAUUACAUUGUCAUUGAAUACAUUGAUUUUGAACAAGCCCUCACUCAUGUAUCCCUUUCCUAUAAAGGCUCCACCCUUAGUCAGCACAAGUUUGUCACUCUCAAAUACAAGUUUAAAUCCCUUCUUACUAAGAAGAGAAGUAGAUACAAGGUUCUUCCUAAUUUCAGGUACAAAGAGGACAUCCAUCAAGGUGAGUUUCUUCCCUGAAGUGAGAUUCAUAACCACAUCACCCUUGCCUUCCACCAUAGAUGAAGAAGCAUUUCCCAUGUAGAGUUUUUCUCCACUUUAAAUCUUCUAGAAAUUCACAAAGGAAUUUCUAUAACCACAAAUGUGUCUAGUGGCUCUAGAAUCAAUCCACCAAUCCUUAGAGUUCAUCACAACAUUUGACUCUAGGAUUACAACAACAAAAUUUUCAGAUUCUACCAUGUUUGCUUAACUGGCUUUUCUCUCUCUUUCAGGUUUUUUCCCAUCAUUUUUGUGCCAACAAUCCUUGGCAUGAUGGUUGGAUUUUCCACAAACCCAACAAGCCCCUUUGAUCUUCUUAUUAUCAGGCUUGUUGUUAGUAGGUUUCUUCCUCUUUCCAUUGUUGAAGGGAAGUUUUCUCUUCUUGGAGCACUCUUCUUCCAUAAUAUGGGCCUUGGCUUCCAUGAAUGACUUGCCAACAAAUUUGUCAUUCUUUCUGUUGUCUUCUUCAAUCCUAAGCCUUACUAUCAAAUCCUCUAUUGACAAUUCCUUGCGUUUAUGUUUCAGAUAGUUCUUAAAGUCCUUCCAUGAAGGAGGCAACUUUUCAAUGAUGGAAGCAACUUUUCAAUGAUUGAAGCAACUUGAAAUGCUUCAUUGAUCAUCAUUCCCUCAACAUGCAUUUUAUUGAUGAGGAUUUGAAGUUCUUCAACUUGAUUAAUAAGAGUAAUAGAAUCAAUCAUUUUGAAAUCUAAAAAGUUACCAACAAUGAAUUUCUUUGUUCCAGCAUCUUCAGUCUUGUACUUCUUCUCAAGUGCCUCUUACAACCCUCUUGUUGUAGUGAAUGAAAAGUAGACAUUGUAGAAGGAGUCAACCAGACCAUUGAGAAUGCAGUUUCUACAUAAGAAGUCUGAAUGCUUCCAGGCCUCUAUAACAUUGAAUGUCUCCUUUGUUAGUUGUUCUAGUGCUUUGGGGCAUUCCUCCUUUAGGACAUGAACAAGGUUGAGGGUGGUGAGAUAAAAGGGCAUAUUUUGUUGCCAUCUUUUAAAGUCAUCUCCAUUGAAUUUCUUUGGUUUUUCAUGGUGUGUUCCUGCCUUAAUGGGAAUAGGAACUUCAGUGUUUGGUAAGAUAGAGUCUAACUUCAAUGUUUGUUCCAUGAUCACUAAACAAAAUUCUAUCUUUAUAUUGUUGGAGUGACGAUGGAACAAACAUGUACUAAUUCAAAAGAAGAAACAAGAAAAAUUCAAAUGGAAAUAAAAAAAGAUUCAUUUGUUUAGAGGCUUGCAAAUUGCAAUGUCCUAAAGACAGAAUUUUGGCACCCUAUUCUUGAUUGCAACAGUAAAUGGUGUUUGUCUUUCAGGAUACAACUUUUAAAUGAUAUAAAGAGGGCAAUCUCCUAUUUAUAUCCUUGCAAACCAAGUGUUGUGUCCCCUCUAAAGGUUGUGUCUCCUUCACUAGACAUGUUCUUUUCAUUCACCAAUUUUCCAAUAGUGAUUGCUCAAAGAAAUUAUCAUUCAAUAAUUGUGUAUAUAUGUGUAGGCCAAAGGAAACCGCCAAAACAUACAUGUUUUUAUAAUUGUCAUACAACAUUAGGCAUGGCAUGAUUGCGUACCAACCAAAGUUUUCAAGGACAACACCUCAUGGCCGGCCAUCUAGCCUGUUCCUCUUUUUUUCUUUAAGGCUUUCUAUGAGAUUUUGUAGGUCAAAACAUUUUGCUAUAAAUAGACUUUUAAUUUAGACUCCAAGAUGAAAAUCACCGGUUCAAGUAAUCAUUGAAGCUGAUCUUUAGAAGAAACUUGGUAACUACUCAACUUUAAUAAGCUCCAAUGGCUUCUAAGCGGUUUGUUGGCGCCAUAGCAAUCUUGGCAUUUGUUCUUGCAGCUGUGGCCAUGGCAACAGAGUUUGCUGUUGGAGAUGACCAAGGAUGGACCAUCAAUUUCGACUAUGAAGCCUGGGCCAAGGACAAAGUAUUUCAUGUUGGAGAUGAACUAGGUAAUGUAGCUCAAGCCUUAAGCUAAGCUAGGAUUUCAUGUUCCUUUUAUCACUUCCUUUGAUUGAAGCUGCUAAAAGUAUUACGGUCGAUUCUCAUACAUGGAGUCUUCAAUUACACGACGGGAUGGCAUAAUGUCUUCAAAGUGAAUGGUACGGCCUUCACAAACUGCACUAUACCACCAACAAAUGAAGCUCUUUCCACUGGAAAUGAAGUAAUUACACUAGCCGCCGAUGGAAGGAAGUGAUACAUUUGUGGUGUAAACGACCAUUGUGCCAACUAUGGACAGAAGCUUGCCAUCACUGUAUUGGAAGAGUAGGCAUCUCCUGCACCGGCCCCCUCCACUCCCAUAACACGAGCACCCAACUCUGCUCAUGGGAUCUCUGGGUCCGGGUAUCAUCUUCUGAUGGCAGCCAUGGUUGCUAUUGCUUUCCUAGCUGUUUGGCCUGUUUUUACUCCAGAAGAACCUUAGAUCACCUAGUCUUAAGAAAUUUAUUUUGUUUUAUGGUUUUUUUAUUCAAUUAUUUUUUGUAUGGGUGAAAGAAAAUGGUAUGUUGGAAAUAUGAAAGAUGGAAGAAAGAAAUGAAGAUGAAUCUGUUGAGAAAUGAAAUUUAGUCACAAUCUCACAUUUUAUAAUGCUAUUAUUUCGAAAUAUAUAUGCUUACUUGAGUUUCAAAUUUUGUGUCUUUAACUUGAACAUGCCGGUAUACAAUUCAAAUUUGUGUCUUGAACUAGUAAUCUUUAGAGCAAAAUUACCAACCUAAACUAAUACAUUAGUAUUAAUAAUUAGCAUAAAUUACAAAAACCACUCAUGUAAUUCACUCGUAUGACAUGCCGGUUUUUUUUUAAAAUUUUUUUUUUAAGGUAAUGUCAACCUUAAAAUAUGCUCAAAUGUCAAAUAAGUUUUUCUAUUAAUUUUUUAAAUAAAAAAAAUGGAUGGAGAAACCCCUAUGACAAGCAGUAUACAAAUUAAACAUAUCCAAACAUAUCAUUUACAACUCAUGUCAAUGUUUAUAUGCUUGUCACAUGGGUUUCUUCAUCCAUUUUUUUUUUUAUCAAAAAUCUUUAAGUAAAGAGCUUAUUUGAUAUUUAAGCAUAGUUUAAGAGUGAUUUUCAUUACAAAACAAAAUUUAGGGGUUAAAUUGAAAUAUGGGUAAAAGUAUAAGGGUGGUUUUAUAAUUUACAAUAAUAAUUACUCAAGAUUGCUAUUUUAUAAGACUUUAUACGUUGUGUUCUAAGAAAUUGUGAGUGGUAUUCACGUUUCUUUUAUUGUAUUAGAGUCAAGUGCCUAGUUUUUCCUAAGCUUUUGCAGUGUUUUGUAUAUUUGUGUGUAGGAAUGAAGUCAGAGGGAAAGCGUGUGUUGAAAAGUAUUGUUUAAAGCACAAAAUGAUCCACAUAUGAAGAUUUACUCACCUCACUUGGUGAGUUUAGGCAGCAAAUGGACCACAUUCAAUGUAGCAGACUCACCUAAACUACACCUAGGGUAGAGUAGGGGUGGGGUAAAGUACCCCAACACCUAUUAUGUUUCCUUAGAAUUUCUCAAAACCUAUAUUUUUUUCUUCAAAUAAUUUUCAACAAUAAAUAAAAAUCAUAUAAAUACAAGUCACAUGCAAAUGCUUCAAUACUCUCCAACACAAAUUUAUCAAAACAAAUUCCUUCAUAUAUUUCCAAUUACUUGAUAUCUUUAUCAAAUUGAGCAUAAAAUUAUUUAAGAAUAUCCAAAAGAUAAUUACACCAAUUUCAACUCAUAUUUCAUACAUUCAACAUACAUGCUCAAGUAAUAUAUGAUAUCAAUAAUUGGAAAUAAAUCAAAAAGUACAAUGAGAGAAAGAGAGACAAUGACACCAAAUUUUAGGUGGAAAAUCUCUUAAGAAAUAAAACUCCACGGGUAUGCAAGUGAUCGAAAAUAUUCACUAUGAAAAAUAAAAACUAAAUAGUACAAGGUUUUAUCUAACUCAAGCCUACCAAUCAUUUCUGAACCAAUUAAUUAAUACCUUUCUAUUUUAACUUCACACCUUCUUUCGAAACAUACUUGAAGUCCACACCAUACUCAAUAUUGGCAUCUUCUUGAAUCCACACAAGAAGAAAAUGAGUUUUUGGAAGUAUUAAGUAGUAGAUUUGAAAGUCCUAUUUAUUUAUUCUCGAUGAAUAACAAGUAUGAAGCCAAAUUUCAAUUCAUGACUUCUAAUUUCAUAUCAGCCUAAAAUUUUGAAUUUUCCUAGUUUAUCAUAGAUUUGAUUUAUUUAUUUAUUUUAAAUAUUAUUAAAAUACGACCGUUUGCAAAAUAUUAAGACUUUUUCAAUAAAAAUUAUCACUUGAAACCCAUCUCUUAAAAAAAAUGAAUUUAAUUUAAAUUACUAAGCAUGUGACCAUUGAUUUUGUAUUUUUUUUCUACAUAAAAAAUAAAAAAUAAAAUCUUUUUUUAUAAAAAAACUCAUAACAUGGAUUUCAUCAAGCACAAAAUUACUAUAGUUUUAGAAAUGUUUUUUUUCUUUUUCUUUUUUAAUUUUUUUUAUCAGAGAAUGAUAUUUAAAAAAAUAAAAACCAUGGUACUUGUGCAGAAUGAUCUUUCAAGUUAAAUGAUUUACUGUGAAGCAGGCAAAGCAUUGCACGACCAGAAUUUCUAAGUGCCUGCCUGUGUCUUGUCUAUCAUUUUUUUUAUUGAAACAUAUGCUAAUAAAUUUGCAUGUAGACAUUAUAAAAAUACUGGUGUUUGACUCUUGUUCUUAAUUUCCUGAUGUAGGUAGAGAUGUCGAGGAGGCAUACAUUCAAAGGACUCUACUGGUCUCAAAUAUGUAUUGAAACUGCAUUAUCAAAAUCCAAUUUCCUUUUUUUAACAAGAACAAUAAAAAGUAAAGGAUGAAAGAGAAAGAGAAAGAAAUUAUUUUGAACAAAAGUUUAAAAAGAAAAGCUAAAAUGCACAUUAGUUUGGUGAAAAAGGUUGUUUAUAACCCCAAAAAGGUUGAAAAAUUGGUGAUGAAAUCAUUGGACUUUCUUGCCUUGUCGUAUUUGUAUUGAAAGAAUCUGAUACCCGAUGUUUCAAGGCAUUACAUUAAAACUUUAAUCCUUGGUUAGAUCAUGAUGUCCAAUACUAUAUACUAAGCUAGGGUACAAAGUUACAAUGUCAUAUUUAGCAUUUCAUCACAUAAUGAAGCUUCAAAAUAUUUUUCCACAUGAAUUUGAUUCAUAAAAUUUUCCAUUUAAAAAAAGUCGUAGAUGCUCAUUAUCAACCAUGGAAACUCAGGUGGAGUCAUUGAUUAAAAGUUCGAUAUUGCUAGCUUGCUAAAUGUUCUAAGAGACUCCCAAUAUAAUCAGCUCAGGUUAAGGUCACGUAAAUUGAGUUUGAAUUGGGACUUUUGUUGUUUCACUUUCUAGUUGUGUAAGUAUGGCCUAGUGUCCAAGCCGGCCAGAAUAACUUCUUCAAGAGACUUCCAUUUGUACUACUUUCAAAGUUAAUCACUAUUUAAUUCAUACCUAAAACACACUAGUGAUUGCUCAAAGAAAUUAUGAUUCAAUAUUUGUGUAUAUAUGUCUAGGCCAAAGGAAACCAUCAAAAGAAAUAUGUUUUUAUAAUUGUCAUACAACAUUAGGCAUGGCAUAACUACGUACCAACCAAAGGUUUCUCCGACAACACCUAUCAGCAUGUAACAAAGAUCUGUUAUCCGAUCUUUAUUCAAAUUCAAAUAUUUCUUUGUAUAUAGCAGAGUAGUUGAGUCUUCCUUAAGACUAGGACUUCCUCCUAUAUCUAGGAGUGAUCUUGUUAUUCCUUUGUGUAUAUGUACUCUAUUUCGGUUAAUGAAAAUUAGCGGAAAAAUCAUAAUUGAUUCUCAUCUCAACAUGGUAUCAGAGCCCAUAUUGAUUCCUCCCCAUUAAUUUUUUUUUUCUUCUCUUCUUUCCUCUAUUGUUUCCCUCUUACUCUCUUGCUAUCAAACACCACAAUGACAACACCACACUCCAUCAACAUCACCUCUGCUGCUAGUCCUCCAAACACUGAAAUUCCUCUUAUCACCAUCAACAUAUCAACUCAAGCACCACUCAAACCCACCUCCACAAAUUACCUAUCCUAGAAGCUGCAAUUUGAAACUCUAUUCAUUGGAUAUGACCUCAUUGGGUAUAUCGAUGGAUCCAAACCAUGUCCUCCCACCACCAUCACAACAAACAACACUGCCACAACCAAUCAUUCUCACAAACUUUGGAUUCGUCAAGAUCAGCUGUUGCUAAAUGCCUUAAUUGGCUCUCUUUCCCCUACUAUCAUUCCCUUCAUUGCCCAAGCCAAGACUGCCAAAGAAGCAUGGACCAUCCUUGCCAAUACCUAUGCCAAACCCUCACGUGGUCGCAUCAAACAAGUCAAAACCAAACUUAAGAAUCCAACAAAAGGCAGCCAGAAUGUAACCGAGUAUCUUCAUUUUGUCAAAACUUGUGCUGAUGAACUAGCCAUCCUAGGUGUACCACUAGAUCCUGAAGACCUCACCGACAAGAUCCUCGAUCGCUUAGGCGAUGACUACAAGGAACUGGUCUGUGCAGUACAAGCUCGUGACACUUCCAUCACAUUUGAUGAGCUCCAUGAGAAGCUACUCUCCUUUGAAGCCUCUGCACCUGCAAUCACAAGUUCAGAAACUUCAAUUCCAAUUACUGCCAAUCUGAUUACUACUCAAAAAGCGCUAUUUCAUAACUUGUAAUUAACUCUUUUAAACACUUUUGAGUAGUAGUUAUCACCUUUUAACCCAAUUAACAUAUUAAGGACCCUUGCAAUCAAUUCUAAUCAAAUUGUGUUAAGUUUUGGUGUUUUGAUAGCUUUUUUAUCACCAAAGCAAUCCGAGAUUGAGGAGAGUUCUUUGGAAUCCAUGGCAAAAGAUGUCCGGAUAGGGCGUCUGGACACACCAUCAGAGGGCGGCAGAACGUGGGCUGUGGCAGGCUAUCAGAAUGACGUAGCAAGGCUUGUGCACUUUAGUCAAUGAUCCAGACAACAUAUUCGAAUAGGAUAUGCUAUCGUCCUGGGUGUGAUGAUCGCGAGUGCCAUGUGCUUCUCCCUGAGGGAGUCCGGAUAGGGGAGCGCACCACAUAUUCUCUUAGAGAAUCCGGAUGGAGUUGCUCCCGAUAGCGAUGUGCGCUCUGUGUCAUCAGGGGGAGGGGUCCCUACACCUUGCACACGCAGACGGCCCCCUUGCGACGUGUGGCAUCGUACAUUCCACCCGGAUGACUCACAUCCGGAAUUCUGCUCCGCCGACAUUCCACCUGAAUGUCUCACAUCUGGAAUUCUUCUCCGCCGACAUUCCAUCUGGAUAUUUCGCAUCCGGCGCCUGACGCCGGAUGGGAGAAGAAGGCGUUUCAACUUCCCCGGUCAGACAUAUCCGGAUCCUCUGAAAGCGCUUACCCGGAGAGUUUCGCAGCCAUUUUGCACAGUGUCGUGGUGUUCUCCUAAAGCUUCCCGAUAUGUGCGACCAAAAUUUUGAGAUAUUUUGCUUUAGAUAUUUGAUGUCUAAAUCCCCAAAAUCUCCUUAUAACCCACCUAUCAUAGGAUUCCUUAGUCUUUAAGUAAGAACAAAGGGUGAAUAACCUCUUAUAUAUAGUUUGUAAUUUCCUUUACAAGAUAAUGAUAUAAUCGGAUCUCGGAAGCUUGUUCUUAGAGACAACCUUUUGUAUAAAUAAGAAAUAUAUUUUGUAGAGCACUUGCUCUGUUUUUCCUAUAUAUAUUUUUGUUCUCUUGUUAUUUUUCUUUCUAGCCAAUCAAACUCUAAGGAUUUUUCCUCAGAGGAUGAGAGGCUAGGCUCUUCGUCUCUUGGAGUGAAGAAAUCCGGGUAAGUUUCCUCAUGCAUAAAUUGGAAUUUUUGUUGUUUUAGUUUUUAAUGAAGAGAAAGUGUGACCCGUUAAUGGUUUUUAUCUUUUUAGUUAACUUAAAACGCCUUUAAAUCACCCGGGCCAACACUUGGUAAGGCAAGUGAUCUCCGUCUAUUGAGAUACACUAGUUUAUCUCUUGCGAGCCUUUGGGAGGUGGUUUGAAGGUAGGAUUUUCUAGAAUAGCCAACACUUGGUAAGCUUUUGGACUCUAAGGAGACAUCCAUUAGUUAUCUCUUGCGAGCUUUUGACGGGUAAUCCAAGGUUAAAGAUCACCUUGAAUGGCAAGUGCUAGGUGAGAGGUAUGAGCCAUUGCAAGAUGCAUCAGUGAGAGGGAUUUAGUGUUUAAACCCAUUAAAGGGAAGCAUCUGUACCACACUGGUUCGGGAAAUAACUAUAUGUUAAAUCUCCAAUGCGAGGAAAAGAAACAAGUGACAGGAACUUCCUUUUUGUAUGAGGAACCUGAGCCUAGUGAUCUGAAACUCCAAGAAACACUUUUCUUUGUAAGUAAAAUCAGUUACUAUUUUUGGUUAGUUUAAAACCAAACCUUUUUCCACCAAAGAUUAUGUUUUCUUUUAAAGCUAACCUUGAAAUGAAAAGGCACCAAUUCAACUUUGAAUUAAUAUCAAUUGUGAAGUGAAAACCCAUCCCAGUGAACGAUCCUAGAGCCACUAUGCUAUAGUAGCUUUGUCUUUGCUAUCCUAGUUCAUGGUGUAAUAGGUUAUAAAUUUUGUUGAUUACUCCCUCAAUCAAGGAGCACCAGCUGGACAUGAAUCAGCUGAUACACCAAGUAGGCACGAAUCACAAUCCAACAAACAAAACAAACCACCAAUGGUGCCCAAACAAACCAAAUAAUUGGCAUAUCCCCUCUCCCUCACAUGCACCUAUUGGCAACCAGAAUUGGCGUCCACCAACACCCAAUAAUGGUCGUCCACCAAUUAACUUAGAUCAACGCUUCCAAAAUCGUAGCAACCGUCCUCCAUCUAGACCUUAUCAAGGCUUCUAUCAGAUUUGUGGCAUCCAAGGACAUACAACCAAGAGAUCUCCCUCAUUUCAAGUGCUUCCCAUUCAAUCCUCUACCAUUGCACCCUCAUCCUCCAACAACUCAACUGCUCCUUUGCAGCCAUGAGUUAACUUUGCUGCGAAUAGCACAUCACCAAACCCGAGCUGGUUACUCGACAGUGGCGCCUCUCAUCAUGUCACAACUGAUCUAAACAAUCUGUCCCUUCACUCACAUUACAACGGAAUAGAUGAUGUUAUGAUCGGGGAUGGUACAGGUCUCUCCAUGACACACACGGGCUCCACUACUCUCUCCUCUCCACAAUCAACUUUCACUUUAUCUGAUGUUCUUUGUGUCCCAACCAUGAAAAAAAACUUAAUUUCCAUUUCUCAGUUUUGCAUCACUAACAAUGCAUCAGUUGAAUUCUUACUAUCUUCUUUUUUUGUGAAGGAUCUUCGCUUGGGGGUAAUUCUAUUCCAGGGCAGUACUAAGAAUGGAGUGUAUGAAUGGACGACUCCCAAAAACCCGAUUCUAGCAUUCUCUACAGCCAAAACAACAUCUAUCAACUAGCAUCAUUGUUUAGGACAUCCAACUCUUCCAAUCUUACAACAUAUUCUUUCUAAUUCUUGUUUAGAAUCAUCUUCCUUUAUGCCAAAAGAUUUCUCAUGUACUGCAUGCCUCUGCAAUAAAAGUCACAAAUUACCUUUUUCUACUUCAUCACUUGUGUCUACACACCCUCUUCAAAUUAUUUUUUAUGAUGUUUGGACCUCUCCCAUUAUGUCUUCCACUGGUUUUAAAUAUUAUGUCAUAUUUUUCGAUCACUUUACAAAAUAUAUCUGGUUUUAUCCCCUCAAACGAAAAUCAGAUAUUCACGAAGUGUUUAGACGCUAUAAAACCAUUGUUGAAAAUUACUUCAACCACAAAGUCGUCACUUUAUAUUAUGACAAUGGGGGAGAAUAUUUGGGCCUCAAAGAUUACCUUUAUACCGUUGGUAUAUCUCAUCUAACUAGUCCACCUCAUACACCCGAACACAAUGGCUACUUUGAAAGAAGACACCGUCACAUUGUCAAAAUUGGCCUCACCUUACUCUCCCAUGCCUCCUUACCUCUCACCUUUUGGCCUCAUGCAUUCAAUACUGCUGUAUACUUAAUUAAUAGGAUGCCCACCCCUACUCUCAACCCCUCCACUCCCUUUGAAUUAAUUUUCAAAACAAAACCAAAUUAUGCUAAACUCAAAAUCUUCGAAUGCUUAUGUUAUUCAUGGCUUCGUCCUUAUUCAUCCCACAAACUAGCCCCCAAGUCCACACUCUGUGUCUUUCUUGGUUACUCUUUGUCCCAAAGUGCCUAUCUCUAUUUUGAACCAACCACCUCUAAAACAUAUAUCUCUCGUCAUGUCUAAUUUGUUGAAUCCAUAUUUCCUUACACCACACUCAACAUUCAGCAACCAUGUCUUACCACCAACAGUUUCUAAUUGGAUUCCACCAGUUAUCACCAUUCCCAUUCCUCCUCCAACACAACCGCCUUCUUACACUCCAAAAGUACAAGCUCCAAACUUGGCCCCUGUUGCAAAUCACAUCUCAAACACGUUUCUACCACCCCCAUCAACCAGGACCUACACUACAACCAGAACCUGCCUCACAACAAGUCUCUACACCAGCUCCUCACCAUUCCAUGACUACCCGCGCCAAAAACCAUAUCACCAAACCUAUCCAAAAACUCAAUCUCGACACACACCUAGCCUCUUCCCCCAGUUCCGAACCCACACCUGUUGCUCAAGCCCUCAAAGACUCAAACUGGCGCAACGCUAUGUCCGAAGAGUAUGAUGCCCUUGUUCCCAAUGGGACUUGGGAACUUGUUUCUCCAACCGGCAUCACCAACCUUGUAGGUUGUAAGUGGGUGUUUCACAUUAAAAGAAACUCUGACGAUUCUAUUGAUAGGUUUAAAGCUUGCCUUGUAGCCAAAGGCUUUCAUCAAAGACCAGGUGUGGACUAUCUUGAAACAUUCAGUCCAGUAAUCAAGCCAACUACUGUGAGAUUUGUGCUUAGUAUUGCCGUAAGCAAUGGCUGGUCUCUUUGCCAAUUAGAUGUAAACAAUGCCUUUCUCUAAGGUACUCUAUCAAAAACAGUAUAUAUGGCACAACCUCCUGGCUUCAUUGACACUGAUAAACCCACCCAUGUAUGCAAGCUUCACAAAGCCAUUUAUGGUCUCAAACAGGCUCCUCGGGCCUGGUAUCAUGAAUUGUGCCAAUUUCUUGUAGAUUCUGGGUUCAAGAACUCUCACUCUGACACUUCUCUGUUUAUUCUACAUACUGGAACCAACCUCCUCUAUCUGUUGGUAUACGUUGACGACAUUAUAAUCACUGGGAAUAGUAACGAUCUUGUAUCCCAAGUUGUUGAGUGUCUAGCUCAACAUUUUUCUCUCAAAGAUCUGGGCCCUCUAUCAUAUUUUCUUGGUGUAGAAGUUGUUCCUUAUUGUCAUGGCCUCUUACUCUCACAAAGGUAAUAUAUAAAGGAUCUGCUCACUAGAACUAAUAUGCAAGCUACCAAACCAGUUCAUACACCUUUACCAACCAACUCGUCCUCCAUCAAGUUAUCAUCUGGAUCGCCUCUCUUUGACCCCACGGAAUACAGAAUUGUAGUGGGCAGCCUUCAAUACUUGUCUCUCACUCGUCCGGACAUUUCAUUUGCUAUUAACGAAAUGUCUCAGUUCAUGCAUCAACCAACAGAUGAACAUUAGACUCUAGUUAAACGAAUUUUACGUUACCUCAAUGGCACCGUAAAUGAUGACCUUCUUCUUCAUCGCACCUCACCGCUAUCCCUUCAUGCUUUCUCUGACUCGAUUCAUACCUUCCUCGAUGCUGACUGGGUAGGUAACAAGGAUGACUACUCUUCAACUGGUGCUUACCUUGUUUACUUAGGCAACAAUCUCAUUUCCUAGAGCUCUGAGAAGUAGAAAACUGUGGCUCGUUCUUCUAUUGAGGUAGAAUAUCGCUCAGUUGCUGCUACUACUGCUGAACUCUGCUGGGUUUGCUCUUUGCUCUCUAAACUUUGCAUCAAUCUGGCCAGCCCCCCAGUUGUCUACUACGACAAUGUCAGUGCAACACAGUUAAGUUCAAAUCUGGUCUUCCAUUCUCAAAUGAAGCAUGUGGCAGUUGAUUAUCACUUCCUCCGUGACCAAGUUCAAUCUAGUGCUCUUUACGUGGCUCAUGUUUCAUCUACAGACCAACUUGUUGAUCUUCUAGCCAAACCUCUGCCUCAUUCUCAAUUCUAGAAAUUACGAGUCAAGAUUGGCCUCGUUCCACGUGGCCUAUCUUGAGGGGGCAUAUCAGCAUCUAACAAAGAUAUGUUAUCCGAUCUUUAUUCAAAUUCAAAUAUUUCUUUGUAUAUAGCAGAGUAGUUGAGUCUUCCUUAAGACUAAGACUUCCUCUUGCAUAUAGGAGUGAUCUUGUUAUUCCUCUGUGUAUAUGUACUCUAUUUUGGUUAAUGAAAAUCAGUAGAAAAAUCAUAAUUGAUUCUCAUCUCGACAACAUCCUCUGACCAGCUGACCCAACCUGUUCAUGUUGUUUUUAAGGUUUUCAAUGAAAUUCUGUUGGUCAAAACAUUUAGCUAUAAAUAGACCCUUAAUUUAGACCCAAAGAUGAAAAUCACCUGUUCAAGUAACCAUUGAAGCUGAACAUUAGAAGAAACUUGGUGACUACUCAACUUCAAUAAGCUCCAAUGGCUUCUAAGUGGUUUGUUGGCGCCAUGGCAAUCUUGGCAUUUGUUCUUCCUGUUGUGGCCAUGGCAACUGAAUUUACUGUUGGAGAUGACCAAAGAUGGACCAUUAAUUUCGACUAUGAAGCUUGGGCUAAGGAGAAAAUAUUUCAUGUUGGAGAUAAACUAGGUAAUGUAGGUCAAGCCUUAAGCUAUGAUUUCAUGUUCCUUUUUAUCACUUCCUUUUAUUCCAGCUGCUAAAAGUAUUAUGGUCAAUUCUCAUACAUGCAGUCUUCAAAUACAUAGCGAGAUGGCACAAUGUCUUCAAAGUGAAUGGUACGACCUUCACGAACUGCACUAUACCACAAGAAAAUGAACCUAUUACCACUGGAAAUGAUGCAAUUACACUAGCCGCGCCUAGAAGGAAGUGGUACAUAUGUGGUGUAAACGACAAUUGCGCAAACUAUGGACAGAAGCUUGUCAUCACUGUAUUGGAAGAGUCGAUGUCUCCUGCGCCGGCCCUCUCCAACCCCACAGCACCAGCACCCAACUCUACUCAUGGGAUCUCUAGGUCCGGUUAUCAACUUCUGAUGGCAGCCAUGGUUGCUCUUGCCUUCCUAGCUAUUUGAUGAUCUGUUUUUAUUCCAGGAGUACCUUUGAUCAUCUAGUUUUCAAGAAUUUUCUUUUGGUUUAUGGUUUUUUCAUUCAAUUAUUUUUUAUAUGAUUGAAAGAAAAUGGUAUCUUCGAAAUAUGAAAUAUGGAAAAGAGAAAUGAGGAUGAAUACCUGUUGUGACAGUCUUACAAAUUUAUUUAUUUAUUUAUUUUAAAGUUUAUUGAUGUUUUUAUACCUUGCUGUUUUAUUUUUAUUUAAUCAAUAUAAUAUAAAGUUAAUGUUGUAGUAUGAAGAAAUAAUGUGAGCCUAUAUAUAGAAGCCUUUAGAUUAUUGAAGAAUGAUGAGUUAUACUUUCAUAGACCACUCAAAGAAUGAGAGGAUAUUUUUAAUUUGCUUUCCACUUAUAGAGACUUAUGCUUUGUUUGGAUUAUGAAAAUAAUUAGGAAAUAAUUUUUUUUUUAAAAAAAAGCAGAAAUCUCACAUUCUCUUAUUAGGUUUAAUGUAAGAAAAUUAGAAAGAAAAUCAAAUUCAAUAAAAUUUAUUUGAUUUCAAAUCCUUCACUAUCAGAUGAACUUCCUCCCUUAGUUUGGUGUGAUAAAAAAAGUGCAGCUACCCUAGCUGCCAAUCCGAUCUUCCAUGCCCGCUCAAAACACAUUGAUAUAGAUCUUCAUUUUAUUCUUGAUAAAGUCCUUCAUAAAACCCUUAAUAUGUAUAUUCCCUCAUCUGGUCAGGUCGCCGAUAUCUUCACCAAGCAUCUUCCAAGCUUACAGUUCUCCACCUUUUAUAUCAAACUCUCCAUUGUCCCAUGCCAUAUAACUGAACAACAUAACAUUACUAGGAGUAGUAACUGAACAUCAAGACUUGCAACAACAAGAACAGACUACCAGAAGCAGCAACCGCACCUUAAGACCUACAACAAUAUGAACAGACUAUUGUUAAUGAUUAGUUAGACUGUUAUCAAGAACUACUAAAGCAACAACUACAGUUAGACGGAUUUGUAUAUAUAUAUAUAUAUAUAUGUAGUAGGCUUUAGAACAAAGUAAUCAAUAAUAAAUAUCCCUAUGAUUGUUUUUUUGCUAAAACAAAAAAAUCACUCCCUGGUAACUCGUAGCCUACUAUGAAUAGUGGCAAUGAUUGUCGAGGGUGGCCCUAGAGGUGGAAGGAGUCUCUCUUUGUUAUCUUAUUCUUCUUCUUGCAAAUUCCCUUCUUAUCCAUGAACUCCGUUAACUUCCCACUUUUUACAAACUCUUUUAUAUGUCGUUUUGGACUUCAAUACUUGUCGGUCCGAUUCCCUUGAUCCUCAUCGUAGUCGCAAUACUUAUGAGGCUUGCACUCCCCCACUAUGACCGAAAAGGGUUUGGAUGGUCAAAAUCCUUUCAAUGACUUAAUCUCUUAGAGGAUGUGUUACUAGGACACUUUUUACAGCAUAUAGUUGGGUUUGGAACGAUUUUCUAGAUGAAAGUUAAUAUUUUCUCGAGUUCGCUUCUUCUCUUCUCUUUCAAUUUGAGACACAUCUUUCCUAUUACUUCCCGACUAGUUACGAAUUUGACAGAAUGAUGCUUCAAUAAGGAGGGCACCACAGGAGGUAGCUUUCUUUAUCAUUGAGACUUCAGGUCUUCUCUGGCAUGGCCUGUUUCCUUGCUUUAGCAAAUAAUCCCUACAUGGUUGUCCGUGUUGAAUUAGAGAGUGAGUUAAUGAGGUUUGAACUCUUUGGAAGUCCUUUGAAAGCCAUCAUCACUGCUUGCGUGAUGCAUCACCAAACUUGAGAUAUUUCAAUGUUAAAUCACUGCAAAUAUGCAUGCCUUUAUUAACUCUCCUACACAUUUUGCUUCCAACCCUUUUUCCUAUCAAAUAGAGUGAAUAUAGUAUGCUAUAAACACAACUUCCAAAGCUCAAGAUUAAUUCGGACAAGCGUUGAUGGAACCAUAAUAAUGUUGGUACCGUCAGACAUAAGGGGAAGACUUUGCAUAAUAAGUGGUGGUUAUGUACCAUCAUUUGGCAUAAAUGCAUUAGAUACUUGUGGGGAUCACUAGUACUGCUAAACAUGUUGAACUUCGAGAGAACAAACUCAUUGUUGUAGCCUCCUCUUGGAGAAUGUCAUGAGUAAAUGGUGUUAAAACAAUCUCUCACAAGACAUGAAGACGAUGAGCUUUACAUUACUUUCUUGUAUCAAUAGUGGAGUCUUAUUUGGUCCACCCUAGUUGCCUAUUAAGGCCUUCCUCUAAGACAACAAGGUCAUGUACCUUAGAUAAUGUUUUGAUCACUUAGAAUCAACAAAUCCCUUCUUGAUCAUUUUCUCUUUAAUGUUACUUUUUUUUUUCUUUCUUUGUUUUUUUUUUUUUUUUUUUUUUUUUUUUUUUNNNNNNNNNNNNNNNNNNNNNNNNNNNNNNNNNNNNNNNNNNNNNNNNNNNNNNNNNNNNNNNNNNNNNNNNNNNNNNNNNNNNNNNNNNNNNNNNNNNNUUUUUUUUAAAGGUAACUUUUUUUUUUUUUUUUUGGUUUUUUUUUUUUUUUUUUUUUUUUUUUUUUUUUUUUUUUUUUUUUUUUUUUUUUUGCAUGUAACCCUUUGAAUUUCACAUUUUCUUGAGCUAACACCCUUGUUUCUUUUCACUAGCUCCUCUAUUCUUGGCAAGGUUUCCUUGUUUUCUUUCCUCAUCCUCUUUUCCAUUGUGGUUAUCUACUCUUAGAGUUGUAGGAAAGCUGAAAGGUCCUCAUGCAGUCACUUGCCACUUGAGUAAGUUUGCAUUAUGACUAUCAUUUAGGUUUUUCUACCAUUUACCAUAGACAACAUCAAUGUGUUUCACCCUCUUUAAAAUGUAGCAACUCUAUCCUUGAAUAUGACCUAUCUUUGUGAUAUAGAAGAAGAUAGAGUGGGGAUUUGAUUGACCCUCUUUGAUGGUCAAGUUAGUCCUCGAUCAUUAAUAAAAGGACAAACAAAUAGGAAUAGAGUAUAUGAGGGAAAAAAGACUAGGAUAAUUUAUGUGUACCCUAUCUUGGUCUAGCCUUAGGGUUUUAUACUACCUUAGUUUAGGCAUUAAUUUUAGAAAGUGUUAUGAUAAAACCCUUAAAAACAUGACAUGAUAUAAUAAUAAUAAUAAUGGAAUUAUUAUUCAUUAAUAAGAUUCCAAUUUCCUCAAUUUAUUUGUCCUAUCAAUGCAUUAUACUAUUAAAGCAUUUAAUUCUGAUAUCUUUUGCAUUGUACAUGAUUUAGGUGUAUUAGGAGUUGUACAAAAGAUCCAAGUCAUAAGUUUUUUGUAAGUAUUUAAUUUUUCAUAGCUAAUUCAUGAAUUUAGACAAUUUAUUUGAGGUUGUAAUGUGCUAGCUCCUCAUUAAGAGGAUAACUUGUCCUGGUUAUCGAGAUGAGUUUCCUAUGGUGAGUGUACUAGUGUGUAUGGUAAGUUAUGACAUUAACUAUCAAGUAGUUAUGAGCUCUUAGCCUUGAGAGGACACUAAGCUUGUGUUAAAGUCAUUAAUGACUUUGACUUAUAGGUGAGACCUUAAAGUGGUCAAAUAUUUCUCAUGAAUUAGGUCAUUGUUAAUGAAGAUUGGUGGCAAAAGGUAUAGUCAAGAUAGGCACCAUGACAUCUCAUGGGUUUGAGAAAACAUGUCCAUUUGGGUGAUCCUAAGGACAUGUGAUCAAGAAAUAUAUAGUUGUAGUAAUUCCUUAAUUGGAAUUUGAUAUAUGUUCUUUGUGAGUUAGAGUAUGCUAGUUGAUAACAUAAUAGGAAGAUUUAAGAGUACUUAAAGAUUGUAAAGACAAUUUUGAGAGUGUGAUAGCAUAUACCUAAUUAGAUUAUAAACACCAAUUCAUGGGGAACCUACAUAUGAUGAAUAGUAGAUCACAUACUUGAGUUCUUGUAUCUUAUUGUAAUAUCAUAAGAUACUAGAGUGUAGUUGACUCUCUGUAAUGAGAUUUUGAGUUAACUUCAAAUUUGGAUUCUAAGGAAGCCAAUAAUUUUUCUAUGGGUCCUAGUAGUCUUUGCUCAAAUUCGUAUUUCUUGAUAGCAUGUUUACUGAGGGUUAUUUGGAUUCUUUAUUCAUGUGUAUAUAAGAGCCUUUUAGUUAAUGUGCAAGGUUGCACAAGAGCUUAUGAACGGUCUCUAUGGAUUGGGUUAAUUGAUUAAUUGAAGCUUAAUAAGGUUAAUUAAUCAAUUAGUUACUUAAUAGAUUAAGGACCUAAGCCCAAGAUGGGCUCAAGUCGUUUAAGCUCACUAGAAGCUCUCUUAGGGGUUUAGGGUUUUACUCUUGCCAUUACUAUCUUCCCAUUCACGUUAGAGAGGAGAGCCUUAGGCUUCGCUUGAUAACUAUUUUUAAAAAUAAUGUUCUAUUCUUUAGGCAAAAAGAAGGAAAAUAUGUUUGAAAACCAAAAAACAAAAAAUAUGAUAUUUUUAGAGAUCAUCUUUUAGUUAUUUUCAAUUGUUUUCUAAGGGUUAUUUUAAAAAGUAUUUAUACAAAUAUGAAGAAUGAUUAAAAAUAAAAUACUAUGAAUAAAAGUUAAUUUCAAGAUAUAGAAAAUAGAUUAAUAACAUUUCAAGAUCUAAAACAAAUUUUUGUACUACAAAACAUCAAUGAAUAAUUUUUAAAAAUUGUUUUUUAGAACUAUUUUGAAAGCAUUUCCCCAACAGAGCCUUAGCCACCACCCCUCUGUGAGGCUACUACCACCUCAAGUUCUAGGAACCAAGGAAAAGCUAGCAAUCAAAUGGAAGAUCUCUCAGUUUAUGAGACUCUUUCAUUGAUUGGAAAUGAUUUGGCAACAUCCAUAUCUCAGUUAAUGCACUAUGAAGUUGUUGAUCUAAGGUUUUAAUAUGCAUAUGCUUCCGCUUGUUAGAUUUAGGGUCUUACAAUGUUUUUGCAUACACCCAUUUUGAUACAUAUGCCAUGUGUCACUUGAUUUGAACGACCCACAUGUAUAUAGCUAUGCUUCUACUAAAGAUGGUAUAGUUGCUAAUACAUCAGGCUGACAUACAAAUUUCUUUUAAAUUUUUUCAUUAAAAUCCUUAAUUAAUUUUUUUAAAUUUAUAUGCCUCAAAUUUAAAAGCUUUUGCAUUACAUGCCUCAAAUUUCUUUUAAAUUUUUUCGGACGUUGAAACUAAUUAAAGUAGUAUUGCUUCCAAUUUUGCAUUUGACGUGCCGUUACAUAAUUAAUUUCCAUUCAAAUUUUCUGUAACAUGCGUGAUCUAACCAUGACAUGUUUUUAAGAAUAAAACGCAUAUCUGAGUCAUGGAUCAUAAAGUGGUAGAGACUGCUUCAUGAACAACUUAGAUUAAUUAAAAGGUCGUCCAAAUUGGGUUUGGUUUGGCAUUUUUGUGGUCCCACUUUUUCUAUUUGCCUUUUUCCAGCCUAGUCUCCAAGCCGGCAAGAGUCACCCUCUUAAGGGAGUUCCAUUUGUACUUCUAAAGUUAACAAUUAGCCAUUGUUUAGUAAUUUAUGCCAAAAUCAUGACUCCAGUUCAAAAAAAUUAUCGUUCUUUAUUUGAUAGUAUGUUUGGACAAAGGAAAUCUCUUAAAGAAGAAAAUUCUUUGUUUUGUAACAUUAGCUAUGGCAUAACUUCGUUCUAACCAGCCUGUUUCUCAUGGUUGUUGAGGCUUUCGAUGAAACUCCGAGCUAAAAAAGUUGCUAUAAAUAGACCCUUAAAUGGACAUCAGUGCAAGUCGGAGAAACACAUUGAAGCUGGUAUAAAGAAACUUUACCACUAAUCAACUUCAAUCAGCUCUAAUGGCUUCUAAACAUUUAGCUGCCCUUGCAAUCCUCGCAAUUCUUCUUCCUGCUGUGGCCAUGGCAACUGAGUUUACUGUUGGAGAUGAUCAAGGUUGGACCAUUAAUUUCGACUAUGAAGCCUGGGCCAAGGACAAAGUCUUUCAUGUUGGCGAUAAACUAGGUAAUGUAGCUCAAACUAUCACUUUCUUUUCCCUUUAUGACUUCUUUUAAUUCAAGCUGCUAAAAAUAUUGUCGCCAAUUCUCAUAUAUGCAGUCUUCAAAUACACGGCGGGAAGGCACAAUGUCUUCAAAGUUAACGGUACUGCCUUCACGAACUGCGCUAUACCACCAGCAAAUGAGGCUCUUACCACUGGAAAUGAUGUGAUUACACUGGCCACCCCUGGAAGGAAGUGGUAUAUUUGUGGUGUGAACGACCAUUGUGCCAACUAUGGACAGAAGCUUGCCAUCACAGUGCUGGAAGCGUGGGUGUCUCCUGCAUCAGCCCCCUCCACCCCCGCAGCAUCAGCUCCCUCCACCCCCGCAGCGUCAGCCCCCUCCACCCCCGCAGCACCAGCCCCCUCCACCCCCGCAGCACCAGCACCCAGUUCUGCUUAUGGGAUCUCGGUGUCUGGGUAUCAGCUGCUGAUGGCAGCCAUGGUUGCUGUUGCUUUCCUAGUCGUUUGAUCUGCUUUUUCUCCGGGAGUACCUUUGAUCAUCUAGUUUUCAAGAGAUUUCUUUGUUUCAUUGUUCUUCUAUUCAAUUAUUUUUUGGACUGAAAAAUGCGAUGUGUGAUGAAGUUUGAGUGGAAAUGAAACAUCCAAUUUUUUUUGUUUCUAUCAUUCUAAUUUGAUUCUUUGAUUUUUCUUUUCAUUCUUUUUAUCUAAUUUAAUUCUUUGACUUUUCACACUAUCUUUCUAAUAAUUUAUAAGGCAUACUUAUUUGUUUGCGAUUUUUUUCCUUCAUAUUUACUGCAAAGAGCAUCAGAAUUGGACAUGUGUCUGCACUUCUUUACUGAACUUUCGAAAAUAAUGAAGCUUAACAUGGACUGAGUUCGGAUCAGUACAUACUUUCCUUAUGUUCCCUUUGAAAUAUUAAAUGGUACAAACUUUUGCAUGUUGGUCACAAAACAAAGUGCAGGUUGCUGUGUAUGCCCAUUUGAGUUUCAACAUUCUGCACAUCUCCCUAUCUUCUUUUAAUGCUAGAACCACUCCACAAAUUCUGUCAAACAUCCAUCAAUUGGGUAACAGAAUCAUCUUUGUGCAUGGUCAUUUUUGAGUGUGAUCUGCUACCUUCUUUCUGUUACUUGUUUCCAGAUUGAUGCCACUUGUAUGUGAUUGAAGGAGACUUGAACGAGCAUGACAGAAUUGUUGGUGAACUGUGUGCAUGAGACAAUGAGGGACUAUCUGAAUUUGAUUGAUUUAGGUCUCAAAAAUAAGCAUGCAAGAAGGUAGGACAUGGUAGUGGCACUUAGAAUUUUUUGCUAAUUCUUGGUUUUACAUUACCAAGUUGUAAUUGAAAUGAUGAGCAUUUCAUUCUUAUUUUACCGUCUGGUUUGUAUGGAAGAGAUUGAUGCUCAUCACUUAGAGAAAGGAUUUGGUGAAAAUGACAACACUCACUUAAGUCUGUUAUUGAUUUUGAUAUAUAUAUAUAUAACUGUUACUUAUUGAUUUUGAUAUAUAUAGCUAUUACAAGAAGGAUUAGUUAGUUACUUAUAGUCUAAGUUGGCAUAACAAACUCUUAACAAACUUCCUAAUAGGUAUAAGCUUAAUUUAAUUGUAUCACUAAUAUACCCCUCACAUGCUAAACGAUGGUACUAAGUGAAAGCUUGUUACACAGGAAAAGAAAACGAGAAAUAGACAAAGGCUUAGAAAAGACAUUAAUUGUUUGCUCUUUAUAUGGAAUAUAACAAACAUCCACUUCAUUGUUGAGCACUUUCUCAAGCAUGAAUUGAAUAUCAAUCUUGAUAUGUUUAGUUUUGGCAUGAAAAAUAGGAUUUGAAGUAACACAAUAACACCAAUGUUAUCACACCACCACAUGAGGGUUUUUCAAGAGAAAGACCCAACUCAUGAAAUAGAGAUUGAAUCCAAAUCAAUUUUGUAGUGGUAGAAGUUGAAGCACAAUAUAGGAACCAAGACUUUUUUUAUUGAAGAAUUGAUUGACACACUUUGACAACUAGAUUGAGAAACACUAGGCUCUUGUAGCAGAGAAAGCAAGGCCUUGAACAUAGAAGAUGACUUGGACUAUGAAGAUUGUGAUUGUGUGAGAUCAAGUUGAUAGAGACCAUUCCUAAGAGCUCGUUCCUCCAUAAUUUUCUUUGAAGCUUUGUCCUUGCUUAGACAAUAGUCAUGACAGAAUUCAAUUAAAACAUUAUUAUAUUUUGUAAAUUGAGAAAUACUAAAAAGAUUUUUGGUUAUGUGUGGAACAUGUAAGAUGUUAUUAAGGAGAAGAGGUUUAGAAGAAUUUUUGUAAGGUAAAAAGGAAUUUCCAAACUGAGAAAUAGCAAGUUUAAAACCAUUACCAACCAUAAGCUUCUCAUUGCCCAUGUAAUCUACCUUGAUAGUCAGAUUGUUCAUAUCGACAGUGAUGUGGUUUGUUGCGCUACUAUCGACAUACCACUCGUGAUCUGCAAAGUUAGAGGUGAAAGCAAUAUUUGCCUAAUAACUAGUCAAAUCAACACUUGAAAAGCUAAUAUCAAACGUUUUGUAGCAUUUAACAACCACAUGACCAAUCUUGCCACAAAGUUGACAGAUUGGCUUGUUGCCAUGACUAGAACCACCAUUGUCAAGGCCAUGAUGACCAUGGAAAUGAGAGUUACCACCAUGAUUGGCAUUACUCAAUACAACAAGAAAAGAUCUGCGAUAAGCAACAUUAGUAGAGGGAGAAUUUUGCAAAUCAGUUGGCAAAAAGACCAAUUGAUGUUGAAUCAUCAUUUCAUGAGUCUAUAUGACAAAUUGAACCUCUUGAAGAGUGAGAGCAUCGUUUCUUGAAGUAAGAUUAACAAUGAUUGACUCAUAUUCAGGAUAAAAUCCAAUAAGAAUAUAAAGAAUAAGAUCUUUAUCAAUAAUGACCUAACCAAUAUAGUUAAGAUUGUCAGUCAAAACUCACAUCUUAAGAAUAUACUCCUCUACACUAAGAGCUCAUUUCUUCAAUGUCUAUAGCAUCAUACAAAGUUGCAUCACUUUGGCCUUCGAUUGAGACCAAAAAAGUUAUUCACGUAUGGACCAAAGUUCAAUAGUAGUAGCACAAUGAUUGACAUGAUUGAGCAUUGAUUCGCUCAUCAAUAAAAGAAUCUAGCUUAAGUUUGAUCUUGACCUCUUCUUGAAGUUCAAUCAAGAAGAAAAUGAGUUUUCACCCAAAACCUAAAUAGAUAAGAAAUUGAAAGAUGAAUGGAAUAGGAGAAUCAACCCAUUUUUUUAAGGAAAUCUAUAGGAAUAUAGUUUGGAAAUCAAGAUGAAAAAAGGGAAUUUUCUUAACAACCAAACACCCUUAAUUAGAUAAGGAUAGAGAGAGCUCACGAGGGAAGGAGAAUGGUUACAGGUAUCUCUUCCCCAAAAUAGGAAGCAAUUUUAGGUUUUAAAUGGAAAGAAGCCCUUGAUCUCGUGGUUAAGAAAAAAAAAACCAACUUGAAUUGAUUUGACCAAAACCUAGAUUGAUCUUGGAACAUGACAUUUAAACACUUAGACAAAAAUAGUUAUCAUGGCUUCCUCAACUCUUUUUAGAAACAAAUAGUUAUAGAAGAAACACUUUGAAAAACUUUGGUUGAUUCCAUCUCAUCCAUCUACAACCUCAACUAUAUACCUUGGUCUCUUAGUAAAUUCAAUAUCUUUAUCUUCAUUAGGCUAGUAGUUCGAGGAAGGAUUUGGAAAAAUUGAGUUAGGAAAUACUUAGGAAAUUUUUCUAGAAUUGCUGAUCUAGCUAAACACUCAUAAAAACAUAAAUACUUGUAUUACUUUAUCAUAAAGUUUCCCUUAUUGUUUUUUAGUCUUUACAAAAUCAUCAAACAAUUUCCAGUUGGGUAUGGACAAUGUGUAGCUGGAUGUUGUCAAUGCCAAUGCAGUUGUGCUUGUAGAGACAAGUCUCAAGUAGAGAAGAAGCAUUGCUAAAGAACAAGUGAGAACAAUGCGCUCUCUAUAUGUCUUUUAAGUGUGUGUGUGUGUGUUUUAUCUUUAAAUAUUUUCUCUGAAAACAUAGUUUUGAGAAGACAUAAAACAACCAUGUUUUUUAAGUCACCAUUUGCCAAACACGUUUUUUUAAGUGUUUUUUUUAUUCUAACGAAUAGAAACCACAAUUCCCUACAAAGCCUUUAUAUUCCUCACAAUGCUCUCCAUGGAUAGUUUAUGCUAUCAUGAAGAAAUAAUUGGAAUAUUGAUGAGUACAAGAAGCAACACAUAGCUUAUCACAACUUUUCACCUCUACAAAGAUGAACAUGACGCUUCUAUCACUAAGGUACAGAUGAUAGUAAUCACUUCAUCUUCUUUAACUGAAUCACAAUUUUUUUGGUAGUUGAGUGCGAAUUUCUAGUAGGGUUUUUGCAUUGAAGCAACUUCAAGGAACCAUUAGUAGAUCUUUAAUUAGAUUUACAAAAGUAGUACUUGUAUGCAACAUUCCAACUAGUCCUUUCUACACAUUGUUAAUGAGUAAAAAAAUGCAUGCAAUUCAUAUUUGAGUCUUUAUCUAUUUUUAGGGAAACUUGAGGAACUUCCAAUCUAUAGGCACUUGAUGCCUGCAUUGCAUGAAACCUUUUGUUGCAUCAAAAACCCUAAAAAAUACUUUGCAAAUGUGAAAUUUCCAUAGCUAGUACUAGUAGAAACUAAUGAUUUCAAGAACCCGAUUGAAUUAUGUUAUUUACAUAUUUCACAACAAAAAGAGCAAAUUUGAUUAAGAUAUACUUACUUUGUGUGAUUGCUAUGAGACUUGUGAAGGACUAGAAGGUGAUCAAAGAGCUAUUCUACAAGAGGAACAAUGUCUCUCUUGAUGAUGUGGUAGUCAAGACACUUCAAGCAUUACAAGAAUGGUAUAAAUAUGUUUUUUUUUUCACAUGCUUGUUAAUGUAUGGAUUGAAGCAAUUUAGGCUAGAUUAGUUGGAUUGACAUCAACUUUAGAGCUUGAGUUGAUUUGAGAUAUCACUCAAUUAGAUUAAUUAAUGUACAACCUAAACUUAAAGUAGGGUUAAAGUUUAUGAUUUGGUUCCCAGAAGAAGUCGGCCAAUUAACCUAAUGCCCUAAAGGCCAUUAUGCUAUAAAGAUAGGUUUUUUGAAAUUAAAUGAUACUAUCACACAGUCUCCUGAAUCCAAAUAGAAUAUUAUUAUAUAACCAUGCUUUAUAAUAUAAUGAUAUUGUCACACACUAUCCUUAAUCAAUUAAAAGACAUGCUUUGGAACUCAGUCAUACUAGAAUUAAUGAUUUAUUAAAGUUUUACUUCAUAGUAACACCACACUUACUAUUACACUUUGCUCUUACAAACAUAGGAAAAUAAAGCAUAAGUAGAGUUUGAUUCAAAGAAAAAGAACAAGUUCAUCAAGAGGCAUUUUUAAUCACUUCCAUUAAACAACUCUUUAAACCAAUGUGACUAAGAAAUCUUUAUAAUUUCCAAGAGCUACAUCUUCGAUCUUCUUGGUUAGAGGAGUUCCAUAUUGCUUAUUAUAUUCCUCAGCAAUGACCUUUAUAUCAACAUUGGCUCGGGUUACAAUAACUCGAGUUAGGGCUUCUUUUUCAUUCUCGUUUGCAUUAGCUUUCAUUGCCGAAUCUAAAAUCUAAGAUUAAAAAAAGAAAAAUAGUCCAAGAAAUGUUUCAACAAAAAAGUAAAAAGAUCAUUUUUGUAAUGUGUUAUAGUGAAUUUAUCUCACCUUACUAAAAUACAUUGGAGGAGCAUACAAGCAAUAAAUCGUGUCCUUCAAACAUGGCUCAUCAAGAUCCUAAACAAUGAGGAAUUAUAUUAAAAUUAAUAUUUUUGAAAGCUAAUUCGUGGAAAAAUGAGUUCUAAUAAAUAUUAAAAUGAAAAGAAUUGUUCAAAGUAACACAAGAAUGAGAAUAGUUUUUUUUUUUAAAGAAUUUAUAAAAAAAGGCUGGAGUUUAUAAACAAUAUAAUGAAUAAGAAUAAAAAUAGAGUAAAAAAAAGGCACAUGAGUGGACCGCACAAAUAAUGUUCCAUGAUUCAAAACAAUAUGUUUUUCUGUACAUAAUUUUACAUGUUAAACUAUUAGCAAAAUAUAUAUUUCAAUUUAAUUACUUCUUAGAAUGUAUUUGGUAUGUGAAAAUAGAAUAAAAAUAAAGAUAAAUCAUAACAUCAUGUAAAAGAGAAAAAUCAAAAUCCUAAAAAAAAAAAAAAGAAAGAAAGAAUUUGUAUCCACAAGAUUGAAAUUUUAAUUUCAUUCCUAUAUUUAAUAAGUAAUUUGGAUUUAGAAAUGAAUAGGAAAUGGAAUAGGUUCCUUUUAUUCCCAUUCCCAUUUUCUAUUCUAGUGUUUCAAAUAUUACAUAAUUCUUUUUUAACUCUUUUGAAGUGAAAAAGUGAUAAAAGUAGAGGAAAAUGGAAGAGAAGGAAAUACAAGAAAGAGGGAAAAGGAAUAAAGAAAGAGAAAAGAAGAAGACAAGAUAACAAAGAAGGAUAACAAAUACUAACUUUUAAGUCUAAUACUAAUUAACUUUCAUUUUUUUUUCUCUUUUUUCUCUUUAUUCAUUUAUUAAUGUAUAAGUAAAGAAUAAAAAGUGUCUUUGAUAUGCAGGAAUUGAAAUAUGAUAGGAAUAUUGGAUGACAUGUAUUAUGUAAAAAAAAAAAAUCAUUUUUUUGGUAAUAAUUUUUUUUAUUAUUGUUAUUUUUUAUUUUUAAGAAAAAGUGUGUUUUCGUAUAGUUGUGUAAAAAUAAUUACAAAAUAGGAACUUUGUAAAAAUAAUUCAAGUUUUAUGUAUUCAUCCAGUCAAAGGUAGCAUUUAUAUAAUUAAAAUGUAGUAUUUGAAUUAUCAAAGAUGUAAUUUGACCAAAAAGUGCAUGAAAUGUUAAUUAUUUUUAGAUAACUACUUGAAAUUUGUAUUUUAUAAACUAGAGUUCCUAUUUUGUGGUUUUUUCAUAUAAAUGUAUGGAAACAUGCUUUUUUUCUUUUUUUUUACUUCUUAUUUCCAUUUUUGAAUAAUUCAAAUGUAAUAAUGAUUGGAAAAUAGAAUGGAUUUCCUAUUCCUAUUUCAUAUUCUAAUGUUUCAAACAGGCCCUAAGAAUUAACAAAUAUAAUAUCAUGAUUAUGUUAUACCUCUUCAAUGUUCUUGUUAAAAGUCUCCUUGUAACAUUUGAAGAUGGCCUUGAGAUGAGGCUUGCUUCUUGUUGCUAGAAUCCUUACAGUCUCUUCAUCUUUGAAUAGCUUCUUCUUUUCACCAUAUCUAUUAAUGGCUAUACCAAGUUUUAUAGCCUCUGAUCUAACUGCCACAUCAUUAAUUCAUGAUCCUUCAUAUCUAUAAGUACUUACAAGUGCUACCAAAAGCUGUUGAUACAAGAAGCAAUUUUUCAUUACAUUAUUUCAUGUUGAUAAUAAUAUUUGUUGCAUGGUUUCUUUAUGUGGUCAUGAGUUUUUAGUUACCAUUAGAGAGAAUGUGUUUGAUUAAAGCUCUCCAAAAUCAAAGAUGUGGGAGGGAAAGAACAAUGUUUGGUUGGUGGGCAAAAUGGGCUUUCAAGUUUUAAAUUGCGAUAUGUAAUGGGCUAGGUUUGGCAAGAAGAAGACUUAGAGGGUAUUUGUCUUUUUAGUUUUUGGUUGAAAAAAAUUUGCUUUCAGACUUUAAGUUGUUUGUUUUUCUACUUUUCGUCACUUAUUAUAAAUUUUUAAGUGAAUAGAAAAAGCUAAAAUUUGGCUGAAUAGAAAAAGCCAAAAUAUUUGGCUUUUCUAAAUGGAAAAAGUACUAUGUUGUUUUCCUUUCUUUUUUAAUACUUAAUAGAAAUAAAAUAUUACAAAAACAAACAACCUAAUACUUAAUAAUAUUAAGCACUAUUUAGUUUUAAUCUAUAUUUAAAAUUAAGCUAAAAAAACAAAAAACACCUUAUGCCUUAUGGUCCAUAAAUGAACUUCAAAUUGGAUCCAACAUAUGAUAAAGCUUGAUGAUAUAAAUAUAUAAAUGAAUUUCAAUAGAGGAAAAAUUGAGUUAAGAGACACUUAGGAAAUUUGUCCAAAAUUAUCAACCUAACUAAACACUCACAAAAACAUAAAUACUUGUAUUACUUUAUCAUAAAGUUUCCUCUAUUGUUUUUGGGUCUAGAAAAAUCAUCAAAGAAUUUCUGGACAAGGUGUAACUAGAUGUUGCCGAUGCCUAUGGAGUUGUGCUUGUAGAGAUGAGUCUCAAGUAGAGAAGGAGCAUUGCUAAAGAACAAGUGAGAAUGAUGUGCUCUCCAUAUGUCUUCUAAGUGUUUUUUAUCUUUAAAAAAACUUAAAAAUAAAUAAAACCCGAGAUGGAAUGGUCAUAUGAGUUUUAGGUAAUGCUAGAAGCAAUAUUUUCUCGGUAUUCAAACAACUGUAUCUAACCUAGAGGUUGAUUGAUUGACUUCGGAAUAGAUAGUUGCAGCACCUUGAACUCAGAAUCGAUCCAAUCGUAGCGUUUGGAGAAGAAGUUGUGUAAACAGCCUUCGGGUGAUAAUGGGCUGGACUGAGCCAGGGCCAGCCCAGUUUUUGAACAAUUCGGCUGUGAGUGGGUUGCUUUCUUGUCAUAAGCCCUUGCUCUUCCCAUGGUUCCAUCUGGAUCAAAUCUCCGUUAAGAUUGAGGGUUAAUUUCACUCCCCACGUUAUAUUUGGACUAAAUAUAUCUUACCAUCGUUAAUUUGAAAUUCCGUCAAAUAUUUCAGAUAUUCUUUUCAUUUAUUAUUUUUAUUCAUUUCUUAUUUGAUUCAAAAUUAGAGAAAUAUCUAUUGAAAUUUCAAAAUUUUGAUGACUAAAUAUAUUUAGUACAAAGUUGAAGGUAAAUUGUGAAAAUUUUGCAAACGCACUCUUGAUUAUGUUUGACAAUAGUUGUAGGAAGUGUUUUUAGCCUAAAAAGUGUUUUUGAAAAAAAAUUAGAUGAUUGGUAAAAUUUAGGAAACACUUCUAAAAAUAUGAAAAAUCACUUGUAGUAUUGAAAAGUCACUUGUAAUAUUUUUUAGAGAAACACUUGAUAAAUGAUUUUUGUAAAAAUACUUCCAAAGAAAACACUUCCACUAAAAAGACGGAGUAAAAACACUAUCAAACACACUUUAAGAGCGUAUUUAACAGUGUUUCUUCUUGAAGUGUUUUUAUUAAAAGUGUUUUAUUUACAAGUGGUUUUAAGUGAUUUUUUAAUUUUUUUUGGAAGUGUUUUCUAAUUUUUUUCAAACAAUUGAUUUUUCUUCAAAAAAAGUUUUCUUUUUUCUUUUUAUACUAAAAGUGCUUUGUAGAAACAUUAUCAAACAAACUCUUAAGUUACCUUUCAAAUAUGACCAAGUUGCUUUCUAAAUAUAAUCAUCUUGCAUAAUUAUGAUCAUGUAAUUCUUGAUUGGUUCAUUAACAUGACUAUAUAUAUUACCUCUCACAGUAUACUAACCAACACUGCACCAUAUAAAACUCCAUUAUUGAGAAAAAGACACAAUUAUAGGACUUUCUAAGAGUCCAACUAAUGGGGACAAAAAAAAGUUCGACACUCCAAUUGUAGAAGAGUAGGCUCAAAAGAUCAUUUGCAAUUGCAUAUCCUUAGGCCCAAACAUCAUUUAUGGAGAAAAUAUAUGUUAGAAAGAAAGACAAAUGCCAUCUUUUUAAGAAAUAAUUAGUCAAAAUGCUCCAAUAAAUUAAUAAGAUAGAAAUGCUCUUUACUUGAUAAAAAAUUGCAUAAUAUCUCACUAAUCUAAGUCAAAUUUUAUUUUCAAAUAAAACAACUAAAAAUAAUGCUCAUAUACUUCAAAUAUAGUUUGAUGCAAAAAGGAAAAAAAGAAAAAAAAAACGUUACUAAAAGUAGUACUAACCUGGCGUUCGAUGCCUUCAACUCGGGAAGCAACGUCUUCCUUGAUGGAUUCACCGUAGAGGGACUGGUAUGCUUUCCUAGCUCCCAAGAGCUCGUCUGAUGAUCUGGUGCAUGCAAGUUCAAUGAGUAAGCCAUAUGCUUGAGGGCGUCCGUCCAAAGCCUUCCUUGCCAUGCGAGCAUCUCUUUCCCAAGGAUGCAUGGUCCAUUGCCCUGGACUGGUAUGCUUACUUGUCAUAAGCCCUUGCUCUACCCAUGGUUCCAUCUGGAUCAAACCUCCGUUAAGAUUGAGGAUUAAUUUCACUCGCCACAUUAUAUUUGGACUAAAUAUAUCUUACCAUCGUUAAUUUCAAAUUCCAUCAAAUAUUUCUCAUAACCUUUUCAUUUAUUAUUUUUACUCAUUUCUUAUUUGAUUCAAAAUUAGAGAAAUAUCUAUUGAAACUCAAAAUUUUGAUGACUAAAUAUAUUUAGUACAAAGUUGAAGGUCGAUUGUGAAAUUUUCGUAUAUAAUUUUGAUUAAACAAUAUAUGUGGAAUCAUAUAAAGAUGAGAAAUUCUCUUAGCCUACAACUAUAAAGAGCCAUAUCAAUAUAAUAAAUUUUCAUAACCCAAAACUAUUAUCGUAUAAAUUUAAAAUUCAUUUAAGUUGUUCAUUCAUUUCUUGGACUCUUUUGGAACUCUUCUUAAUUUCUCUAUGGUUCCUUGGAAAUAAUAUCUACAUCUAAAAGUUUUAGAAAAAAAGUGUUAACAUUUCCAUGUUUCUCAAUAGGGUGUUGUGCAUCCAAAGGAGUAAAAAUUCCAAUUUAGUGUAAUAUAAUCAAAUGAAAAAAAUAUAAUAAUUUAUUCACAUUAUACAUUAACAAAAACUUUAAUCAUACAAAAAAUUAAAUUAACUAGGUUUGUCAAAUUUUCUAUUAUAAUCAUCUAUAUCGUUAAAUAUUCCAAUUUUUUUUGCAUAAUAUGAACUCUUCAAUUUAUCAUCCAACAAUUUAUUCAAAUAUACAUUUGAUAUCAUUUAAUCAUUAUAUAUAAAUCUUCAAUCCAAAUGCAUAUUGAUGCAACUGUUUAUAGAUAAUUAAAUAAUACAUUGUUGUUCUUGAGCUUUCACUAAAAGAUACGUAUUUGUACUCAAGUACUCUCCCAUUGGGAGUCUCCUUAGGGUAAAUUAGUGUCAAUGUGAUAAUUCUUGUACCACUUAAUAUCAUUGUGCAGAUAACCCUACUAGGGAGCAAAUGACUCUACCAAAAUAAAAUAGAUAUAGAUAAAACAUUUUUCUCACCCAAAAACUCCUUGAUGGAGCUUACACAUGAGAAAAAAUGGGCAAGUGAAGUAGAUGAUUUAGGAAUCCAUCUACUGUAGAUAAGUUUGUCCAAAAGUCAACACAAAUUAGCUCUUGUAUAAAGAUGUAUACGAACUAAAGCUCAUAAUGAAUUCAGUCAUGUCUCAUGUACUAGUCAACACGAUCUAGGUGAACAUAAGAAUCAAGCUAUGGCCGAAUUCUCACCAUCAUGAACUUACUAGAAGACAAAAAUCGUUGCUAAGAUUCUCCUUUAAACAGUUAAACUAAUAAAAUAGAGACACGUGUAAAGAAGUGAAACAUAAAAAUGGAAUAAGAGAGAGAAAAAGGAAUCAUAAAAUAAUGAUCACAAUAGGCAUAACACUUGACAUUAAAGAAGACCCUUCAAAUUCCAUCUUUGACCUUGCAAUCCCAACCUCUAGCUACAAUCCAAGGCAAGGUUAAGUCCACCAUCAAAGUGAACCCGAUCAAGGUAUGGAGUCAAAAAAAUGGAGUCUGGGUCAUAAUUUAUGUAAGGGAAAAAAGAAUUUGGAUGUAUUAUACUCUUCAUAUGCAAGUCGGGGGAUUAUUUUUCUGUUGAACACUUGGCAUGAAAACUUAUCUUUGAAUCCCUUAAUAAUUCUUUUUGUUUCAAUCACAUAAUGUUACAUCAUUUUUCUUGGAUAAAUAAGAUAUAUUUGCACUCACUACUACAAAAAUAAUAUAUGAUGUCACUAUUUAUGGUGUCGCAUUUAAAAUAAUGACACCAUUGAACUUAAAAUUUAUAAAGGUGACACAUCAUAUAAAAAAUCUUCAAUUAGGAUAGUUAGAUGAUGCUAAUUUCAGAUUUACGGUGUCAUUUUUUGGAAGUGACACCAUAUGAAAUAAAAAGUUUUAAAUUUUAUAACUUAAUGGGCCCUUUUUAAAAAUAGUGAGUAGGAACAAUUUAUGAAAAGUCCAUUGUUUCCAUAGAUACAUUAACUAAUAUAAAAGAUCUUAUUGCUUAACCCUAACCAUUGUUUUCUUCUCCUUCUUCUCACACCCAUGGUCGACACACCCAUAAUUGAUAUUCUUUGGUUCGUAAAAUCUCGGGUAAGUCAAAAUCUCUUAUCUACCAUCUUCAUUUUUUUUAUUAAUGCAAAAAACUUUGUUAGUAUAAUUGUUUUUUAUCUCUUGAUUUAGUAUAUCUAUGAUGUGGGUUUUGUAAAUGGUGUUUUUUAUCGAGUUCCAGGGAAGUAAAAACUAGGUUUAACAUUCUAACAUAUUUUUUGUUUCAUUGCUAAUAAGCCCCAAAACAAAUGAAAACAAGAAAAAUGAAUUAUUUUUAAAAAUUUUGUCUAAUUGAGAAUGAGAGAUACACUAGUUUGUAGUAAUUUUUCGCAUGAAAUAGUAUUUUAUUGAAGACUUGACUAUAUUUGAUACUUUUUUCCACCGUGCUAGGAGCUUUUUGGUGAAGUCUAACAAUAGAGAUUGACAUCUACUACAAGAUGAUACUCAAUUAAUCCAAAAGCACUUAAGUUAUUUAGGGUUUUCUUCGGUUAACCUAAGAAAACAUUCCCACUUUCUUUGUAUUGAGUCACCUAAAUAGAAUAGAAUAUUGGGUAUCAGAGUCGUAAAGGGUAUUAUAAAUAUGACUUUUUUUUUAGAGUCACCUACAUGGAAUGAAUUAUUGGUAGGUGAACAAAAUAUUGGGGUGAUAGUAAUAGUUGAAUUAGUAAAUGGAAGAUAAGUGUAUGUUGCUUUGUUUAUUCUAUAAAAACAAUAAUUUUAGUAGUUGAAAUUUACAUGCUUUGUUGUUUUAUAAAAACAAUAAUUUUAGUAUUUGAAAUUUUAAAAUGUGAAUGAAAUGCCUGAAAAUAUGUUUUGAAAAAUAGGAUAGUAAUAAAUGGAAAAUAACUCAUUUCCUAAAAAUAUUUUGAUAAAUUAAAAUAAUAUGUGGUUAAAAUAUAUUUUUGUGAAAGUAUUUAAAAAUGAAUCAAAAUAUUAAUAAUUGUUAUUUUGUUUGAAAAUAAUUUAGGAAUAUAAAAUAAUAUUGGGGAUAAUUUUUGAGUUUAAAUUGAGUUAUAAAUGGUUAAUUUUUUUAGGACUGUCCUUUUUGAAAAUAAUCCAAUGAUAAUUUUUUUAAAUAAGAAUGUUGAAAAUAAUUUUAAAAAUAAAAUUUUGUUGGUAAUGAUUUUUCUAAAAGUAUUUUAGGCAUAAAUGGAAAUUUCUUGUAUGAAAAUAAGAGAAUUUAUAUAUAUAUAUAUAUAUAUAUAUAUAUAUAAUAGACAUAAAAAUAGACUUCUUUGAUAUUUAAUAAACAAGUGAAUUUUUCUCUAAAAAAAGAAUAAAAUAAGAAUUUCUCUAUAUAAUAAAAUAAUUUAUAUAUGAGAUAGUUUUCAAUAAGAAAGUUUUGAAAAUAAAUUUGGGAUAAAAUAUUUUUUAGUAAGUUUUGUUUAGAUAAUUCAAGAAUAAAGUGAUUUAUUAACUUUUCUUAAAAAAUAACAUUCUUCUUUCUUUUUUGAAUUGAUCAAUUUUUUUAGAAAUAAAAUUGUUAGAUUCUAUUUUUUGUAAAUUUUUAAGAAAUUCUAAAAAAUUCUUUAAAAAUGAAAUGACCUUUCUACCACAUUCCUUGUAAUAAAUAAUUGGUUUUUUUUUUUAUACAUAUUGUAAAGUAAAAAAAAAAAGUCUUUGUUUAGUUAACCUAAAAAGACAUUCCUACUUUUCUUUGCAUUGAGAGUCACCUAAAUGGAAUAAAAUAUUCAAUAUCAUAGGAGAGUAAAAAGUAUUGUAGAAAUGAUUUUGUUGAGAGAGUUAUCUAAAUGGAAUGAGAUAUUGGUAGGUGAAUAAAAUAUUAUGGUGAUUGUAAUAGUUGACUUAGUGAGUGGAGGAGAAGUGUAUGCUUCUUUGUUUAUUCUAUAAAAACAAUAAUUUUAAUAGUUGAAAAUGUGUAUGAGAUGACUGAAAAUAUUUUUUGAAAAAUAAGAAAAUAAUAAAUGGAUAAUAGCUCAUUUCCUAAAAAUCUUUUGAUAAAUUAAAAUAACUUGCAGUUAAAAUAUAUUCUUAUGAAAGUAUUUAAAAAUGAACCAAUAUAUUAAUAAUUGUUAUUUUGUUUAAAAAUAAUUUAAUAGUAAAAAAAUAAUACUAAGUUCAAAUAUGACUACUUUGUUAUGAGAUUCAUUAAAGAAAUAAUUGUUGAUUUUACAGUUAUUGCAUCAAAGGUUUUACUCGUUUAAUGAAUUGUACAUAAUUUCAUACUUUCAAUUAUUGUGAUAUUAAUGUUAUUCUCAUUUGAUUUUAGUUUGAUGACAAAUAAAACAUAUUCUCAAGUAGAAUUUGAUGAAAUUAGAGAAAAAUAGAUUACUUUUGUGUUAUAACUAAUCAUGAAUCAUAUUGAUGUAUUGUGAUCAUUCAUGGUAAGUCCCUUAGUUGUUAUAUGAUUGAAUUUUCCAUUGAUAUUGUAUAACAUUACUUAUUCUUUACGAACUAUUUUUAUACCAAAAUGAGAAAAAGGAAAAAGAAAAAGAAAACAUUAGUAGUUAGAUUUGUUUAUUGUUUAUAGCAUCACAUUUUUAUUUUCAAUAAGAACUCUAAAACUCAUUAAACUAUGAAAUGCAGGUAUACACUCUUGGGAGGACAAUAUGAAGAAUAAAAAGAAAGGAGAAAGAGGCAACAAGAUUUAGGUUUUUAGAUAUGACUCUUAUGUCAUACAUUAUAGGACAUAAAUGUUACUUUAUUUGGAAUUGAGAAUUUUGGGUUUUUGGAUGCAACUCUUGUGUCAUUUUAUGGUUAGCCAGUUUUAUGCAUAUGAAAUGCAAGUAUACAUGAAUGUUGGGAAGCUUAACAUUUCUAAAUCAUGUUUUAAUGAGUAUUCACUUUUCUUUUUUAGUUUUGGUGGGUUUGAUGUGUUUGAUGUACUAUCAUUUUGUGAACAUUUGAUAUACAAAUAUUAUUGGAUGAUGUAAUAUGUUACAAAUUAAUUCAUAAGCAUUAUGAAAAUAUAAGUUAAAUGUAAUAUGAUUAUUAUAUUUAUGGACAAUUUACACAGGUUAGUUUUAUUUAUUAAUAGGCAUUACAAAAAAUCUACAAACUAAUCAACAAAAAACAACCAUAUCUUCCAUAAUCAUUUACAAUGAUGUGACACCAUAAAUUAAAGGUGAUACAUUUAACGUGACACUAUAACUCAAAGAUGAUGCAUUUAAUAUGACACCUUAUAUAUCUCAUACAACUCUAUAUCAAAUUAAGCAUCACUAAAAAUAUAUGGUGUCUCUUCUGAAUGUGUCACCAUUUAUCUGCUUUAGUGUCGCUUCCAAAUACGUCACCAAUUGAUACCCUCUAUGGUGUCAGUGGAUAAGGUGACGCUAUGUUGUAGUGACACCCUAUGUUUAUAGUGACUUAUUAUAAAUGUCACCAUAUAUCUUUUUCCUUGUAGUGACUCUUGGAUAUACUACUGGUUUCUACUUUCAAAAAUUUAUUAAGAGCAAUGAAUUUCUUUUUAUUUACUUUUUAAAAAAGAAAAAUCCUAAGAUAUAAUACAAAAUCUAAGACUAUUAGGGGUGUGAUGGUUGGUUGGGUAAUGGUUGCUAUGCUGAUAGGUGAUGAGCUUCCCUCAUGGCUCUCAAUUAUAUAUGUGAUUUCAAGUAAUGAUUGUUUCUAUAUUGAUUUAGGGGAGAGUUGUAUUUAUAGGUUGUUAUAUGGGAAAUAUAUGGUUUUGGAAACCCAUAUAACUGAAAUAUGAGAUUUGUCUGGUAAUGAGAAAAAUAUUAUGUGUUUCAUGCACUAUAUACUAUUUAUAUUUGUAUUUUUGAAAUUCCCCUCCAUACCUCCCUAUCAGCAACCAUCACCAGUCAAUCCCACUGUCACACGCAACAUGUUUCGCAUUGCCCCUUGUUUCUUUCCUUCUUUAACCCACCCCACCUCAUCUAUUUUUAUUUUUUUUAUUUUUCUAUUUUAUACUUUUAAGUUAAAAAUAAAAUAAAAAAAUAACUGUCUUAAAGUAAAAUAAUUGGAAGAAAAAACGAAGAGAGAAAAAAAUAAAAUUCUAAGAAAUAAACUAAAAAGAUGAAAAAAAAAAAAAAGAAUUCUAAGAAAGAAUUUGACACUAGGAUUUAUAUAUUAUUGUUUUUAUAAUUUAAUUUUAAUAAAUAUAGAUAUAAAUAUCUAUGGAAAAAAUAAAUUAUUUUUAAUUAUUUUAUUUUUAAAUUUCAUUUAAUUGGUUGUUAAAAAUAAAUAAAAAAUUAUAAAUCAAGAUGCAAUAAGUGUAUCAUCAUUUAUUUUAUAUCAUUAAAUAUAUUUGAAUUAAAUAUAUUAUAAUUUUAAUAUUAAAUACAUCUUCAAGUUGGAAAUAUUAUUACCAUAUGUUAUAAUAUUGUUGUCAAAUAAUAUAUUAUUAUAAAUGUAUAACUAUUUAUAUGUAUUUGCUAUGACAAUGACAUUUCUUUUUUUGUUAUCUUAAAAAAAGACGUUUCAACUUGAAUUGUACCAAAAUGCAAAAGAAUAAAAAACCAAUAGGCCAAAAAUGUAUAGACGCGUUGCAUAUUGGCCAAGAUUCAUAGAUAGUCAAGUUCCAAACCGAUUUAUAUCACAAUCAACGUAACAAAAACUACCUAAUGGCAUUAUACAAAGGUUAAAAAAAUGGCAAUAAGGCAUAUAUAGUCAAAAGAAAAACAGGUAAGCCAGCCAAGCUUAGCACUUUGGACCUGAAAAUUCAACCGCUAUGCUAAAUUUGAACAGGUUUUACAGGUAGGAGCAUGAAUGACCUACCUUCAUGUCCCCAUCAUUCACCCAUUUAUGGCAUAAAACACAAUAGUAAUGCCUAACUGUUAUAUAUCUAUCAAUUUCCAUAUUGUAUGGGUAUGGGUAUGGUGAUGUGAGGAUGAUGAACUCCAUCGUCCCCCCAACUGAUCAUUUGAUGCUGGUGGGAUUAACAUCUGUAAGUGUGUCUGCUUGUAGGUCUUGAUCAGCGUGAAGGACCUGAAAAAGGGCAUCCAAUGGGGGUAAUGAAGGAGCGGGGGUUCCAAACAAUCAAUGACAUAUGUGCAGGCAGACACAAGCCUUUAGGUGCUACCUUAAGGGACCUUAGGUACUACCUUAGUUAAAGUUGGGUUCUACCUUUCCCAAGCCUCGAACCUUCCUUUGUGACCAUUAGACCAUACCAUUAUGUGAUUCUUUUGUGUGGUCAAGUCGUUCACCUUUGGUUUUUUGGGACUAUACCUUAGGUACUACCUUAAGGGACCUUAGGUACUACCUUAGUUAAAGUUGGGGUCUACAUUUCCCAACCCUCGAACCUUCCUUUGUGACCCUUAGACUAUGUCAUUAUGUGAUUCUCUUGUGUGGUCAAGUGAUUCACCUUUGGUUUUUUAGGACUGUACCUUAGGUACUACCUUAAUAGCCCUUAGGUACUACCUUAAUGUACCUUAGGUACUACCUUAAGGGACCUUAGGUACUACCUUAGUUAAAGUUGGGUUCUACCUUUCCCAAGCCUCGGACCUUCCUUUGUGACCAUUAGACCAUGCCAUUAUGUCAUUCUCUUGUGUGGUCAAGUCGUUCACCUUUGGCUUUUUGGGACUAUACCUUAGGUACUACCUUAAUAGCCCUUAAGUACUACCUUAAUCAACUUUAGGUACUACCUUAGUUAAAGUUGCAGUCUACAUUUCCUAACCCUCGGACCUUCCUUUGUGACCCUUAGACCAUGCCAUUAUGUGAUUCUCUUGUGUGGUCAAGUGGUUCACCUUUGGUUUUUUGGGACGGUACCUUAGGUACUACCUUAGUUAAAGUUGAGUUCUACCUUUCCCAAGCCUCGGACCUUUCUUUGUGACCCAUAGACAAUGUCAUUAUGUGAUUCUCUUGUGUGGUCAAGUAAUUCACAUUUGGUUUUUAAAAACAAAUGAGAGAAAUGACGUCCCAGCGAUUCCAUUGUUGCAAUGGGAUUGUGGCAUUGUGCUGAUAAAAUAUGGUUCGAUGGUACCAUUUAUAAUAAUUUGCCCUUAAUCAUACAUAUAUUAUCCGUUUUGGAUUUAAAAAAACCUUUAUAACUUUAAAAAAUAUUUAUAUAUUAAAAAUGACUUAUACUAUUAAAAACUUUUUCCCUUGUCGAUUAAAUUACUCAAAAAAAUAUUUAUAUAUGUAAAUUAUUGAAUUAUAAUUCCAACUAAAUACUAUAUUGAGUUAGGCCUCUUAAAAUCUUUUAUGAUUUUGAAUCUAUUUAAAAAUGAUUUUGGAAAGGUGAAAAAUGUUUUUUGAAAAUAAUUUUAAAAAAUUUAGAAAAUUAAAUUUUUUUGAUAAUUAAUUGAUAAACUAUUAUUUCAAAAAUAUAUUUUUAUAUAAUAAAUUAUUAAUUUUAUUUAUUUGUUUAUAUUCAAAUAUUUAGGAAUUAGAUAAAAGCAUCUUUAAUUAAAAGUAUUUGACCAAAAUCCCUUCAACCGGUGUUCCACCCUAGACCCUGUGGCGGCUUCUCUUUUUCGGUAUGCGAUUCACCAGACCAUCGGAUAUUCUAAUCUCACACUCAAUUCCAUUCCUGCCCAAACAUUCCUGCCCGUCACACACUCGUCUUUCCAUGCUAUACACAGAUGGCGGCACAUUUUGAUUGGGUCACCCAACUACUGCUGGGUGAUGGUAUCAUCUACAAAUUUCAAGACGCAAAACCCUCUCCCUAACACGUACCCGCGAGGCUGCGCCUCCCUCUCCUUCGCUGCGACGCCAUUGCAGUAGGCGGCCACCUUUCCCUCUCUCUAAUCAAUGGAAUCGCUAUGCUUCUCUACCUUUCCAAACACCCGAGCUUAAGCAUCUGGAGACAAAAGAGACUAAAAACUAGAGUUUCAGCUACCGAAGGAAAUGAUGUAAAAUUGGUUAUAUAGGAGUUUUUAGUGCAUUAAGUUGUUUUGGUUUAAGUUAGUAAUUUUAUUCCAUUAAUCCUGAUUGAGGACUUUUUGUAUUUUUUUGUGACCUUCACUCCAUUACACACACAUAAGAAGUAUAGAAAGGUUCAUAAAAGCUAUUGACUUUAAACAAACGACAUAACAGACUUUAGGGUAUUUAAGUUGAGUGUUUUUAAGAUAACUGUUUUAGAAAUUCUUGAUCGAGCGCAAAAACGCUCCUUGAGAUCGCUCAUCAUUGUGCAUGAGCAUUGACAAGGGGCACUUAAGCAGUAGAAGCACUCAAGCACACUUAUUCAACACUCAAACAUUUGGGUUUGGGUUUUCCAAAAAUUAAGUCCUAGACAUGAGAUUUGGCCGUAUAGGUUCUAGGACAUAAGUCUUAGAGUAACUUCCACUAGGUAAAUUUGUGUACCAUUUUUCUAUGUCUAACUGAAACCAGUAAUUAGGAUGCGAGGGAAAUGGAUUCAUGCCCCCAAAUCUGAAUAGGCCAGAAAAGGAGUAAAAUAAUGAAUAUCAAGCUAACACUCUUAUUUACCAGAAUAAAUUAUGAGUUAAUUACUUCCAAAAAGAGCUAGUUUGCAAUGUAUAGUCAUCUAUAAUAGGCUAAGAUUGUGCGGUGAGAAUCAAAUUCUUGCUCCAAUUAAGGUCAUCAAGAAGUCCUUGUAGCCCCCUGAUGUUUUGCCUACCACUGCAUCAUCAAGACUUACCUUGUUCAUGUUGAAAUACUCUUCUUUGAUCUUCAUCAUGUCAAUUUCCACUCGAGCCAAAAUGGCUCUUGCUAAUGAAUGAACA